This 291285-nucleotide long non-coding RNA is filed under the name Vitis vinifera (wine grape). Its description in RNAcentral is "long non-coding RNA (VVIN_LNC001898)". Lineage: Eukaryota; Viridiplantae; Streptophyta; Magnoliopsida; Vitales; Vitaceae. The record is from RNAcentral.
AACAGACACUUCAUCGAGCGUAAUCGAGUGGUCUCUGGCUGAGAUGUUGAAAAACCCGAGCAUCCUCAAGCGUGCUCACGAAGAAAUGGAUCAAGUGAUUGGAAGGAGCCGGCGGCUCGUGGAGUCUGACUUGCCAAAACUUCCAUACCUACAAGCCAUAUGCAAGGAAAGCUUCCGGAAGCACCCAUCCACCCCAUUGAACCUUCCUCGUGUCUCAACCCAAGCAUGUGAAGUGAACGGCUACUACAUCCCAGAGAACACUAGACUUAGCGUGAACAUAUGGUGAGAAAGAUUAGAUGGAUAAAAGACCUUGAUUUGCUUUUAGUGGAAUUUUCAAAAGGAAAUAUGAUUAGGGGAAUAGACUACUUUCAACUAAAAAGUUAUAACAAUGUGGAUGGUAGGAACUUAAAACAUCACCCAUAUAUCAAAGGAGUGUAGAAUAUCAAAGGAGUGUAGAAUGAGAGGUUUUUUUUUUUACUUAUACAAUAAUAAAUUUUUCUGCAAGAGUUUUUUUUAGGUACAAAAACUUAUGACUUAAAAACCAUUAUUACGAUGAGUUAAUUAAAAUAGAAUUAAUUUAGAAAAUAUAAAUAAAAUUGCAUGAAUUAUUAUCAUGAGUUAACUUAAUAAGAAUUAAUAGUAAUAAAGUUGAAUGAAGUUGUGGACCCUGCAUUUUGGUUCAUGUGUUUUUCAUUCGUUGGCGAGCUCGAUUUUUAUUUAAAAAAUGAUUUUUAUUCAUUAAAAAUCUAACUUAGAAUCGCCACUUAUUUUUGUUUUAUUUUUAAAGGGGUAAACAAAAUAAUAAAAAAAACCCUAAGUGUGACUUCUUAUUUUAGAAAAAUCGGUUUGUGAAAAAUCGGAUCGGGCUCAGGGAUCAGGUUACUUAUCGAUAAGAUACGGUACGAACUGUAGCACCUCUCUAAGUCCUUAAAGUCGGGUCUCUACUACCUGUAUCUGCUCCCCCAACGUGAUUGUUCUGUGCGUUAUCUCUCUCUCCCAUAUAACCAUUCGCUCCUGCUCACUCCUCCUUCGUGUAGCCUUCUUUUUCUUUUUCUUUUUUUUUUUUCUUCCUUCUUCACUCAACCUCCUCUGUUUUAGUCUCUCCCGCAAGCCACGGACCUGCUCCAGUGUCCUUGGAGCAUGUCAUCAGCAUCUACGCACGUUCAUGGCCUCGGUCAACCUUACAGCUACAUGUUCUAAGUUGCUUCCCCAGCAAACAGGGGUCCCCUCCUCGUUUAAAAAAAAAAUAUGACAGCUCACCUAAACCUUUCCCUUCAAGAAGCUGCCACCUAUCCAGGGGUCUACAGAAGUGAAUUUUGAAUGGUAGAUAUUAUUGAUGAUAAGAUUUUUUAAUAAUAAAAAUAUUAUUUGGGUAUGAAAAAUAGGACAAAAUUGACCUUUCUUUAUGUUACUGGUUAAAUGGAUAAUAGGGAUAAUCAAGUAAUUACAUGUGGUGAGGUUACCUAAGCUAAUUCUGUACUUACCAGCUAGCCCAAAAGCUAAGAAAAAUCUCCAUCCUCCAUUCAUGGCUCCCUUUUCUUUUCCCUAUUUUUAGAAAAUUCAACCAGUUUUGGUAAAUCAAUCUUACAACGUCCUUUCAGUCCACCAGAUGUCCCUUUGAUUUUCGUCUUAUUUUCUGAUUCCUCUUCUUUUUCUCUCGUUUCUUCCUUCAAAAUCCAUCCCUCAUCUCUCUCACAAUUUUCUCUUUACCUUCUUCUCUUCCUUCCAGUUUCCUUUUUAUUUUAUUUUUCAUGCAGACAGAAUCCCCUUACUUUCCUUUGUUUCUCUCUUUAAAAAAUUCUGAUUUUGCCCUAAAAAAAAUUGAUUUUUCUCUUUAAAUAUUUUAAUUUUCCUCCUCCAAAUUCUGAUUUGCCUUUCUAAAAUUUCAGAUCUUCCCAACCCAAAUUAAAUUCCGCUUUCCCCCGGUAAAAUUCUGGAUUUUCUCAUCCAAGAUAGUCAAUUUUUUAUUUUUUUUCAAAAGACAUUAUGGGUGUAUUUUGAAAAAUUGAAAAGGUAAUCAUGCAUGGCCAUGUGAGGAGAGAAGAAAAAGUAAAGUAGAUAAGUUGGAAGACAGCAUUGAUGGGAGAAUAAAAGUUCAAAAAUCAAUAAAAUAAUAUUAGAAUAAAAUAAAGAAAAGAAAUAGUGAGUAAAAAGAAUGUAACAUUCGUAAUCUAAGACAUAUAUAUAUAUAUAUAUAUAUAUAUAUAUAUAUAUAUAUAUGUGGGGAAAUUUAAUUUAUAAAGGAAAAUUGGGUUUUAAUUCACUAAUUUAAGAGAAUAAAAAAAAAGAACUCUAAAUUAUAAAUUAAUUUUAUUUUCAUCAAUUUAAAAAUAUUUUACAAUAUAUAUACUUUUUUAUAACUCAAAUAAUUAUUUCUUGAAAUAAUAUUUUUACUUGUUAUGUUAAUAACACCAAUUAAUAAAUAAAAACUAUAAAAUAUAAAAUAUAAAAAUAAAAUAUUAAUUUUCAUUAGUUAAACACAUGUUGGUAGAAAAUAUAGAUAUCCAAAAAGAGUUGGAAAUACAACAAGAAUUAAUAUUUAUUUUUAAAAUUUUAAGUUUUUUUAAUUGUAUUUACUUUUUAUAUAUUUUAGAUUUAAUUGUAUUUUUUAUUUGAUGGUUGAUUUUAACUAACAAAUUUUUUUAUUCAAUUUUAUUGAAAAAUAAGAAGAUGGGCUUUAUAUAAUAUAGAAUAUAAAAUCAUUAUUAUUUAAAGGAUAAAAAAAAAUUUUAUUUAUCACGAUUUGAAUAAUUUUUUCACAAUGAUUUGCAUCUUAUAAUAAAAAAUUUAUAAUAUAUUUAUUUGUACUAUACUUUUAUCAAAUUAAAUUGAUCAAUUAAUUUUGGAUUAUUUAUUUAAUAUUAUCAAGUAAAAUGGUAUUUAGAAAAUAAUUAUUUGAGUUAUAAAAAAGUAUAUGUAUUUUAAAAUAUUUUUUAAAUUGAUGAAGAUAAAAUUGAUUUAUAAAAAUUAAAGUUUUUUUUUUUUUAAAAUUAGUGAAUAAAACCCCCAUUUUUUUUUUUAACUUUAUAAUGUAGCCAUGGGAUUUUAUAACAUAAGCAAAUUUUACGUGAAAGAGGAAAAAAAUCAACUUUUCAAUUUCCAAUAAUUAUUAUUAUUAUUAGAAAUAUUUGAUUAAAAAAGAUGAAAUAAUCCCCAAAAUCGGAAAUCUAACCCUUCCUAUGCUUUUUCUAAAAAAGUAAUCCAUUUUUUUUUACAUAAAUACCAUUUUCUAUUUCAAGUAUCCAAUUUGGCUGAUUCUUAAUUAGUUGGCAUCAUUACUAUUCUGUAAUUAGUUAGAAUAGUAUUAGGAGUUGAAGGUCAGUUGGAAUACAGGCUUAUGGAAACAAAUCUAUCCCAUUAGUUGGUUCUUAUUAUUUUUAUUAUUUUCAAUAUAGGAGAUGGGCAGCCGCCGCCUUUUGUCUGGGGGCCAUCNNNNNNNNNNNNNNNNNNNNNNNNNNNNNNNNNNNNNNNNNNNNNNNNNNNNNNNNNNNNNNNNNNNNNNNNNNNNNNNNNNNNNNNNNNNNNNNNNNNNNNNNNNNNNNNNNNNNNNNNNNNNNNNNNNNNNNNNNNNNNNNNNNNNNNNNNNNNNNNNNNNNNNNNNNNNNNNNNNNNNNNNNNAGCAUGGUGGUGGCCUCAACUCCCGAGGCGGCUCGGGCUUUCCUUAAAACGCUAGACAUUAAUUUCUCUAACCGCCCGCCUAAUGCCGGUGCCACACUCUUGGCCUAUCAUGCCCAAGACAUGGUUUUUGCGGAUUAUGGGGCAAGGUGGAAGCUACUGAGAAAGCUAAGCAACUUACACAUGCUUGGUGGGAAGGCUCUUGAGGACUGGUCUCAGGUCCGAGCUGUUGAGCUAGGCCACAUGCUUCGAUCCAUGCUUGAGUUGUGCCAGCGAGCGGAGCCGGUGGUGGUGCCGGAGAUGUUAACUUUUUCCAUGGCCAACAUGAUAGGUCAAGUGAUUCUAAGCCGCCGGGUGUUUGAAACAAAAGGGUCGGAGUCAAAUGAGUUCAAGGACAUGGUGGUGGAGCUCAUGACCAGUGCUGGGUACUUCAAUAUUGGCGAUUUUAUUCCGUCCAUCGCAUGGCUGGACAUCCAAGGGAUCCAGCGCGGGAUGAAGCAUUUACAUAGGAAGUUCGACUGGUUAUUAACAAAGAUGAUGGAGGAGCACACGGCGUCAGCCCAUGAGCGGAAGGGAAACCCAGAUUUUCUGGACGUAAUCAUGGCAAACCAAGAAAAUUCUACAGGGGAGAAGCUCACUAUUACCAACAUUAAAGCACUCCUCCUGGUAUGCAUAGUUAAAGCUCGUCUUUAAUUUUGUUUUCCGAUAUUUUCUUUCCGGAAACAGCACUUUUAUUGCUUUUAGAUAUGUAUGUUUUUAUCAGGUAGCCAUUUUAGGGGCACAUCACUGUUCUUUAUUUGGAUUUUUUUUCUCUUUUUCCACUUGCAUGAUUGUUUUCAUAUGCUCAGCUGCAUGGUACAGGAAAAUUGUGAAAAAUGAUUGGUUCUCUGAUCAGACCUUCUGCACCAAGACACACUUCUCUCUAUUUUAUAAAAUCAAGAACAUUUAUGGUUUACAUGAUUUUUCGAACUUGAACUUUUGCUAGGGCUAAUGCAUGGAUCUCAAUUUUCAAUUGCUUUUGAUUACAUAAAUUUCAAGUAUGUCACCAUAUUUUUGUUUCCUUGGCUAGAAUUUAUUUACUGCAGGAACAGACACUUCAUCAAGCGUAAUCGAGUGGUCUCUGGCUGAGAUGUUGAAAAACCCGAGCAUCCUCAAGCGUGCUCACGAUGAAAUGGAUAAAGUGAUUGGAAGGAGCCGGCGGCUCGUGGAGUCUGACUUGCCAAAACUUCCAUACCUACAAGCCAUAUGCAAGGAAAGCUUCCGGAAGCACCCAUCCACACCACUGAACCUUCCUCGUGUCUCAACCCAGGCAUGUGAAGUGAACGGCUACUACAUCCCAAAGAACACUAGACUUAGUGUGAACAUAUGGGCAAUCGGGCGAGACCCUGAUGUCUGGGAAAGCCCGGAAGAAUUCAGGCCAGAAAGGUUUUUAAGUGGAAGAAAUGAAAAAAUUGAUCCUCGUGGAAAUGAUUUUGAGUUGAUCCCGUUUGGGGCUGGACGAAGGAUUUGCGCUGGCACUAGAAUGGGAAUAGUGCUGGUUGAGUACAUUUUAGGGACGUUGGUACAUUCAUUUGACUGGAAAAUGCCGGAUGGAGUUGAGAUCAACAUGGACGAAGCUUUCGGGCUUGCGCUGCAGAAGGCAGUUUCUCUUUCGGCCAUGGUGACACCAAGGCUUCACCAGAGUGCGUAUGCAGUCUGAGCUCAAACCGCUCAGACCAAAACCCAGGCCUCGCUGCUAUAUGGCAUGGANNNNNNNNNNNNNNNNNNNNNNNNNNNNNNNNNNNNNNNNNNNNNNNNNNNNNNNNNNNNNNNNNNNNNNNNNNNNNNNNNNNNNNNNNNNNNNNNNNNNNNNNNNNNNNNNNNNNNNNNNNNNNNNNNNNNNNNNNNNNNNNNNNNNNNNNNNNNNNNNNNNNNNNNNNNNNNNNNNNNNNNNNNNNNNNNNNNNNNNNNNNNNNNNNNNNNNNNNNNNNNNNNNNNNNNNNNNNNNNNNNNNNNNNNNNNNNNNNNNNNNNNNNNNNNNNNNNNNNNNNNAACCCCCUUCAAAUCUAAUUAUUCAUACCCAAUUUUGACACGAAAGAGCCAUUGUCAUGAAAGGGGGACCAGGGACCUCAGCACCCUUGGUCCAUCAUUUUGGUACGAUGCCAACUCUACCACAUAACCACCAUUUAGAUAUCUAUCCUUUUAUUUUUGGCAUGUGAACUUAUAGUGGGUGGCUGACCUUGAAUCCAAUAGUUAUCAUGAUAUAUAUGGCUGAAAUUAAAUCCAAUAGAAUCCAAUAUGUUUUCUUAUAUCUCAAGUUUCAAUCAAAAAAAUAUUUAUGAUUUGUUUUUAUUAAUUUGUGUCUUGUUUUCAAUUUAAUUAAUGAAAAUUUAUUUGAUCAAAAAGUUCAUUACAAACCAAUUUUAAAAAUCUAAUCCUUUAUUAUAUUUUGAUAUCGUUUUGAUAAAAAUGUCUUUAUUAUUAUUAUUAUUUUUUUUUUAUAAAAAUAAAUUUUUUUAUAAAUAUAUUGUAAAUAUUUAAAAUAAUUAAAAAUAUUUAGAUCAAAAAUCGAUUAUUUUUCAAACAAAAAUAUGAAAGUGAUAAAUUUGUAAAUAUGGGGAAUAUUUAAUCCUUUUAAUCGAUUAUUUCAUUAAUGAAGUGGGUAUAAUGAUGAACACAGACUUGGUUUUGCUAGGGCAUGCAGAGGUUUUGCAAGAGAGAGAGAUCAUUUCUCGACUCUGAGAAAUCAAUCUCCUUUUGGCCCGGUGGCGGACUCCAAGUAAAGCCUUGAAGGAGCCUUGCUAACAUCCCUGCACACCCACGCCUUCCAGUACUGAAGGAAAUGAAGCGAAGGUUUGGCUCGUUCAACUCCACUGCUUGAACUGUACUAGCAUUCAGAUGCCGCUCUGGAUUGAAAUUUAGCGGUUCUUCCCAGAUUCUAGGGUUCCGGCCCAGCCCCAGACGGCUCAGAAGGACAUGACUGCCUUUGGGGAUAGAGUACCCAGCAACACUAGUCGGAUUCCUGAACUCGUCUAUCCUUUCCAACCACUCCAUCAAUUUCUUCACUGCUUUGCUCAAAAUCCCUGGUUGCUUGAUCAUUGCCUACUCAGUUGCAUUUGAUGGACUAUCGACGCCUGCAAGCAUCAACUCCUGCAAAUUAUGGAAGGAUCAUAAUCUGAUGAUUGAUCAAGUUAUUUGCUGGCUAGGAAAUGAUCAUCAUGCAAUGUAGAUCAAAAGGUAAGCACAACACUACUACAAAAAUAAUUUAUGGUGUCAUUUUUAAAAUAAUGACACCAUAGGGUUUAUAAUUAAUAAAGGUGAUACAUCAUAUGAAAAUUCUUCAAUUAAGGUAGUUAGAUUAUGUUAGUUUUAUAUUUAUAGUGUCAUUUUUUGGGAAGUAACAUCAUAUAAAAUAAAUUUUUUUUUAAGUAUUAUAACUUAAUGAGCCCACUUUUAUAAUUAAUAAUGAGGGAUAAUGUAUAAAAAGCCCAUUGUUUCCACAUGCCACCCAUAAUCCAAAAAAUCUCAGUAUACAAAUCUUAUAUAUAAAACCAUAAUCUUCUUCUACCUUUUCUCUUACUUAUAGUCAACACACUUAUAACCGACAUUUUCCACUUUGUGGACUCCCAAGUUAUCCAAAUUCUCUUAGAUCUAUCAUAUUUUUUUCUUUUAUUAAUAUCAUUAUAUUGAUUGUUUCAGCAUCUUUGUAUUAUGGUUUUUGUGAACUGUGUUUUUUUGAGUUGUAGGGAAGAAAAACUUAGGUUUAAACUUCUAGCAUAGACGAAGAAACUUGUAGAUUAAUUGAUUUUUUAAUAUGAACCAAACACAUGACCGACUUUUGUUGUGUGUAUUUAUGUGAGAAUGAUAGGUACAAAAUUUUGUUGAGAUAUACUGUCCCAUAAUCUUCAUCCCUUCCCUAAAAUGAGAGGGGAAAAAAAAAGGGAUGAUUUUUUUUGUGUGUAUCUAAGUGGGAACGAGAGAUAUAGAAUUUCGUUGUGAUGUAGUGCUGCCACAUGAUCUUUAUCCACCAUUAAACCUAACAUAUUAAAUCCACUAACUCUCUCCCCAAAAACGAGUAAAAAAAAAAAAGGAAAAAAGUAUGAGUUAAAAAACAAAAACGGAAAAUAUGAUUUUUUUUUAAUGUGUUUCUAAGGAGAAUGAGAGAUACAUAUUUUUGUUAAGUGCAUUGCCACAUGUUCUUCAUCCUCUCCAUUAAGCCUAAUAUAUUAAACCUAAUAGCUCUCUCUUUUAAGCUUUCCAAUGAAGUGCCUACAGUAUCCAACUCAAAAUAAGACAACUUAUGCCCCAUUAGCCAACAACCCAUAUUUUGUGUACAUCUUGAUGAGAUUAUUUUGUGAGAAAAUGUCAUGAAACAAUCCCAAUUUGAUAAUCUAGGCAUGUAUUUGAGUUAAAAAUAAAUUUCUAUUCUAUAGAUCAAAGAAUAAAAUCAUGUUUGAAAAUUAUUUUUAAAAACUUAUUUAGAGCAAAAAUAGUUUUCUAACAUAAAAAUAAUUUUUUAACUGAGAAAAUAUAUUUGAAAUUAUUUGAUAGAAAAUUGGGCAUGUAUUUGACUUAAAAACAAAUUUCUAUUCUAUAGCUCAAAUAAUAAAAUCAUGUUUGAAAAUUAUUCUUAAAAACUUAUUUNNNNNNNNNNNNNNNNNNNNNNNNNNNNNNNNNNNNNNNNNNNNNNNNNNNNNNNNNNNNNNNNNNNNNNNNNNNNNNNNNNNNNNNNNNNNNNNNNNNNNNNNNNNNNNNNNNNNNNNNNNNNNNNNNNNNNNNNNNNNNNNNNNNNNNNNNNNNNNNNNNNNNNNNNNNNNNNNNNNNNNNNNNNNNNNNNNNNNNNNNNNNNNNNNNNNNNNNNNNNNNNNNNNNNNNNNNNNNNNNNNNNNNNNNNNNNNNNNNNNNNNNNNNNNNNNNNNNNNNNNNNNNNNNNNNNNNNNNNNNNNNNNNNNNNNNNNNNNNNNNNNNNNNNNNNNNNNNNNNNNNNNNNNNNNNNNNNNNNNNNNNNNNNNNNNNNNNNNNNNNNNNNNNNNNNNNNNNNNNNNNNNNNNNNNNNNNNNNNNNNNNNNNNNNNNNNNNNNNNNNNNNNNNNNNNNNNNNNNNNNNNNNNNNNNNNNNNNNNNNNNNNNNNNNNNNNNNNNNNNNNNNNNNNNNNNNNNNNNNNNNNNNNNNNNNNNNNNNNNNNNNNNNNNNNNNNNNNNNNNNNNNNNNNNNNNNNNNNNNNNNNNNNNNNNNNNNNNNNNNNNNNNNNNNNNNNNNNNNNNNNNNNNNNNNNNNNNNNNNNNNNNNNNNNNNNNNNNNNNNNNNNNNNNNNNNNNNNNNNNNNNNNNNNNNNNNNNNNNNNNNNNNNNNNNNNNNNNNNNNNNNNNNNNNNNNNNNNNNNNNNNNNNNNNNNNNNNNNNNNNNNNNNNNNNNNNNNNNNNNNNNNNNNNNNNNNNNNNNNNNNNNNNNNNNNNNNNNNNNNNNNNNNNNNNNNNNNNNNNNNNNNNNNNNNNNNNNNNNNNNNNNNNNNNNNNNNNNNNNNNNNNNNNNNNNNNNNNNNNNNNNNNNNNNNNNNNNNNNNNNNNNNNNNNNNNNNNNNNNNNNNNNNNNNNNNNNNNNNNNNNNNNNNNNNNNNNNNNNNNNNNNNNNNNNNNNNNNNNNNNNNNNNNNNNNNNNNNNNNNNNNNNNNNNNNNNNNNNNNNNNNNNNNNNNNNNNNNNNNNNNNNNNNNNNNNNNNNNNNNNNNNNNNNNNNNNNNNNNNNNNNNNNNNNNNNNNNNNNNNNNNNNNNNNNNNNNNNNNNNNNNNNNNNNNNNNNNNNNNNNNNNNNNNNNNNNNNNNNNNNNNNNNNNNNNNNNNNNNNNNNNNNNNNNNNNNNNNNNNNNNNNNNNNNNNNNNNNNNNNNNNNNNNNNNNNNNNNNNNNNNNNNNNNNNNNNNNNNNNNNNNNNNNNNNNNNNNNNNNNNNNNNNNNNNNNNNNNNNNNNNNNNNNNNNNNNNNNNNNNNNNNNNNNNNNNNNNNNNNNNNNNNNNNNNNNNNNNNNNNNNNNNNNNNNNNNNNNNNNNNNNNNNNNNNNNNNNNNNNNNNNNNNNNNNNNNNNNNNNNNNNNNNNNNNNNNNNNNNNNNNNNNNNNNNNNNNNNNNNNNNNNNNNNNNNNNNNNNNNNNNNNNNNNNNNNNNNNNNNNNNNNNNNNNNNNNNNNNNNNNNNNNNNNNNNNNNNNNNNNNNNNNNNNNNNNNNNNNNNNNNNNNNNNNNNNNNNNNNNNNNNNNNNNNNNNNNNNNNNNNNNNNNNNNNNNNNNNNNNNNNNNNNNNNNNNNNNNNNNNNNNNNNNNNNNNNNNNNNNNNNNNNNNNNNNNNNNNNNNNNNNNNNNNNNNNNNNNNNNNNNNNNNNNNNNNNNNNNNNNNNNNNNNNNNNNNNNNNNNNNNNNNNNNNNNNNNNNNNNNNNNNNNNNNNNNNNNNNNNNNNNNNNNNNNNNNNNNNNNNNNNNNNNNNNNNNNNNNNNNNNNNNNNNNNNNNNNNNNNNNNNNNNNNNNNNNNNNNNNNNNNNNNNNNNNNNNNNNNNNNNNNNNNNNNNNNNNNNNNNNNNNNNNNNNNNNNNNNNNNNNNNNNNNNNNNNNNNNNNNNNNNNNNNNNNNNNNNNNNNNNNNNNNNNNNNNNNNNNNNNNNNNNNNNNNNNNNNNNNNNNNNNNNNNNNNNNNNNNNNNNNNNNNNNNNNNNNNNNNNNNNNNNNNNNNNNNNNNNNNNNNNNNNNNNNNNNNNNNNNNNNNNNNNNNNNNNNNNNNNNNNNNNNNNNNNNNNNNNNNNNNNNNNNNNNNNNNNNNNNNNNNNNNNNNNNNNNNNNNNNNNNNNNNNNNNNNNNNNNNNNNNNNNNNNNNNNNNNNNNNNNNNNNNNNNNNNNNNNNNNNNNNNNNNNNNNNNNNNNNNNNNNNNNNNNNNNNNNNNNNNNNNNNNNNNNNNNNNNNNNNNNNNNNNNNNNNNNNNNNNNNNNNNNNNNNNNNNNNNNNNNNNNNNNNNNNNNNNNNNNNNNNNNNNNNNNNNNNNNNNNNNNNNNNNNNNNNNNNNNNNNNNNNNNNNNNNNNNNNNNNNNNNNNNNNNNNNNNNNNNNNNNNNNNNNNNNNNNNNNNNNNNNNNNNNNNNNNNNNNNNNNNNNNNNNNNNNNNNNNNNNNNNNNNNNNNNNNNNNNNNNNNNNNNNNNNNNNNNNNNNNNNNNNNNNNNNNNNNNNNNNNNNNNNNNNNNNNNNNNNNNNNNNNNNNNNNNNNNNNNNNNNNNNNNNNNNNNNNNNNNNNNNNNNNNNNNNNNNNNNNNNNNNNNNNNNNNNNNNNNNNNNNNNNNNNNNNNNNNNNNNNNNNNNNNNNNNNNNNNNNNNNNNNNNNNNNNNNNNNNNNNNNNNNNNNNNNNNNNNNNNNNNNNNNNNNNNNNNNNNNNNNNNNNNNNNNNNNNNNNNNNNNNNNNNNNNNNNNNNNNNNNNNNNNNNNNNNNNNNNNNNNNNNNNNNNNNNNNNNNNNNNNNNNNNNNNNNNNNNNNNNNNNNNNNNNNNNNNNNNNNNNNNNNNNNNNNNNNNNNNNNNNNNNNNNNNNNNNNNNNNNNNNNNNNNNNNNNNNNNNNNNNNNNNNNNNNNNNNNNNNNNNNNNNNNNNNNNNNNNNNNNNNNNNNNNNNNNNNNNNNNNNNNNNNNNNNNNNNNNNNNNNNNNNNNNNNNNNNNNNNNNNNNNNNNNNNNNNNNNNNNNNNNNNNNNNNNNNNNNNNNNNNNNNNNNNNNNNNNNNNNNNNNNNNNNNNNNNNNNNNNNNNNNNNNNNNNNNNNNNNNNNNNNNNNNNNNNNNNNNNNNNNNNNNNNNNNNNNNNNNNNNNNNNNNNNNNNNNNNNNNNNNNNNNNNNNNNNNNNNNNNNNNNNNNNNNNNNNNNNNNNNNNNNNNNNNNNNNNNNNNNNNNNNNNNNNNNNNNNNNNNNNNNNNNNNNNNNNNNNNNNNNNNNNNNNNNNNNNNNNNNNNNNNNNNNNNNNNNNNNNNNNNNNNNNNNNNNNNNNNNNNNNNNNNNNNNNNNNNNNNNNNNNNNNNNNNNNNNNNNNNNNNNNNNNNNNNNNNNNNNNNNNNNNNNNNNNNNNNNNNNNNNNNNNNNNNNNNNNNNNNNNNNNNNNNNNNNNNNNNNNNNNNNNNNNNNNNNNNNNNNNNNNNNNNNNNNNNNNNNNNNNNNNNNNNNNNNNNNNNNNNNNNNNNNNNNNNNNNNNNNNNNNNNNNNNNNNNNNNNNNNNNNNNNNNNNNNNNNNNNNNNNNNNNNNNNNNNNNNNNNNNNNNNNNNNNNNNNNNNNNNNNNNNNNNNNNNNNNNNNNNNNNNNNNNNNNNNNNNNNNNNNNNNNNNNNNNNNNNNNNNNNNNNNNNNNNNNNNNNNNNNNNNNNNNNNNNNNNNNNNNNNNNNNNNNNNNNNNNNNNNNNNNNNNNNNNNNNNNNNNNNNNNNNNNNNNNNNNNNNNNNNNNNNNNNNNNNNNNNNNNNNNNNNNNNNNNNNNNNNNNNNNNNNNNNNNNNNNNNNNNNNNNNNNNNNNNNNNNNNNNNNNNNNNNNNNNNNNNNNNNNNNNNNNNNNNNNNNNNNNNNNNNNNNNNNNNNNNNNNNNNNNNNNNNNNNNNNNNNNNNNNNNNNNNNNNNNNNNNNNNNNNNNNNNNNNNNNNNNNNNNNNNNNNNNNNNNNNNNNNNNNNNNNNNNNNNNNNNNNNNNNNNNNNNNNNNNNNNNNNNNNNNNNNNNNNNNNNNNNNNNNNNNNNNNNNNNNNNNNNNNNNNNNNNNNNNNNNNNNNNNNNNNNNNNNNNNNNNNNNNNNNNNNNNNNNNNNNNNNNNNNNNNNNNNNNNNNNNNNNNNNNNNNNNNNNNNNNNNNNNNNNNNNNNNNNNNNNNNNNNNNNNNNNNNNNNNNNNNNNNNNNNNNNNNNNNNNNNNNNNNNNNNNNNNNNNNNNNNNNNNNNNNNNNNNNNNNNNNNNNNNNNNNNNNNNNNNNNNNNNNNNNNNNNNNNNNNNNNNNNNNNNNNNNNNNNNNNNNNNNNNNNNNNNNNNNNNNNNNNNNNNNNNNNNNNNNNNNNNNNNNNNNNNNNNNNNNNNNNNNNNNNNNNNNNNNNNNNNNNNNNNNNNNNNNNNNNNNNNNNNNNNNNNNNNNNNNNNNNNNNNNNNNNNNNNNNNNNNNNNNNNNNNNNNNNNNNNNNNNNNNNNNNNNNNNNNNNNNNNNNNNNNNNNNNNNNNNNNNNNNNNNNNNNNNNNNNNNNNNNNNNNNNNNNNNNNNNNNNNNNNNNNNNNNNNNNNNNNNNNNNNNNNNNNNNNNNNNNNNNNNNNNNNNNNNNNNNNNNNNNNNNNNNNNNNNNNNNNNNNNNNNNNNNNNNNNNNNNNNNNNNNNNNNNNNNNNNNNNNNNNNNNNNNNNNNNNNNNNNNNNNNNNNNNNNNNNNNNNNNNNNNNNNNNNNNNNNNNNNNNNNNNNNNNNNNNNNNNNNNNNNNNNNNNNNNNNNNNNNNNNNNNNNNNNNNNNNNNNNNNNNNNNNNNNNNNNNNNNNNNNNNNNNNNNNNNNNNNNNNNNNNNNNNNNNNNNNNNNNNNNNNNNNNNNNNNNNNNNNNNNNNNNNNNNNNNNNNNNNNNNNNNNNNNNNAUAUCUUCCGCACCAAUAUGGAUCUAGAAGAAGGGGAAAUGCUAAAAAUAAAGCAUAAAGGUAGUGCAUUGAAACCAAAGAUUGCAAAAAAUCGAAGUAAAGGGAUAAAGCUCAAGAUUGAAUACAAUAGCCUUAGUAGUCACAUUGAGGAAAAUUCAGUUGAACUAAGUAGUUAUCUUAGUACAAUAACUAGAACCCAUGUGCCAAUAAUUAUUGAGAGUUGGGGGAAAGUGCCUAAAGAGACUAAGGAGAAGUUGUGGGAUUUGAUCACGGUAAGCCUCUCUAUAACUUUAAUAUAUAAUUAUUGUAUACAUUCAUUAACAUGAGCUAACAUGGGUUGCUAUUUUGUAGACAAGCUUUAAUGUGAAUAAAAAAUCCAAGAGGAAUUGUUUCAUACUAAUGGGCAUCAGGUUUCGAACCUUUAAGUACAAGUUGACAAAGAAAUAUAUAUUGUCUUUCAAGAAUGACUAAAAAAGCUGAAAAAGUCACCUCCUAUUUACCCAUUCAUACAAGAGGAUCAUUGGAGACAGUUUGUUAAAGAUAGACUUUUAGAACAUUUUAAUGUUAAGCAUUAUUUUUAUUACAUCUUCAAUUUUCACAUUUACGUAGUUUCAUUAUGUACUAAUUUUGUGUCUAUAUUUUGUAGGAAUAUCGCAAAGUUCAGAAAUCAAGAAGAGAUAAACACAUUUACAAUCAUUAUCUUGGAAGAAAAUGAUAUGCACGUUUUGAGCAUGAUAUAGUAAGUUAUCAAUAUCCAUAAAAAAAAAAUGGAGUAUAUAUUUUGUUUAUAGGAAAAUGAUUCUAGUUUUUAAAUAUCAUUUAUUAACUUGAUCAUAUUGAACUAAUGAGUUUUAUUGUUAAAAAUUUUAUAGCUACAAGCAGAAGGGGCUAUUGGUAGGGUUGAUAGAAGUGUUUAUGAAAGAAAACACGUGAGAAGAAAGGAAAGUUUAAUAAGAUUACAAAGCCAAUGAUUAACUAAGUUAGCAUAUUUAUGCCUUUUAGAGCCUAUAGUGUUAGUAUGUCUAUGUGAUUAGGGUUUGUGAUGAUAUCGUUAGGUGUUAAUAGGGAAGAGGCUUAAUGCUAUCAUUUUUAUGAGUAGUCAUGUUAUAUUAGUGCAAAUAUAGUAGCCUAAUUUGAAAAUUAAUUUUGAAACAAUAUACAUUAAUUUAUCUAUUAUCAUUUUUAUUAAAACAAUUCAUUUUAUAGCUACCUUGAAUUGGUCCUCUUGAAUUGGUUGUCUUUGAUUGAUAUGUUAAUCAUCUUCAUCAAAUUAUUACUAAUAUAUGUUUUGUUAUAGGAUGAAUUACUAGAAAAGGCAAGGAGACUGGACUACCUCCACCUGGUCCAAACGACAUAUUAUGUCAGGCAUUGGGUAAGCUUGAUCAUCUAGGACGUGUGGUAGGUCAAGACCGCUUGGUUAGGCCGAACUCAUACUUUCGUCAACCAUUUGAUGACAUGAAAAAAAAAAUCAAAGAAGAAAUAUGGGAAGUGGUGUGAAAGGGGAUGCAAGAUGCUGUAACAAGAUAAACUAUGUCUCCUUCCACACCCCAUUCUGAUAUAGGUAGUAAUAACAUGAGACAACAACUUGUUUUACAACUAGUUGUAGCAAAAAAAACCAAUGUUUAAAAUGAUGGAAGAGCCCCAACCACCAGAACCACCACUGAAACGUAAGGUAUACAUUUAUUUACUAAUAAUACAAGAUUAAUAUAAGUGAUAUAUAGCCUAUGUAAAUGAUAUUAUUUGUUGUAUUAAAGGUGAUUAAAUAUAAAUUAGCAGUGGAAUGAAAAUGAAAUGUUGUUGCAACCGGUACAUUAAUAGAAGAAAAUUGAUCAAAUGGGUUGGUCAUAAUAAAUGUUGCACACAAGCUAGAUGCUAGACUCCCAUUUCCAAAUCCAUAUGAGAUUAUCAAUGUUGGGGAUGCUAUUGACUUUAAGCUUGACUGGCCAACAAACCUUGUCAUACUUGAAACUAAACAUCCUCGGGUAUGUCAUUUUAUACUUGUAGUAAAUUAUGAUUGUAACUUGGUAUUUUAUUGUUUGGGAGUAUANNNNNNNNNNNNNNNNNNNNNNNNNNNNNNNNNNNNNNNNNNNNNNNNNNNNNNNNNNNNNNNNNNNNNNNNNNNNNNNNNNNNNNNNNNNNNNNNNNNNNNNNNNNNNNNNNNNNNNNNNNNNNNNNNNNNNNNNNNNNNNNNNNNNNNNNNNNNNNNNNNNNNNNNNNNNNNNNNNNNNNNNNNNNNNNNNNNNNNNNNNNNNNNNNNNNNNNNNNNNNNNNNNNNNNNNNNNNNNNNNNNNNNNNNNNNNNNNNNNNNNNNNNNNNNNNNNNNNNNNNNNNNNNNNNNNNNNNNNNNNNNNNNNNNNNNNNNNNNNNNNNNNNNNNNNNNNNNNNNNNNNNNNNNNNNNNNNNNNNNNNNNNNNNNNNNNNNNNNNNNNNNNNNNNNNNNNNNNNNNNNNNNNNNNNNNNNNNNNNNNNNNNNNNNNNNNNNNNNNNNNNNNNNNNNNNNNNNNNNNNNNNNNNNNNNNNNNNNNNNNNNNNNNNNNNNNNNNNNNNNNNNNNNNNNNNNNNNNNNNNNNNNNNNNNNNNNNNNNNNNNNNNNNNNNNNNNNNNNNNNNNNNNNNNNNNNNNNNNNNNNNNNNNNNNNNNNNNNNNNNNNNNNNNNNNNNNNNNNNNNNNNNNNNNNNNNNNNNNNNNNNNNNNNNNNNNNNNNNNNNNNNNNNNNNNNNNNNNNNNNNNNNNNNNNNNNNNNNNNNNNNNNNNNNNNNNNNNNNNNNNNNNNNNNNNNNNNNNNNNNNNNNNNNNNNNNNNNNNNNNNNNNNNNNNNNNNNNNNNNNNNNNNNNNNNNNNNNNNNNNNNNNNNNNNNNNNNNNNNNNNNNNNNNNNNNNNNNNNNNNNNNNNNNNNNNNNNNNNNNNNNNNNNNNNNNNNNNNNNNNNNNNNNNNNNNNNNNNNNNNNNNNNNNNNNNNNNNNNNNNNNNNNNNNNNNNNNNNNNNNNNNNNNNNNNNNNNNNNNNNNNNNNNNNNNNNNNNNNNNNNNNNNNNNNNNNNNNNNNNNNNNNNNNNNNNNNNNNNNNNNNNNNNNNNNNNNNNNNNNNNNNNNNNNNNNNNNNNNNNNNNNNNNNNNNNNNNNNNNNNNNNNNNNNNNNNNNNNNNNNNNNNNNNNNNNNNNNNNNNNNNNNNNNNNNNNNNNNNNNNNNNNNNNNNNNNNNNNNNNNNNNNNNNNNNNNNNNNNNNNNNNNNNNNNNNNNNNNNNNNNNNNNNNNNNNNNNNNNNNNNNNNNNNNNNNAAAUGCAGGUAUACACUCUAGGAGGGUGGAUAGAGAUAAAAGAACAAAGAAGGGCAACCAGAUUUGGGUUUUAAAUGCAGCUCGUAUGUCAUACGUCGUAGGACAUAAACGUUACUUUAAUUGGUAGUGAGAAUUUUAGAUUUUUAGAUGCUACUUUUAUGUCAUUUUAUAGUUAGUCGGUUUUAUGCUUAUGAAAUGAAGGUAUACAUGAAUCUUGGGAUGCUUAACAUUUCUAAAUCAUGUUUUGGUAUGUAUUCACUUUUCUUUUUCAGUUUUGGUGGGUUUGAUAUGUUUGAUGUACUAUCUUUUUGUGAACAUUUGAUAUACAAAUAUUAUUAGAUGAUCAAUGUAUUACGAGUUAUUCCAUAAACAUUACCGAAAAAUGAGUUAAAUGUAAUAUGAUUGUUAUAUUUAUGGACAAAAUAUACACAAGUUAAUCCUAUUUGUUAAUUCAUAAGCAUUACAAAAAUCUACAACUAAAAGCAAUCAUAUCUUCCAUGAUAAUUUACAAUGAUGUGACACCAUAACUCAAAGGUGAUGCAUUUAAUGUGACAUCAUAACUCAAAGAUCACGCAUAUAAUGCGACAUCCUAUCAUCACUAGAAAUAUAUGAUGUCGCUUCCGAAUGCGUCACCAUUUAUCUACUUUGGUGUCACUUACAAAUACGUCACCAAUUGGUACCCUCUAUGGUGUCAGUGGAGAAGGUGACACUAUGUUGUAGUGACACCCUAUGUUUAUGGUGACUCGCUAUAAAUGUCACCAUAUAUCUUUUUUCUUGUAGUGCAAAUUACUUAUCUUACUAUGCAUUGGGCUUUGAUAUUAGCCAGAGAUAGUAGUGGCUCCUAAUUUUUAUCCUUAACUGAAAUGAAAACGUCAAGCAGGUCCCCACCCUCUUUUUCACCAUUCUUCCACUAUUCUACUAUUUGGUCCAUGAUUGGAUCAUGGUACUUGUUAAUGGUGUUCAUAGCCUCCCUUAUAGUCUUUUCAUGGCCAUCUAAAUUCAGCACUCUCUGCCAUGGGAAGUAAUCAGAUAAAGAGAAUACAUAUAGAUGAGCAAGUAUAGUAAAGAAGGAUUCAACAUGUUGCUCCACUUCAACUCCAAGGCCUCCAUCUUUCUUUCGUUGGCCAAAGUAUCUUGUGUUGAGGAUCAUCUUUCGGAUGACAUUCCCGUUGUAUUGACGGACUUUAUUUCUGUCACACCCCAAAUACUAGGCAACCCAGAACUUGACUCGUGGCCCCAGGUCAAAGGUUUGACCCUAAGAGUUACUCUUAUCCAUGUUGGCAAUCAAUCAAAACACCCUGGAUUUUUUUUCUUUUCAAUAAAGAGUUUAAUCCUAAAUAAAUUUAUUAAGCUAAGAUUUACUAUAACAUAUCAUUUUAUUUUUCCAAAACUAACCAUCACAUUAUCUCCUGUUCACAAGUAUUAAAAAAAAUAAAAUUCCACCAAUCGUCUUCCUACCCAAAAGCUAAAAUAUUUACAAUAAUCUCUAAGUCAAAANNNNNNNNNNNNNNNNNNNNNNNNNNNNNNNNNNNNNNNNNNNNNNNNNNNNNNNNNNNNNNNNNNNNNNNNNNNNNNNNNNNNNNNNNNNNNNNNNNNNNNNNNNNNNNNNNNNNNNNNNNNNNNNNNNNNNNNNNNNNNNNNNNNNNNNNNNNNNNNNNNNNNNNNNNNNNNNNNNNNNNNNNNNNNNNNNNNNNNNNNNNNNNNNNNNNNNNNNNNNNNNNNNNNNNNNNNNNNNNNNNNNNNNNNNNNNNNNNNNNNNNNNNNNNNNNNNNNNNNNNNNNNNNNNNNNNNNNNNNNNNNNNNNNNNNNNNNNNNNNNNNNNNNNNNNNNNNNNNNNNNNNNNNNNNNNNNNNNNNNNNNNNNNNNNNNNNNNNNNNNNNNNNNNNNNNNNNNNNNNNNNNNNNNNNNNNNNNNNNNNNNNNNNNNNNNNNNNNNNNNNNNNNNNNNNNNNNNNNNNNNNNNNNNNNNNNNNNNNNNNNNNNNNNNNNNNNNNNNNNNNNNNNNNNNNNNNNNNNNNNNNNNNNNNNNNNNNNNNNNNNNNNNNNNNNNNNNNNNNNNNNNNNNNNNNNNNNNNNNNNNNNNNNNNNNNNNNNNNNNNNNNNNNNNNNNNNNNNNNNNNNNNNNNNNNNNNNNNNNNNNNNNNNNNNNNNNNNNNNNNNNNNNNNNNNNNNNNNNNNNNNNNNNNNNNNNNNNNNNNNNNNNNNNNNNNNNNNNNNNNNNNNNNNNNNNNNNNNNNNNNNNNNNNNNNNNNNNNNNNNNNNNNNNNNNNNNNNNNNNNNNNNNNNNNNNNNNNNNNNNNNNNNNNNNNNNNNNNNNNNNNNNNNNNNNNNNNNNNNNNNNNNNNNNNNNNNNNNNNNNNNNNNNNNNNNNNNNNNNNNNNNNNNNNNNNNNNNNNNNNNNNNNNNNNNNNNNNNNNNNNNNNNNNNNNNNNNNNNNNNNNNNNNNNNNNNNNNNNNNNNNNNNNNNNNNNNNNNNNNNNNNNNNNNNNNNNNNNNNNNNNNNNNNNNNNNNNNNNNNNNNNNNNNNNNNNNNNNNNNNNNNNNNNNNNNNNNNNNNNNNNNNNNNNNNNNNNNNNNNNNNNNNNNNNNNNNNNNNNNNNNNNNNNNNNNNNNNNNNNNNNNNNNNNNNNNNNNNNNNNNNNNNNNNNNNNNNNNNNNNNNNNNNNNNNNNNNNNNNNNNNNNNNNNNNNNNNNNNNNNNNNNNNNNNNNNNNNNNNNNNNNNNNNNNNNNNNACAAUAUAUAAAUUUUUUUCAAAGAAAAUAUUAAAUCAAAGUUUUAGGGUUAAAUCACCCUACCUUAAAUUUGAAAAAUUUAACCAUUAAAACUAAAACAGGACACCGUAGGAGUGUUCCUCACAUUGAAUAGAAUAUCUGUAGACCCUCAAUUUUGUCCCUUUAGCACAUGUCUUUAAGUUCGUUUUCAGUGUUCCACAGUAGUUCCUUGGUGGCCCAUUGCUACUCAUACUACUUACCCUUUUUUGAGUCACCUCGGAGACUUUGGUUGAGGGAUUAUCUUACCCCUUAUUGUGACCCUUGGCAGCCCUAACUUAGACUUAGGCUUUUCUUGCUUUUUUUUUUUUCGGGAUAGCUUUUAGAUACACUUGACCCAUUAGGCACCACCCUAGGCCCACUUAGAUUCACCUAGGCUCAUUCAGGCACAUCUAGGCCCAUUUAGGUUCACUAGAUCCACUUAGGUAUCUUAGCCCUCCCAUGUCACCGUUGCGGUAAUUCCUACAUGACUUACAUAAUUUGCAUUUUUUUAACACUUGUAUGUACUUGAUUUCCUAUUCAUUUAUUUAUCUACUUAUUUUAUUAACAUUUAGUUAGUUAUUUGUUUUAUUUAUUUAUUUUAUAGAAUAUUGCAUGAGAUUGAUGUCAUUAAUUGCGUAAACUGAUGUAUUAAUUUGUCUGUGUGUAGCUAUGAUAGAUAUAUUGUUUUUGAUUGCAUAUAUUUUUUUUAUUAGUUUUAAUUCUCAAUUUCAUGACCUCUACUGCUUUUAAUUCUUAUUUUAUUUUGGCAUGAGAUUUGAAUGCACACAUUGGAGAAGAUCUUUGACGUACACGGCUGCGUAUAGAAAGUGGGCACAUCACGGCUGAGGCACAUCCAGGAGUAUAUGGAAAGAAGAUUAAAGAGAAUCUAAUUACUUACCAAAUGAGAGAGGGGCUGCAUCCUUGGAAAAUCUCCAAGUAAGCUGCACAUAUGUAGACUUCCCAUAUCCACGCGUAUAACAAAAAAAGGAAGUAAAAUAUUCUACAAGAGUGGGCUGCCAUAUAAAAAAAAGUGGGGAGAAAAAAAGGAUAUGAGGAUUUCGGAAGGAAGGAGGAUUUCGGAAGGAAGGAGGAAGAAGGAGUGACCGGGCAAAAGAGGAUUUUUAUCUGGGGAGUUGUCUUUAGAGGUGAGAGGAAAGCCGGAAGCCCAGCGAUUGCAGGCAAGACUGCCCAAAAUUUAAAAUCCAUUGGGUUUGGAGGAGAGGCACAGAGGAGAGGGGACUUUCAGCACGCAUUGAGAACGGAGUGGAAUCAGAAAAGAGAAGCAAUCUUUGCUUCUUCAGAAAAGUUCUAAGGUAAGUCUACUGAUAUUUUGUUUUGGUUCGUACUCCCAAUUUAUGUUCCUCAUUCUUUUUUUGUGACCUGAGAUGCUAUUUGCUGGUUGGGUUGGAGAUGACAUAAAUUCCAUGUGAAUCUUGCUGAUUUCUCAUAUAUUGUUACAGAUAUUGUUUCAUUCUUUACUAUUUAUUUAUUUAUUUAUUUUUAUCAUUUGAACUCAAUGAGACUCUGUUUUAUGGUGUACUAUUUCAAGAUUUUGGUUGCCCAGAUUCUCUUUACUCCUCCCACCAACCUAAUCUCGUGGAUCGAAAUAUGAAACACGACUUUCUCUAGAUCAUUCUGUUUUCAUCCUUUAUGCUCUCUUUUCUUGGUUGCCUUCUUUUGUUCUUGUGUGUAUUUUCAAGGGAGACGUGCAUCACCAAUUAAUUACGUUAGAGAGGAGCUUUCGAAUACUGCUGAAAUUUGAGACUUAGAACCCAAAUUCGGAAGCAACAAGUUGGAUUGAUGACUCUAAUGAGAAUUUUGUUUCAUGGGAAAAAUGACUUGAUAGUGAUUGAAUAUGGAUUGAUAGGGAAUGGAUACUUCAACACGUUNNNNNNNNNNNNNNNNNNNNNNNNNNNNNNNNNNNNNNNNNNNNNNNNNNNNNNNNNNNNNNNNNNNNNNNNNNNNNNNNNNNNNNNNNNNNNNNNNNNNNNNNNNNNNNNNNNNNNNNNNNNNNNNNNNNNNNNNNNNNNNNNNNNNNNNNNNNNNNNNNNNNNNNNNNNNNNNNNNNNNNNNNNNNNNNNNNNNNNNNNNNNNNNNNNNNNNNNNNNNNNNNNNNNNNNNNNNNNNNNNNNNNNNNNNNNNNNNNNNNNNNNNNNNNNNNNNNNNNNNNNNNNNNNNNNNNNNNNNNNNNNNNNNNNNNNNNNNNNNNNNNNNNNNNNNNNNNNNNNNNNNNNNNNNNNNNNNNNNNNNNNNNNNNNNNNNNNNNNNNNNNNNNNNNNNNNNNNNNNNNNNNNNNNNNNNNNNNNNNNNNNNNNNNNNNNNNNNNNNNNNNNNNNNNNNNNNNNNNNNNNNNNNNNNNNNNNNNNNNNNNNNNNNNNNNNNNNNNNNNNNNNNNNNNNNNNNNNNNNNNNNNNNNNNNNNNNNNNNNNNNNNNNNNNNNNNNNNNNNNNNNNNNNNNNNNNNNNNNNNNNNNNNNNNNNNNNNNNNNNNNNNNNNNNNNNNNNNNNNNNNNNNNNNNNNNNNNNNNNNNNNNNNNNNNNNNNNNNNNNNNNNNNNNNNNNNNNNNNNNNNNNNNNNNNNNNNNNNNNNNNNNNNNNNNNNNNNNNNNNNNNNNNNNNNNNNNNNNNNNNNNNNNNNNNNNNNNNNNNNNNNNNNNNNNNNNNNNNNNNNNNNNNNNNNNNNNNNNNNNNNNNNNNNNNNNNNNNNNNNNNNNNAUCAGAUGAAGGUUCCUAAUCUGAUUUUAAUUGUUCAAGGUGUCUUAAUUGAGGUUUGUUGGAUUCAGUUCGUGGUUAGUUUUCAUGGCUGAUUCCCUACUGAUUCAUGGUUCAGGUUCGAAACCUGGUUUUGAUUUUAGUUGAUUGAAGCUAUUUGACAAUAACCACUGCAAACGACCUGUGGCCGUAAAGUUUGAGAUAUUUCGAUGUCUGUGUGAUGAUGUGAUUGCAGUGGAAGCGCUAAGAUCAGAGCUCAAUAGAAGAUCAUUGGCAGCUGAGCCUGAUAAGGAAUUCAAUCAGAAUGUUUACAUUGAGAUUUGCAAGAAAAGGAAGGCCUGAUGUUAAAACGGAAUGGAUAUCGGAAGACCUGUCACUAAGACAUUUGGCUUUAUCAUUUGUUGGUGAAUCUAUCAUAUAUCCAGAAAUAAACUUACUCAUAGAUGAACUAUGUUAUAAGGCAGACUCGUACCCUUUCUAUGACAAGUGCACAGUUUCCUAAGAAGAUUAGAGAACUACAAUCUGUUACUCAGUCUUACGUCAGUAUAGAUGCUACAACAAAGGACAAAGCUGCCGCCUUGGCUGCUGCUCGCGGUCUUGGACGCAAUGCAAAGAUUGAGUCUGUAAGGCUGCCAAUGUUGACAGUUCUUAAGCUUCAUAGUUGUGAGGGCAUAACUUCAGCUUCCAUGGCUGCAAUAUCGCAUGGUUAUAUGUUGAAGGUAACAACAAGUAGCGUUGAGAUUGGAUCAAGGGAAACUGCAUGGGAGGCGGAUGUUUCUGUCAGCUGUUGCACAGAAAUUGAUAAGACAACUGAAAAUUCAGUGGCGCCUACUCCCACAACUUUGGGAUCCAUAAAUGUCGAAACUAUCCUAUCCAACCAAACCAAGUAUUCUGAUCUUCUAGCACGCUCCUGCCAUGAAGCUCACUGUCAAGACCUUGAAGGGAAGCACAGCAACAGCGAAAGCAACAUCUUCUACAACCGAGAAUACACAUGGUUUCAUGGCUCCUCCCAAGCCUCACAAAAUUCUAAUGGUGGCUGAGAAGCCCAACAGUGCUCUUUCUAUUGCCUCGGCUCUCUCUAGUGGUCAUAUGUCUACUAGGUGUAGUAGUACAGAAGUCCAUGAAUUUAAUGGAACCUUUCGUGGAUCUAAUGCACAAUAUAAGGUAACAACAGACAAGAAAGCUCCAAAGUUGUUGAAUUAAACAAAGAGCAGUCCAUGUUUAUCAGACUUUGAUGGUCAGAAUUGCUCCUCUGCUUCAAACUGCAUAAUCAUAGAAAACUCAGAUAUAGGCUCGGGGAGUUGUGGACCUGCAAUUGAAAAGAGUACAGGGGACCUAGUUAUGGGAAGAAAAUAUUCAUGUACAUCUAUGACAAUGUCUCUCAGAGAUACAGAUAUGUCUUCACACAAUGUCAAUCGUAUAGAGUCCAGCAUUUAUCUAAAUCCUGAUGUUGUAUAUGAAACUAGUGAGGAUUAUGCAGCUAUGUAGCCCAAUAUCAGUGUAGAUGGCUCCCUUAUUUUCGAUUUUUCAAGUCAAUAUGUGCCUGACUGUUUUGAUCUUCAAUUUAUGCCGAGCAGUGAAGAAAUACUGACCAACAUGAAGGAUGAAAAUGAGAAGCUUUCGAACAGAGAAUACAUGCUUAAGCAGUAAGAUGAAUUUAUCUCAAGAUGCAAUAACAAUGAUGUUGUCAAGGCAAUGGAAAUUCAUCGGAAAAUAGAGAAUGCCUCAGUUUUCGAGUCUGAGAAGCUUGGUGUUGCUAUUUCUUAGGAGACAUUUCAGUGAUAAAGUAGAGCAUGCACCGAUUAAGAAAAGGAGCUUUAUAUUUCAGUCUUCAUUACCACCCCCAUGAACUCCUUCUCCUCCCUAUGAGGAUUCAGAACAACUUGUAGAUAGUCAACAUUCUUCCGAGACGACAAAUGAAGAGAUUGGCGAUGGUAAAGACUUCUCUGGUAUUGAGAUGUUCGCAGCAGCUGCUUGCAAUAACAACAUAGGUGAUGAUGUGACGGAAUCAACUACAGAGGAUGGUCCAGUUAUGACAUAUAAAGGAAACAACUCAUCUAUUUCUGCAAUGCCUAUAAAAGAAACUAUGCUGUUGUCUGUGUUGCUAUUACGGUUGAUAACCAGGAUGGUACUAAAGGGGAUAUUUGUAUUGAUAAAAGCAAAACUGCUGGUCUGAUUAAUAAUGAGGAGAAACAAGAAACAGAAACCAAACCAGAAGUUGAUCCUAAAACCACGAGGAAUGAGCCUAUUACAAAGAUAGUUGCUGAUGGAGUACAAUCUGUGUAUAAUGGGAAAGAAGCUAUUGGCAAUGAAGAUCAGGUAGUGGAAAAUGGUGUUGAAUCUACCAUAAGGAAUCCAACACUUGAGUCAGAAUAGUCAGAAAACAAUCUUACACAUGUUAAUGCGCAGGGCGCUGAAUCGGGAAAUGUGGUCUCCUUUAUCAGUUCCUCUGCUUCCAUAAUAAGGAAAAAUAGUACUAAAAAUUCAGAAAAGAACCCUCCAUUUGAAGGACAUGCAAGGCUGAAGUGUUGAAUUAAUUCUAUGGAGAAAUUUCUAUAAUGCGGAAGGACAAAGGCUGCAAAAUAUGUGGGUAUUUCCUGUUCUGGUUGUGAAAUCUGCUAGAAUCAAUGCUUUCAAUGGGAAAGCAAUGGGGACUAUUUCUACCAGCUAGCUAUUCGAAGAUCCAAAAUAUGUUAGGCUUCUUGCAGCUCUCACUCUUGGUCACCUCCCUCAAUAUGAAGGAUUCGCUAGAGCUAGUGGUUUUGUAUCAGCAUGUCGUGCACUGAUAAGCCUGCUUGAAGACCAACCAACAAAAGAAACGAAAUCCAUUACCUAUCAGAAAGACCUGUCUCAAAUCCGUCCAACAGAAGCUGAAUCGGUUGAAACUCGAAUCAUCAUACUUUUCUCCUCUGUUGUGGCUCUCAAGAGGUCUUUAUUUGACACUGGAAGCAAUCCCACUUCUGAAUUUGUAGUUAAGCCCUUUGCUGAGAGAGAAGUGAUUUCUUUUGGUUUGAUUGCACACCUUGAAAGUCAGUGUUUCAGCUGGAGUUAUUAACUCCUGAGCUGCCGAGUGUGAAGGAUGAAACCCACAGAUUUACAAAAAAACUGGGGGCACUUAUUUAACAGCUUGUGAGAGGAGUAAGCGAUCAUAAGAAUCUGAACUCCUCUUGGAGAUGUUUCUCAGGACCAGAAGCUACCCCACUUCCAGCUAUAUUUAUUGGUGAAAAUCUUGAGUCACCCAAUUGCCUACGGAUAGGCAUCCUUGCUUACAGGUAAUCCUGAACAUGGUGUGCAGCUGAAUUAAUAAUCCGUCAUCUGACAAGUCUUGGAGAUGUUCCCUGCUGCUGUUGUGUUCAGAAAGGUCAGAGUGCACAAAGAAGCUUGCUGAAAGUAUCUCAAACAUGCUACAACAAAACAAUCUGUAUACGAAUUUUGAUCAACCUCGGAAAAUGCCAGAAGAGGGCAGAAUGCGUUUUUGGGAUUCAAUGUCAGUGUCACAGCCUCAAUCACACCUCCAGACUCCACCCACAUAAUUGCCACCUUGCCACAUAUCAUACUCCUAAUGUUUUUUUUCCUUUAUUUUGUGAUUAUAUACAUCUUAAAUAUGAAUUUCAAAAUAUUUUUCCAUCAAAAUAACUUUGGUUUUCUUCAAAAUUCCUUAGGAGCUUCUAGAUAUAAAAUCCAAAUUUUAACAUGCUAUUUGUUGCCACUUUCCUUCGGGCAUGCACUAUCUUCUUUGAUUUUUAACUAUUUUCGUGAUUUCCUUGAUUUUCAACAAAGCAUGAAUAAACUUCAUGAUUCCAAAUAAUGGAAUUCGUAGAAUCAAUUCAUGCAAAAUUAAUUAGGGCUUUGGUGGGGGCCCGACAUUCAUGAUAUUCACUUCAAUAUUGUUUGCUUGAUAUCUGAUUGAUUUUUUUUUAUUCUUCUCGAUGAAAUACUUGAAUUCGCUUUAUAUUUAUUGUUGAGAUAUCCUUGUUUCCCAUAGACGUGUGGAUGCUCGCUAAUCAGGUACGCUCUUACCACCCUACAACUCUAAAAUUCUAUGAAUGUGUACGUUAUCAUGAGCCAUAACUAUGUUUGACGCCAUAAUUGAUUGCCUUGAUGCUUGUUUGAUCAUCUUUGAUAAAAUACAUAUUAUGUGUCAUAUUUUCAAGCUAACCUCUCAUGUUUUAUGAUAGCGCUUGAGAAGCCGUUCAGGUACGCACUUCGACUCUCUCUUAUGGUUGGUUUUCCUGUUAGGCAUGCAAUAUUCAAAAUCACCUAGCCUAUUUAGAUACCUAUAACGUACCGAUUAAUUGCCACACUUCCCUUAACUUAGUCAGUAGAGACCUUUAUAGGGCUUAGAGGGGUGCUACCUUUUAAAGGUACCUUCCCAAUAGGUAACCUGAUCCCCGGACCUAGACUCGGGUUUCUCAAAGACAUGCUUUUUCCAAAACUAUGGAGUCACUUUUUAGGGUUUUUCUUUCUUGUUUUAUUUUCCCUUUAAAAUAAAAAUAAAAUAGGUGGCGACUCCAACUUUUUUAAAAUUAAUUUUUCACAAAUAAAAAAGCGAGUCUCGUCGAUUGAGUGGGGACGCACGUGAAAAAUGCGGGUCCACAAUAUCCUUCCAAAAUUUCAUGCGAAAUGGACUUCAUUUGGUAGGUCCACCAGCAUCCUAAAGCUGGCGACCCAUUUUUCCCACUCUUUGCCGACGACUCCCCUACAUCUCUCACUCGAUUUCCUUUCUUCAUUUUCUUUUCUUCUUCUUCUUUUAAACUCUCACGCCAAUUUCACUAUAUAUAUAUAUAUAUAUAUAUAUAUAUAUAUAUGUAUAUGUAUUAUUAAAACAAAUCCUAAAAUACCACGCACAUCCAUUUCUCAAUAAAUUAAAACCAUUAUUCUUAAAUUCACCUUCCGUAAUUAUGAAUUAUACCAAACUUAUGAUUUUCCAUUUCACGAAAAAUACCACCGUAUUCGUAAUUUAAUUUACUACAAGUCUACUCUUCAAAAAGUAUAAUUUGAUUAUAAUUACAUGAAACAUUGUUUUUUUUACUUUAAAAUUCAUUUAAAACAUGAUAUAAUUAACUAUUAACAAAAUUCAAUUCCAUAAAAUAUUAAAAACAUAAAAUAAUUUUUUGGCAAUCAAGAAGUUGAAAUUUGUAAUAAUAACCCUUAACCCGUUAAUUUUACCUAUAUUUAUUUACCAAAAAAAUUUAAAUAAUAUUCUAAAAUUUAAUUCCAUAAAUUAAUUAGUCAUUCAAUUAAUAAAAAUCAAAUUCUCUACCCUUUGGUAUAACUUUUAUUUAAUUUACUUCAUUUUUCAAAUUAUUCAAUCGCAUCAAAAUUUCAAAAGUUAAAUUCACUAAAUUCACAUUUAAUUAAUUUAUCCUUUUGUAUUUUUUUUUUCUAAAUUCGCAUAUCAUAAUUUAAUCUUAAUUUAAUUUUGAUUCAAUUUUGUUUGAUGUUUUCUAAUUUUAUGAGGUUUAAUUUCAAUNNNNNNNNNNNNNNNNNNNNNNNNNNNNNNNNNNNNNNNNNNNNNNNNNNNNNNNNNNNNNNNNNNNNNNNNNNNNNNNNNNNNNNNNNNNNNNNNNNNNNNNNNNNNNNNNNNNNNNNNNNNNNNNNNNNNNNNNNNNNNNNNNNNNNNNNNNNNNNNNNNNNNNNNNNNNNNNNNNNNNNNNNNNNNNNNNNNNNNNNNNNNNNNNNNNNNNNNNNNNNNNNNNNNNNNNNNNNNNNNNNNNNNNNNNNNNNNNNNNNNNNNNNNNNNNNNNNNNNNNNNNNNNNNNNNNNNNNNNNNNNNNNNNNNNNNNNNNNNNNNNNNNNNNNNNNNNNNNNNNNNNNNNNNNNNNNNNNNNNNNNNNNNNNNNNNNNNNNNNNNNNNNNNNNNNNNNNNNNNNNNNNNNNNNNNNNNNNNNNNNNNNNNNNNNNNNNNNNNNNNNNNNNNNNNNNNNNNNNNNNNNNNNNNNNNNNNNNNNNNNNNNNNNNNNNNNNNNNNNNNNNNNNNNNNNNNNNNNNNNNNNNNNNNNNNNNNNNNNNNNNNNNNNNNNNNNNNNNNNNNNNNNNNNNNNNNNNNNNNNNNNNNNNNNNNNNNNNNNNNNNNNNNNNNNNNNNNNNNNNNNNNNNNNNNNNNNNNNNNNNNNNNNNNNNNNNNNNNNNNNNNNNNNNNNNNNNNNNNNNNNNNNNNNNNNNNNNNNNNNNNNNNNNNNNNNNNNNNNNNNNNNNNNNNNNNNNNNNNNNNNNNNNNNNNNNNNNNNNNNNNNNNNNNNNNNNNNNNNNNNNNNNNNNNNNNNNNNNNNNNNNNNNNNNNNNNNNNNNNNNNNNNNNNNNNNNNNNNNNNNNNNNNNNNNNNNNNNNNNNNNNNNNNNNNNNNNNNNNNNNNNNNNNNNNNNNNNNNNNNNNNNNNNNNNNNNNNNNNNNNNNNNNNNNNNNNNNNNNNNNNNNNNNNNNNNNNNNNNNNNNNNNNNNNNNNNNNNNNNNNNNNNNNNNNNNNNNNNNNNNNNNNNNAGGAAGUUGAGAUGAGACAACACAUCAUCUGUGGUAGUAGAAGAAAACAAGGUUGAGUUACUACUACUACUCUCUGCAACAAAACCAUUUACACGUCUUUCAUAGCAAAACCAUGUUUGUCCUAUCUUGGGUCUGGAUGCACAUUUUUAAUAUUGGGGAAAUCAUGCAACCAAAUGUCACACACAAAGAGAGAGAAAAAAAUACGUUUUUUAGAACUUGAAAAGGUAAAGUGGGACAAAAAAUAUUAUCCAUUCUUGAACUCUAAAAGUAAAGUUAUAAAAAGCUUAUUUUUUUUUUUUUUUUUGUUAUGUAUGAUUGCAUGAUUUCCCCCUUUUAAGAUUUUAUCUCAUAAAAUUUUUUUCUAGAAGGUUCAAAUAAGUUUGAUGAAUAUUGUUUAUUUUAGUAAUUUUAAUUUUAUGGGGUACUUAAAACAUUAGAAGUUCACAAAAAGCAACAUUUAUAAGCUACCUAUCUAAAAAGCUUGCCCUAAUCAUUGAAAUCCAAAAUAUAAAGUGACAACACACUUUUUAAAGAAAUUUUCAAAAUAGUUUUUAAAAACACAUUUAUUUAUGAUAUUUUUAAAAUAAAAAUCUCAAAAAUAACUUGUUUAUAUAGCGUUUUAUUAGACAAAUACUUGAUCUUUAUAAGAUCACCCUAAUUAUAGAUUUAUGAACAUGUAACACAACAAUUAUCUAUAUGUAUACUUAGAAUUAUUAUAUUUUAAGUUUUUAACUACAUAGGACAUCAUGAGUUUUUCCACCAUUUAUCUUAUAAUAAGUUUAUUUAAAUAUGAUAAAGGAUAUAUUAUCUCAUUUCUUAUUAUAUCUGAUGCUAUAUAUAUAUAUAUAUAUGUAACAAAUCAAAUACAAUUUAAAGAUUUUAAUUAACCAUCUAUUAGCAACAAAGCAAUCUCUUAAUCUCAUUCAUAAUAUUAGGAUAAUUUAGUAUUUCCUUUUAUAAAACACUAGCAUAUAAAUCAACACAAAUCAUAUUAAGGGUGUAUUUGGUGUUGAUUUUAGGAAGCGUUUUUAGUAUUUCUAAUACUUGAAAGAUAAAAAUUAUCAAGUUUUAGAAAGAUCAAAAGCGCUUUUUAGAGUGACUAUCAAAUACAUGCUAAAUAUUACUUUUGGAUACUUAUAUUUUUAAAUAACUCUUAAAACUUUUAAGGCAAGUCUCUACUAUUUAUAUAAAUCCCCUAUUAUUUUUAAUUUUUAGAAACAAAAAAUAAAGAAUAGAAACUCCAUUUAAACAUCGCCUUAUUAUUUCCUAUUAUAAAAUAACACAAAUCAAUGAAUUAUUUAAAAAUAAAUAAAUAUAAAAUCAAAGUUGAAAGAGAAAAAANNNNNNNNNNNNNNNNNNNNNNNNNNNNNNNNNNNNNNNNNNNNNNNNNNNNNNNNNNNNNNNNNNNNNNNNNNNNNNNNNNNNNNNNNNNNNNNNNNNNNNNNNNNNNNNNNNNNNNNNNNNNNNNNNNNNNNNNNNNNNNNNNNNNNNNNNNNNNNNNNNNNNNNNNNNNNNNNNNNNNNNNNNNNNNNNNNNNNNNNNNNNNNNNNNNNNNNNNNNNNNNNNNNNNNNNNNNNNNNNNNNNNNNNNNNNNNNNNNNNNNNNNNNNNNNNNNNNNNNNNNNNNNNNNNNNNNNNNNNNNNNNNNNNNNNNNNNNNNNNNNNNNNNNNNNNNNNNNNNNNNNNNNNNNNNNNNNNNNNNNNNNNNNNNNNNNNNNNNNNNNNNNNNNNNNNNNNNNNNNNNNNNNNNNNNNNNNNNNNNNNNNNNNNNNNNNNNNNNNNNNNNNNNNNNNNNNNNNNNNNNNNNNNNNNNNNNNNNNNNNNNNNNNNNNNNNNNNNNNNNNNNNNNNNNNNNNNNNNNNNNNNNNNNNNNNNNNNNNNNNNNNNNNNNNNNNNNNNNNNNNNNNNNNNNNNNNNNNNNNNNNNNNNNNNNNNNNNNNNNNNNNNNNNNNNNNNNNNNNNNNNNNNNNNNNNNNNNNNNNNNNNNNNNNNNNNNNNNNNNNNNNNNNNNNNNNNNNNNNNNNNNNNNNNNNNNNNNNNNNNNNNNNNNNNNNNNNNNNNNNNNNNNNNNNNNNNNNNNNNNNNNNNNNNNNNNNNNNNNNNNNNNNNNNNNNNNNNNNNNNNNNNNNNNNNNNNNNNNNNNNNNNNNNNNNNNNNNNNNNNNNNNNNNNNNNNNNNNNNNNNNNNNNNNNNNNNNNNNNNNNNNNNNNNNNNNNNNNNNNNNNNNNNNNNNNNNNNNNNNNNNNNNNNNNNNNNNNNNNNNNNNNNNNNNNNNNNNNNNNNNNNNNNNNNNNNNNNNNNNNNNNNNNNNNNNNNNNNNNNNNNNNNNNNNNNNNNNNNNNNNNNNNNNNNNNNNNNNNNNNNNNNNNNNNNNNNNNNNNNNNNNNNNNNNNNNNNNNNNNNNNNNNNNNNNNNCACAAACAAAAAUAACCUAAAUGUAAAUAUCUAAAAAUGUAUAAAGUUCACAAUAGAUAUUCAAGCCCAAAUUUAAAUUUCAAAUUAGUCCAACAGAUUUCAUCAAUCAAAAUGGGUCCAAAUUAGCAAAUAUAACCCAACAAAAAUAUCUCAUAUGUCAUAGGCCCUAAUUUAAAAUUUUCAAAUUAAUAGCCAAACUAUAAGUUCAAUUAAUCAAACCCAAAACAUGAUAAAUUAAAAUAAAUCUCAUUAGGUCUAAACUUAAUAUCCCAUAAUUCAAUAUAUAAACCUAAAUCCACAAUCAAAAUCAACCCAAUUUAUGCUAAUCCCGAUUUACAAUCAAAAUCAAACAUAAUUUAAUAAGUAAAUAACUAAAUAAAUUAAGCAAACUCAAAACACCCAAACCACUACAACAUAAAUCAAACAAUAAUAAAUAUAAUGACAAUAAUAAUAAUAAUAAUAAUAAUAAUAAUAAUAAUAAUAAUAAUAAUAAUAAUAACAAAAUAAAAUAAAAUAAAAAUAAAAAAUUUAACUCACAUCGGAGCCAGUUUGAAUGUCUUGGGAAAGAAAGAAAAUGAGAGAAAAGUGAGAGAUGAUUGACAACUGACAGUGGCUCACUGGCGGCAACUGGCUAGUGGUCCUACCGAUGGUAGUGAGGAUUGAUUGGUUUUUGGGAAAAAAAAAUAAAAUGAAGAAAAGAAAAUGAGGAGUAAUAAAAAAAAUGGAGAAAUUAGAGGAAUGUGGGAGAAGAAUGGAGAGAGAGAACGUAGAAAAUGAGUGAAAAGAAAUGAGGCUAGUUGGAGGAGAAAGUGGUAGUGUGUGAGCUAAAGUGAAGAAGAAUAGAAGAAGAAAAUGGAGAAGAAUGGGGAAAAAAAAUCCGCCUCCCUAAAUGAAGAGAGGUGGGUAGCCUAAAGAAGAAGAAAAAAAAAUAAAAUAAAAUAAAAUGGGGAGAAAAUGAGAGGGGGUUGGUGGUCUUGUGAAUGAGGUGGUAUGCGUUAGAGAGAGAGAGUGGGUGGGGUUGUUGGGGAAGGUAUGAGAGAGAGAGGAGAGAGAAAAGAAAAAAAAGAAAGAAAAGAAAAAAGAUAAUAUAAAAUAAUAAUAAUAAUAAUAAUAAAAUAAAAUAAUAUACAAAAUAAUAAAAACUAAUAAUUAAAUAGUGAGUGAGCAAAAAAUAUCAUAUGUAAUCGGGAUUUAAUUUUAAGAGUAAAGUUGGGUUAAAAAUUAAUGUAAAAUAAAAUUGAGACAAAUUUUGGGGUAUACAAAUAUGCUGAUUCGACUCAUGGUAGCUCAGCUUUAAAGGCGUAUCAACAAAAUUUAUACCUUGAAUACUAUUACUAAAGUAGCCAAGCUACUAUAGCAUAGUGGCUCUAGGAUCGUUCACUGGGAAGGGUUUUCGCAAACACUAGUGAUAUUCAAAUUAGGAAAAUAGGUGAUUUUUUUUAUGGAUGUUAGCUUUAAAAGAAGAUGUAAAUGUUUUAGAAAGAUUUAAACUAAUCUAAGCUAACAUUAAAGACUAAAAUGAAAGGGUGUAAAAACAAGUUUCUCAAAGAUAGGAUAGCUAUGCUCUGGCUCUUAUGCAAAUUGGAAAUCUCAGGAUAGGCUCCUCGCGUUGGGGUUGCAACUAUGGUGAUGCUUGCUUCCCGAACCGGUAUGGAUUUAGCAAAUCAAGUUUUAAUCCUUUAAAAUGACAAAACAGAUGGUAGUGAAUUUCAUCAAUGGUUAUUCACCUUAGACUUCCUUUGAAUGGCUCGUAAGAGAUAACUAAUGGUCUAAAGCCAAAAGCUUACCAAAUAUUGGCAACUCAAAGUCAUUCCAAGUGAUAAACUCACCUUUCAAUGGCCAUUGAAAUUGGUUCUAACGGAUUAAUGAAAAACUUGGAAUUGAAAACCUUACCUUCCAAUAGCUCGUAGGAGAUAACUAAUGGAUAGAAAUCUAAAAGCUUAUCAAGUAUUGGCCGUUGGAAGUUGUUCAAAGGAAAUAAAAACCAAACUUUGCAUUAAUGAACCUUUAAUGAAAAACGUCUACCUUACCUUCCAGGUGCGAGAAAUUUCCAUGGGAUUGCAUCCAAGCCAUCACAUAACAUCCAUACUUUGAGAAACUAAAAGUUUUAGCCAAUCAUCCUCUAAGGAAAAGCCCUCAGAGGCUAUUUGGCUACUAAGAAAAUAGAAAUGGGAAAGAACAGGAGAAAUGAGAGAGCUCUGUAUCUAUUCUAAGUGUAAAACGUAAUAUAUCUUCUAUAUGAUCCAAGAGGUGAUUUCCACCCCUUAUAUAGUCUUUACAAAAGCAAAAGCUUGUGAUUGGUUAGUUACAAGGAUAAGAAAGGAAAUUACAUCACAAAAUACAAAGGAAAAUAUCUAAAGUGGAGUCGGCAAAAGCAGAGGAAAAUUCGCAACACGCAUGGGUUAUGCGAAUUUUGAAGGUGUUAUGCGAAUUUCGCAUAACACCUUAUGUUAUGCGAAAUUUUCGCAUAACCUGGAGCAGUUGGCUUCCGAAGGCCAUAUCUUCCUCAUUUAAACUCCAAAUCGUGCACGGUUUGAAGCGUUGGAUGAGCUUUGAAAUGGUAUAUAGUAUGUAAAAAAUGGACUUCGGAAAGUGCUCCAAAAGUGCGAAAGAAGACUGCAGCUGCUGUCCUCUGUUUUCCUCUUCUCCAUUGUUCUUUCCUUGCAUACUUUGAACGACUUUGGCAAAGGGCUAUGAAGCUCCAAAGCUUGGUUCUUCAUGAAUUUGAGCUUCCAAAAGCUUUGCCAUAACUUGUCCAAGUAGCUCCUCCAUCAUUUGGCAUGCUUGAAUUGAUUCAUAAGCUGAUAAAAACAUGUAAACUUGCCACAAAAUGGUUAAAACCAAUUACUAAGGACCUUAAUGAAUUAAUUGGGUUAAAUGAAUAUGAUUACUACUCAAAGGUGCUUAAAACCAUUAUAAUUAGGUCUACAAAAUAGCACUUUUUGGUAGUAAUCAUAUGCGCCUCUUCGGUAGAGUCCACGAGUAAAGCAAGUGUAUAUGUGAGCGAAACAAAGUGGGCUCUACUGAAAAACAAGAAAGACCACCAAAUUUGUCUUAAUAUGACAUGAACUCUCCCAAAUAAAAAAUAAAAAUAAAAAUCUAAAACCCUACAAAAAUGGCCAAAACGAAAACUCCUAAGGUGCCUCUAAAGUUAUACUAUGGAUCUAAACUCCCUUAGAAAAGCCUCCAAAAAUGGCCCAAAAAUCGGUGUCAAAAUCGAGUAGCAAUCAGACCACUAAGGAGCACAUCAACAAAUGCAUACAAAGGGAAAAAAACCAUACGUGUACCAUACGAUGACAAAAGGCAUAAGGUAUCCAACAAUAUGACUGAUUCACGUGUUACGAGCUCAAAGAACUUUGUCAUGCACCAUGGAGGAAGGGAAACUCUAGAAUAAUGUGAUGAGGAAGUUAUUAGCACAAUGUAACAAAGUGAGGAAAAAAGUGAUGACUGCAAAGCUGUGAUGACUGCAAAGCUGUGAGGACAAGGUGCACAAUGCUAAUGAAUAUGAAAUGAAUAGCACUAGGCUAUAAUGCAAUGAAUAGCUCAGGGUUGUACCAUAAUGAACAAGUCAAGGAUGUGUAAAGAUGAGGAAUAACUCGAGGUUGUAAUGCAAUGAACAACUUAGGGUUGUGAAUGCAAUGAACAACUCGAGGUUGUGGAUGUAAUGAACAACUCAUGGUCAUGGAUGCAAUGAACAGCUCAGGGCUGUAGAUGAACAACUCAGGGUUGUGGAUGUCAUGAACAACUCAAGAAUAGGGGCACUGUACACCCAAAAUGGGAGAUCACGAUCUACGAUUCCAAGUCAAACCACUAAAGGGUGACCAAAAUGAGGGUGAUCAACUCACUAAAAAAGAUGAUCAAAAUGUCUUAAGGGAGAGGAGAUGCCCCAGAUGAAACUUAAAGGAAAUGAGUAGUGCUAAUGAAACUAAAAAAAGAAAAAAUGUCACAACUGAAAUUGAAAAAAUAGCAAACUUAGAUUAAAGUGCAAUGAACAACUUUGGGAUGUGGAUGUGAUGAAUAGUACCGUGUUGUAAUGAAAUGAAUAACUCUAAGAUAUGGGCAUUGUACGCCUAAAGAGGGAGAUCGUGGUUUACGACUCCAAGUCAAACCACUAAAGGACGACUAAAAUAAGAUGAUCAACUUACUAUAAAUGAGAAUGCAACUAUCUUGAGAAAAAGGGUAUGCCCCAAAUGACACUCAACAGUAAAAGAAUGACACAAAAGAAACUAAUACAAGAGGAUGCCACAAAUGAAACUGAAAUGAUAACAGACUCAGUACUAAUGUGUAAUGAACAACUUUGGACUAUGGAUGCAAUGAAUAGCACUGGGUUGUAAUGAAAUGAACAACUCUAAGAUGUGGGCACUAUACGCCUAAGAAAUGAGAUCAUAGUUUACGACUCUAAGUCAAACCGCUAAAGGGCGACUAGAAUAAGAUAAUCAACUCACUAAAAAUGAGGAUGCAACUAUUUCGAGAAAGGGGGUAUGCCCUAAAUGACACUCAACAGUAUAAGAAUGACAUAAAUGAAACUAAAAUAAGAGGAUGCCACAAAUAAAACUAAAAUGAUAACAAACUCAAAACUAAUGUGCAAUGAAUAACUCUAGGUUGUGGAUGCAAUGAACAACACUGGGCUGUAAUGAAAUGAACAACUCUAAGAUGUGGGCACUAUACGCCUAAAGAGGGAAAUCACGGUCUACGACUCCAAGUCAAACCACUAAAGGGCGACUAGAAUAGGAUGAUCAACUCACUAAAAAUGAGAAUGCAACUAUCUCGAGAAAAGCGGGAUGCCCUAAAUGACACUCAAUAGUUAAAGGAUGACACAAAUGAAACUAAAACGAAAUGAUACUACAAAUGAAAUUGAAAUGAUAACAAACUGAUAACUAAAGUGCAAUGAACAACUCUAGGCCGUGGAUGCAAUGGACAGCUCAAGAAUAGGGGAAUUGUUCGCCCAAAAUGGGAGAUCGUGGUCUGCGACUCUGAGUCAAACCACUAAAGGGUGGCUAAAAUCAAAAUGAUCAACUCACUAAAAAUGAGGAUCUGAACAUCUCAAGAAAGGGGUUAUGCCCCAAAUGAAACUGACAAUAGAGGGAUGCCCUAAAUAGACUGAAGAAAGGAGGAUGCCCUAAACAAACUAACAAAAAAUGGAUGCCCUAAACAAACUGACGGAAGUGAAAUGCCCUAAAUAAACUGACCAAAGAAGAAUGCACUAAACAAACUCCGAGAAAAAAAAAAAGAAGUAUGCGAUAUAGAAUCAAAGACACCUAAAGCAAAAACAAGAAACAAAGAAUGUGGUUUACAACUAGAAACACCCAAAAGAACCUUAAAGAAGUGACUGGGAUAAUGAACUUAAUGAAAAUGGGGUAUGCCACAGUAAAAGACUCGGAAGUAUCAGCAAAUGGGUCAAACGACCAUGAAAUCAAUAGGAGAUAUGAUGAACCCAAAAAGGGCAUAUGCCCUAACAAAAGAACACUAAAAGGGGGUAUGCCUCGAUAUGACGACUCACAAUAAUUAAGAAAUGGAUCGAGCAAUGAGAAAAUCUGCAAAAUAUCUUAUGAACUCAAAGAUGGGGGUAUGCCCCAGUGUAAAAUAGUGACCAACAUAAGACACAGAAUGUCACCAUACAAUACACUCUAGGAUAUGCUCAAUGACAAUGUAAUGAAAACAAUAGCCUCAAUCAACAAAUGUUCAAGCAAGACCAUGCAUCACAUAAACUAAAAUAAUAGGCUAAACAAAUGCUAACCAAGUCUCUCAAUCUAAAAUGUAAGCAAGUCAAGACAUGACAUGUCAACCAUCGACAUGAAAACAUCAUCACAAAUACAUCAACAAACUAAUAGUCCCUACUAUCAUGGAAGAUGUAGAACCUAACGUCCAAAGGCAUGUGAAAACUCAACCGGAAAGCUCAAGACUAGUUUGCAUCCUCCUCUAAUAAAAAGAAUGAGAUAAAGUCAUGUAGGAUGAUGAAAUAGGCAAACUCAAUAUUCGUUAGGCUCUGCCAAGAUGGAUGUAGGUAUAAUAGUGUCAAAGGUAGGAUGUCUAGAUGUCCAACGAAGGAAACUGGGUAUCCAAGUCAAACCAAGUAUGUUGAGGAAACUGAACCCAUAGGACAAUAACUUUAUGAUCCAUUGAAAAUAGCAAUCAUGAAUAGAAGGUCGAGUCUCGAUGUCAAAAUCAACAAGGUGGCAUUGCCCCAGUAUGAAUACAUCUUCUCAAAAUGGGUAAACCCUCAGUGCAAGAUAAUCUCUAGAAAGUAUGUGUCUAGUAUAAACUAUCAUCUCACAAAAUCUAUCACUGAUGAGUGGGCUAUACCCCAGUGUAAGCAUUUCCAAAUCAAACAUCGAUGAGAGGAGUACAACCAAUGAUAAAUAAUAUGAUCAAAACAAAUCUCCACUCCUCAAAGUCAUCAUGGUAACGUGAAGAGAGUAUCUAACCUCAUUUAAAGAAAGAUCAUGUCCCAAUGUGAAAAAUAUCAAGCAAAGUGGUAUGUCUCAACAAAAAUGCACUCUAACAUGAUCAUGCUUAGAUGUAAGCUGGUAUCUUUAAGAUCAAUCACCAAUGAAAGGGUUAUGCCCCAGUAUAGGGCAAUCUCUGAAAUGACUAAAAUCCGCUACAAGCUCUCACAAGUGUCUAUGUCAUGAACUAAUCAUCUCAAAAAAUAAAAUAAAUAAAUAAAUAAAUCUAUCAAUAAUGAUGAGAAGGUUAUGCUCCUAUAAUCACAUCAAGAAAAUCACCUGGUCAUAUCUUGUACUCCAAUGUGAAAGGAAAAUAUGAUCACCUCCAAAGAAUGGCUAUGCCCCAAAAUACAUCAUCGAUUGAGAAAUAUGUCCCUACGUAAAGUACAUCAACUGAAAUAUGUCAAUCAUGCCUCAUGCUCCAAUGUGAAAAAUGACGUAUAAUAUUCUUUGAGGGAUGGUCAUGACUCAAAAUCCAUCAUCAGUUGAGAGAAGUAUGCCCUGACAUAAUGGUCAUCUAAAAAAUCAAUCCUCGACUAAGAAAUGUGUGCCUUGAUGUGAUGUAUCAAGCAAAAUGGCUGCAUACCCCAUAAAAACUCUCUAAGGUGGCUAUGCCCCAAUGUUGGAUCAUACCACAACUCUUGGUCUAUCACAAUCAAAAUGCUCUCCAACCAAUCCCAAGUAUCGCCCACAUGAGAGCUAUCAAACACAAUGUGUGAUGUCAUGGCCUCAAGGUGGUCUUAAGAUUCGGGACGUAACAUAGGCUAGGGUAAUAAGGUGAAGAAAUGAAGGAAAACUAGGCUUAAUAAUCCUAAUGAUAAAACCCCAUACCCUUAUGUAUAAAAUGCAAUAUGUGCAAAGAGUCUCAUAAACCAUGGAUCUAAGGACACCCAAUAUGAAUAUAUCAGUGAGGAAGAAAGAAUCUAAGAUGAAUAUAUCAAUGAUAAAAGAGAAGAAAUGAAGAAUAUCAAACUGUUGAUGGGAUGUAUAAGAAUGAUGUGUGGAAAAUAUUGAACAUGGAAUGUAAAUUGAUAUGAACAAAGAACAAUGUAGGCAAGGCAAAUGCGAUAUCAUGAUAAGAACAAAUAAAUCGAAGAAAAAUGAAUGAACACUAAUCCACUCAAAUCAAGUCAUGGAGAAUAGUCAAAUCACCAACGUAUGUAAUGAUGGAGAAGACAAUGAUUCGAAGUCCCUAGGAAAAUGUCACUUGUUUGUCACACAUAAAAUACAUAACGAGAUAGACACAAAAAUAUGAGAGUCUUUUGAAAGUUCACAUACGAACUUUCAUAAGCAACUAACUCAAUAAAGCAACCUCAAUGACCAAUAUAUACACUCAAUAAAGGAUGACACUGUAUACAUGUGUUUAUUACUUUUUCUUUUUCAUUUUUUUUUUCAUUUUUUUCAUUUUUUUUCUUUUACUCGCACAUACUCUGAAUAUCAAUAAAUGAACUUCUCUGAGAAUACAUAAUGAAAUGGAUAUACUCUCAAACAAUGAUGUAAGCGAACUCUCUCUGACAAGAUGACCCUCUAAAUUAAGGAUUUCCAAACUAACGUCCAUGAGAUACAAGUUGAGGGGGAUAUGACUAUCUUCCCUGCACCAAAAUGUGAAAGAUCAUCACUCAAGGCAUAAAAAAAUGUGAUGAAAAAAAUAAAGAUGAAACAAAAGAUAUAAACAAUGAAGUAUGAUGAAGAAUGAUGUUGGGACAACAAAAAAAUAGUGAAGAAGGUGAGCCAAUAAGUCCACAACUCAUGAAACUCUCGAAUAAAAUAUAUAUACACCAAAAGACCCUUAUCCCGGUGUAAAAUGUGAGCAAGGAUAUAAGAAAGAAAAGACUAUGAUGCUCAUGUGAGGUUCAAAGGGCUAGCAAUGGUCCAAAUAUCAAUAAAGGUAAUAGGGUGUGAGCUAACCAAAAUGAAGGUCACAUAUCCUACGACCAUGGUCUCAAACAUCGUGCUCUUAAGCUUUCAAAUGAUCGAUACUGAAAAUCGAUGUCCAUUUGAUAUAAACACGUCAACUCUUUGGAAUUGUGCGCCAAACCAUACUCCAAAUGCUCCAUAAUAAUCUCAAAGAUAAUCAUCUCAAAGCAAAGUAAAUGGCGAUCUCAUAAGGCACAACUACUCAUCACAAGCCAACUCUCAUCAUGCAAGAUCAAUCUCUAUUUUCAUGGAAAAAUAAGUGACAAUCUCAUCAGGCAAUCGACCAAUCCUCACAUCGUAAACCAACCAAAGAUCAUAAGUCAUUCAUUGCCAUGCAAGAUCAAUCCCAGGCUCAAACUCCUCAUACUCUACCUGGUUGGAUUAGAGAAGAAAUGGGCAAAGCUAGAAAAACUGAAGAUGGAAAGGUCAUAUAAUGGUGUCAAGGGUGAUAUUGUGCAAAACUCACAAUGGAUGGAUGUAGGUCAAAACAAAGUCAAUGUGUGAGAGUGAGUAAGACACUACUCUGAUCAUAAGAAAAUGGGUCACAAUCUCAAACUCCCAAGAUCAACUCUCCGAUCUUAGGCUAAUAAGCUCAACAUCCUCCAUGAUAGGUCAACCCCCAAGAAUGUGCAAAUGAAUAGAUGCCUCAAGUCAAAAGUACAACACAUCAUAUGAUAUAUGGUUCUAUGAUGACAAUCUAAAACUUAAAAUAUGUUAGAAACUCUAAGGUCAUAAAGGUGUCCACUGUGAGAUGACUACAAAUGUGACUAAGGAAUCUUUAUCAAUAAUCCAAAAAAUGAAUGAGGUGUGAAAAACAACACUAUCAUGAGAUCGUUACCCCAUCAAUAACAAAAUAUCUCUAAUUCACUUUCAAUCUAAGCUCUAUAAAGAAAAACAAUAAGGUUAUAAAGGCAAACCUCUCAAAAAUGGUGUGAAUGUGAAAACAUGCCUUCACCUUUCUAUAAUGAAAAUAUCAGGUUGAAAAUAGAAAUAGGCAAAUCGACCAAAGAAUGAAGUACAAAGUCCAUGAUAGGUGAAGAAUGUAAAAAGGUGAACAUGAUCAAUGAACAUAUCCCAAAACAUCAAGCAUAAAGUGACAACAAACAGAAAGAAUGUGUCGACUUAAGGAAAUAAGACUAUCUGAAGCCCCAGGGAGAAAGUGUGCUAGACUUAACGAGCGAUAAGAAGAAACUAAAACUAUAUAGCAAGGGGUGGUCCAACUAAUACUCAAACUUGCAGCAAUAUCUAAGCACUCUCGAUUGGAGACCAAAAGAUGGAGUAUUGGAUCCAUACUGUGACUAAAGCGGCCUCGAAGGCUCUCAGAUGCAGCCACGUGAGGAAAGGAAAUCCUAAUUAAAAAUAUCUAAAGGUUAACCUACAAGGUCAAGGCGGCUCUAAAAAGAAAAAUUGAGUGGACUUUAAAGGAUCCUUAGCAAAAGUGAUCAUACCCUCCGAUGGUAUGCAACCUCCUACACGUCUUGAAAGAUACGGGAUUGAUUCCAUGCAAGGUGGUCAUCACCUCCACACAUGCACUAUCUCAUAUCUUAGAGGGUUUCCUAAUGAUGAAGACUCUUACAUCUCUCAACACUUAGUGUUAAUCUAAGGUGCACAGUGAACGGUGUGGGUUCAUCCGAAAAUCCUAUCAAACUAAGCAAAGAGAAAACACACUGGUCACACAAAUAUCCUGAAAUCUAGCUCUAACCUAUACAAGUCUUCAAAGAUUGGACUCCAAUUAGCAUUAAUGUUUCGACCUUCUCCAGAAUGCUCCCAAACAUAGAUAUAGUCCACCACUAAACCCUACUCCGAAUCACUAGCUCGGUCGAAGAGCAAACAAAGUAACAAGUCUCAUAUCAAAUACGAGAUCAAGGGGAACACGGUCACCCGAGACUAGGGAAUUGGAGAUAAGGGGAUAGAUGUGUGUCCCACAUAGACAAGAAGCAUGCAUCACACAGAAGAAGAAUAGUUAUGCAAUAGACAACCAAGCAAAUAAUAGGUAUAUCAUUCAUAUAUACACACAAGCUAAACAAGAAAUAGGUAUAUAACAAGAAUAAACAAUAUGUUCAGAUAAACAAGAUAAUAUACAAUAAAGAGAAUCAAUCAUGCCAAUAUGAAUGAGAUAUAUAAAAAUGAGAAUAUACAUGUCAAGGAGAGCAAGAUAAUCAUACAACAAGAAGAGUCUUAUGUUAAAGCAAGCAAGAGAAUCAAUUGAUGUAGUCAACAUGUCAAUAUCGCAAAUGAACAUAAUAGCCAAAUAUGCAUCAUAAAGAAAAAAAGGUAAUCAUGCAGCACACAGUCAUACAAAAAAAAUACAGACAAACAUAAGCAAAUAAAUGUAAACACACAUGAUAACAAAAAUCAAUGUAUAGUAAGGCACAUGUAAUAUAUACGUAAAAUAAUCAUCAAGUCAACACUCAUAUACCUUAAAACAUGAAAAUAUACAAUAAAGACACAACGAGAGGGUGUUCACUGAUCGAUUAAUCAAACACUACAUUUCCCUUAACUCGAGUUCAAGUUUGAUCCUUUAAAUAUACUAAGUUUGUGGACCCACAUUUUUCACAUGCGUCCUUACACAACAACGAGACUAAUUUUUUUUAUUUGGUGAAAAUUUGAUUUUUAGAAAAAAGACUUUGAGUCGUCACUUAUUUUUAUUUUUUUUAAGGGAAAACAAAAUAAGAAAGAAAACCUUGUGUGACUCCUUAUUUGAGAAAUACAUGUAUGCAAAAACCAAAUCUGGAUUCGAGGGUCAAGUUACCUAUUGGGAAUGUACGAUGGUGAGCUGUAGCACCUCUCUAAGCUCAUAUACGUACGGUCUCUACUAAACCAAUUAAGAGAAUUGUGGUAAUUAAUUAAUUAGUCAUGGAUAUCAAGAAAAAGAAUUUCACAAAUGAGUACGUACAAAUCAUAAUAAAAAAAAAAAAUCAAAUUAUGAGAAUAGACAAAAUAAAUAACAAGAGAAUUGUGCAAAGUGAUUUAUUAAACUAAAUAAAAAAGAAGAUAUUAAAAAAAUUAAUUUUCAAGAAAUUUCAAAGGAUUUUAUUAAAAUGAUUUUGAAUUCAUGAUUUUAAUUUAUUUAUUUACAAAAAAAAAUGUCAAUUUAUUUUCUUCAAGUAAUUUGAUUCAAUUUCAUUUGUAUUCAAUUUUUUUUUUUUAAAAAAAAAGUUAUUUACACUCAUGGUUGUUAAAAGAAUUAUUAACAAAAUUUCAAGUUGACAAUAAAAAUGAUUUUUACUUGCUUUUACUUGAAAACAAUGAAUUUUUACAAUUUUAUUAACAAAAGCAUUUCAAUUUAAGAAAAGUGACUUAUACAAAUUAUUAAAAAAAUAUAACUUUAUCUGCAAAAGAAUUUUUAAUUAAAAAGAAAAAAUUUAAAUCAUCUAUUUCUAAAAAUGACUUUUAAUCCCAUAUUAAUUAAGGAAAAAAUGAGUUAUUUAAAAAAACAUUUUUUGGACAAUUUGAAUAAAAAUUAAUUUUUGGGACAACUUUGUUUACAAAACAAUUUUUAGACAAUUAUUAUUAAAAACAAAUUUUCAAAUUCUAUUAACAAUAAUUUUUUGGAUUUUUCCAAACACAUUUUUAUGAAUUUUUAUUAAUAAAUUUUUUUUUUAUUAAGAAGAAUAUUGUUUGAGCUAUUAUUUUAUUAAAACAUGUUUAUUGAAUUAUUCUUCUUAUUGAAACAAAAUUUUUAAUUUGUUCGAUAUCCAAUUCUGUACACAACAAGUAAAUAUAUGCAAACAAAUAUUUAUAGAAACUAAUAAAAAUAACUGUACACAACAAGUAAAUAUAUACAAACAAAUAUUUAUAGAAACCAAUAAAAAUAAAACCAAAUAGAAGUGAGAAAUAAAACAUGUACUUAAACAAGCUUACAACAAGCUCAAUGUCUUCCUAUGACUUUCCGAGUCUCACUUUCUUUCAUUAAAUUUUAUGCUCCACGUACCAUAAAUCCGUACUCAACAAAAAAAAUUGUAGAAUUGGCCCAUGCAAAAACAAAAAUAACACAAAUGUAAAUAUCUAAAAAUGUAUAAAGUUCACAAUAGAUAUUCAAGGCCAAAUUCAAAUUUCAAAUUAGUCCAAUAAAUUUCGUCAAUCAAAAUGGGUCCAAAUUAGCAAAUAUAACCCAACAAAAAUAUCUCACAUAUCAUAGGCUUUAAUAUAAAAUUUUCAAAUUAAUAACCAAAAUAUAAGUUCAAUUAAUCAAACCCAAAACAUGAUACAUUAAAGUAAAUCUCAUUAGGCCUAAACUUAAUAUCUCAUAAUUCAAGCCUAAUUUAAUAUAUAAACCUAAAUCCACAAUCAAAAUCAACUCACUUUAUGCUAAUCCCAAUUUACAAUCAAAAUCAAACAUAAUUUAAUAAGUAAAUAACUAAAUAAAUUAAGCAAACUCAAAACUCUCAAACCACUAUUGCAUAAAUCAAACAAUAAUAAAUAUAAUAAAAAUAAAAUAAAAUAAAAUAAAAAUAAAAAAUUUAACUCACGUUGGAGCCAAUUUGAGUGUCGUGGGAAAGAAAGAAAAUGAGAGAAAAGUGGGAGAUGAUUGUUAGCUGGUAGUGGUUCGCCCGCUGCGACUGGUCGAUAGUCCUACCAGCGGUAGUGAGGAUUGAUGAGUUUUGGGGAAAGGAAAAAAAAGAGGAGUAGUAAAAAAAAAAUGAAGAAAUGAGAGGAAGGUGGGAUAAGAGGGGAGAAAGAGAAUUGAGAAAAUAGGGGAAAAGAAAUGAGGCUGGCUGGAGGAGAAAAUGGCAGUGUGUGUGAGCUAAAGUGAAGAAGAAUGAAAGAAGAAGAAAGAGAAAAAUGGGGAAGAAGGAGAAAAAAAUUCGAGCCCCCUAAAUGAAGAAAGGUGAGUAGCCUAAAGAAGAAGAAAAAAUAAAAUAAAAUAAGAAAAAAUGAGGAGAAAAUGAGAGGGCCAAUAGUCUUGGGAAUGGGGUGGUAUGGGUGAGAGAGAGUGGACGGGGUUGUUGGGGAAGGUAUGGGAGAGAGAGGAGAGAUAAAAGAAAGAGAAAAAAAAACAUAAUAAUAAUAAUAAUAAUCAUAAAUAAUAUAUAAAAUAAUAAAAAUUAAUAUUUAAAUGAUGAGUGGGUCCAAAAUGUUAUAUGUAAUUGGGAUUCAAUUUUAAGAGUAAAAUUGGACUAAAAAUUAAUGUAAAAAUAAAAUUGGAACAAAUUUUAGAAUCUACAAAUACAUUCUUUAAUCUUUCCACAACAUCAAUCUGAUCUAAAUGAAAUGCAAUAAAUUCUAAAAAUGAUACAAUCUUUAAUCAAUCCACAACAUCAACCCGAUCAAAACUCAAUGCAAUAUUGCUUAAUGGAGAGAAUCGUAAACUCCUUUUAUGAGAGGAAAACAAAACCCUUAACAGACCUUUAUGAGAGGAAAAUAGGAAAACAUAGAACUAAAAACCCUUAACGUAUUCACGAGAAUAAAAAAUUCUUAACACCUUAAUAAGAGGAAAACAAAGAAUUUGAACAAUCCUUAAUCCAUCAAAAGCUCUUAAUAUGAACGAGGGGAAAACAUAACCUUUAUUUUUCAGAUAGUUGAAUAAAGAAUCUAAAGAGAUAGAAUUUUUAGUUAUUAAGGAUUUUUUUAUAGAUGUCUAUUGAAAGUUUAAGAACUUUUAUGGAUAAGUGUUAAUUAAGAGACUGAAAGGGUACUUAGGAUUUUCAACUAAAAAAGUUAUAACAAUAUGAAUCGUAAGAACUUAAAAACAUCACCCAUCCAUAAGAGGAAUAUGGAAUGAGAGGUUAUUUUUUUACUUAUACAACAAUAAACUUUUUUGGAAGAGGUUUUUCUAAGUACAAAAAGUUGUGAAUAAAAAACCAUUGUUACGAUGAGUUAACUAAAAUAGAAUUAAUUUAGAAAAUAUCAAUAAAGUUGCAUGAAUUAUUAUCAUGAGUUAACUUAAUAAGAAUAAAUAGUAAUGAAGUUAAUGAAGUGAAUUUGGAUUGGCAGAUAUAUUUGAUGAUAAGAUUUUUAUAAUAAUAAUAAAUUAUUAUGGCAGGAAAAAUAGGACAAAAUUGACCUUAUGAUAAGAUUUUUUUUAAUAAUAAAAACAUUAUUAUGGUAUGAAAAAAAGGGACAAAAUUGGCCUUUCCUUAAUUGUAACGAUUAAAUGGAAAUAAUGGGACAUGCGGUGGUUACAAGCCACCCCAAAAGGUAGGAAGAAUCUCCAACCCCCAUUCUCGGCUCCCUUAUCUUUUCCCUUACAACCAAAAAUCAACAACUAUCUUAGAAUGUCCUUCAGUCCACCAAAAUUCAACAACAACAAUUAUACAUUACAAUAAUGAAAACAAAAUUGAUUGAUCACCAGCUAACAUUAGGAGAUUAUAAGAUAAGGAUGUAAUUGCAAUUAUUGAAAUCACUUAAAGAGUAAAAAUUAGGAACAUGCUCACAAUAAAUAAAAUCACCUUAGAAUUAAAAAUUAGGGACAUGAUUAUGAUGACUAAAAUCACUCGAGAACUAAAAUGUUUUAGAGAUACAAUAAUUGAAAUCAACUGAAAAAUAAAUUCGGGAUGUGGUCGCAAUUAAUGUAUAUAUAAACAACCAAAUGUUGAAAGGAAAAACUAAUGAAAUUAAUAUGAUUUUCUUUCUAUGGUUAGAUUUCUCUUGACACCAAACAAAUGUAAGGAAGUUUAUAAAGGAAAAUUAGGUUUUGAUUCACUAAAUUAAAAUAAUAUAGAAAAAAGAUCUUCAAAUUUUAUAUAUCAGUUUUAUUUUUAUUUAUUUAAAAAAAAUUUAAAAUACAUAUAUUUUUUCAUAACUCAAAUAGUCAUUCCUCAAAUGCUAGUUUUACUUGUUAUGUUAAUAACACUAGUUAAUAAUUUUUUAUUGUGAGAAUGAUUUAAGAUUAAUAAAAUAAGAAAUUUUUAAAACUAAAAAAGCAUUUAAAACUUUAAAAUUAAAAAUAUAAAAAUAAAACAAUAAUUUUUCAUUUAGUAAAACACGCUAGUAGAAAAUAUAGAUAUAGAGAAAGAGUUGGAAAUAAAAUAAGAGUUAAUAUUUUAUUUUUAAAAUUUUAUGUUUUUUAUUUUAAUUGUAUUUAAUUUUUAUGUAUUUUAGUUGUAAUUAUAUUUUUAAAUUUUAAAUUUUUAUUUUAUUUUAUUGUUGAUGUAAACUAAUAAAUUUUUUGUUUAAUUAUAUAUAUAUAUUUUUAAAUUAGUGAGUAAAAACUCACUUUUUCUAAUUUAUAAUGUAUUUAUGGGAUUUAAUAAUAUAAGCAAUUUUUUUUUUUUGAGAAAGAGGAAAAAUCAACUUUUCAAUUUCCCUUAAUAAUUAUUAUUAUUAUCCAAUUUGGCUGAUUAUGAGAUUAGUUGGUAUCAUUACUAUAUCCAUUUGUUCUUAACCCUUCAUUAGAAUAGUAUUAGGAGUUGAACGUCAAUUGGAAUAUAGGCUUAUGGAAACAAAUCUAUCCAAGGAGGAAAAUGUCACGAUAUUUCGGCGAUAUAUCGCCGAAAUAUCGUGUAUCGAAGGGUUUAUAUUUUUUCGGUCCGGCGAUAUUUCGGUAUUUAUUGCGAGAAAUCGCCGAUUUCUCGCGAUAUAUCGGUGAUUUUUCAUCACCGAUAUAUCGCGUGGUCAACGCGGGUCAACGAAAGUCAAACCCGCUACAGUGCCCGUCAACGGGUACACCCGCUUACCAUCUGGGCUAAAUUGCCCUUUGAUAUAUAAUAUGCAACAACUAUAUAUAUACUUAAAUUCAUUAUAUAAAGAAAAUAUAAGAAUAUUUUAAAGAGCAAAUUAAUUAUAAUUAUUUUAUAAUUAAAUGCAAUGGUGGUGUUUGUUUUUUUACUUAAUUCUAAAUAGAACCUUAAUACUUAAUAGUAUUAAAUAUUAGGUUGUUUGUUUUUGUAAUAUUUUAUUUCUAUUAAGUAUUAAAAAGUAAAAAAAACCAUUGUGUUAUUUUUUCUAUUUCGAAAAAGCUAUAUAUUUUGGCUUUUUCUAUUUAGUAAAAAGUUUAUAAUAAGUCAUGAAAAAGUAAAAAAACAAACAACCUAAAUUCUAAAACUAAAUGGUUUUCAGCAAAAAGCCAAAAAAACGAACACCACUAAAGUCUUUUAAUUAAUUACCAAAAAUAUAAAAAUUAUAUAAUUUUCUUCAUAAUGUUUUUAAUAUCAUUAAUAAUUAAUUAAAUAUUAAAAAAUUAUAUAUAUAUAUAUAUAUAUAUAUAUCAUUAUUUAUUUUAUAUUGUUUAAUACAAUUGAAUUAAAUGGAUCAUAUUUUAAUACUAAUAUAUAUUUUAAAAUUAGACAUAUUAUAAUCAAAUAUCAUAAUAUUAUGUGUAAUUUAAUAAUAAAUGUACACUUAUAAAAUUCAUAUUUUUAUCGAUGCAUACGAUAUUAUUAUCAAAUAUGAUAAAUCAUGUUAUACAUAUAUCAAAAUUUUUAAUAAAAUAACUUUAAAAUGUCUAUUAUACUUUUAAUUAUAUUAUUAUGAGGUUUUCCUUACAUUUUCAUAAGUUUUUAACAAUUUCAUAAGUUUUCCGAUAUAUUCGAUAUAUCCGUAAAAUCAAAAUACCGAUAUAUCCGUGAUUACCGAUAUUUUCAUCCUUGAAUCUAUCCGAUUAGUAGGUUCUUAUUAUUUUCAAUAUAGACCCCGUAAAAUAAAUAGGGCAGCCCGUCCCUUUUGUCUGGAGGCCAUCCUCCCAACUUAUUAAAGGUGAUAUGAGAUAAGACAGUGACAAAAUUGUCAGUUACUUCCCGACACCUGGCUCUCCACAAGCAAACCCAGUGAUCCAGAAAUUAAUUGGUACCUGGACACGUGACUACCAAACGAUUCGCUCACCCACCAUACCCAUGGCCUCAUGCCCCAUAUAUUUCCACAAACCUAGCUCAAUUUUCAUAGCCACCUUCACUGUCCUACACUCACUAAGCCAUGGCCAUAGAUACAAGCCUCUUGCUUGAGCUUGCUGCAGCAACUCUACUCUUCUUCAUCACCCGCUUCUUCAUUCGUUCUCUCCUUCUCAAAUCUUCCCGGAAGCUCCCUCCUGGCCCCAAAGGGUGGCCGCUCGUCGGCGCUCUUCCUCUUCUAGGUAACAUGCCUCAUGUUGCAUUAGCAAAGAUGGCCAAAAGAUACGGGCCUGUCAUGUUCUUGAAAAUGGGCACUAACAGCAUGGUGGUGGCCUCAACUCCCGGGGCGGCUCGGGCUUUCCUUAAAACGCUAGACAUUAAUUUCUCUAACCGCCCGCCUAAUGCCGGUGCGACACUCUUGGCCUAUCAUGCCCAAGACAUGGUUUUUGCGGAUUAUGGGGCAAGGUGGAAGCUACUGAGAAAGCUAAGCAACUUACACAUGCUUGGUGGGAAGGCUCUUGAGGACUGGUCUCAGGUCCGAGCUGUUGAGCUAGGCCACAUGCUUCGAGCCAUGCUUGAGUUGAGCCAGCGAGCGGAGCCGGUGGUGGUGCCGGAGAUGUUAACUUUUUCCAUGGCCAACAUGAUAGGGCAAGUGAUACUAAGCCGCCGGGUGUUUGAAACAAAAGGGUCGGAGUCAAAUGAGUUCAAGGACAUGGUGGUGGAGCUCAUGACCACUGCUGGGUACUUCAAUAUUGGCGAUUUUAUUCCGUCCAUCGCAUGGCUGGACAUCCAAGGGAUCCAGCGCGGGAUGAAGCAUUUACAUAGGAAGUUCGACCGGUUAUUAACAAAGAUGAUGGAGGAGCACACGGCGUCAGCCCAUGAGCGGAAGGGAAACCCAGAUUUUCUGGACGUAAUCAUGGCAAACCAAGAAAAUUCUACAGGGGAGAAGCUCACUAUUACCAACAUUAAAGCACUCCUCCUGGUAUGCAUAGUUAAAGCUCGUCUUUAAUUUUGUUUUCCGAUAUUUUCUUUCCGGAAACAGCACUUUUAUUGGUUUUAGAUAUGUACGUUUUUAUCAGGUAGCCAUUUUAGGGGCACAUAACUGUUCUUUAUUUUUGGACUUUUUUUUUUCUUUUUCCACUUGCAUGGUUGUUUUCAUAUGCUCAGCUGCAUGGCACAAGAAAAUUGUGAAAAAUGAUUGGUUCUCUGAUCAGACCUUCUGCACCAAAACACACUUCUCUCUAUUUUAUAAAAUCGGUUUACAUGAUUUUUCAACCAGCUUCCUUGAACUUGAACUUUUGCUAGGGCUAAUGCAAAAAAUGAUGGAUCUCAAUUUUCAAUAGCGUUUGAUUACAUAAAUUUCAAGUAUGUGAACAUAUUUUUGUUUCCUUGGCUAGAAUUUAUUUACUGCAGGAACAGACACUUCAUCGAGCGUAAUCGAGUGGUCUCUGGCUGAGAUGUUGAAAAACCCGAGCAUCCUCAAGCGUGCUCACGAAGAAAUGGAUAAAGUGAUUGGAAGGAGCCGGCGGCUCGUGGAGUCUGACUUGCCAAAACUUCCAUACCUACAAGCCAUAUGCAAGGAAAGCUUCCGGAAGCACCCAUCCACCCCAUUGAACCUUCCUCGUGUCUCAACCCAAGCAUGUGAAGUGAACGGCUACUACAUCCCAGAGAACACUAGACUUAGCGUNNNNNNNNNNNNNNNNNNNNNNNNNNNNNNNNNNNNNNNNNNNNNNNNNNNNNNNNNNNNNNNNNNNNNNNNNNNNNNNNNNNNNNNNNNNNNNNNNNNNCAAAAUCCAUCCCUCAUCUCUCUCACAAUUUUCUCUUUACCUCUUCUCUUCUUUCCAGUUUCUUUUUAUUUUAUUUUUCAUGCAGACAGAAUCCCCUUACUUUCCUUUGUUUCUCUCUUUAAAAAUUCUGAUUUUGCCCUAAAAAAAAUUGAUUUUUCUCUUUAAAUAUUUUAAUUUUCCUCCUCCAAAUUCUGAUUUGCCUUUCUAAAAUUUCAGAUCUUCCCAACCCAAAUUAAAUUCCGAUUUCCCCCGGUAAAAUUCUGGAUUUUCUCAUCCAAGAUAGUCAAUUUUUUAUUUUUUUUCAAAAGACAUUAUGGGUGUAUUUUGAAAAAUUGAAAAGGUAAUCAUGCAUGGCCAUGUGAGGAGAGAAGAAAAAGUAAAGUAGAUAAGUUGGCAGACAGCAUUGAUGGGAGAAUAAAAGUUCAAAAAUCAAUAAAAUAAUAUUAGAAUAAAAUAAAGAAAAGAAAUAGUGAGUAAAAAGAAUGUAACAUUCGUAAUCUAAGACAUAUAUAUAUAUAUAUAUAUAUAUGUGGGGAAAUUUAAUUUAUAAAGGAAAAUUGGGUUUUAAUUCACUAAUUUAAGUGAAUAAAAAAAAAGAACUCUAAAUUAUAAAUUAAUUUUAUUUUCAUCAAUUUAAAAAUAUUUUACAAUAUAUAUACUUUUUUAUAACUCAAAUAAUUAUUUCUUGAAAUAAUAUUUUUACUUGUUAUGUUAAUAACACCAAUUAAUAAAUAAAAACUAUAAAAUAUAAAAUAUAAAAAUAAAAUAUUAAUUUUCAUUAGUUAAACACAUGUUGGUAGAAAAUAUAGAUAUCCAAAAAGAGUUGGAAAUACAACAAGAAUCAAUAUUUAUUUUUAAAAUUUUAAGUUUUUUUUAAUUGUAUUUACUUUUUAUAUAUUUUAGCUUUAAUUGUAUUUUUUAUUUGAUGGUUGAUUUUAACUAACAAAUUUUUUUAUUCAAUUUUAUUGAAAAAUAAGAAGAUGGGCUUUAUAUAAUAUAGAAUAUAAAAUCAUUAUUAUUUAAAGGAUAAAAAAAAAUUUUAUUUAUCACGAUUUGAAUAAUUUUUUCACAAUGAUUUGCAUCUUAUAAUAAAAAAUUUAUAAUAUAUUUAUUUGUACUAUACUUUUAUCAAAUUAAAUUGAUCAAUUAAUUUUGGAUUAUUUAUUUAAUAUUAUCAAGUAAAAUGGUAUUUAGAAAAUAAUUAUUUGAGUUAUAAAAAAGUAUAUGUAUUUUAAAAUAUUUUUUAAAUUGAUGAAGAUAAAAUUGAUUUAUAAAAAUUAAAGUUUUUUUUUUUUAAAUUAGUGAAUAAAACCCCCAUUUUUUUUUUAACUUUAUAAUGUAGCCAUGGGAUUUUAUAACAUAAGCAAAUUUUACGUGAAAGAGGAAAAAAAUCAACUUUUCAAUUUCCAAUAAUUAUUAUUAUUAUUAGAAAUAUUUGAUUAAAAAAGAUGAAAUAAUCCCCAAAAUCGGAAAUCUAACCCUUCCUAUGCUUUUUCUAAAAAAGUAAUCCAUUUUUUUUUACAUAAAUACCAUUUUCUAUUUCAAGUAUCCAAUUUGGCUGAUUCUUAAUUAGUUGGCAUCAUUACUAUUCUGUAAUUAGUUAGAAUAGUAUUAGGAGUUGAAGGUCAGUUGGAAUACAGGCUUAUGGAAACAAAUCUAUCCCAUUAGUUGGUUCUUAUUAUUUUUAUUAUUUUCAAUAUAGGAGAUGGGCAGCCGCGCCCUUUUGUCUGGGGGCCAUCCUCCCAACUUAUUAAAGGUGAUAUGAGAUUAAGAUUUUAACACUUCUCCUACCAUCGUCAUGACCUGGCUCUCCACAAGCACACCCAGUGCUGACACGUGACUAACAAACCUUCGCUCAUCUACCAAACCCAUGGCCUCAUGCCUUAUAUAUUUCCACAAACCUAGCUCAAUUUUCAUAGCCACCUUCACUAUCCUAUACUCACUAAGCCAUGGCCAUAGAUACAAGCCUCUUGCUUGAGUUUGCUGCAGCAACUCUACUCUUCUUCAUCACCCGCUUCUUCAUUCGUUCUCUCCUUCCCAAACCUUCCCGGAAGCUCCCCCCUGGCCCCAGAGGGUGGCCGCUCCUCGGCGCUCUUCCUCUUCUAGGUAACAUGCCUCAUGUUGCAUUAGCAAAGAUGGCCAAAAGAUACGGGCCUGUCAUGUUCUUGAAAAUGGGCACUAACAGCAUGGUGGUGGCCUCAACUCCCGAGGCGGCUCGGGCUUUCCUUAAAACGCUAGACAUUAAUUUCUCUAACCGCCCGCCUAAUGCCGGUGCCACACUCUUGGCCUAUCAUGCCCAAGACAUGGUUUUUGCGGAUUAUGGGGCAAGGUGGAAGCUACUGAGAAAGCUAAGCAACUUACACAUGCUUGGUGGGAAGGCUCUUGAGGACUGGUCUCAGGUCCGAGCUGUUGAGCUAGGCCACAUGCUUCGAGCCAUGCUUGAGUUGUGCCAGCGAGCGGAGCCGGUGGUGGUGCCGGAGAUGUUAACUUUUUCCAUGGCCAACAUGAUAGGUCAAGUGAUUCUAAGCCGCCGGGUGUUUGAAACAAAAGGGUCGGAGUCAAAUGAGUUCAAGGACAUGGUGGUGGAGCUCAUGACCAGUGCUGGGUACUUCAAUAUUGGCGAUUUUAUUCCGUCCAUCGCAUGGCUGGACAUCCAAGGGAUCCAGCGCGGGAUGGAGCAUUUACAUAGGAAGUUCGACUGGUUAUUAACAAAGAUGAUGGAGGAGCACACGGCGUCAGCCCAUGAGCGGAAGGGAAACCCAGAUUUUCUGGACGUAAUCAUGGCAAACCAGGAAAAUUCUACAGGGGAGAAGCUCACUAUUACCAACAUUAAAGCACUCCUCCUGGUAUGCAUAGUUAAAGCUCGUCUUUAAUUUUGUUUUCCGAUAUUUUCUUUCCGGAAACAGCACUUUUAUUGCUUUUAGAUAUGUAUGUUUUUAUCAGGUAGCCAUUUUAGGGGCACAUCACUGUUCUUUAUUUGGAUUUUUUUUCUCUUUUUCCACUUGCAUGAUUGUUUUCAUAUGCUCAGCUGCAUGGUACAGGAAAAUUGUGAAAAAUGAUUGGUUCUCUGAUCAGACCUUCUGCACCAAGACACACUUCUCUCUAUUUUAUAAAAUCAAGAACAUUUAUGGUUUACAUGAUUUUUCGAACUUGAACUUUUGCUAGGGCUAAUGCAUGGAUCUCAAUUUUCAAUUGCUUUUGAUUACAUAAAUUUCAAGUAUGUCACCAUAUUUUUGUUUCCUUGGCUAGAAUUUAUUUACUGCAGGAACAGACACUUCAUCAAGCGUAAUCGAGUGGUCUCUGGCUGAGAUGUUGAAAAACCCGAGCAUCCUCAAGCGUGCUCACGAAGAAAUGGAUAAAGUGAUUGGAAGGAGCCGGCGGCUCGUGGAGUCUGACUUGCCAAAACUUCCAUACCUACAAGCCAUAUGCAAGGAAAGCUUCCGGAAGCACCCAUCCACCCCAUUGAACCUUCCUCGUGUCUCAACCCAAGCAUGUGAAGUGAACGGCUACUACAUCCCAGAGAACACUAGACUUAGCGUGAACAUAUGGGCAAUUGGGCGAGACCCUGAUGUCUGGGAAAGCCCGGAAGAAUUCAGGCCAGAAAGGUUUUUAAGUGGAAGAAAUGAAAAAAUUGAUCCUCGUGGAAAUGAUUUUGAGUUGAUCCCGUUUGGGGCUGGACGAAGGAUUUGCGCUGGCACUAGAAUGGGAAUAGUGCUGGUUGAGUACAUUUUAGGGACGUUGGUACAUUCAUUUGACUGGAAAAUGCCGGAUGGAGUUGAGAUCAACAUGGACGAAGCUUUCGGGCUUGCGCUGCAGAAGGCAGUUUCUCUUUCGGCCAUGGUGACACCAAGGCUUCACCAGAGUGCGUAUGCAGUCUGAGCUCAAACCGCUCAGACCAAAACCCAGGCCUCGCUGCUAUAUGGCAUGGAUGCAGUUAAGUAGAAGAUAUUUUGGGAUGUUGUUUUAGUUUCCUGUGGCUUAGUAUAAGAUGUAUUAGCUCAAAGAUGGUCGUUUCAUUCUACCACCAAGCCAUAUGCAUCUAUGCAUAAUCUAUUGAUUUAGGCUCGAUUUGGUUAUAGUUUUUGUUUUUUUGUCUUCCAAAUCAGUAAAUAGUAGGGGUAUUUUUGUCCUAUGUAGUGAUUCUUUUUGUUUGAUUGAUUAUAUUUGGAUCCUUCAAAAAUAUAUGGUCAGAGCCAUCUCCAUCUUUUCACUUCUUGUGCUGCAGAAUGGGAUUGGCUUAGAUCGUUAGUCUAAUGUUAACCCCCUUCAAAUCUAAUUAUUCAUACCCAAUUUUGACACGAAAGAGCCAUUGUCAUGAAAGGGGGACCAGGGACCUCAGCACCCUUGGUCCAUCAUUUUGGUACGAUGCCAACUCUACCACAUAACCACCAUUUAGAUAUCUAUCCUUUUAUUUUUGGCAUGUGAACUUAUAGUGGGUGGCUGACCUUGAAUCCAAUAGUUAUCAUGAUAUAUAUGGCUGAAAUUAAAUCCAAUAGAAUCCAAUAUGUUUUCUUAUAUCUCAAGUUUCAAUCAAAAAAAUAUUUAUGAUUUGUUUUUAUUAAUUUGUGUCUUGUUUUCAAUUUAAUUAAUGAAAAUUUAUUUGAUCAAAAAGUUCAUUACAAACCAAUUUUAAAAAUCUAAUCCUUUAUUAUAUUUUGAUAUCGUUUUGAUAAAAAUGUCUUUAUUAUUAUUAUUAUUAUUAUUUUUUUAUAAAAAUAAAUUUUUUUAUAAAUAUAUUGUAAAUAUUUAAAAUAAUUAAAAAUAUUUAGAUCAAAAAUCGAUUAUUUUUCAAACAAAAAUAUGAAAGUUAUAAAUUUUGUAAAUAUGGGGAAUAUUUAAUCCUUUUAAUCGAUUAUUUCAUUAAUGAAGUGGGUAUAAUGGUGAACGCAGACUUGGUUUUGCUAGGGCAUGCAGAGGUUUUGCAAGAGAGAGAGAUCAUUUCUCGACUCUGAGAAAUCAAUCUCCUUUUGGCCCGGUGGCGGACUCCAAGUAAAGCCUUGAAGGAGCCUUGCUAACAUCCCUGCACACCCACGCCUUCCAGUACUGAAGGAAAUGAAGCGAAGGUUUGGCUCGUUCAACUCUACUGCUUGAACUGUACUAGCAUUCAGAUGCCGCUCUGGAUUGAAAUUUAGCGGUUCUUCCCAGAUUCUAGGGUUCCGGCCCAGCCCCAGACGGCUCAGAAGGACAUGACUGCCUUUGGGGAUAGAGUACCCAGCAACACUAGUCGGAUUCCUGAACUCGUCUAUCCUUUCCAACCACUCCAUCAAUUUCUUCACUGCUUUGCUCAAAAUCCCUGGUUGCUUGAUCAUUGCCUACUCAAUUGCAUUUGAUGGACUAUCGACGCCUGCAAGCAUCAACUCCUGCAAAUUAUGGAAGGAUCAUAAUCUGAUGAUUGAUCAAGUUAUUUGCUGGCUAGGAAAUCAUCAUCAUGCAAUGUAGAUCAAAAGGUAAGCACAACACUACUACAAAAAUAAUUUAUGGUGUCAUUUUUUAAAUAAUGACACCAUAGGGUUUAUAAUUAAUAAAGGUGAUACAUCAUAUGAAAAUUCUUCAAUUAAGGUAGUUAGAUUAUGUUAGUUUUAUAUUUAUAGUGUCAUUUUUUGGGAAGUAACAUCAUAUAAAAUAAAUUUUUUUUUAAGUAUUAUAACUUAAUGAGCCCACUUUUAUAAUUAAUAAUGAGGGAUAAUGUAUAAAAAGCCCAUUGUUUCCACAUGCCACCCAUAAUCCAAAAAAUCUCAGUAUACAAAUCUUAUAUAUAAAACCAUAAUCUUCUUCUACCUUUUCUUUUACUUAUAGUCAACACACUUAUAACCGACAUUUUCCACUUUGUGGACUCCCAAGUUAUCCAAAUUCUCUUAGAUCUAUCAUAUUUUUUUCUUUUAUUAAUAUCAUUAUAUUGAUUGUUUCAGCAUCUUUGUAUUAUGGUUUUUGUGAACUGUGUUUUUUUGAGUUGUAGGGAAGAAAAACUUAGGUUUAAACUUCUAGCAUAGACGAAGAAACUUGUAGAUUAAUUGAUUUUUUAAUAUGAACCAAACACAUGACCAACUUUUGUUGUGUGUAUUUAUGUGAGAAUGAUAGGUACAAAAUUUUGUUGAGAUAUACUGUCCCAUAAUCUUCAUCCCUUCCCUAAAAUGAGAGAGGGGAAAAAAAAAGGGAUGAUUUUUUUUGUGUAUCUAAGUGGGAACGAGAGAUAUAGAAUUUCGUUGUGAUGUAGUGCUGCCACAUGAUCUUUAUCCUCCAUUAAACCUAACAUAUUAAAUCCACUAACUCUCUCCCCAAAAACGAGUAAAAAAAAAAAAGGAAAAAAGUAUGAGUUAAAAAACAAAAACGGAAAAUAUGAUUUUUUUUUAAUGUGUUUCUAAGGAGAAUGAGAGAUACAUAUUUUUGUUAAGUGCAUUGCCACGUGUUCUUCAUCCUCUCCAUUAAGCCUAAUAUAUUAAACCUAAUAGCUCUCUCUUUUAAGCUUUCCAAUGAAGUGCCUACAGUAUCCAACUCAAAAUAAGACAACUUAUGCCCCAUUAGCCAACAACCCAUAUUUUGUGUACAUCUUGAUGAGAUUAUUUUGUGAGAAAAUGUCAUGAAACAAUCCCAAUUUGAUAAUCUAGGCAUGUAUUUGAGUUAAAAAUAAAUUUCUAUUCUAUAGAUCAAAGAAUAAAAUCAUGUUUGAAAAUUAUUUUUAAAAACUUAUUUAGAGCAAAAAUAGUUUUCUAACAUAAAAAUAAUUUUUUAACUGAGAAAAUAUAUUUGAAAUUAUUUGAUAGAAAAUUGGGCAUGUAUUUGACUUAAAAACAAAUUUCUAUUCUAUAGCUCAAAUAAUAAAAUCAUGUUUGAAAAUUAUUCUUAAAAACUUAUUUAGAGCAAAAAUGGUUUUCUAACAUUAAAAUAAUUUUUUAAUUUAGAAAAUAUAUUUGGAAACAUUUGAUAGAAAACUGGGCAUGUACUUGACUUAAAAAUAAAUUAUUAUUCUAUAGAUCAAAGGAUAAAAUCAUGUUUGAAAAAUAUUCUUAAAAACUUAUUUAGAGUAAAAACAGUUUUCUAACAUAAAAAUAAAUUUUUAACUUAGAAAAUAUAUUUGAAAACAUUUGAUAGAAAACUUUUUUUUUUUUAAUGUCAAUAAGUUGUCUUUUUCUUAAUUUAAUUGUAAUCAAUUUGCUUAUACGCAUUUAAAAGUAUAUAUUAUCAUAUUUAGUAAUAUUUUGAUUGUUAGGCAAAUUAUCAUUUUUGAGAGGAAUUUUUGUAGCUCUCAUAAUUAUAAUUGUAUUUUAAUAACCAUUUCCAAUAAAAAAAAAAGAAAAAAAAAGUUAGACAAUUAUCAAAAUCUGAUUUUUAGGAUUUUAAAAAAAUCUACAAGCCAAAACUAUCUAUAAUUUUGAUCAUGUGAGAACACUUCUUUUUUAAUACUUUGAGUUAUUUUGUUUUUUUUCUUAGUAUCUGAAAGUAUAAAAGAAUUUCUCUCAUUAUAUUAUAUAUAUGUGCAUGUGUGUUCUCAUGGUUGUUUAUGUCAUGUCUUAUUAAAGAAUAAAGUGAAAUUUCCUUUGAGUGGAAGGUUUUAGUCCACGCUAGUACACGGUAUGAAUAGUUUGGGUGGGUUGUAUCUAUGGUAAAAAAUAAUAAAAGACACCUUUUGCAAGUCUCCAAGUUGGUUGAGAUACAUGGCAUCAUGUUGACUAAACCUUGACUUUUGCAAGUCUCCUAGUUUCCAACUUUUUUUUCUUCUUUUUUUUAAUAUUAAGGUGUGGGGCCAUGAACUCCUUUCUUUCCUUUUUAAAUAACAAAAAGGAAGAUAAUUUUAUUGUGAGAAGGCUAUUGCUAUCAAUUGUGUUCACGUCGAGAAUUUUUUAAUUUAUGGAGGCCAUAUAUAUAUAUUUAUGUCUAAUUUAGGAGGGUAAUUUGGGUUUGUUUAAUCUAUUCCAUUUAAUCAUACUAUACAAUCAUUUUUUUAUUUGGAUUAUUUUUGUAUUAAAUUUCUUCAACCCAAAUUUUGUUGAAAAGUUACAAUGUAUUAUUAAAAAUAUAACUUGAUAGUUGAUUAUGGAUAUGUGUCAUUUUUAGUAAAAAAAAAAAAUCUAUAACAUUUUAUAUUGAUAAUAUAUUAUUCUUGUAACAGGUUCGAAUAGUAAGCAAGUCAUUAUCAAAGAAGUUAUUGAAAGUGUAAGUGUACGUUUAUUUAUUGCAUGCUCUUAUAUUGUAUCAAUUGUAAGGAAGAUAAAAUUACCUUGUAAAGGUAAUUAAAUCUUUCUAUAUUUUAAAAACUUUUUUCCUAUAUACUAUGCUUUUGAAGCUUGUUUAAUUAAACAUAUUAGUUAUUUGACAAACUUUUCACAAAUGUUUUGUAUACUUAUGUGUUCUAUUUUGUUCCAUAGUUUUAUUGCAUAAUACUAAUGUAUAUUUUUUCACAAACUUUUUACAACUAUUUUGUGUACUAAUGCAUAUUAAGUUUUGUUCUUGCCUAUAUAAGCUACAUUUAGUUAUUUAAAUAUAUCCAAUAUUAUGUUGAAGAAAGAUGUACUUACUUAACUUUUUUUAUUCUUAAUAUUAGCAAGUUUUUCAGUUCUCUUGUCUCGAGAUUGGAUGUCAAAAGAUAGAAGGUCAGUUGAGUAUGAUGAAAGAGUUGAAAACUUUAUCAAUUUUGCAUUAGCACAUUCAAUCAACCAUUCCCCUAUAAAAUGCCCAUGCUUACGUUGUGCAAAUCUUUUAUGUCAAACUCUUCAAGUCAUUAGAGAGCAUUUGUUCUUUAAUGGAAUAGAUUUCAGUUAUCGAGUAUGGUAUAGGCAUGGAGAAAAUGGACCCAGUGGAGGAUUUUCAAAUGUCUCACAACAACAUUAUGACAAAUGCAAGUAUAAUGAUGUUGUUGACACAAUAAUGCUGCACUAGUUAAUUGUAUGAAUGAUCCCUAAGUGUUUGGAAGGUUACUUGAAGACGCAGAAAAACCUUUAUAUCUUGGAUGCAUGAAAUACACAAAAUUGUCAGCAUUGGUAAAACUUUACGACUUAAAAGCACGUUAUGGUUGGUCUGACAAAGGAUUCUCAAAAUUGCUUCAGUUGCUUGAAGAUAUGUUGCCAUUGAAUAAUGAGAUGUCAUUGCCCAUGUAUGAAGCUAAAAAGACUUUCAGUGCACUUGGUAUGGAAUAUCAAAAAAUUCAUGCAUGUUUUAAUGACUGUAUUUGGUAUAGAAACCAGUAUAAGGAUGCUAUUGCAUGCCUAACUUGUGGAAAGUCAAAGUGGAAGAUAAACAAUGAGGGGAAAAAGAUUAAGAAGGGGCUUCCUUCAAAGGUUUGGUGGUAUUUCCCACCAAUCCCUAGAUUCAAAAGGACGUUCCAAUCCUCAAAAACCGCUAAACAUCUUAUGUGGCAUGCCAAGGAUAAAGAAUAUGACGAUAAACUAUGCCACCCAUCAGACUCCUCAGCGUGGAAACUAGUUGACCAUAUGUGGCUUGAUUUUGCUUCUGAACCGAGAACCUUAGACUAGCACUCUCAAAAGAUGGUACAAAUCUUCAUAAGUCUAUAAGCAAUAGACAUAGUUGUUGGCCUGUUAUACUGAUCAUAUACAACCUUCCUCCUUGGUUGUGCAUGAAAAAGAAGUUUAUGAUGCUAUCAUUAUUGAUCUUAGGACCACGACAACCUGGUGAAAAUAUAGAUGUUUUCUUGAGUCCAUUGGUAGAUGACCUUAAAACUUUGUGGGAAAAAAAAGUUGAGACUUAUGAUGCACACUUACUUGAGGUUUUUACUGUAAAGGUCAUCAUUUUAUGGACAAUCAAUUAUUUCCCUACAUAUGGAAACUUGGCCAAUUGCACCGUGAAAGGAUAUUAUGCAUGUCCAAUAUGUGGAGAAGGAAUAUAUUCCCAAAGAUUAAAGUAUGGUAGGAAGAACUUGUAUAUGGGUCAUCGACGAUUUCUUCCACGUAACCAUCCCUAUUGGAGACAAAAGAAGGCAUUCAAUGGUGAACAAGAUUUUAGAAUUCCUCCUAAAAUUUUGAGUGGAGAAGAAAUACUUGAAAAAGUUGAUAUCAUUCCUAUUUCUUGGGGAAAAAGGAAGAUAAAAUCUCUUGAACUGAUGUGAACACAAAUUGUUGGAAAAAAAAGUCCAUAUUUUUUGAGUUAGAAUAUUGGAAAUAUCUUCAUAUCCUUCACAACUUGGAUGUUAUGCACAUCGAAAAGAAUGUAUGUGAGAGUAUUAUUGGUACUUUGUUUAACAUCCUAGGAAAAAAAAAGAUGGACUUAAUGCUCAACUUGACCUAGUUGAAAUGGGUUUAAGGUCUGAACUUUUCCCAAGAGUUGACUUGAAGCGGACCUAUCUCCCCCCUGCAUGUUAUUCACUAUCCAAACAUAUAUGACAAAAAAUUAGUUUGUCAAACAUUGUCUAAUUUGAAGGUCCUUGAGGGGUAUUGCUCAAAUUUUAGAAAUCUUGUUUCCUUAGAGGAAUUGAAGUUAUUUGGUUUAAGAUCCCAUGACUACCAUGCACUUAUGCAACAACUAUUGCUAGUGGCAUUACGUUUUGUUUUGCUAAAGCAUGUGAGAUAUACUAUAUCAAGAUUGUGUAUCUUCUUCAAUCAAUUAUGCACAAAAAUGGUUGAUGUGCCAAAAUUGGAUGAAGUACACAAUGAGUUAGUGGUCACGCUGUGCUUACUUGAAAAGUAUUUUUCACCUUCAUUUUUUGAUAUUAUGCUUCAUCUAGCAGUGCAUUUGAUAAGGGAGGUGUGACUAUGUGGUUCAGUUUACUUUAUGUGGAUCUACCCAUUUGGGAUAUGAAAGUUCUUAAAGAAUUGUUCGCAAUCAUAAUUGGCCUGAAGGAUGCAUUACUAAGUGCUAUUUAGCAGAAAAAGCUAUCGAAUUUUGUAUUGAAUAUUUAUUAAGGACUCAUGCAAUUGGAAUUCCAAAAGUAACAAUUAUGACAACAAAUUUGGUAGACCUAUAAUUGGUGGUCGUUCUACCAUCAUUGAUCAUAAAUCAUGGUUACAAGCAUAUCAUUAUCUAUUAGAGAAUACAACUAUCGUCCAACCAUACACUGAGUAAGAAAAACAUACCUUUAUCUUUUUAUAAUUUCAUAACAUAAUGAUGAAAUCCUAAGUUUGCAUUCCUUGUCUUUAACGUCAUAGGGAACACAUGAAUUAGUUGAGGUCUCAAUACCCUCGACAAUCUAAUAGACAAAUUUGGUUGCAAGAAGAACAUAUGAGUUGUUUUACAUAUUGGCUUAAAGAAAAGGUAAUCUCUUAGUUUUUAGAAAAUUUUUCAAUAUGUUGAAAACAUCACAAGUUUCCAAUAUGUUUUGAUUAUACAUAGGUUGAAGAGGCUAUCCAUAAUGGGCAAGAUAUUCCCGACACACUUAGGUGGUUAGCACAUGGCCCUACUCUCCAGGUAGUCAAAUAUCCUGGAUAUAUCGUUAAUGAGUGUCAUUACCAUAUUAAGAAACGCGAUAUGACAUGCAUAACCCAAAAUAGUGGUGUUAGCAUUUUAGCAAGGACUAUGCAAAUUGCCAGUUCUAAGGAUAAGAACCUAGUUUGUGGUGAACUUUGCUUUUAUGGGGUCAUUAAUGAGAUAUGGAAUCUUGAUUACAACAUGUUCACAAUUCUAAUUUUCAAGUGUGAUUAGGUUGACAACAAGAAUGGUAUAAAAGUUGAUAAACUCAGGUUCACAUUAGUUGACUUCUCCAAAAUAGGUCACAAAUUGGAUCCAUUUAUUUUAGCAUCACAAGCCAAGCAAAUCUUCUAUGUUGAAGAUCAACUUGAUCCUAAAUGGUCAAUAGUUCUCUCAAUUCCUCUAAAAGAUUUCAAGAACAUAGAAGGACUAGAUGACUUCACCGAUAAUUGCAUGGAACAUCACCCCUUUAUAAGUUCAAUGCCAGAAUUUGAAUCAUUUGAUGCUAUGGAUGAAUCAUAGGCAAUACACAUGAGAGAAAACUGUGAGGGCAUAUGGAUUGAAAAUAAUUAGAUAACAUAUUGUACCCUUGAAUGAGAUAUAAUAAGGCAUUUCACUUAUUAGUUUUCAUGAGUUGCACAUUAACUUAGCUUCUAUAUAUUGCUCAUGAUAUAUCUAUAUAUUUUAAUCAUCCUAAAUUUCUUUCAUGCAUCAUAAACAUAUGUUAUUCAAAGGUACCACUUCAAUCUUCAUUCAACUAUCGUUUUGUUGUCCAUAGAACUAGAUUUAUAUUAUUUUUUAUUAUCAUGUUUUGAUUUUAUGCUCACAUAACUUGAAAUUCUCAUUCCUAAAUUUCUUUUUCAUUAAAACUAUAAAUCAUAAUUGAAACUAUGCACUAAUUUAUUUUAUUAUUAUCCUCACAAAUAAAUUCUUCAUUAUUGAUAAGAAAUCAAAAAACAAGACAAAUUUUGAAAGAAAAUUUCAAAAAAUAUAUUUGUGAAUGACCAAUUUAAUUAUAGAAAAUAUAUGCAAGGCUAUACUAAUCUUGCUUUUGAGUCAUUUUAUAGGUUUGUUGGUGAAGUACUAGUUUGCACAUUUACUUGAUAUCUUCCGCACAAAUAUGGAUCUAGAAGAAGGGGAAAUGCUAAAAAUAAAGCAUAAAGGUAGUGCAUUGAAACCAAAGAUUGCAAAAAAUCGAAGUAAAGGGAUAAAGCUCAAGAUUGAAUACAAUAGCCUUAGUAGUCACAUUGAGGAAAAUUCAGUUGAACUAAGUAGUUAUCUUAGUACAAUAACUAGAACCCAUGUGCCAAUAAUUAUUGAGAGUUGGGGGAAAGUGCCUAAAGAGACUAAGGAGAAGUUGUGGGAUUUGAUCACGGUAAGCCUAUCUAUAACUUUAAUAUAUAAUUAUUGUAUACAUUCAUUAACAUGAGCUAACAUGGGUUGCUAUUUUGUAGACAAGCUUUAAUGUGAAUAAAAAAUCCAAGAGGAAUUGUUUCAUACUAAUGGGCAUCAGGUUUCGAACCUUUAAGUACAAGUUGACAAAGAAAUAUAUAUUGUCUUUCAAGAAUGACUAAAAAAGCUGAAAAAGUCACCUCCUAUUUACCCAUUCAUACAAGAGGAUCAUUGAAGACAGUUUGUUAAAGAUAGACUUUUAGAACAUUUUAAUGUUAAGCAUUAUUUUUAUUACAUCUUCAAUUUUCACAUUUACGUAGUUUCAUUAUGUACUAAUUUUGUGUCUAUAUUUUGUAGGAAUAUCGCAAAGUUCAGAAAUCAAGAAGAGAUAAACACAUUUACAAUCAUUAUCUUGGAAGAAAAUGAUAUGCACGUUUUGAGCAUGAUAUAGUAAGUUAUCAAUAUCCAUAAAAAAAAAAAUGGAGUAUAUAUUUUGUUUAUAGGAAAAUGAUUCUAGUUUUUAAAUAUCAUUUAUUAACUUGAUCAUAUUGAACUAAUGAGUUUUAUUGUUAAAAAUUUUAUAGCUACAAGCAGAAGGGGCUAUUGGUAGGGUUGAUAGAAGUGUUUAUGAAAGAAAACACGUGAGAAGAAAGGAAAGUUUAAUAAGAUUACAAAGCCAAUGAUUAACUAAGUUAGCAUAUUUAUGCCUUUUAGAGCCUAUAGUGUUAGUAUGUCUAUGUGAUUAGGGUUUGUGAUGAUAUCGUUAGGUGUUAAUAGGGAAGAGGCUUAAUGCUAUCAUUUUUAUGAGUAGUCAUGUUAUAUUAGUGCAAAUAUAGUAGCCUAAUUUGAAAAUUAAUUUUGAAACAAUAUACAUUAAUUUAUCUAUUAUCAUUUUUAUUAAAACAAUUCAUUUUAUAGCUACCUUGAAUUGGUUGUCUUUGAUUGAUAUGUUAAUCAUCUUCAUCAAAUUAUUACUAAUAUAUGUUUUGUUAUAGGAUGAAUUACUAGAAAAGGCAAGGAGACUGGACUACCUCCACCUGGUCCAAACGACAUAUUAUGUCAGGCAUUGGGUAAGCUUGAUCAUCUAGGACGUGUGGUAGGUCAAGACCGCUUGGUUAGGCCGAACUCAUACUUUCGUCAACCAUUUGAUGACAUGAAAAAAAAAAUCAAAGAAGAAAUAUGGGAAGUGGUGUGAAAGGGGAUGCAAGAUGCUGUAACAAGACAAACUAUGUCUCCUCCCACACCCCAUUCUGAUAUAGGUAGUAAUAACAUGAGACAACAACUUGUUUUACAACUAGUUGUAGCAAAAAAAACCAAUGUUUAAAAUGAUGGAAGAGCCCCAACCACCAGAACCACCACUGAAACGUAAGGUAUACAUUUAUUUACUAAUAAUACAAGAUUAAUAUAAGUGAUAUAUAGCCUAUGUAAAUGAUAUUAUUUGUUGUAUUAAAGGUGAUUAAAUAUAAAUUAGCAGUGGAAUGAAAAUGAAAUGUUGUUGCAACCGGUACAUUAAUAGAAGAAAAUUGAUCAAAUGGGUUGGUCAUAAUAAAUGUUGCACACAAGCUAGAUGCUAGACUCCCAUUUCCAAAUCCAUAUGAGAUUAUCAAUGUUGGGGAUGCUAUUGACUUUAAGCUUGACUGGCCAACAAACCUUGUCAUACUUGAAACUAAACAUCCUCGGGUAUGUCAUUUUAUACUUGUAGUAAAUUUGAUUGUAACUUGGUAUUUUAUUGUUUGGGAGUAUAUAUUACUAACAUUCCUUCAUUUUUCAUAGGUGUUGGAUAAAGGAAAGAAGUAGAUAGUGAAUGCACCAAUUAUUCGAAAAUCUAAGCCUCAAAAUUAUUCGGUCAUUAAAAAUUUUUAGAAAUUUAUGGGUGGUUGUCUUAGUAAUGAGAAGACAUACCCAAUACAGCUCCCCAUUUCACUAUUUGGUGUCGAAUUCCAAACAUAUAUAUCUAGAGAGGAUUGUGAAUACAUUAUUUCAUCUUUAGAGGUGUCAUCAAAAUGCAUCUCCUUCCAUUUAUGGUGUGCACCUUUUAUUUUCAUUUGUUUUUAUUUUUUUAAUAUGAGUUGCCCAUGUUGAACAAGAUUGGAUAGGACUAAUGAUAAUUUUCUUUUGGUGUUUUGAUAAUAUAAUAGGUACAUGCAUGAUCAACUACAUAUUGCCAAAAAGGAAUCACAAUUUAUAUUUGUUAAUCCUUUUACAAUAUCAUGAGCACGCUUUAGUAAUCCUCAAACAGAGAAAAGAACACAAUUGUUGUCAAAACACUUAAUAGAGUGCCAAGAUGUCGGAUAUGUUUUCAUGCCCUACAACCCCGAGUAACUGACGAAUAUUAUGCUUUAAUUUGAGGUUUUAUGAUUGAUUUAUAUUUCUAAUUAGAUGCUACUUUUGUUUUUAAUGUUUUAGCUUUCAUUGGGUCUUGGUAGUGAUUGAGCCAAGGAAAACGAUAGUCCACUAUCUUGACCCUGUGCAUCACAAACCAUUUGAGGACUUAAAGGAUAUCGUAAACAUGUAAGUUCUUCCUAUUAUUUUUCAUAGUAUUAUUUAAAAAAAAAAUUACAUUCACCUCAAACACAUUUUUUAUUGUUAUUUCUAUAUAUUAAAACAUAUAACAUUUACCUAUUUUAAAAUUGUACCCAUUGAACUUAUUUACAUAGGGCUCUUUAAAUAUUUGCAAAGAAAACAUCUAAAAGAGAGCCAUCUUGGAAACUAGUGCAAGUGACAUCCAAAAUUUUUCUUUACACAUUUAGCUUAUGCAUUUGCACCAUUUAUAUGUAUGAGUACUAAUGUUAUUUAUAACUGAUCACUUAGUGUCCAAGACAAGAAGGAGGGUUCGAAUGUGGCUACUUUGUUAUGAAAUUCAUUAAAGAGAUAAUUUUUUAUCCUACAAUGAUUGCUUCAAAGGUAUUACUUAUUUAAUGAAUUGUACAUAUUUUUAGGCUUCCAAAUGUUAUGCAUUUUAAUGUUAUUUUGUUAUUUGAUUUCAGUUUGGUGAUAAAAAAAACAUAUUCUCAAGUAGAAUUCAAUGAAAUUAGAGGGGAAUUGACUACUUUUGUGCUACAACUAAUCAUGAAUCAUGUUGAUGCAUCAUGAUCACCAUGCAUGGUGAGUCCCUUAGCUACUACAUGAAUUUUUCCAUAGAUAUUGUAUAGUAUUGCUUUUCUUUGAACAAUGUUUUUAUUUGAAAAAAGAAAAAAAAAGUUCUUAGAUUUGUUCAUUUAUGAUAACAUCGAUCCAUAUUUAUUUUCUUCAAUGAAAUCUAUAAAACUCAUUAAACUAUGAAAUGCAGGUAUACACUCUUAGGAGGGUGGAAUAGAGAAUAAAAAGAACAAAGAAGGCAACCAGAUUUUGGGUUUUUAAAUGCAGCUCGUAUGUCAUACGUCGUAGGACAUAAACGUUACUUUAAUUGGUAGUGAGAAUUUUAGAUUUUUAGAUGCUACUUUUAUGUCAUUUUAUAGUUAGUCGGUUUUAUGCUUAUGAAAUGAAGGUAUACAUGAAUCUUGGGAUGCUUAACAUUUCUAAAUCAUGUUUUGGUAUGUAUUCACUUUUCUUUUUCAGUUUUGGUGGGUUUGAUAUGUUUGAUGUACUAUCUUUUUGUGAACAUUUGAUAUACAAAUAUUAUUAGAUGAUCAAUGUAUUACGAGUUAUUCCAUAAACAUUACCGAAAAAUGAGUUAAAUGUAAUAUGAUUGUUAUAUUUAUGGACAAAAUAUACACAAGUUAAUCCUAUUUGUUAAUUCAUAAGCAUUACAAAAAUCUACAACUAAAAGAAAUCAUAUCUUCCAUGAUAAUUUACAAUGAUGUGACACCAUAACUCAAAGGUGAUGCAUUUAAUGUGACAUCAUAACUCAAAGAUCACGCAUAUAAUGCGACAUCCUAUCAUCACUAGAAAUAUAUGAUGUCACUUCCGAAUGCGUCACCAUUUAUCUACUUUGGUGUCACUUACAAAUACGUCACCAAUUGGUACCCUCUAUGGUGUCAGUAGAGAAGGUGACACUAUGUUGUAGUGACACCCUAUGUUUAUGGUGACUCGCUAUAAAUGUCACCAUAUAUCUUUUUUCUUGUAGUGCAAAUUACUUAUCUUACUAUGCAUUGGGCUUUGAUAUUAGCCAGAGAUAGUAGUGGCUCCUAAUUUUUAUCCUUAACUGAAAUGAAAACGCCAAGCAGGUCCCCACCCUCUUUUUCACCAUUCUUCCACUAUUCUACUAUUUGGUCCAUGAUUGGAUCAUGGUACUUGUUAAUGGUGUUCAUAGCCUCCCUUAUAGUCUUUUCAUGGCCAUCUAAAUUCAGCACUCUCUGCCAUGGGAAGUAAUCAGAUAAAGAGAAUACAUAUAGAUGAGCAAGUAUAGUAAAGAAGGAUUCAACAUGUUGCUCCACUUCAACUCCAAGGCCUCCAUCUUUCUUUCGUUGGCCAAAGUAUCUUGUGUUGAGGAUCAUCUUUCGGAUGACAUUCCCGUUGUAUUGACGGACUUUAUUUCUGUCACACCCCAAAUACUAGGCAACCCAGAACUUGACUCGUGGCCCCAGGUCAAAGGUUUGACCCUAAGAGUUACUCUUAUCCAUGUUGGCAAUCAAUCAAAACACCCUGGAUUUUUUUUCUUUUCAAUAAAGAGUUUAAUCCUAAAUAAAUUUAUUAAGCUAAGAUUUACUAUAACAUAUCAUUUUAUUUUUCCAAAACUAACCAUCACAUUAUCUCCUGUUCACAAGUAUUAAAAAAAAUAAAAUUCCACCAAUCGUCUUCCUACCCAAAAGCUAAAAUAUUUACAAUAAUCUCUAAGUCAAAAAGAAUAUUUCCAAAAAUGUUUUCCAAACUAAUAAAAUAUAAUUUAACUUAAAAAAUUCCAUAUAACUCAAAUUAGUAGAUGUCAAAAAGGUAAUUAAAAAAAAAACAACAACCAUUAUUAUGGUUUUUUUGCUUUUUAGAACACUUCAUGAUCUUCUUAUGGUCCCUUAGAAACUAUAUCUGCAUCUAAAAAUUUUAGAAAAUAAAGGGAUGCACAUUUCCACGUUACUCUUUAGACCUAAAUAGGUUAGAAAUUCUAGGUCAAUAAAACACAACCAUAUGCCAAAAUAUAAUAUUACAUUUACAUUAUACACACUAAAAGAAACUUCAACCAUACAAAUUUAAAUCAAUCAAAAUUAUCAUUUUCCUUAUUUAAUCAUAUGUUUAGCAUAUCAAUAAUUUUAAAUUACAAAAUAAAUAAGUCACUUUAGUCUUGAAUAAUAUAUUCAAACAUACACUUGAUAAAUAAUACAAAUCAUUUUUCCAAAUGCAACCAUGAUACAAAUGCUUACACACAAUCACGCAAUGCAAUAUCGUUCUCGGGCUUUCACCGAAGGAUAUGCAUUUAUACCCAAAUACACUCCCCAUUCGGAGUCUUCCUGGGGUAAAAUUUUGAGUCUUUCACCUUAAGGAUCUCACUCCCUUCUUAACUCACCAUCUCUAGGGUCAUUCAAUUUCUUAUUUUUCUUUUCUUUUCAUUUUUGGUGUCUUUUCAUUCUCAUUUCCGUUUCACACAACCAUUUCUUUAAUUUUUCUUUUUCUUCACACAAUCAGGAUGCAUAUGAAAUGCAACUGAAUCAUAUUUUAACAUCCAUAAUUUUCCAAGACAUAAUUUUAUUUACUCCCAUUAUGUUUCAUAAUUUCCAAUAAUCCACACAACGAUUUUUCUUCACUUUAAUCGUCACAAACAUAAAAGAAAAUUCACAAUUAAUUUGUAUAGCAUCAAAACAUAGUUUUAAACAUUGACCACAUAAAUUCUAUUUAUUCCUGACAUGCUUAAUAAUUUCCAAAUCCAAUAUAACCAUUUUUUUUUCAAUUAAAUAAUCACACAUAUCCAAGAAAAUUCUCGCUAAUACAAAUAUCAAUGAAAAUGUAAUUUAUGUCAUAAUUUAUUUGUCUCCAAUAAUUUCAAAAAUUUUGACACCCAUAUGACAAAUUUCUACAAUUAAGCCACCCCAACAUUUGGGAAAAAUUUUCCAAUAAUUCAAAUAUCAACAAAAACCCAAUUUAUAUCAUCAUUUUAUUUAUUUUUAAAAGCAUUAAUAAUUUUAAUAAUCAAUACAACACUUUUCCACAAUUAAGCCACCACAACAUUCUAGGAAAAUUUUCCAAUAAUUCAAAUAUUAACAAAACAUAAUUAUACCUUAAAUUUUCUUAUCUCCAACAACAUCAAUAAUUCUUAGUACUCAAUACAACUAUUUUUAUUUUUUCAUAUUUAAUCUUCUCAAACAUUACCAAAAUUCCAAGAAAAAUCUAUAAAUCACGAAAUAAAAUUAUUCACAAUAAUAAUCACACUUCAAAUACUAAAAAUAACAUCUAUUAUAUUUCAACAACACAAUAUAUAAAUUUUUUUCAAAGAAAAUAUUAAAUCAAAGUUUUAGGGUUAAAUCACCCUACCUUAAAUUUGAAAAAUUUAACCAUUAAAACUAAAACAGGACACCGUAGGAGUGUUCCUCACAUUGAAUAGAAUAUCUGUAGACCCUCAAUUUUGUCCCUUUAGCACAUGUCUUUAAGUUCGUUUUCAGUGUUCCACAGUAGUUCCUUGGUGGCCCAUUGCUACUCAUACUACUUACCCUUUUUUGAGUCACCUCGGAGACUUUGGUUGAGGGAUUAUCUUACCCCUUAUUGUGACCCUUGGCAGCCCUAACUUAGACUUAGGCUUUUCUUGCUUUUUUUUUUUCGGGAUAGCUUUUAGAUACACUUGACCCAUUAGGCACCACCCUAGGCCCACUUAGAUUCACCUAGGCUCAUUCAGGCACAUCUAGGCCCAUUUAGGUUCACUAGAUCCACUUAGGUAUCUUAGCCCUCCCAUGUCAUCGUUGCGGUAAUUCCUACAUGACUUACAUAAUUUGCAUUUUUUUAACACUUGUAUGUACUUGAUUUCCUAUUCAUUUAUUUAUCUACUUAUUUUAUUAACAUUUAGUUAGUUAUUUGUUUUAUUUAUUUAUUUUAUAGAAUAUUGCAUGAGAUUGAUGUCAUUAAUUGCGUAAACUGAUGUAUUAAUUUGUCUGUGUGUAGCUAUGAUAGAUAUAUUGUUUUUGAUUGCAUAUAUUUUUUUAUUAGUUUUAAUUCUCAAUUUCAUGACCUCUACUGCUUUUAAUUCUUAUUUUAUUUUGGCAUGAGAUUUGAAUGCACACAUUGGAGAAGAUCUUUGACGUACACGGCUGCGUAUAGAAAGUGGGCACAUCACGGCUGAGGCACAUCCAGGAGUAUAUGGAAAGAAGAUUAAAGAGAAUCUAAUUACUUACCAAAUGAGAGAGGGGCUGCAUCCUUGGAAAAUCUCCAAGUAAGCUGCACAUAUGUAGACUUCCCAUAUCCACGCGUAUAACAAAAAAAGGAAGUAAAAUAUUCUACAAGAGUGGGCUGCCAUAUAAAAAAAAGUGGGGAGAAAAAAAGGAUAGGAGGAUUUCGGAAGGAAGGAGGAAGAAGGAGUGACCGGGCAAAAGAGGAUUUUUAUCUGGGGAAUUGUCUUUAGAGGUGAGAGGAAAGCCGGAAGCCCAGCGAUUGCAGGCAAGGCUGCCCAAAAUUUAAAAUCCAUUGGGUUUGGAGGAGAGGCACAGAGGAGAGGGGACUUUCAGCACGCAUUGAGAACGGAGUGGAAUCAGAAAAGAGAAGCAAUCUUUGCUUCUUCAGAAAAGUUCUAAGGUAAGUCUACUGAUAUUUUGUUUUGGUUCGUACUCCCAAUUUAUGUUCCUCAUUCUUUUUUUGUGACCUGAGACGCUAUUUGCUGGUUGGGUUGGAGAUGACAUAAAUUCCAUGUGAAUCUUGCUGAUUUCUCAUAUAUUGUUACAGAUAUUGUUUCAUUCUUUACUAUUUAUUUAUUUAUUUAUUUUUAUCAUUUGAACUCAAUGAGACUCUGUUUUAUGGUGUACUAUUUCAAGAUUUUGGUUGCCCAGAUUCUCUUUACUCCUCCCACCAACCUAAUCUCGUGGAUCGAAAUAUGAAACACGACUUUCUCUAGAUCAUUCUGUUUUCAUCCUUUAUGCUCUCUUUUCUUGGUUGCCUUCUUUUGUUCUUGUGUGUAUUUUCAAGGGAGACGUGCAUCACCAAUUAAUUACGUUAGAGAGGAGCUUUCGAAUACUGCUGAAAUUUGAGACUUAGAACCCAAAUUCGGAAGCAACAAGUUGGAUUGAUGACUCUAAUGAGAAUUUUGUUUCAUGGGAAAAAUGACUUGAUAGUGAUUGAAUAUGGAUUGAUAGGGAAUGGAUACUUCAACACGUUCUACGGUGGAUUACAAGUUUGGUUCCCCUUUAGGGAAUGCAUGUCCAAGACAGGGGAGAGCAAAAUUUUGUGUUUAUGACAUCCCAGGAGCAGUCGGGAUGGCUAAGACCUUGUUGAUGGAUCUCAGUUGCUGUUCUAAAUAAUCCGAAUUCAAGCCUGUGGAAUUUAAGCAGUGUUAUUGAGAGUUUGAGACUAUGGAACAACUACAGCUGAUCCAGCUUAUUUUGCAUCAUUUUGCUCUAACGUCAACUUGAAUCCAAGGCUUCCUCCACCUCUUAUUUAACGGGAGAAUCAAUGCCUGUUCCCUAUCCACUGACAAAGAGGAGUCUGACGACGAUAGGCCAUCCCGAAAAAUCUCAGAUGAUUGACCAGAAAGCAGCAGUGCAGUUAUGCCCAGACAGAGGACAGUUUCUUCAGCAGAUCGUCAUAAAAGUUUAGUUGAUCUGAUACAAAAGGACUUCCCCCGCACCUCAUCACUUGCAUAUAAUCAGUUUCCUUCCUCAAGCUAUGCAGCAAUGGAGGAACUAUUUAAUCGCAUUACCUCUACCUAAAGAUCCCUCAAGGAAUGAGCCAUCCUUAUAAUGACAUGGAAAAGCUUCCCCAUGCACUCCCCAAGUUCUCUUCAGUUAAGGUACAAUCUAUGAUGCAGUCUCCUAGGUUCACCCCUCCUUUGUAUGCAACAGCAGCAACGUAUAUUGCUUCAAGAAGUCCAUUUUAUCCUAAUUUGCAGUCAGUGAUGGAUCCUCAUUCGCAACUGUUAAUCUAAUAUCAGAGGGGAAGCCUAUUAUCCUUAGUCAUGCAGGAAUUGAAGAUUGCAUUGGCCUUCCCCCAAAGCUGCAAUUCCCCCUUUUAUCACAGAACUUGAAUUUGGAUGGAAUUCCAAAAUUUGACUUUUUCUCUGUUUAUGCCUUUUAAAGGUCAUUCAGCACAUUGUUAUAUUUAAGCCCCUUUGAGUUGGAAGAUUUUGUGGAAGCAUUAAGAUGCAAUUUUUUUCUAACCCUUUGUUUGAUUAUGUCCAUAUUUCUUUAUUACAAACUUUGAGAAAGCAUUUGGAAUUUCUAUCAGAUGAAGGUUCCUAAUCUGAUUUUAAUUGUUCAAGGUGUCUUAAUUGAGGUUUGUUGGAUUCAGUUCGUGGUUAGUUUUCAUGGCUGAUUCCCUACUGAUUCAUGGUUCAGGUUCGAAACCUGGUUUUGAUUUUAGUUGAUUGAAGCUAUUUGACAAUAACCACUGCAAACGACCUGUGGCCGUAAAGUUUGAGAUAUUUCGAUGUCUGUGUGAUGAUGUGAUUGCAGUGGAAGCGCUAAGAUCAGAGCUCAAUAGAAGAUCAUUGGCAGCUGAGCCUGAUAAGGAAUUCAAUCAGAAUGUUUACAUUGAGAUUUGCAAGAAAAGGAAGGCCUGAUGUUAAAACGGAAUGGAUAUCGGAAGACCUGUCACUAAGACAUUUGGCUUUAUCAUUUGUUGGUGAAUCUAUCAUAUAUCCAGAAAUAAACUUACUCAUAGAUGAACUAUGUUAUAAGGCAGACUCGUACCCUUUCUAUGACAAGUGCACAAUUUCCUAAGAAGAUUAGAGAACUACAAUCUGUUACUCAGUCUUACGUCAGUAUAGAUGCUACAACAAAGGACAAAGCUGCCGCCUUGGCUGCUGCUCGCGGUCUUGGACGCAAUGCAAAGAUUGAGUCUGUAAGGCUGCCAAUGUUGACAGUUCUUAAGCUUCAUAGUUGUGAGGGCAUAACUUCAGCUUCCAUGGCUGCAAUAUCGCAUGGUUAUAUGUUGAAGGUAACAACAAGUAGCGUUGAGAUUGGAUCAGGGGAAACUGCAUGGGAGGCGGAUGUUUCUGUCAGCUGUUGCACAGAAAUUGAUAAGACAACUGAAAAUUCAGUGGCGCCUGGGAUCCAUAAAUGUCGAAACUAUCCUAUCCAACCAAACCAAGUAUUCUGAUCUUCUAGCACGCUCCUGCCAUGAAGCUCACUGUCAAGACCUUGAAGGGAAGCACAGCAACAGCGAAAGCAACAUCUUCUACAACCGAGAAUACACAUGGUUUCAUGGCUCCUCCCAAGCCUCACAAAAUUCUAAUGGUGGCUAAGAAGCCCAACAGUGCUCUUUCUAUUGCCUCGGCUCUCUCUAGUGGUCAUAUGUCUACUAGGUGUAGUAGUACAGAAGUCCAUGAAUUUAAUGGAACCUUUCGUGGAUCUAAUGCACAAUAUAAGGUAACAACAGACAAGAAAGCUCCAAAGUUGUUGAAUUAAACAAAGAGCAGUCCAUGUUUAUCAGACUUUGAUGGUCAGAAUUGCUCCUCUGCUUCAAACUGCAUAAUCAUAGAAAACUCAGAUAUAGGCUCGGGGAGUUGUGGACCUGCAAUUGAAAAGAGUACAGGGGACCUAGUUAUGGGAAGAAAAUAUUCAUGUACAUCUAUGACAAUGUCUCUCAGAGAUACAGAUAUGUCUUCACACAAUGUCAAUCGUAUAGAGUCCAGCAUUUAUCUAAAUCCUGAUGUUGUAUAUGAAACUAGUGAGGAUUAUGCAGCUAUGCAGCCCAAUAUCAGUGUAGAUGGCUCCCUUCUUUUCGAUUUUUCAAGUCAAUAUGUGCCUGACUGUUUUGAUCUUCAAUUUAUGCCGAGCAGUGAAGAAAUACUGACCAACAUGAAGGAUGAAAAUGAGAAGCUUUCGAACAGAGAAUACAUGCUUAAGCAGUAAGAUGAAUUUAUCUCAAGAUGCAAUAACAAUGAUGCUGUCAAGGCAAUGGAAAUUCAUCGAAAAACAGAGAAUGCCUCAGUUUUCGAGUCUGAGAAGCUUGGUGUUGCUAUUUCUUGGGAGACAUUUCAGUGAUAAAGUAGAGCAUGCACCGAUUAAGAAAAGGAGCUUUAUAUUUCAGUCUUCAUUACCACCCCCAUGAACUCCUUCUCCUCCCUAUGAGGAUUCAGAACAGCUUGUAGAUAGUCAACAUUCUUCCGAGACGACAAAUGAAGAGAUUGGCGAUGGUAAAGACUUCUCUGGUAUUGAGAUGUUCGCAGCAGCUGCUUGCAAUAACAGCAUAGGUGAUGAUGUGACGGAAUCAACUACAGAGGAUGGUCCAGUUAUGACAUAUAAAGGAAACAACUCAUCUAUUUCUGCAAUGCCUAUAAAAGAAACUAUGCUGUUGUCUGUGUUGCUAUUACGGUUGAUAACCAGGAUGGUACUAAAGGGGAUAUUUGUAUUGAUAAAAGCAAAACUGCUGGUCUGAUUAAUAAUGAGGAGAAACAAGAAACAGAAACCAAACCAGAAGUUGAUCCUAAAGCCACGAGGAAUGAGCCUAUUACAAAGAUAGUUGCUGAUGGAGUACAAUCUGUGUAUAAUGGGAAAGAAGCUAUUGGCAAUGAAGAUCAGGUAGUGGAAAAUGGUGUUGAAUCUACCAUAAGGAAUCCAACACUUGAGUCGGAAUAGUCAGAAAACAAUCUUACACAUGUUAAUGCGCAGGGCGCUGAAUCGGGAAAUGUGGUCUCCUUUAUCAGUUCCUCUGCUUCCAUAAUCAGGAAAAAUAGUACUAAAAAUUCAGAAAAGAACCCUCCAUUUGAAGGACAUGCAAGGCCGAAGUGUUGAAUUAAUUCUAUGGAGAAAUUUCUAUAAUGCGGAAGGACAAAGGCUGCAAAAUAUGUGGGUAUUUCCUGUUCUGGUUGUGAAAUCUGCUAGAAUCAAUGCUUUCAAUGGGAAAGCAGUGGGGACUAUUUCUACCAGCUAGCUAUUCGAAGAUCCAAAAUAUGUUAGGCUUCUUGCAGCUCUCACUCUUGGUCACCUCCCUCAAUAUGAAGGAUUCGCUAGAGCUAGUGGUUUUGUAUCAGCAUGUCGUGCACUGAUAAGCCUGCUUGAAGACCAACCAACAAAAGAAACGAAAUCCAUUACCUAUCAGAAAGACCUGUCUCAAAUCCGUCCAACAGAAGCUGAAUCGGUUGAAACUCGAAUCAUCAUACUUUUCUCCUCUGUUGUGGCUCUCAAGAGGUCUUUAUUUGACACUGGAAGCAAUCCCACUUCUGAAUUUGUAGUUAAGCCCUUUGCUGAGAGAGAAGUGAUUUCUUUUUGUUUGAUUGCACACCUUGAAAGUCAGUGUUUCAGCUGGAGCUAUUAACUCCUGAGCUGCCGAGUGUGAAGGAUGAAACCCACAGAUUUACAAAAAAACUGGGGGCACUUAUUUAACAGCUUGUGAGAGGAGUAAGCGAUCAUAAGAAUCUGAACUCCUCUUGGAGAUGUUUCUCAGGACCAGAAGCUACCCCACUUCCAGCUAUAUUUAUUGGUGAAAAUCUUGAGUCACCCAAUUGCCUACGGAUAGGCAUCCUUGCUUACAGGUAAUCCUGAACAUGGUGUGCAGCUGAAUUAAUAAUCCGUCAUCUGACAAGUCUUGGAGAUGUUCCCUGCUGCUGUUGUGUUCAGAAAGGUCAGAGUGCACAAAGAAGCUUGCUGAAAGUAUCUCAAACAUGCUACAACAAAACAAUCUGUAUACGAAUUUUGAUCAGCCUCGAAAAAUGCCAGAAGAGGGCAGAAUGCGUUUUUGGGAUUCAAUGCCAGUGUCACAGCCUCAAUCACACCUCCAGACUCCACCCACAUAAUUGCCACCUUGCCACAUAUCAUACUCCUAAUGUUUUUUUUCCUUUAUUUUGUGAUUAUAUACAUCUUAAAUAUGAAUUUCAAAAUAUUUUUCCAUCAAAAUAACUUUGGUUUUCUUCAAAAUUCCUUAGGAGCUUCUAGAUAUAAAAUCCAAAUUUUAACAUGCUAUUUGUUGCCACUUUCCUUCGGGCAUGCACUAUCUUCUUUGAUUUUUAACUAUUUUCGUGAUUUCCUUGAUUUUCAACAAAGCAUGAAUAAACUUCAUGAUUCCAAAUAAUGGAAUUCGUAGAAUCAAUUCAUGCAAAAUUAAUUAGGGCUUUGGUGGGGGCCCGACAUUCAUGAUAUUCACUUCAAUAUUGUUUGCUUGAUAUCUGAUUGAUUUUUUUUUAUUCUUCUCGAUGAAAUACUUGAAUUCGCUUUAUAUUUAUUGUUGAGAUAUCCUUGUUUCCCAUAGACGUGUGGAUGCUCGCUAAUCAGGUACGCUCUUACCACCCUACAACUCUAAAAUUCUAUGAAUGUGUACGUUAUCAUGAGCCAUGACUAUGUUUGACGCCAUAAUUGAUUGCCUUGAUGCUUGUUUGAUCAUCUUUGAUAAAAUACAUAUUAUGUGUCAUAUUUUCAAGCUAACCUCUCAUGUUUUAUGAUAGCGCUUGAGAAGCCGUUCAGGUACGCACUUCGACUCUCUCUUAUGGUUGGUUUUCCUGUUAGGCAUGCAAUAUUCAAAAUCACCUAGCCUAUUUAGAUACCUAUAACGUACCGAUUAAUUGCCACACUUCCCUUAACUUAGUCAGUAGAGACCUUUAUAGGGCUUAGAGGGGUGCUACCUUUUAAAGGUACCUUCCCAAUAGGUAACCUGAUCCCCGGACCUAGACUCGGGUUUCUCAAAGACAUGCUUUUUCCAAAACUAUGGAGUCACUUUUUAGGGUUUUUCUUUCUUGUUUUAUUUUCCCUUUAAAAUAAAAAUAAAAUAGGUGGCGACUCCAACUUUUUUAAAAUUAAUUUUUCACAAAUAAAAAAGCGAGUCUCGUCGAUUGAGUGGGGACGCACGUGAAAAAUGCGGGUCCACAAUAUCCUUCCAAAAUUUCAUGCGAAAUGGACUUCAUUUGGUAGGUCCACCAGCAUCCUAAAGCUGGCGACCCAUUUUUCCCACUCUUUGCCGACGACUCCCCUACAUCUCUCACUCGAUUUCCUUUCUUCAUUUUCUUUUCUUCUUCUUCUUUUAAACUCUCACGCCAAUUUCACUAUAUAUAUAUAUAUAUAUAUAUAUAUAUAUAUAUAUAUAUAUAUAUAUAUAUAUAUAUAUAUAUAUGUAUAUGUAUUAUUAAAACAAAUCCUAAAAUACCACGCACAUCCAUUUCUUAAUAAAUUAAAACCAUUAUUCUUAAAUUCACCUUCCGUAAUUAUGAAUUAUACCAAACUUAUGAUUUUCCAUUUCACGAAAAAUACCACCGUAUUCGUAAUUUAAUUUACUACAAGUCUACUCUUCAAAAAGUAUAAUUUGAUUAUAAUUACAUGAAACAUUGUUUUUUUUUACUUUAAAAUUCAUUUAAAACAUGAUAUAAUUAACUAUUAACAAAAUUCAAUUCCAUAAAAUAUUAAAAACAUAAAAUAAUUUUUUGGCAAUCAAGAAGUUGAAAUUUGUAAUAAUAACCCUUAACCCGUUAAUUUUACCUAUAUUUAUUUACCAAAAAAAUUUAAAUAAUAUUCUAAAAUUUAAUUCCAUAAAUUAAUUAGUCAUUCAAUUAAUAAAAAUCAAAUUCUCUACCCUUUGGUAUAACUUUUAUUUAAUUUACUUCAUUUUUCAAAUUAUUCAAUCGCAUCAAAAUUUCAAAAGUUAAAUUCACUAAAUUCACAUUUAAUUAAUUUAUCCUUUUGUAUUUUUUUUUUCUAAAUUCGCAUAUCAUAAUUUAAUCUUAAUUUAAUUUUGAUUCAAUUUUGUUUGAUGUUUUCUAAUUUUAUGAGGUUUAAUUUCAAUUAUAAAAAUUAAAUUCAAUUUCUUUUUAAUUAUCCAUUAUCACAAUUUGAUAUAAUAUAAUUUUUUAUCAAGUUUUUCUUACUAUGAUUUUUCUUAUAAUUAUCCAAUAAUAAUUAAAUUAAUUCUCGUAACAUAUUUAAUAUUCAAAUUUUAAAAACUUAAUCUCAAUUAUUUGAUGGUUAAUUUUUUUCUCAAAAUCUAAAUUUAAUUUAUGAAAUUCUCACUCCUUACAUCUGACGUGGCAAAAUUUUCAAACUAUUGACUUUUGACCAACUUUUCCUAAAUUUAUCCUAAUUAAAUACUAACACAUGGAUUUUCACCACUCUUUUUGACCUUUUGACCCACAAAUUUAUGAAAGACUUUAUGCUUGGAGAAUCUACAAAAACCUGGGUAUUACAAUUUCUCAAGUUGAUAAGUGUCGUGGUUAUGAAGCCACCACUUGAAUACUCAGUCGCCAUUGUAAUGGGCCUGGAUGCAAAUAGUACAUCAUGUUUCUUCAAAAGUUCUCUGCUAAUCUCUGGGAAAGUUGCAGGGACGAGAUGAAAUAUUUCCCAAUUGAAUACAUGCAAUUUCAGUGUUCAUUUCUUUCAUAAAGCCAAUGUAUCCACCAGAAAGUUGUCUUGUUGUUGAGUAAAUGAGGUAGAUAUUGCACUAGUGGCCAUGGAGCUAAUCCUGGAGGAAGUUGUAUCGGCUUGCAUUUGGUACUUGUUUUGGAUUUUAAUUUAGUGAAGAUAGGAAAGAUUGAUGUGAUGAAAAGCAGCAAGAGGAAGUUGAGAUGAGACAACACAUCAUCUGUGGUAGUAGAAGAAAACAAGGUUGAGUUACUACUACUACUCUCUGCAACAAAACCAUUUACACGUCUUUCAUAGCAAAACCAUGUUUGUCCUAUCUUGGGUCUGGAUGCACAUUUUUAAUAUUGGGGAAAUCAUGCAACCAAAUGUCACACACAAAGAGAGAGAAAAAAAUACGUUUUUUAGAACUUGAAAAGGUAAAGUGGGACAAAAAAUAUUAUCCAUUCUUGAACUCUAAAAGUAAAGUUAUAAAAAGCUUAGUUUUUUUUUUUUUUUUUGUUAUGUAUGAUUGCAUGAUUUCCCCCUUUUAAGAUUUUAUCUCAUAAAAUUUUUUUCUAGAAGGUUCAAAUAAGUUUGAUGAAUAUUGUUUAUUUUAGUAAUUUUAAUUUUAUGGGGUACUUAAAACAUUAGAAGUUCACAAAAAGCAACAUUUAUAAGCUACCUAUCUAAAAAGCUUGCCCUAAUCAUUGAAAUCCAAAAUAUAAAGUGACAACACACUUUUUAAAGAAAUUUUCAAAAUAGUUUUUAAAAAUACAUUUAUUUAUGAUAUUUUUAAAAUAAAAAUCUCAAAAAUAACUUGUUUAUAUAGUGUUUUAUUAGACAAAUACUUGAUCUUUAUAAGAUCACCCUAAUUAUAGAUUUAUGAACAUGUAACACAACAAUUAUCUAUAUGUAUACUUAGAAUUAUUAUAUUUUAAGUUUUUAACUACAUAGGACAUCAUGAGUUUUUCCACCAUUUAUCUUAUAAUAAGUUUAUUUAAAUAUGAUAAAGGAUAUAUUAUCUCAUUUCUUAUUAUAUCUGAUGCUAUAUAUAUAUAUAUAUAUAUAUAUAUAUAUAUGUAACAAAUCAAAUACAAUUUAAAGAUUUUAAUUAACCAUCUAUUAGCAACAAAGCAAUCUCUUAAUCUCAUUCAUAAUAUUAGGAUAAUUUAGUAUUUCCUUUUAUAAAACACUAGCAUAUAAAUCAACACAAAUCAUAUUAAGGGUGUAUUUGGUGUUGAUUUUAGGAAGCGUUUUUAGUAUUUCUAAUACUUGAAAGAUAAAAAUUAUCAAGUUUUAGAAAGAUCAAAAGCGCUUUUUAGAAUGACUAUCAAAUACAUGCUAAAUAUUACUUUUGGAUACUUAUAUUUUUAAAUAACUCUUAAAACUUUUAAGGCAAGUCUCUACUAUUUAUAUAAAUCCCCUAUUAUUUUUAAUUUUUAGAAACAAAAAAUAAAGAAUAGAAACUCCAUUUAAACAUCGCCUUAUUAUUUCCUAUUAUAAAAUAACACAAAUCAAAUGAAUUAUUUAAAAAUAAAUAAAUAUAAAAUCAAAGUUGAAGAGAAAAAACUCUUGUGCAUUAAAAAAACAUCAAAAUAAAUAAAUAAAUAAAACAUCAUCAAAUAAAUAUAAAAAUAAAUUAAUGUUAUGGAAAAAUGAGAAUAGGCAACAAGAAAAUAAGAACACAGAUUUACAUGAAAAAUGCUAGAUGGGAAAAACCAUGGAUAGAGGAGAAGAAAAUCCACUAUAUUAAAAAUUUGGUAUAAAAUGUGAGAGAAUCAAGCGAGUAUUGUAUAGGCAUAAUCACUAUGACCCUAAAUCCUAUACAUCAUCGCAUAUGUAUGGUGUAUGCGAUAAUAUUUGUGAUAAUAAAAAUAUUGUCGCAUAAAAUAACUAUGGGAUGUAAUAUUUGUAAUAAUAUUCUUUACAAAAAAAUAUUUUUUCUUUGCUUUAUUCACUUUGAUCACAAGUUGAAAUAAGACAAUAAAAAUAUUUUCUUAAUUUUUGAAAAUUAAUUGAGGACUUAGAGCUACUUGUUACUGAGUGAAUUUGCUGAAUGGUGAAGAAUGCGUGUAUAGUAGUUUUGCAAAUUUUCAAACUUGUAGACAUAUUUUGUGAAGUCUUUUUCUCUUUGUAAAGCCCCAUUUUCUAUGUGAAGUUAUUUUUUCAAUAUUCUCUUUGGAAGGAAUUUACCAUUAGUUAUAUAGGUAAGAUUAAGGAAUUAAAUUUGGAAUUCUUAAGAUUUGAUUGCUUAAUUCAAAGAAUUUGGUUCAAGGGAAAUUUGCCAACAAAAUAAUAUUUAUUUUUAAUUCUAUGAUGACUUUAAUUAUUUGAUAUAAUUUUAUUUUGAAAGACUUGAUGUGGGGGACUCAUCACUUAUUGAGUCCAAAUUUUGUUGCACCCAAAUUUUUAUGAGCUAAGAAACCAUAAUUUUAAAGACCAAUUCAGUGGUAAGUGAAUAUGCUAAAAUCUUCUAUGUACAAAUGACCUCACUUCAAGGUGCAACACAUACAUGUAUUAUUAUGUGUAUGGGAUGAGUCUUGAAGUUAGUCUUCAUUCUUCUUUGAUUUUUUUUUUCUUCAAAUAAAUAAAUAAAACAUCAUCAAAUAAAUGUAAAAAUAAAAUAUGUAUCGGUUAAUUGGAGAGGAGAGCUUUAAGGGCAUUUCUUCUAUGAAAUUCUAUGCUCCACGUACCAUAAAUUUGUACUCAACCAACAAAAUUACAGAAUGGGUCCAUGCACAAACAAAAAUAACCUAAAUGUAAAUAUCUAAAAAUGUAUAAAGUUCACAAUAGAUAUUCAAGCCCAAAUUUAAAUUUCAAAUUAGUCCAACAGAUUUCAUCAAUCAAAAUGGGUCCAAAUUAGCAAAUAUAACCCAACAAAAAUAUCUCAUAUGUCAUAGGCCCUAAUUUAAAAUUUUCAAAUUAAUAGCCAAACUAUAAGUUCAAUUAAUCAAACCCAAAACAUGAUAAAUUAAAAUAAAUCUCAUUAGGCCUAAACUUAAUAUCCCAUAAUUCAAUAUAUAAACCUAAAUCCACAAUCAAAAUCAACCCAAUUUAUGCUAAUCCUGAUUUACAAUCAAAAUCAAACAUAAUUUAAUAAGUAAAUAACUAAAUAAAUUAAGCAAACUCAAAACACCCAAACCACUACAACAUAAAUCAAACAAUAAUAAAUAUAAUGACAAUAAUAAUAAUAAUAAUAAUAAUAAUAAUAAUAAUAAUAAUAAUAACAAAAUAAAAUAAAAUAAAAAUAAAAAAUUUAACUCACAUCGGAGCCAGUUUGAAUGUCUUGGGAAAGAAAGAAAAUGAGAGAAAAGUGAGAGAUGAUUGACAACUGACAGUGGCUCACUGGCGGCGACUGGCUAGUGGUCCUACCGAUGGUAGUGAGGAUUGAUUGGUUUUUGGGAAAAAAAAAUAAAAUGAAGAAAAGAAAAUGAGGAGUAAUAAAAAAAAUGGAGAAAUUAGAGGAAUGUGGGAGAAGAAUGGAGAGAGAGAACGUAGAAAAUGAGUGAAAAGAAAUGAGGCUAGUUGGAGGAGAAAGUGGUAGUGUGUGAGCUAAAGUGAAGAAGAAUAGAAGAAGAAAAUGGAGAAGAAUGGGGAAAAAAAAUCCGCCUCCCUAAAUGAAGAGAGGUGGGUAGCCUAAAGAAGAAGAAAAAAAAUAAAAUAAAAUAAAAUGGGUAGAAAAUGAGAGGGGGUUGGUGGUCUUGUGAAUGAGGUGGUAUGCGUUAGAGAGAGAGAGUGGGUGGGGUUGUUGGGGAAGGUAUGAGAGAGAGAGGAGAGAGAAAAGAAAAAAAAGAAAGAAAAGAAAAAAGAUAAUAUAAAAUAAUAAUAAUAAUAAUAAUAAUAAAAUAAAAUAAUAUACAAAAUAAUAAAAACUAAUAAUUAAAUAGUGAGUGAGCAAAAAAUAUCAUAUGUAAUCGGGAUUUAAUUUUAAGAGUAAAGUUGGGUUAAAAAUUAAUGUAAAAUAAAAUUGAGACAAAUUUUGGGGUAUACAAAUAUGCUGAUUCGACUCAUGGUAGCUCAGCUUUAAAGGCGUAUCAACAAAAUUUAUACCUUGAAUACUAUUACUAAAGUAGCCAAGCUACUAUAGCAUAGUGGUUCUAGGAUCGUUCACUGGGAAGGGUUUUCGCAAACACUAGUGAUAUUCAAAUUAGGAAAAUUGGUGAUUUUUUUUAUGGAUGUUAGCUUUAAAAGAAGAUGUAAAUGUUUUAGAAAGAUUUAAACUAAUCUAAGCUAACAUUAAAGACUAAAAUGAAAGGGUGUAAAAACAAGUUUCUCAAAGAUAGGAUAGCUAUGCUCUGGCUCUUAUGCAAAUUGGAAAUCUCAGGAUAGGCUCCUCGCGUUGGGGUUGCAACUAUGGUGAUGCUUGCUUCCCGAACCGGUAUGGAUUUAGCAAAUCAAGUUUUAAUCCUUUAAAAUGACAAAACAGAUGGUAGUGAAUUUCAUCAAUGGUUAUUCACCUUAGACUUCCUUUGAAUGGCUCGUAAGAGAUAACUAAUGGUCUAAAGCCAAAAGCUUACCAAAUAUUGGCAACUCAAAGUCAUUCCAAGUGAUAAACUCACCUUUCAAUGGCCAUUGAAAUUGGUUCUAACGGAUUAAUGAAAAACUUGGAAUUGAAAACCUCACCUUCCAAUAGCUCGUAGGAGAUAACUAAUGGAUAGAAAUCUAAAAGCUUAUCAAGUAUUGGCCGUUGGAAGUUGUUCAAAGGAAAUAAAAACCAAACUUUGCAUUAAUGAACCUUUAAUGAAAAACGUCUACCUUACCUUCCAGGUGCGAGAAAUUUCCAUGGGAUUGCAUCCAAGCCAUCACAUAACAUCCAUACUUUGAGAAACUAAAAGUUUUAGUCAAUCAUCCUCUAAGGAAAAGCCCUCAGAGGCUAUUUGGCUACUAAGAAAAUAGAAAUGGGAAAGAACAGGAGAAACGAGAGAGCUCUGUAUCUAUUCUAAGUGUAAAACGUAAUAUAUCUUCUAUAUGAUCCAAGAGGUGAUUUCCACCCCUUAUAUAGUCUUUACAAAAGCAAAAGCUUGUGAUUGGUUAGUUACAAGGAUAAGAAAGGAAAUUACAUCACAAAAUACAAAGGAAAAUAUCUAAAGUGGAGUCGGCAAAAGCAGAGGAAAAUUCGCAACACGCAUGGGUUAUGCGAAUUUUGAAGGUGUUAUGCGAAUUUCGCAUAACACCUUAUGUUAUGCGAAAUUUUCGCAUAACCUGGAGCAGUUGGCUUCCGAAGGCCAUAUCUUCCUCAUUUAAACUCCAAAUCAUGCACGGUUUGAAGCGUUGGAUGAGCUUUGAAAUGGUAUAUAGUAUGUAAAAAAUGGACUUCGGAAAGUGCUCCAAAAGUGCGAAAGAAGACUGCAGCUGCUGUCCUCUGUUUUCCUCUUCUCCAUUGUNNNNNNNNNNNNNNNNNNNNNNNNNNNNNNNNNNNNNNNNNNNNNNNNNNNNNNNNNNNNNNNNNNNNNNNNNNNNNNNNNNNNNNNNNNNNNNNNNNNNUUGUCUUAAUAUGACAUGAACUCUCCCAAAUAAAAAAUAAAAAUAAAAAUCUAAAACCCUACAAAAAUGGCCAAAACGAAAACUCCUAAGGUGCCUCUAAAGUUAUACUAUGGAUCUAAACUCCCUUAGAAAAGCCUCCAAAAAUGGCCCAAAAAUCGGUGUCAAAAUCGAGUAGCAAUCAGACCACUAAGGAGCACAUCAACAAAUGCAUACAAAGGGAAAAAAACCAUACGUGUACCAUACGAUGACAAAAGGCAUAAGGUAUCCAACAAUAUGACUGAUUCACGUGUUACGAGCUCAAAGAACUUUGUCAUGCACCAUGGAGGAAGGGAAACUCUAGAAUAAUGUGAUGAGGAAGUUAUUAGCACAAUGUAACAAAGUGAGGAAAAAAGUGAUGACUGCAAAGCUGUGAUGACUGCAAAGCUGUGAGGACAAGGUGCACAAUGCUAAUGAAUAUGAAAUGAAUAGCACUAGGCUAUAAUGCAAUGAAUAGCUCAAGGUUGUACCAUAAUGAACAAGUCAAGGAUGUGUAAAGAUGAGGAAUAACUCGAGGUUGUAAUGCAAUGAACAACUUAGGGUUGUGAAUGCAAUGAACAACUCAGCGCAAUGAAUGAAAUGAAUAGCUAAGGGCUGUGAAUGCAAUGAACAACUCGAGGUUGUGGAUGUAAUGAACAACUCAUGGUCAUGGAUGCAAUGAACAGCUCAGGGCUGUAGAUGAACAACUCAGGGUUGUGGAUGUCAUGAACAACUCAAGAAUAGGGGCACUGUACACCCAAAAUGGGAGAUCACGAUCUACGAUUCCAAGUCAAACCACUAAAGGGUGACCAAAAUGAGGGUGAUCAACUCACUAAAAAAGAUGAUCAAAAUGUCUUAAGGGAGAGGAGAUGCCCCAGAUGAAACUUAAAGGAAAUGAGUAGUGCUAAUGAAACUAAAAAAAGAAAAAAAUGUCACAACUGAAAUUGAAAAAAUAGCAAACUUAGAUUAAAGUGCAAUGAACAACUUUGGGAUGUGGAUGUGAUGAAUAGUACCGUGUUGUAAUGAAAUGAAUAACUCUAAGAUAUGGGCAUUGUACGCCUAAAGAGGGAGAUCGUGGUUUACGACUCCAAGUCAAACCACUAAAGGACGACUAAAAUAAGAUGAUCAACUUACUAUAAAUGAGAAUGCAACUAUCUCGAGAAAAAGGGUAUGCCCCAAAUGACACUCAACAGUAAAAGAAUGACACAAAAGAAACUAAUACAAGAGGAUGCCACAAAUGAAACUGAAAUGAUAACAGACUCAGUACUAAUGUGUAAUGAACAACUUUGGACUAUGGAUGCAAUGAAUAGCACUGGGUUGUAAUGAAAUGAACAACUCUAAGAUGUGGGCACUAUACGCCUAAGAAAUGAGAUCAUAGUUUACGACUCUAAGUCAAACCGCUAAAGGGCGACUAGAAUAGGAUAAUCAACUCACUAAAAAUGAGGAUGCAACUAUUUCGAGAAAGGGGGUAUGCCCUAAAUGACACUCAACAGUAUAAGAAUGACAUAAAUGAAACUAAAAUAAGAGGAUGCCACAAAUAAAACUAAAAUGAUAACAAACUCAAAACUAAUGUGCAAUGAAUAACUCUAGGUUGUGGAUGCAAUGAACAACACUGGGCUGUAAUGAAAUGAACAACUCUAAGAUGUGGGCACUAUACGCCUAAAGAGGGAAAUCACGGUCUACGACUCCAAGUCAAACCACUAAAGGGUGACUAGAAUAGGAUGAUCAACUCACUAAAAAUGAGAAUGCAACUAUCUCGAGAAAAGCGGGAUGCCCUAAAUGACACUCAAUAGUUAAAGGAUGACACAAAUGAAACUAAAACGAAAUGAUACUACAAAUGAAAUUGAAAUGAUAACAAACUGAUAACUAAAGUGCAAUGAACAACUCUAGGCCGUGGAUGCAAUGGACAGCUCAAGAAUAGGGGAACUGUUCGCCCAAAAUGGGAGAUCGUGGUCUGCGACUCUGAGUCAAACCACUAAAGGGUGGCUAAAAUCAAAAUGAUCAACUCACUAAAAAUGAGGAUCUGAACAUCUCAAGAAAGGGGUUAUGCCCCAAAUGAAACUGACAAUAGAGGGAUGCCCUAAAUAGACUGAAGAAAGGAGGAUGCCCUAAACAAACUAACAAAAAAUGGAUGCCUUAAACAAACUGACGGAAGUGAAAUGCCCUAAAUAAACUGACCAAAGAAGAAUGCACUAAACAAACUCCGAGAAAAAAAAAAAGAAGUAUGCGAUAUAGAAUCAAAGACACCUAAAGCAAAAACAAGAAACAAAGAAUGUGGUUUACAACUAGAAACACCCAAAAGAACCUUAAAGAAGUGACUGGGAUAAUGAACUUAAUGAAAAUGGGGUAUGCCACAGUAAAAGACUCGGAAGUAUCAGCAAAUGGGUCAAACGACCAUGAAAUCAAUAGGAGAUAUGAUGAACCCAAAAAGGGCAUAUGCCCUAACAAAAGAACACUAAAAGGGGGUAUGCCUCGAUAUGACGACUCACAAUAAUUAAGAAAUGGAUCGAGCAAUGAGAAAAUCUGCAAAAUAUCUUAUGAACUCAAAGAUGGGGGUAUGCCCCAGUGUAAAAUAGUGACCAACAUAAGACACAGAAUGUCACCAUACAAUACACUCUAGGAUAUGCUCAAUGACAAUGUAAUGAAAACAAUAGCCUCAAUCAACAAAUGUUCAAGCAAGACCAUGCAUCACAUAAACUAAAAUAAUAAGCUAAACAAAUGCUANNNNNNNNNNNNNNNNNNNNNNNNNNNNNNNNNNNNNNNNNNNNNNNNNNNNNNNNNNNNNNNNNNNNNNNNNNNNNNNNNNNNNNNNNNNNNNNNNNNNAUGUCCAACGAAGGAAACUGGGUAUCCAAGUCAAACCAAGUAUGUUGAGGAAACUGAACCCAUAGGACAAUAACUUUAUGAUCCAUUGAAAAUAGCAAUCAUGAAUAGAAGGUCGAGUCUCGAUGUCAAAAUCAACAAGGUGGCAUUGCCCCAGUAUGAAUACAUCUUCUCAAAAUGGGUAAACCCUCAGUGCAAGAUAAUCUCUAGAAAGUAUGUGUCUAGUAUAAACUAUCAUCUCACAAAAUCUAUCACUGAUGAGUGGGCUAUACCCCAGUGUAAGCAUUUCCAAAUCAAACAUCGAUGAGAGGAGUACAACCAAUGAUAAAUAAUAUGAUCAAAACAAAUCUCCACUCCUCAAAGUCAUCAUGGUAACGUGAAGAGAGUAUCUAACCUCAUUUAAAGAAAGAUCAUGUCCCAAUGUGAAAAAUAUCAAGCAAAGUGGUAUGUCUCAACAAAAAUGCACUCUAACAUGAUCAUGCUUAGAUGUAAGCUGGUAUCUUUAAGAUCAAUCACCAAUGAAAGGGUUAUGCCCCAGUAUAGGGCAAUCUCUGAAAUGACUAAAAUCCGCUACAAGCUCUCACAAGUGUCUAUGUCAUGAACUAAUCAUCUCAAAAAAUAAAAUAAAUAAAUAAAUAAAUAAAUCUAUCAAUAAUGAUGAGAAGGUUAUGCUCCUAUAAUCACAUCAAGAAAAUCACCCGGUCAUAUCUUGUACUCCAAUGUGAAAGGAAAAUAUGAUCACCUCCAAAGAAUGGCUAUGCCCCAAAAUACAUCAUUGAUUGAGAAAUAUGCCCCUCCGUAAAGUACAUCAACUGAAAUAUGCCAAUCAUGCCUCAUGCUCCAAUGUGAAAAAUGACGUAUAAUAUUCUUUGAGGGAUGGUCAUGACUCAAAAUCCAUCAUCAGUUGAGAGAAGUAUGCCCUGACAUAAUGGUCAUCUAAAAAAUCAAUCCUCGACUAAGAAAUGUGUGCCUUGAUGUGAUGUAUCAAGCAAAAUGGCUGCAUACCCCAUAAAAACUCUCUAAGGUGGCUAUGCCCCAAUGUUGGAUCAUACCACAACUCCUGGUCUAUCACAAUCAAAAUGCUCUCCAACCAAUCCCAAGUAUCGCCCACAUGAGAGCUAUCAAACACAAUGUGUGAUGUCAUGGCCUCAAGGUGGUCUUAAGAUUCGGGACGUAACAUAGGCUAGGGUAAUAAGGUGAAGAAAUGAAGGAAAACUAGGCUUAAUAAUCCUAAUGAUAAAACCCCAUACCCUUAUGUAUAAAAUGCAAUAUGUGCAAAGAGUCUCAUAAACCAUGGAUCUAAGGACACCCAAUAUGAAUAUAUCAGUGAGGAAGAAAGAAUCUAAGAUGAAUAUAUCAAUGAUAAAAGAGAAGAAAUGAAGAAUAUCAAACUGUUGAUGGGAUGUAUAAGAAUGAUGUGUGGAAAAUAUUGAACAUGGAAUGUAAAUUGAUAUGAACAAAGAACAAUGUAGGCAAGGCAAAUGCGAUAUCAUGAUAAGAACAAAUAAAUCGAAGAAAAAUGAAUGACACUAAUCCACUCAAAUCAAGUCAUGAGAAUAGUCAAAUCACCCACGUAUGUAUGAUGGANNNNNNNNNNNNNNUGAAAGUUCACAUACGAACUUUCAUAAGCAACUAACUCAAUAAAGCAACCUCAAUGACCAAUAUAUACACUCAAUAAAGGAUGACACUGUAUACAUGUGUUUAUUACUUUUUCUUUUUCAUUUUUUUUUCAUUUUUUUCAUUUUUUUUUCUUUUACUCGCACAUACUCUGAAUAUCAAUAAAUGAACUUCUCUGAGAAUACAUAAUGAAAUGGAUAUACUCUCAAACAAUGAUGUAAGCGAACUCUCUCUGACAAGAUGACCCUCUAAAUUAAGGAUUUCCAAACUAACGUCCAUGAGAUACGAGUUGAGGGGGAUAUGACUAUCUUCCCUGCACCAAAAUGUGAAAGAUCAUCACUCAAGGCAUAAAAAAAUGUGAUGAAAAAAAUAAAGAUGAAACAAAAGAUAUAAACAAUGAAGUAUGAUGAAGAAUGAUGUUGGGACAACAAAAAAAUAGUGAAGAAGGUGAGCCAAUAAGUCCACAACUCAUGAAACUCUCGAAUAAAAUAUAUAUACACCAAAAGACCCUUAUCCCGGUGUAAAAUGUGAGCAAGGAUAUAAGAAAGAAAAGACUAUGAUGCUCAUGUGAGGUUCAAAGGGCUAGCAAUGGUCCAAAUAUCAAUAAAGGUAAUAGGGUGUGAGCUAACCAAAAUGAAGGUCACAUAUCCUACGACCAUGGUCUCAAACAUCAUGCUCUUAAGCUUUCAAAUGAUCGAUACUGAAAAUCGAUGUCCAUUUGAUAUAAACACGUCAACUCUUUGGAAUUGUGCGCCAAACCAUACUCCAAAUGCUCCAUAAUAAUCUCAAAGAUAAUCAUCUCAAAGCAAAGUAAAUGGCGAUCUCAUAAGGCACAACUACUCAUCACAAGCCAACUCUCAUCAUGCAAGAUCAAUCUCUAUUUUCAUGGAAAAAUAAGUGACAAUCUCAUCAGGAAAUCGACCAAUCCUCACAUCGUAAACCAACCAAAGAUCAUAAGUCAUUCAUUGCCAUGCAAGAUCAAUCCCAGGCUCAAACUCCUCAUACUCUACCUGGUUGGAUUAGAGAAGAAAUGGGCAAAGCUAGAAAAACUGAAGAUGGAAAGGUCAUAUAAUGGUGUCAAGGGUGAUAUUGUGCAAAACUCACAAUGGAUGGAUGUAGGUCAAAGCAAAGUCAAUGUGUGAGAGUGAGUAAGACACUACUCUGAUCAUAAGAAAAUGGGUCACAAUCUCAAACUCCCAAGGUCAACUCUCCGAUCUUAGGCUAAUAAGCUCAACAUCCUCCAUGAUAGGUCAACCCCCAAGAAUGUGCAAAUGAAUAGAUGCCUCAAGUCAAAAGUACAACACAUCAUAUGAUAUAUGGUUCUACGAUGACAAUCUAAAACUUAAAAUAUGUUAGAAACUCUAAGGUCAUAAAGGUGUCCACUAUGAGAUGACUACAAAUGUGACUAAGGAAUCUUUAUCAAUAAUCCAAAAAAUGAAUGAGGUGUGAAAAACAACACUAUCAUGAGAUCGUUACCCCAUCAAUAACAAAAUAUCUCUAAUUCACUUUCAAUCUAAGCUCUAUAAAGAAAAACAAUAAGGUUAUAAAGGCAAACCUCUCAAAAAUGGUGUGAAUGUGAAAACAUGCCUUCACCUUUCUAUAAUGAAAAUAUCAGGUUGAAAAUAGAAAUAGGCAAAUCGACCAAAGAAUGAAGUACAAAGUCCAUGAUAGGUGAAGAAUGUAAAAAGGUGAACAUGAUCAAUGAACAUAUCCCAAAACAUCAAGCAUAAAGUGACAACAAACCGAAAGAAUGUGUCGACUUAAGGAAAUAAGACUAUCUGAAGCCCCAGGGAGAAAAUGUGCUAGACUUAACGAGCGAUAAGAAGAAACUAAAACUAUAUAGCAAGGGGUGGUCCAACUGAUACUCAAACUUGCAGCAAUAUCUAAGCACUCUCGAUUGGAGACCAAAAGAUGGAGUAUUGGAUCCAUACUGUGACUAAAGCGGCCUCGAAGGCUCUCAGAUGCAGCCACGUGAGGAAAGGAAAUCCUAAUUAAAAAUAUCUAAAGGUUAACCUACAAGGUCAAGGCGGCUCUAAAAAGAAAAAUUGAGUGGACUUUAAAGGAUCCUUAGCAAAAGCGAUCAUACCCUCCGAUGGUAUGCAACCUCCUACACGUCUUGAAAGAUACGGGAUUGAUUCCAUGCAAGGUGGUCAUCACCUCCACACAUGCACUAUCUCAUAUCUUAGAGGGUUUCCUAAUGAUGAAGACUCUUACAUCUCUCAACACUUAGUGGUAAUCUAAGGUGCACAGUGAACGGUGUGGGUUCAUCCGAAAAUCCUAUCAAACUAAGCAAAGAGAAAACACACUGGUCACACAAAUAUCCUGAAAUCUAGCUCUAACCUAUACAAGUCUUCAAAGAUUGGACUCCAAUUAGCAUUAAUGUUUCGACCUUCUCCAGAAUGCUCCCAAACAUAGAUAUAGUCCACCAUUAAACCCUACUCCGAAUCACUAGCUCGGUCGAAGAGCAAACAAAGUAACAAGUCUCAUAUCAAAUACGAGAUCAAGGGGAACACGGUCACCCGAGACUAGGGAAUUGGAGAUAAGGGGAUAGAUGUGUGUCCCACAUAGACAAGCAGCAUGCAUCACACAGAAGAAGAAUAGUUAUGCAAUAGACAACCAAGCAAAUAAUAGGUAUAUCAUUCAUAUAUACACACAAGCUAAACAAGAAAUAGGUAUAUAACAAGAAUAAACAAUAUGUUCAGAUAAACAAGAUAAUAUACAAUAAAGAGAAUCAAUCAUGCCAAUAUGAAUGAGAUAUAUAAAAAUGAGAAUAUACAUGUCAAGGAGAGCAAGAUAAUCAUACAACAAGAAGAGUCUUAUGUUAAAGCAAGCAAGAGAAUCAAUUGAUGUAGUCAACAUGUCAAUAUCGCAAAUGAACAUAAUAGCCAAAUAUGCAUCAUAAAGAAAAAAGGGUAAUCAUGCAGCACACAGUCAUACAAAAAAAAUACAGACAAACAUAAGCAAAUAAAUGUAAACACACAUGAUAACAAAAAUCAAUGUAUAGUAAGGCACAUGUAAUAUAUACAUAAAAUAAUCAUCAAGUCAACACUCAUAUACCUUAAAACAUGAAAAUAUACAAUAAAGACACAACGAGAGGGUGUUCACUGAUCGAUUAAUCAAACGCUACAUUUCCCUUAACUCGAGUUCAAGUUUGAUCCUUUAAAUAUACCUAGUGGAGUCGCUAUUUUGUGGACCCACAUUUUUCACAUGCGUCCUUACACAACAACGAGACUAAUUUUUUUUAUUUGGUGAAAAUUUGAUUUUUAGAAAAAAGACUUUGAGUCGUCACUUAUUUUUAUUUUUUUUAAGGGAAAACAAAAUAAGAAAGAAAACCUUGUGUGACUCCUUAUUUGAGAAAUACAUGUAUGCAAAAACCAAAUCUGGAUUCGAGGGUCAAGUUACCUAUUGGGAAUGUACGAUGGUGAGCUGUAGCACCUCUCUAAGCUCAUAUACGUACGGUCUCUACUAAACGAAUUAAGAGAAUUGUGGUAAUUAAUUAAUUAGUCAUGGAUAUCAAGAAAAAGAAUUUCACAAAUGAGUACGUACAAAUCAUAAUAAAAAAAAAUCAAAUUAUGAGAAUAGACAAAAUAAAUAACAAAAGAAUUGUGCAAAGUGAUUUAUUAAACUAAAUAAAAAAGAAGAUAUUAAAAAAAUUAAUUUUCAAGAAAUUUCAAAGGAUUUUAUUAAAAUGAUUUUGAAUUCAUGAUUUUAAUUUAUUUAUUUACAAAAAAAAAUGUCAAUUUAUUUUCUUCAAGUAAUUUGAUUCAAUUUCAUUUGUAUUCAAUUUUUUUUUAAAAAAAAAAAGUUAUUUACACUCAUGGUUGUUAAAAGAAUUAUUAACAAAAUUUCAAGUUGACAAUAAAAAUGAUUUUUACUUGCUUUUACUUGAAAACAAUGAAUUUUUACAAUUUUAUUAACAAAAGCAUUUCAAUUUAAGAAAAGUGACUUAUACAAAUUAUUAAAAAAAUAUAACUUUAUUUGCAAAAGGAUUUUUAAUUAAAAAGAAAAAAUUUAAAUCAUCUAUUUCUAAAAAUGACUUUUAAUCCCAUAUUAAUUAAGGAAAAAAUGAGUUAUUUAAAAAAACAUUUUUUGGACAAUUUGAAUAAAAAUUAAUUUUUGGGACAACUUUAUUUACAAAACAAUUUUUAGACAAUUAUUAUUAAAAACAAAUUUUCAAAUUCUAUUAACAAUAAUUUUUUGGAUUUUUCCAAACACAUUUUUAUGAAUUUUUAUUAAUAAAAUUUUUUUUUAUUAAGAAGAAUAUUGUUUGAGCUAUUAUUUUAUUAAAACAUGUUUAUUGAAUUAUUCUUCUUAUUCAAACAAAAUUUUUAAUUUGUUCGAUAUCCAAUUCUGUACACAACAAGUAAAUAUAUGCAAACAAAUAUUUAUAGAAACUAAUAAAAAUAACUGUACACAACAAGUAAAUAUAUACAAACAAAUAUUUAUAGAAACCAAUAAAAAUAAAACCAAAUAGAAGUGAGAAAUAAAACAUGUACUUAAACAAGCUUACAACAAGCUCAAUGUCUUCCUAUGACUUUCCGAGUCUCACUUUCUUUCAUUAAAUUUUAUGCUCCACGUACCAUAAAUCCGUACUCAACAAAAAAAAUUGUAGAAUUGGCCCAUGCAAAAACAAAAAUAACACAAAUGUAAAUAUCUAAAAAUGUAUAAAGUUCACAAUAGAUAUUCAAGGCCAAAUUCAAAUUUCAAAUUAGUCCAACAAAUUUCGUCAAUCAAAAUGGGUCCAAAUUAGCAAAUAUAACCCAACAAAAAUAUCUCACAUGUCAUAGGCUUUAAUAUAAAAUUUUCAAAUUAAUAACCAAAAUAUAAGUUCAAUUAAUCAAACCCAAAACAUGAUACAUUAAAGUAAAUCUCAUUAGGCCUAAACUUAAUAUCUCAUAAUUCAAGCCUAAUUUAAUAUAUAAACCUAAAUCCACAAUCAAAAUCAACUCACUUUAUGCUAAUCCCAAUUUACAAUCAAAAUCAAACAUAAUUUAAUAAGUAAAUAACUAAAUAAAUUAAGCAAACUCAAAACUCUCAAACCACUAUUGCAUAAAUCAAACAAUAAUAAAUAUAAUAAAAAUAAAAUAAAAUAAAAUAAAAAUAAAAAAUUUAACUCACGUUGGAGCCAGUUUGAGUGUCGUGGGAAAGAAAGACAAUGAGAGAAAAGUGGGAGAUGAUUGUUAGCUGGUAGUGGUUCGCCCGCGGCGACUGGUCGAUAGUCCUACCAACGGUAGUGAGGAUUGAUGAGUUUUGGGGAAAGGAAAAAAAAGAGGAGUAGUAAAAAAAAAAUGAAGAAAUGAGAGGAAGGUGGGAUAAGAGGGGAGAAAGAGAAUUAAGAAAAUAGGGGAAAAGAAAUGAGGCUGGCUGGAGGAGAAAAUGGCAGUGUGUGUGAGCUAAAGUGAAGAAGAAUGAAAGAAGAAGAAAGAGAAAAAUGGGGAAGAAGGAGAAAAAAAUUCGAGCCCCCUAAAUGAAGAAAGGUGAGUAGCCUAAAGAAGAAGAAAAAAUAAAAUAAAAUAAGAAAAAAUGAGGAGAAAAUGAGAGGGCCAAUAGUCUUGGGAAUGGGGUGGUAUGGGUGAGAGAGAGUGGACGGGGUUGUUGGGGAAGGUAUGGGAGAGAGAGGAGUGAUAAAAGAAAGAGAAAAAAAACAUAAUAAUAAUAAUAAUAAUCAUAAAUAAUAUAUAAAAUAAUAAAAAUUAAUAUUUAAAUGAUGAGUGGGUCCAAAAUGUUAUAUGUAAUUGGGAUUUAAUUUUAAGAGUAAAAUUGGACUAAAAAUUAAUGUAAAAAUAAAAUUGGAACAAAUUUUAGAAUCUACAAAUACAUUCUUUAAUCUUUCCACAACAUCAAUCUGAUCUAAAUGAAAUGCAAUAAAUUCUAAAAAUGAUACAAUCUUUAAUCAAUCCACAACAUCAACCCGAUCAAAACUCAAUGCAAUAUUGCUUAAUGGAGAGAAUCGUAAACUCCUUUUAUGAGAGGAAAACAAAACCCUUAACAGACCUUUAUGAGAGGAAAAUAGGAAAACAUAGAACUAAAAACCCUUAACGUAUUCACGAGAAUAAAAAAUUCUUAACACCUUAAUAAGAGGAAAACAAAGAAUUUGAACAAUCCUUAAUCCAUCAAAAGCUCUUAAUAUGAACGAGGGGAAAACAUAACCUUUAUUUUUCAGAUAGUUGAAUAAAGAAUCUAAAGAGAUAGAAUUUUUAGUUAUUAAGGAUUUUUUUAUAGAUGUCUAUUGAAAGUUUAAGAACUUUUAUGGAUAAGUGUUAAUUAAGAGACUGAAAGGGUACUUAGGAUUUUCAACUAAAAAAGUUAUAACAAUAUGAAUCGUAAGAACUUAAAAACAUCACCCAUCCAUAAGAGGAAUAUGGAAUGAGAGGUUAUUUUUUUACUUAUACAACAAUAAACUUUUUUGGAAGAGGUUUUUCUAAGUACAAAAAGUUAUGAAUAAAAAACCAUUGUUACGAUGAGUUAACUAAAAUAGAAUUAAUUUAGAAAAUAUCAAUAAAGUUGCAUGAAUUAUUAUCAUGAGUUAACUUAAUAAGAAUAAAUAGUAAUGAAGUUAAUGAAGUGAAUUUGGAUUGGCAGAUAUAUUUGAUGAUAAGAUUUUAUAAUAAUAAUAAAUUAUUAUGGCAGGAAAAAUAGGACAAAAUUGACCUUAUGAUAAGAUUUUUUUUAAUAAUAAAAACAUUAUUAUGGUAUGAAAAAAAGGGACAAAAUUGGCCUUUCCUUAAUUGUAACGGUUAAAUGGAAAUAAUGGGACAUGCGGUGGUUACAAGCCACCCCAAAAGGUAGGAAGAAUCUCCAACCCCCAUUCUCGGCUCCCUUAUCUUUUCCCUUACAACCAAAAAUCAACAACUAUCUUAGAAUGUCCUUCAGUCCACCAAAAUUCAACAACAACAAUUAUACAUUACAAUAAUGAAAACAAAAUUGAUUGAUCACCAGCUAACAUUAGGAGAUUAUAAGAUAAGGAUGUAAUUGCAAUUAUUGAAAUCACUUAAAGAGUAAAAAUUAGGAACAUGCUCACAAUAAAUAAAAUCACCUUAGAAUUAAAAAUUAGGGACAUGAUUAUGAUGACUAAAAUCACUCGAGAACUAAAAUGUUUUAGAGAUACAAUAAUUGAAAUCAACUGAAAAAUAAAUUCGGGAUGUGGUCGCAAUUAAUGUAUAUAUAAACAACCAAAUGUUGAAAGGAAAAACUAAUGAAAUUAAUAUGAUUUUCUUUCUAUGGUUAGAUUUCUCUUGACACCAAACAAAUGUAAGGAAGUUUAUAAAGGAAAAUUAGGUUUUGAUUCACUAAAUUAAAAUAAUAUAGAAAAAAGAUCUUCAAAUUUUAUAUAUCAGUUUUAUUUUUAUUUAUCUAAAAAAAAUUUAAAAUACAUAUAUUUUUUCAUAACUCAAAUAGUCAUUCCUCAAAUGCUAGUUUUACUUGUUAUGUUAAUAACACUAGUUAAUAAUUUUUUUAUUGUGAGAAUGAUUUAAGAUUAAUAAAAUAAGAAAUUUUUAAAACUAAAAAAGCAUUUAAAACUUUAAAAUUAAAAAUAUAAAAAUAAAACAAUAAUUUUUCAUUUAGUAAAACACGCCAGUAGAAAAUAUAGAUAUAGAGAAAGAGUUGGAAAUAAAAUAAGAGUUAAUAUUUUAUUUUUAAAAUUUUAUGUUUUUUAUUUUAAUUGUAUUUAAUUUUUAUGUAUUUUAGUUGUAAUUAUAUUUUUAAUUUUUAAAUUUUUUUUUAUUUUAUUGUUGAUGUAAACUAAUAAAUUUUUUGUUUAAUUAUAUAUAUAUAUAUUUUUAAAUUAGUGAGUAAAAACUCACUUUUUCUAAUUUAUAAUGUAUUUAUGGGAUUUUAUAAUAUAAGCAAUUUUUUUUUUUUGAGAAAGAGGAAAAAUCAACUUUUCAAUUUCCCUUAAUAAUUAUUAUUAUUAUCCAAUUUGGCUGAUUAUGAGAUUAGUUGGUAUCAUUACUAUAUCCAUUUGUUCUUAACCCUUCAUUAGAAUAGUAUUAGGAGUUGAACGUCAAUUGGAAUAUAGGCUUAUGGAAACAAAUCUAUCCAAGGAGGAAAAUGUCACGAUAUUUCGGCGAUAUAUCGCCGAAAUAUCGUGUAUCGAAGGGUUUAUAUUUUUUCGGUCCGGCGAUAUUUCGGUAUUUAUUGCGAGAAAUCGCCGAUUUCUCGCGAUAUAUCGGUGAUUUUUCAUCAUUGAUAUAUCGCGUGGUCAACGCGGGUCAACGAAAGUCAAACCCGCUACAGUGCCCGUCAACGGGUACACCCGCUUACCAUCUGGGCUAAAUUGCCCUUUGAUAUAUAAUAUGCAACAACUAUAUAUAUACUUAAAUUCAUUAUAUAAAGAAAAUAUAAGAAUAUUUUAAAGAGCAAAUUAAUUAUAAUUAUUUUAUAAUUAAAUGCAAUGGUGGUGUUUGUUUUUUUACUUAAUUCUAAAUAGAACCUUAAUACUUAAUAGUAUUAAAUAUUAGGUUGUUUGUUUUUGUAAUAUUUUAUUUCUAUUAAGUAUUAAAAAGUAAAAAAAACCAUUGUGUUAUUUUUUCUAUUUCGAAAAAGCUAUAUAUUUUGGCUUUUUCUAUUUAGUAAAAAGUUUAUAAUAAGUCAUGAAAAAGUAAAAAAACAAACAACCUAAAUUCUAAAACUAAAUGGUUUUCAGCAAAAAGCUAAAAAAACGAACACCACUAAAGUCUUUUAAUUAAUUACCAAAAAUAUAAAAAUUAUAUAAUUUUCUUCAUAAUGUUUUUAAUAUCAUUAAUAAUUAAUUAACUAUUAAAAAAUUAUAUAUAUAUAUAUAUCAUUAUUUAUUUUAUAUUGUUUAAUACAAUUGAAUUAAAUGGAUCAUAUUUUAAUACUAAUAUAUAUUUUAAAAUUAGACAUAUUAUAAUCAAAUAUCAUAAUAUUAUGUGUAAUUUAAUAAUAAAUGUACACUUAUAAAAUUCAUAUUUUUAUCGAUGCAUACGAUAUUAUUAUCAAAUAUGAUAAAUCAUGUUAUACAUAUAUCAAAAUUUUCAAUAAAAUAACUUUAAAAUGUCUAUUAUACUUUUAAUUAUAUUAUUAUGAGGUUUUCCUUACAUUUUCAUAAGUUUUUAACAAUUUCAUAAGUUUUCCGAUAUAUUCGAUAUAUCCGUAAAAUCAAAAUACCGAUAUAUCCGUGAUUACCGAUAUUUUUAUCCUUGAAUCUAUCCGAUUAGUAGGUUCUUAUUAUUUUCAAUAUAGACCCCGUAAAAUAAAUAGGGCAGCCCGUCCCUUUUGUCUGGAGGCAUCCUCCCAACUUAUUAAAGGUGAUAUGAGAUAAGACAGUGACAAAAUUGUCAGUUACUUCCCGACACCUGGCUCUCCACAAGCAAACCCAGUGAUCCAGAAAUUAAUUGGUACCUGGACACGUGACUACCAAACGAUUCGCUCACCCACCAUACCCAUGGCCUCAUGCCCCAUAUAUUUCCACAAACCUAGCUCAAUUUUCAUAGCCACCUUCACUGUCCUACACUCACUAAGCCAUGGCCAUAGAUACAAGCCUCUUGCUUGAGCUUGCUGCAGCAACUCUACUCUUCUUCAUCACCCGCUUCUUCAUUCGUUCUCUCCUUCUCAAAUCUUCCCGGAAGCUCCCUCCUGGCCCCAAAGGGUGGCCGCUCGUCGGCGCUCUUCCUCUUCUAGGUAACAUGCCUCAUGUUGCAUUAGCAAAGAUGGCCAAAAGAUACGGGCCUGUCAUGUUCUUGAAAAUGGGCACUAACAGCAUGGUGGUGGCCUCAACUCCCGGGGCGGCUCGGGCUUUCCUUAAAACGCUAGACAUUAAUUUCUCUAACCGCCCGCCUAAUGCCGGUGCGACACUCUUGGCCUAUCAUGCCCAAGACAUGGUUUUUGCGGAUUAUNNNNNNNNNNNNNNNNNNNNNNNNNNNNNNNNNNNNNNNNNNNNNNNNNNNNNNNNNNNNNNNNNNNNNNNNNNNNNNNNNNNNNNNNNNNNNNNNNNNNACCACAUAACCACCAUUUAGAUAUCUAUCCUUUUAUUUUUGGCAUGUGAACUUAUAGUGGGUGGCUGACCUUGAAUCCAAUAGUUAUCAUGAUAUAUAUGGCUGAAAUUAAAUCCAAUAGAAUCCAAUAUGUUUUCUUAUAUCUCAAGUUUCAAUCAAAAAAAUAUUUAUGAUUUGUUUUUAUUAAUUUGUGUCUUGUUUUCAAUUUAAUUAAUGAAAAUUUAUUUGAUCAAAAAGUUCAUUACAAACCAAUUUUAAAAAUCUAAUCCUUUAUUAUAUUUUGAUAUCGUUUUGAUAAAAAUGUCUUUAUUAUUAUUAUUAUUAUUUUUUUAUAAAAAUAAAUUUUUUUAUAAAUAUAUUGUAAAUAUUUAAAAUAAUUAAAAAUAUUUAGAUCAAAAAUCGAUUAUUUUUCAAACAAAAAUAUGAAAGUGAUAAAUUUGUAAAUAUGGGGAAUAUUUAAUCCUUUUAAUCGAUUAUUUCAUUAAUGAAGUGGGUAUAAUGAUGAACGCAGACUUGGUUUUGCUAGGGCAUGCAGAGGUUUUGCAAGAGAGAGAGAUCAUUUCUCGACUCUGAGAAAUCAAUCUCCUUUUGGCCCGGUGGCGGACUCCAAGUAAAGCCUUGAAGGAGCCUUGCUAACAUCCCUGCACACCCACGCCUUCCAGUACUGAAGGAAAUGAAGCGAAGGUUUGGCUCGUUCAACUCCACUGCUUGAACUGUACUAGCAUUCAGAUGCCGCUCUGGAUUGAAAUUUAGCGGUUCUUCCCAGAUUCUAGGGUUCCGGCCCAGCCCCAGACGACUCAGAAGGACAUGACUGACUUUGGGGAUAAAGCACCCAGCAACACUAGUCGGAUUCCUGAACUCGUCUAUCCUUUCCAACCACUCCAUCAAUUUCUUCACUGCUUUGCUCAAAAUCCCUGGUUGCUUGAUCAUUGCCUACUCAAUUGCAUUUGAUGGACUAUCGACGCCUGCAAGCAUCAACUCCUGCAAAUUAUGGAAGGAUCAUAAUCUGAUGAUUGAUCAAGUUAUUUGCUGGCUAGGAAAUGAUCAUCAUGCAAUGUAGAUCAAAAGGUAAGCACAACACUACUACAAAAAUAAUUUAUGGUGUCACUUUUAAAAUAAUGACACCAUAGGGUUUAUAAUUAAUAAAUGUGAUACAUCAUAUAAAAAUUCUUCAAUUGUGAUAGUUAGAUUAUGUUAGUUUUAUAUUUAUAGUGUCAUUUUUUGGGAAGUAACAUCAUAUAAAAUAAAAAUUUUUAAGUAUUAUAACUUAAUGAGCCCACUUGAGCCCACUUUUAUAAUUAAUAAUCAGGGAUAAUGUAUAAAAAGCCCAUUGUUUCCACAUGUCACCCAGAAUAAAAAAAAUCUUAGUAUACAAACCUUAUAUAUCUUCUUCUACCUUUUCUCUUACCCAUAAUCAACACACUCACAACCGACAUUUUCCACUUUGUGGACUCCCAGGUAAUCUAAAUUCUCUUAGAUCUAUCAUCUUUUUUCUUUUAUUAAUAUCAUUAUAUUGAUUGUUUCUGCAUCUUUGUAUUAUGGUUUUUGUGAACUGCGUUUUCUUGAGUUGUAGAGAAGAAAAACUUAGGUUUAAACUUCUAGUAUAGACGAAGAAACCUAUAGAUUAAUUGAUUUUUUAAUAUGAACCAAACACAUGACCGACUUCUUAAAAACAAGUGAAAAACAACAAAAAAUGAAUGAUUUUUAAUAUAUAUUUAUGUGAGAAUGACAGGUACAAAAUUUUAUUGAGAUAUUCUGCCACAUAAUCUUCAUCCCUUCCCUAAAAUGAGAGAGAGAGAAAAAAAAAAUAAUAAUUUUUUUUGUGUGUAUCUAAGUGGGAAUGAGAGAUAUAGAAUUUCGUUGAGAUGCAGUGCUGCCACAUGAUCUUUAUCCUCCAUUAAACCCAACAUAUUAAAUCCACUAACUCUCUCCCCAAAAACGAGUAAAAAAAAAAGGAAAAAAGUAUGAGUUAAAAAACAAAAACGGAAAAUAUGAUUUUUUUUUAAUGUGUUUCUAAGGAGAAUGAGAGACACAAAUUUUUGUUAAGAUGCAUUGCCACGUGUUCUUCAUCCUCUCCAUUAAGCCUAGUAUAUUAAACCUAAUAGCUCUCUCUUUUAAGCUUUCUAGUGAAGUGCCUACAGUAUCCAACUCAAAAUAAGACAACUUAAGCCCCAUUAGCCAACAAACAUGAGAAAAAAAUUAGUUUGUCAAACAUUGUCUAUUUGAAGGUCCUUGAUGGGUAUUGCUCAAAUUUUAGAAAUCUUGUCUCCUUAGAGGAAUUGAAGUUAUUUGGUUUAAGAUCCCAUGACUACCAUGCACUUAUGCAACAAUUGUUGCUAGUGGCAUUACAUUUUGUUUUGCCAAAGCAUGUGAGAUAUACUAUAUCAAGAUUGUGUAUCUUCUUCAAUCAAUUAUGUACAAAAGUGGCUGAUGUGCCAAAAUUGGAUGAGGUACACAAUGAGUUAGUGGUCACGCUGUGCUUACUUGAAAAGUAUUUUUCACCUUCAUUUUUUGAUAUUAUGCUUCAUCUAGCAGUGCAUUUGACAAGGGAGGUGUGACUAUGUGGUCCAGUUUACUUUAGGUGGAUCUACCCAUUUGAGAGGUAUAUGAAAGUUCUUAAAGAAUAUGUUCGCAAUCAUAAUCGGCCUGAAGAAUGCAUUACUAAGUGCUAUUUAGAAGAAAAAGCUAUCGAAUUUUGUACUGAAUAUUUAUUAGGGACUCAUGCAAUUGGAAUUCCAAAAGUAACAAUUAUGACAACAAAUUUGGUAGACCUAUAAUUGGUGGUCAUUCUACCAACAUUGAUCAUAAAUCGUGGUUACAAGCACAUCAUUAUCUGUUAGAGAAUACAACUAUUGUCCAACCAUACACUGAGUAAGAAAAACAUACCUUUAUCUUUUUAUAAUUUCAUAACAUAAUGAUGAAAUCCUAAGUUUGCAUUCCUUGUCUUUAACGUCAUAGGGAACACAUGAAUUGGUUGAGGUCUCAAUACCCUCGACAAUCUAAUAGACAAAUUUGAUUGCAAGAAGAACAUAUGAGUUGUUUUACAUAUUGGCUUAAAGAAAAGGUAAUCUCUUAGUUUUUAGAAAAUUUUUCAAUAUGUUGAAAACAUCACAAGUUUCCAAUAUGUUUUGAUUAUACACGGGUUGAAGAGGCUAUCCAUAAUGGGCAAGAUAUUCUCGACACGCUUAGGUGGUUAGCACAUGGCCCUACUCUCCAGGUAGUCAAAUAUCUUGGAUAUAUCGUUAAUGAGUGUCGUUACCAUACUAAGGAAUGCGAUAUGACAUGCAUCACCCAAAAUAGUGGUGUUAGCAUUUUAGCAAGGACUAUGCAAAUUACCAGUUCUAAGGAUAAGAACCCAGUUUGUGGUAAACUUUGCUUUUAUGAGGUCAUUAAUGAGAUAUGAGAUCUUGAUUACAACAUGUUCACAAUUCUAAUUUUCAAGUGUGAUUGGAUUGACAACAAGAAUGGUAUAAAAGUUGAUGAACUCGGGUUCACAUUAGUUGACUUCUCCAAAAUAGGUCACAAAUUGGAUCCAUUUAUUUUAGCAUCACAAGCCAAGCAAAUCUUCUAUGUUGAAGAUCAACUUGAUCCUAAAUGGUCAAUAGUUCUCUCAAUUCCUCCAAAAGAUUUCAAGAACAUAGAAGGACUAGAUGACUUCACCGAUAAUUGCAUGGUUCAUCACCCCUUUAUAAGUUCAAUGCCAGAAUUUGAAUCAUUUGAUGCUAUGGAUGAAUCAUAGGCAAUAUACAUGAGAGAAGAUUGUGAGGGCAUAUGGAUUGAAAAUAAUUAAAUAAUAUAUUGUACCCUUGAAUGAGAUAUAAUAAGGCAUUUCACUUAUUAGUUUUCAUGAGUUGCACAUUAGCUUAGCUUCUAUAUAUUGCUCAUGAUAUAUCUAUAUAUAUUAAUCAUCCUAAAUUUCUUUCAUGCAUCAUAAACAUAUGUUAUUCAAAGGUACCACUUCAAUCUUCAUUCAACUAUCUUUUUGUUGUCCAUGGAACUAGAUUUAUAUUAUUUUUUAUUAUCAUGUUUUGAUUUUAUGCUCACAUAACUUGAAACUCUCAUUCCUAAAUUUCUUUUUCAUUAAAACUAUAAAUUAGAAUUGAAACUAUGCAUAAUUUAUUUUAUUAUUAUCCUCACAAAUAAAUUCUUCAUUAUUGAUAAGAAAUCAAAAAACAAGACAAACUUUGAAAGAAAAUUUCAAAAUAUAUAUUUGUGAAUGACCAAUUUAAUUAUAGAAAAUAUAUGCAAGGCUAUACUAAUCUUGCUUUUGAGUCAUUUUACAGGUUUGUUGGUGAAGUACUAGUUUGCACAUUUACUUGAUAUCUUCCACACAAAUAUGGAUCUAGAAGAAGAGGAAAUGCAAAAAAUAAAGCAUAGAGGUAGUACAUUGAAACCAAAUAUUGCAAAAAAUCGAAGUAAAAGGAUAAAACUCAAGAUUGAAUACAAUAGCCUUGGUAGUCACAUUGAGGAAAAUUCAAUUGAACUAAGUAGUUAUCUUAGUACAAUAACUAGAACCCAUGUGCCAAUAAUUAUUGAGAGUUGGAGGAAAGUCCCUAAAGAGACUAAGGAGAAGUUAUGGGAUUUGAUCACAAUAAGUGUAUCUAUAGAUUUAAUAUAUAAUUAUUGUAUACAUUCAUUAACAUGAGCUAACAUGGGUUGCUAUUUUGUAGACAAGCUUUAAUGUGAAUAAAAAAUCCAAGAGGAAUUGUUUCAUACUAAUGGGCAUCAGGUUUCGAACCUUUAAGUACAAGUUGACAAAGAAAUAUAUAUUGUCUUUCAAGAAUGACCAGAAAAGCUGAAAAAGUCACCUCCUAUUUACCCAUUCAUACAAGAGGAUCAUUGGAGAUAGUUUGUUAAAGAUAGACUUUUUGAACAUUUUAAUGUUAAGCAUUAUUUUUAUUACAUCUUCAAUUUUCACAUUUACGUAGUUUUAUCAUGUACUAAUUUUGUGUCUAUAUUUUGUAGGAAUAUCACAAAGUUCAGAAAUCAAGAAGAGAUAAACACAUUUACAAUCAUUAUCUUCGAAGAAAAUGAUAUGCACGUUUUGAGCAGGAUAUAGUAAGUUAUCAAUAUCCAUAAAAAAAAAUGGAGUAUAUAUUUUGUUUAUAGGAAAAUGAUUUCAGUUUUUAAAUAUCAUUUAUUAACUUGAUCAUAUUGAACUAAUGAGUUUUAUUGUUAAAAAUUAUAUAGCUACAAGCAGAAGGGGCUAUUGGUAGGGUUGAUAGAAGUGUUUAUGAAAGAAAACAUGUGAGAAGAAAGGAAAGUUUAAUAAGAUUACAAAGCCAAUGAUUAACAUGAUAGUAAGUUAGCAUAUUUAUGCCUUUUAGAGCUUAUAGUGUUAGUAUGUUUGCCUAUAGUGUUAGUAUGUCUAUGUGAUUAUGGUUUGUGAUGAUAUCGUUAGGUGUUAAUAGGUAAGAGGCUUAAUGCUAUCAUUUUUAUGAGUAGUCAUGUUAUACUAGUGCAAAUAUAGUAGCCUAAUUUGAAAAUUAAUUUUGAAACAAUAUACAUUAAUUUAUCUAUUAUCAUUUUUAUUAAAACAAUUCAUUUUCUAGCUACCUUGAAUUGGUCCUCUUGAGUUGGUUGUCUUUGAUUGAUAUGUUAAUCAUCUUCAUCAAAUUAUUACUAAUAUAUGUUUUGUUGUAGGAUGAAUUACUAGAAAAGGCAAGGAGACUGGACUACCUCCACCUGGUCCAAAUGACAUAUUAUGUCAGGCAUUGGGUAAGCUUGAUCAUCUAGGACGUGUGGUAGGUCAAGACCGUUUGGUUAAGCCGAACUCAUACUUUCAUCAACCAUCUAAUGACAUGAAAAAAAAAAAUCAAAGAAGAAAUAUGGGAAAUGGUGUGAAAGGAGAUGCAAGAUGCUGGAACAAGACAAACUAUGUCUCCCCCCACACCCCAUUCUAAUAUGGGUAGUAAUAACAUGAGACAACAACUUGUUUUACAACUAGUUGUAGCAAAAAAACCAAUGUUUAAAAUGAUGGAAGAGCCCCAACCACCAAAACCACCAUUGAAAUGUAAGGUAUACAUUUACUUACUAAUAAUACAAGAUUAAUAUAAGUGAUAUAUAGCCUAUGUAAAUGAUAUUAUUUGUUGUAUUGAAGGUAAUUAAAUAUAAAUUAGCAGUGGAAUGAAAAUGAAAUGUUGUUGCAACCGGUACACUAAUAGAAGAAAAUUGAUCAAAUGGGUUGGUCGUAAUAAAUGUUGCACACAAGCUAGUUGCUAGACUCCCAUUUCCAAAUCCAUAUGAGAUUAUCAAUGUUGGGGAUGCUAUUGGCUUUAAGCUUGACUGGCCAACAAGCCUUGUCAUACUUGAAACUGAACAUCCUCAGGUAUGUCAUUUUAUACUUGUAGUAAAUUUGAUUGUAACUUGGUAUUUUAUUGUUUAGGAGUAUAUAUUACUAACAUUCCUUCCCUUUUCAUAGGUGUUGGAUAAAGGAAAGAAGUAGAUAGUGAAUGCACCAAGUAUUCGAAAAUCUAAGCCUCAAAAUCAUUCGGUCAUUAAAAAUUUUCAAAAAUUUAUGGAUGGUUGUCUUAGUAAUGAGAAGACAUACCUAAUACAGCUCCCCAUUUCACUAUUUGGUGUCGAAUUCCGAACAUAUAUAUCUAGAGAGGAUUGUGAAUACAUUAUUCCAUCUUUAGAGGUGUCAUCAAAAUGCAUCUCCUUCCAUUUAUGGUGUGCACCUUUUAUUUUCAUUUGUUUUUAUUUUUUUAAUAUGAGUUGCCCAUGUUGAACGAGAUUGGAUAUGACUAAUGAUAAUUUUCUUUUGGUGUUUUGAUAAUAUAAUAGGUACAUGCAUGAUCAACUACAUAUUGCCAAAAAGGAAUCACAAUUUAUAUUUGUUAAUCCUUUUACAAUAUCAUGAGCAGGCUUUAGUAAUCCUCAAACAGAGAAAAGAACACAAUUGUUGUCAAAACACUUAAUAGAGUGCCAAGAUGCCGGAUAUGUUUUCAUGUCCUACAACCUCAAGUAAGUGACGAAUAUUAUACUUUAAUUUGAGGUUUUAUGAUUGAUUUAUAUUUCUAAUUAGAUGCUACUUUUGUUUUUAAACGUUUUAGCUUUCAUUGGGGUUUUGGUAGUGAUUGAGCCAAGGAAAAUGAUAGUCCACUAUCUUAACCCUGUGCAUCACAAACCAUGUGAGGACUUAAAGGAUAUCGUAAACAUGUAAGUUCUUCCUAUUAUUUUUCAUAGUAUUAUUUAAAAAAAAAUUACAUUCACCUCAAACACAUUUUUUAUUAUUAUUUCUAUAUAUUAAAACAUAUAAAAUUUACCUAUCUUAAAAAUGUACCCAUUGAACUUAUUUACAUAGGGCUCUUCAAAUAUUUGCAAAGAAAAAAAAUUUUCUUUACACAUUUAGCUUAUGCAUUUGCACCAUUUAUAUAUAUGAGUACUAAUGUUAUUUUAUAACUGAUCGAUUAGUGUCCAAGACAAGAAAGAGGGUUCGAAUGUGGCUACUUUGUUAUGAGAUUCAUUAAAGAGACAAUUUUUUAUCCUACAAUUAUUGCUUCAAAGGUAUUACUUAUUUAAUGAAUUGUACAUAGUUUUAAGCUUCCAAAUGUUAUGCAUUUUAAUGUUAUUUUCUUAUUUGAUUUUAGUUUGGUGAUAAAAAAACAUAUUCUCAAGUAGAAUUCAAUGAAAUUAGAGGAGAAUGGACUACUUUUGUGCUACAACUAAUCAUGAAUCAUGUUGAUGCAUCAUGAUCACCAUGCAUGGUGAGUCCCUUAACUACUACAUGAAUUUUUCCAUAGAUAUUGUAUAGUAUUGCUUUUCUUUGAACAAUGUUUUUAUUUGAAAAAAAGAAAAAAAAAAAAAGUUCUUAGAUUUGUUCAUUUAUGAUAACAUCGAUCCAUAUUUAUUUUCUUCAAUGAAAUCUAUAAAACUCAUUAAACUAUGAAAUGCAGGUAUACACUCUUAGGAGGGUGGAAUAGAGAAUAAAAAGAACGAAGAAGGCAACAAGAUUUUGGGUUUUUAAAUGCAACUCGUAUGUCAUAUGUUGUAGGACAUAAACGUUACUUUAAUUGGUAGUGAGAAUUUUAGAUUUUUAGAUGCUACUUUUAUGUCAUUUUAUAGUUAGUCGGUUUUAUGCUUAUGAAAUGAAGGUAUACAUGAAUCUUGGGAUGCUUAACAUUUCUAAAUCAUGUUUUGGUAUUUAUUCACUCUUCUUUUUUAGUUUUGGUGGGUUUGAUAUGUUGGAUGUACUAUCUUUUUGUGAACAUUUGAUAGACAAAUAUUAUUAGAUGAUCAAUGUAUUACGAGUUAUUCCAUAAACAUUACCGAAAAAUGAGUUAAAUGUAAUAUGAUUGUUAUAUUUAUGGACAAAAUAUACACAGGUUAAUCCUAUUUGUUAAUUCAUAAGUAUUACAAAAAUCUACAACUAAAAGCAAUCAUAUCUUCCACGAUAAUUUACAAUGAUGUGACACCAUAACUCAAAGGUGAUGCAUUUAAUGUGACAUCAUAACUCAAAGAUCAUGCAUUUAAUGCGACAUCCUAUCAUCACUAGAAAUAUAUGAUGUCACUUCCGAAUGUGUCACCAUUUAUCUACUUUGGUGUCACUUACAAAUACGUCACCAAUUGGUACCCUCUAUGGUGUCAGUAGAGAAGGUGACACUAUGUUGUAGUGACACCCUAUGUUUAUGGUGACUCGUUAUAAAUGUCACCAUAUAUCUUUUUCCUUAUAGUGAAAAUUACUUAUCUUACUAUGCAUUGGGCUUUGAUAUUAGCCAGAGACAGUAGUGGCUCCUAAUUUUUAUCCUUAUUAAUUUUUAUCCUUAAUUGAAAUGAAAACGUCAAGCAGGUCCUCAACCUCUUUUUCGCCAUUCUUCCAUUGUUCUACUAUUUGGUCCACGAUUGGAUCAUGGUACUUGUUAAUGGUGUUCAUAGCCUCCCUUAUAGUCUUUUCAUGGCCAUCUAAAUUCAGUACUCUCAGCCAUGGGAAGUAAUCAGAUAAAGAGAAUACAUAUAGAUGAGCAAGUACAGUAAAGAAGGAUUCAACAUGUUGCUCCUCUUCAACUCCAGGGCCUCCAUCUUUCUUUCGUUGGCUAAAGUAUCUUGUGUUGAGGAUCAUCUUCCGGAUGAAAUUCCUGCUGUAUUGACGGAUUGUAUUUCUGUCACACCCCAAAUACUAGGCAACCCAGAACUUGACUCGUGACCCCAGGUCAAAGGUUUGACCUUAAGAGUUACUCUUAUCCAUGUUGGCAAUCAAUUAAAACACCUUAAAUUUUUUUCUUCAAUAAAGCGUUUAAUCCUAAAUAAAUUUAUUAAGCUAAGAUUUACUAUAACAUAUUAUUUUAUUUUUCCAAAACCAACCAUCACAUUAUCUUCUGUUCACAAGUAUUAAAAAAAAAAAAAAUUCCACCAAUCAUCUUCCUACCCAAAAACUCAAAUAUUUACAAUAAUUUCUAAGUCAAAAAGAAUAUUUCCAAAAAUGUUUUACAAACUAAUAAAAUAUAAUUUAACUUAAAAAAGUCCAUAUAACUCAAAUUAGUAGAUGUCAAAAGGUAAUUAAAAAACAACAACAACCAUUAUUAUGGUUUUUUUGCUUUUUAGAACACUUCAUGAUCUUCUUAUAGUCCCUCAGAAACUAUAUCUGCAUCUAAAAAUUUUAGAAAAUAAAGGGAUGCACAUUUCCACGUUACUAUUUAGACCUAAAUGGGUUAGAAAUUCUAGGUCAAUAAAACACAACCAUAUGCCAAAAUAUAAUAUUACAUUUACAUUAUACACACUAAAAGAAACCUCAACCAUACAAAUUUAAAUCAAUCAAAAUUAUCAUUUUCCUUAUUUAAUCAUAUGUUUAGCAUAUCAAUAAUUUUAAAUUUACAAAAUAAAUAAGUCACUUUAGUCUUGAAUAAUAUAUUCAAACAUACACUUGAUAAAUAAUACAAAUCAUUCUUCCAAAUGCAACCAUAAUACAAAUGCUUACACACAAUCAAGCAAUGCAAUAUCGUUCUCGGGCUUUCACCGAAGGAUACGCGUUUAUACCCAAAUACACUCCCCAUUCGGAGUCUUCCUAGGGUAAACUUUUGAGUCUUUCACCCUAAGGAACUCACUCACUUCUUAAUUCACUAUCUCUAGGGUCAUUCAAUUUCUUAUUUUUCUUUUCUUUUCAUUUUUGCCAUUUUUGGGGUCUUUUCAUUCUCAUUUUCAUUUCACACAACCAUUUCUUUAAUUUUUAUUUUUCUUCACACAAUCAUGAUGCAUAUGAAAUGCAAAUGAAUCAUAUUUUAAUAUCCAUAAUUUUCCAAGACAUAAUUUUAUUUACUCCCAUUAUGUUUCAUAAUUUCCAAUAAUCCACACAACGAUUUUUCUUCACUUUAAUCAUUACAAACAUAAAAGAAAAUUCACAAUUAAUUUGUAUAGCAUCAAAACAUAGUUUUAAACAUUAACUACAUAAAUUCUAUUUAUUCCCGACAUGCUUAAUAAUUUCCAAAUCCAAUAUAACCAUUUUUUUCAAUUAAAUAACCACACAUAUCCAAGAAAAUUCUCACUAAUACAAAUAUCAACGAAAAUGUAAUUUAUGUCAUAAUUUAUUUGUCUCCAAUAAUUUCAAAAAUUUUGACACCCAUAUGAUAAUUUUCCACAAUUAAGCCACCCUAACAUUUGGGAAAAAUUUUCCAAUAAUUCAAAUAUCAACAAAAACCCAAUUUAUAUCAUCAUUUUAUUUAUUUUUAAAAGCAUUAAUAAUUUUAAUAAUCAAUACAACACUUUUUCACAAUCAAGCCACCACAACAUUCUGGGAAAUUUUUCCAAUAAUUCAAAUGUUAACAAAACACAAUUAUACCUUAAUUUUCUUAUCUCCAACAACAUCAAUAAUUCUUAGUACUCAAUACAACUAUUUUUAUUUUUUCAUAUUUAAUCUUCUCAAACAUUACCAAAAUUCCAAGAAAAAUCCAUAAAAUCACGAAAUAAAAUUAUUCACAAUAAUAAUCACACUUCAAAUACUACAAAUAACAUCUAUUAUCUUUCAACAACACAAUAUAUAAAUUUUUUUCAAAGAAAAUAUUAAAUCAAAGUUUUAGGGUUAAAUCACCUUACCUUAAAUUUGAAAAAUUUAACCGUUAAAACUAAAAUAGGACACCGUAGGAGUGUUCCUCGCAUUGAAUAGAAUGUCCUUCCAAAAUUUCACGCGAAAUGGACGUCAUUUGGUAGGUCCACCAGCAUCCUAAAGCUGGCGACCCAUUUUUCCCACUCUUUGUCGACGACUCCCUUACAUCUCUCACUCGAUUUCCUUUCUUCAUUUUCUUUUCUUCUUCUUCUUUUAAACUCCCAUGACAAUUUCACUUUAUAUAUAUAUAUAUAUAUUAUUAAAACAAAUCCUAAAAUACCACGCACAUCCAUUUCUUAAUAAAUUAAAACCAUUAUUCUUAAAUUCACCUUCUGUAAUUAUGAAUUAUACCAAACUUAUGAUUUUCCAUCUCAUGAAAAAUACCACCGUAUUCGUAAUUUAAUUUACUACAAGCCUAUUCUUCAAAAAGUAUAAUUUGAUUAUAAUUACAUGAAACAUUGAUUUUUUACUCUAAAAUUAAUUUAAAACAUGAUAUAAUUAACUAUUAACAAAAUUCAAUUCCAUAAAAAUAUUAAAAACAUAAAAUAAUUUUUUGGCAAUCAAGAAGUUGAAAUUUGUAAUAACCCUUAACCCGUUAAUUUUACCUAUAUUUAUUUACCAACAAAAAUUUAAAUAAUAUUCUAAAAUUUAAUUCCAUAAAUUAAUUAGUCAUUCAAUUUAUAAAAAUCAAAUUCUCUACCCUUUGGUAUAACUUUUAUUUAAUUUACUUCAUUUUUCAAAUUAUUCAAUCGCAUCAAAAUUUCAAAAGUUAAAUUCACUAAAUUCACAUUUAAUUAAUUUAUCCUUUUGUAUUUUUUUUUCUAAAUUCGCAUAUCAUAAUUUAAUCUUAAUUUAAUUUUGAUUCAAUUUUGUUUGAUGUUUUCUAAUUUUAUGAGGUUUAAUUCCAAUUAUAAAAAUUAAAUUCAAUUUCUUUUUAAUUAUCCAUUAUCACAAUUUGAUAUAAUAUAAAUUUUUAUCAAGUUUUUCUUACUAUGAUUUUUCUUAUAAUUAUCCAAUAAUAAUUAAAUUAAUUCUCGUAACAUAUUUAAUAUUCAAAUUUUAAAAACUUAAUCUCAAUUAUUUGAUGGUUAAUUUUUUUCUCAAAAUCUAAAUUUAAUUUAUGAAAUUCUCACUCCUUACAUCUGACGUGGCAAAAUUUUCAAACUAUUGACUUUUGACCAACUUUUCCUAAAUUUAUCCUAAUUAAAUACUAACACAUGGAUUUUCACCACUCUUUUUGACCUUUUGACCCACAAAUUUAUGAAAGACUUUAUGCUUGGAGAAUCUACAAAAACCUGGGUAUUACAAUUUCUCAAGUUGAUAACUGUCGUGGUUAUGAAGCCACCACUUGAAUACUCAGUCGCCAUUGUAAUGGGCCUGGAUGCAAAUAGUACAUCAUGUUUCUUCAAAAGUUCUCUGCUAAUCUCUGGGAAAGUCGCAGGGACGAGAUGAAAUAUUUCCCAAUUGAAUACAUGCAAUUUCAGUGUUCAUUUCUUUCAUAAAGCCAAUGUAUCCACCAGAAAGUUGUCUUGUUGUUGAGUAAAUGAGGUAGAUAUUGCACUAGUGGCCAUGGAGCUAAUGCUAGAGGAAAUUGUAUUGGCUUGCUUUUGGUACUUGUUUUGGAUUUUAAUUUAGUGAAGAUGAGAAAGAUUGAUGUGAUGAAAAGCAGCAAGAGGAAGUUGAGAUGAGACAACACAUCGUCUGUGGUAGUAGAAGAAAACAAGGUUGAGUUACUGCUACUACUCUCUACAACAAAACCAUUUACACGUCUUUUAUAGAAAAACCAUGUUUGUCUUGUCUUGGGUCUGGAUGCACAUUUUUAAUAUUGGGGAAAUCAUGCAACCAAAUGUCACACACAAAGAGAGAGAGAGAAAAAAUACGUUUUUUAGAACUUGAAAAGGUAAAGUGGGAAAAAAAUAUUACCCAUUCUUGAACUCUAAAAGUAAAGUUAUAAAAAGCUUAGUUUUUUUUUUUUUUUUUGAUUAUGUAUGAUUGCAUGAUUUCCCUCUUUUAAGAUUUUAUCUCAUAAAUUUUUUUUUCUAGAAGGUUCAAAUAAGUUUGAUGAAUAUUGUUUAUUUUUGUAAUUUGAUGAAGAUUUUUUAUUUUAGUAAUUUUAAUUUUAUGGGGUACUUAAAACAUUAGAAGUUCACAAAAAACAACAUUUAUAAGCUACCUAUCUAAAAAGUUUGGCCUAAUCAUUGAAAUCCAAAAUAUAAAGUGACAACACACUUUUUAAAGCAAUUUUCAAAAUAGUUUUUAAAAACACAUUUAUGAUAUUUUUAAAAUAAAAAUCACAAAAAUAACUUGUUUAUAUAGCAUUUUAUUAGACAAAUACUUGAUCUUUAUAAGAUCACCCUAAUUAUAGAUUUAUGAACAUGUAACACAACAAUUAUCUAUAUAUAUAUACUUAGAAUUAUUAUAUUUUAAGUUUUUAACUACAUAGGACAUCAUGAGUUUUUCCACCAUUUAUCUUAUAAUAAGUUUAUUUAAAUAUGAUAAAGGAUAUAUUAUCUCAUUUCUUAUUAUAUCUUAUGCUAUAUAUAUAUAUAUAUAUAUGUAACAAAUCAAAUACAAUUUAAAGAUUUUAAUUAACCAUCUAUUAGCAACAAAGCAAUCUCUUAAUCUCAUUCAUAAUAUUAGGAUAAUUUAGUAUUUCCUUUUAUAAAACCCUAGCAUAUAAAUCAACACAAAUCAUAUUAAGGGUGUAUUUGGUGUUGAUUUUAGGAAGCGUUUUUAGUAUUUCUAAUACUUGAAAGAUAAAAAUUUUCAAGUUUUAGAAAGAUCAAAAGUGCUUUUUAGAAUGACUAUCAAAUACACGCUAAAUAUUACUUUGAAUACUUAUAUUUUUAAAUAACUUUUAAAACUUUUAAGGCAAGUCUCUACUAUUUAUAUAAAUCCCCUAUUAUUUUUAAUUUUUAGAAACAAAAAAUAAAGAAUAGAAACUCCAUUUAAACAUCACCUUAUUAUUUCCUAUUAUAAAAUAACACAAAUCAAAUGAAUUAUUUAAAAAUAAAUAAAUAUAAAAUCAAAGUUGAAGAGAAAAACUCUUGUGCAUUAAAAAAACAUCAAAAUAAAUAAAUAAAUAAAACAUCAUCAAAUAAAUGUAAAAAUAAAAUAAUGUUAUGGAAAAAUGAGAAUAGGCAACUAGAAAAUAGAAACACAAAUUUACAUGAAAAAUCCUAGAUGAGAAAAACCAUGGAUAGAGGAGAAGAAAAUCCACUAUAUUAAAAUUUUGGUAUAAAAUGUGAGAGAAUCAAGCGAGUAUUGUAUAGGCAUAAUCACUAUGACCCUAAAUCCUAUACAUCAUCGUAUAUGUAUGGUGUAUGCGAUAAUAUUUGUGAUAAUAAAAUUAUUGUCGCAUAAAAUAACUAUGGGAUGUAAUAUUUGUAAUAAUAUUCUUUACAAAAAAAUAUUUUUUUCUUUGCUUUAUUCACUUUGAUCACAACUUGAAAUAAGACAAUAAAAAUAUUUUCUUAAUUUUUGAAAAUUAAUUGAGGACUUAGAGCUGCUUGUUACCGAGUGAAUUUGAUGAAUGGUGAAGAAUGCAUGUAUAGUAGUUUUGCAAUUUUUCAGACUUGUAGACAUAUUUUGUGAAGUCUUUUUAUCUUUGUAAAGCCCCAUUUUCUAUGUGAAGUUAUUUUUUCAAUAUUCUCUUUGGAAGGAAUUUACCAUUAGUUAUAUAGGUAAGAUUAAGGAAUUAAAUUUGGAAUUCUUAAGAUUUGAUUGCUUAAUUCAAAGAAUUUGGUUCAAGGGAAAUUUGCCAACAAAAUAAUAUUUAUUUUUAAUUCUAUGAUGACUUUAAUUAUUUGAUAUAAUUUUAUUUUGAAAGGCUUGAUGUGGGGGACUCAUCACUUAUUGAGUCCAAAUUUUGUUGCACCCAAAUUUUUAUGAGCUAAGAAACCAUAAUUUUAAAGACCAAUUCAGUGGUAAGUGAAUCUGCUAAAAUCUUCUGUGUACAAAUGACCUCACUUCAAGGUGCAACACGUACAUGUAUUAUUAUGUGUAUGGGAUGAGUCUUGAAGUUAGUCUUCAUUCUUCUUUGAUUUUUUUUCUUCAAAUAAAUAAAUAAAACAUCAUCAAAUAAAUGUAAAAAUAAAAUAUGUAUUGGUUAAUUGGAGAUGAGAGCUUUAAGGGCAUUUCUUCUAUAAAAUUCUAUGCUCCACGUACCAUAAAUUCGUAUUCAACCAAAAAAAUUGUAAAAUGGGUCCAUGUACAAACAAAAAUAGCCCAAAUGUAAAUAUCUAAAAAUGUAUAAAGUUCACAAUAGAUAUUCAAGCCCAAAUUUAAAUUUCAAAUUAGUCCAACAGAUUUCAUCAAUCAAAAUGAGUCCAAAUUAGCAAAUAUAACCCAACAAAAAUAUCUCAUAUAUCAUAGGCCCUAAUCUAAAAUUUUCAUAUUAAUAGCCAAAAUAUAAGUUCAAUUAAUCAAACCCAAAACAUGAUAAAUUAAAAUAAAUCUCAUUAGGCCUAAACUUAAUAUCCCAUAAUUCAAGCUUAAUUUAAUAUAUAAACCUAAAUCCACAAUCAAAAUCAACCCAAUUUAUGCUAAUCUCGAUUUACAAUCAAAAUCAAACAUAAUUUAAUAAGUAAAUAACUAAAUAAAUUAAGCAAACUCAAAACACCCAAACCACUACGACAUAAAUCAAACAAUAAUAAUAAUAAUAAUAAUAAUAAAAACAAAACAAAUAAAAUAAAAAUAAAAAUUUUAACUCACAUCGGAGCCAGUUUGAAUGUCUUGGGAAAGAAAGAAAAUGAGAGAAAAGUGAAAGAUGAUUGACAACUGAUAGUAGCUCACUGGCGGCGACUGGCGAGUGGUCCUGCCGAUGGUAGUGAAGAUUGAUUGGUUUUUGGGAAAAAAAAUAAAAUGAAGAAAAGAAAAUGAGGAGUAAUAAAAAAAAUGGAGAAAUGAGAGGAAGGUGGGAGAAGAAGGGAGAGAGAGAAUGUAGAAAAUGGGCGAAAAGAAAUGAGGCUAGCUGGAGGAGAAGUGGUAGUGUGUGUGAGCUAAAGUGAAGAAGAAUAGAAGAAGAAAAUGGAGAAAAAAUGGAGAAGAAUGGGAAAAAAAAUCUGGCCCCCUAAAUGAAGAGAGGUGGGUAGCCUAAAGAAGAAGAAAAAAUAAAAUAAAAUAAAAUAAAAUGAGAAAAAAAUGAGAGGGGGUCGGUGGUCUUGCGAAUGAGGUGGUAUGCGUUAGAGAGAGAGAGUGGGUGGGGUUGUUGGGGAAGGUAUGAGAGAGAGAGGAGAGAGAAAAGAAAAAAAAAAGAAAAAAAAAAGAUAAUACAAAAUAAUAAUAAUAAUAAUAAAAUAAAAUAAUAUACAAAAUAAUAAAAACUAAUAAUUAAAUAGUGAGUAGGCAAAAAAUAUCAUAUAUAAUCGGGAUUUAAUUUAAAGAGUAAAAUUGGGACAAAUUUUGGGGUAUACAAAUAUGCGCCUCUUCGGUAGAGUUCACGAGUAAAGCAAGUGUAUAUGUGGGCGAAACAAAGUGGGCUCUACUGAAACACAAGAAAGAGCACCAAAUUUGUCUUAGUAUGACAUGAACUCUCCCAAAUCAAAACAAAAAAUAAAUAAAUAAAUAAAAUUAAAAAAAAAAUCUAAAGCCCUAUAAAAAUGGCGAAAACGGAAACUCCUAAGGUGUCUCUAAAGUUAUACUAUGGAUCUAGACUCCCUUAGAAAAGCCUUCAAAAAUCGGUGUCAAAAUUAAGUAGCAAUCAGACCACUAAGGAGCACAUGAACAAAUGCAUACAAAGGGAAAAAAAACCAUACGUGUACCAUACGAGGACAAAAGGCAUAAGGUAUCCAACAAUAUGACUGAUUCACGUGUUACGAGCUCAAAGGACUUUGUCAUGCACCAUGGAGGAGGGGAAACUCUAGAAUAAUGUGAUGAGGAAGUUAUUAGCACAAUGUAACAGAGUAAGGAAAAGAGUGACGAGUGCAAAGCUGUGAGGAUAAGGUGCACAAUGCUAAUGAAUAUGAAAUGAAUAGUAUUAGGCUAUGAUGCAAUGAAUAGCUUAGGGUUGUACCAUAAUGAACAGGUCAAGGAUGUGUAAAGAUGAGGAACAACUUAAGGUUGUAAUGCAAUGAACAACUUAGGACUGUGAAUGCAAUGAACAGCUCAAUGCAAUGAAUGCAAUGAAUAGCUCAGGGCUGUUAAUGCAAUGAACAACUCGAGGUUGUGGAUGCAAUGAACAACUCAUGGUCAUGGAUGCAAUGAACAGCUCAGGGCUAUGGAUGAACAGCUCAGGGCUGUGGAUGAACAACUCAGGGUUGUAGAUGUCAUGAACAACUCAAGAAUAGGGGCACUAUACACCCAAAAGGGGCGAUCAUGGUCUACGAUUCCAAGUCAAACCACUAAAAGGUGACCAAAAUGAGGGUGAUCAACUCACUAAAAAAGAUAAUCAAAAUGUCUUAAGGGAUGGGAGAUGCCCUAGAUGAAACUUAAAGGAAAUGAGUAGCACUAAUGAAACUAAAAAAAAAAAAAUGUCACAACUGAAAUUGAAAAAAUAACAAACUUAGAUUAAAGUACAAUGAACAACUUUGGGCUAUGGAUGUGAUGACUAGUACCGUGUUGUAAUGAAAUGAAUAACUCUAAGAUAUGGGCAUUAUACGCCUAAAGAGGGAGAUCGUGGUUUACAACUCUAAGUCAAACCACUAAAAGACUACUAAAAUAAGAUGAUCAACUUACUAUAAAUGAGAAUGCAACUAUCUUGAGAAAAAGGGUAUGCCCCAAAUGACACUCAACAGUAAAAGAAUGACACAAAUGAAACUAAAAUAAGAGAAUGCCACAAAUGAAACUGAAAUGAUAACAGACUCAGAACUAAUAUGCAAUGAACAACUUUGGACUGUGGAUGCAAUGAAUAGCACUGGGUUGUAAUGAAAUGAACAACUCUAAGAUGUGGGCAUUGUACGCCUAAAGAGGGAGAUCAUGGUUUACAACUCCAAGUCAAACCGCUAAAGGGCAACUAGAAUAGGAUAAUCAACUCACUAAAAAUGAGGAUGCAACUAUCUCGAGAAAAGGGGUAUGCCCUAAAUGACACUCAACAGUAUAAGAAUGACAUAAAUGAAACUAAAAUAAGAGGAUGCCACAAAUGAAACUAAAAUGAUAACAAACUCAAAACUAAUGUGCAAUGAAUAACUCUAGGUUGUGGAUGCAAUGAACAACACUGGGCUGUAAUUGAUUCGUCCCUAGCAGCGGCAGUGGCAACGGCACCAUUUGAUUCGAGGUUCGAUCCCCGGCAACGGCGCCAUUUGAUUCGUGCCCAAUUGGUGUCUCAGCUGAUUCGUGUCCAGCUGGUGCUCCUUGAUUGAGGGAUUAAUCAACAAAAUUUAUAACCUAUAACACCAUAUACUAGGGUAGCAAAGACAAAGCUACUAUAGUAUAGUGGCUCUAGGAUCGUUCACUGGGAUGGGUUUUCACUUCACAAAUGAUAUCAAUUCAAAGCUGAAUUGGUGCCUUUUCAUUUCAAGGUUAGCUUUAAAAGAAAACAUAAAGAUGUUUGAAAGAAAAGAAUUUGGUUUUAAACUAACCAAAAGUAGUAACUGAUUUUACUUAUAAAGAAAAGUGUUUCUUGGAGUUCAGAUCACUAGGCUCAGAUUCCUCAUACAAAAAAGGAAUUCCGGUCACUUGUUUCUUUUCCUCGCAUUAGAGAUUCAACUUAAAGUUAAUUCUCUAACCGGUGUUGUACAGAAGCUUCCCAUUAAUGGGUUNNNNNNNNNNNNNNNNNNNNNNNNNNNNNNNNNNNNNNNNNNNNNNNNNNNNNNNNNNNNNNNNNNNNNNNNNNNNNNNNNNNNNNNNNNNNNNNNNNNNUUUUUCUUUUUUUCUUUUUUUCAAUUUUUCAAAAGACUCAUUGGUCUUUAUGAGGGGUCCCAACACUAUUAAUGAGAGGUUAAAGGUGUCAAAUUAUGAUUUCUCAAGCUUAGAGGGUGAGAUAGUUUCACAUCUUAUAACCGGAAUCUAAUGUAUGUGUGUGCGAAUAGCUUAAGGUGGAAGAGAUAAGUUUGCAUGCAAUGGGAGUUUCAACAAUUCAUCAACUUUUAAAAGAGCAUAAUACAAACUCUAAGACUCCUGUAAUCAAGUUGAAACUCGACUUCUCUCAUUUAAUUUUGAGAGUUAAUCCUUAAUAUCCAUGGAGUUUAAAGCAAAAAUUUUAAAAUUUAAGCAAAAAGCAACUAAAUUACCAAAAUAACUUAGCAUUAUUAACAAUACUUACUUCCUCAACUCUCCCCCCAACCAAGCUGAACAUUGUCCUCAAUGUGACAAAAGCGAUUAAAAAAUAGGGAGGAAGUGGUACCUCCUUAGUGACAUGGAGUCUGAGUCGUAUAGGAGAAACCACAUGUUUCAAAGAAAACAUAAGAGUUAGUGAGUAGAGGAAAUAGGAAUAUGCCAAGUUUAAACAAAAAUGAUGUCUAUGUAUGAUGUAUCAUCAGUAAUACAUCCAAUCCCAAAAUAUAAGACAUCAAAAUAUGGAAUUAUCUAUACUAAUAUGUAAAUACAAAAAGUAAAGAGAUGAUCAAGUAGUGGUAAGGUCCUGUGGAGCUGAUGCGUCUGUGAUGGCCUCUUGAGUGGGUUGGAUCAGGACUUUGGCCUCUGUUCAGGUAGUCUCCUUAGAUGGCAUAGUCUCCUCAACUGGAGCUCUCAGCUGGUAGCUAUGGGAUUUGAUGGUUUAAGGAGGUCAGAAAUGGAGUGAGAGGUUUGGUGUGUGUGAUCCCAGGGUGUGCAGGGCUCUCCUCUUCAGAUGCAUGAUCGUAGGGCUCUGUUGGCAUUUUAGCAACUUCCCUUGGCUUUGCAAGGUGUUUUUGCAAACCUUCCUUCCAUUUUGCAAGUCAAUUUUGCAAUUUGCAGGCCAUUUCUAAGCUUGGAGGUGAUUUCGCAACCAUUUCAAAGCUCAAAAGUGAUUUUGCAGGCAAUGGGCAAUUUCGCAGCCCAUUUUUGAAGCUUGGAGCAUUUUCGCAGCCAUUCUGAAGCUUGGAGAUCAUUUCGCAUCCAUUUCAAAGCUCAAAAGUGAUUUCUCAACCCAAAAUUGAUUUCGCAGCUCAUUUCAUAGCCAUUUCGUUGCUCAAAAGUGAUUUCGCAGCCGUAUCGCAGCUUCAAAAUGAUUUCGCAGCCGCGAAAUUCUCGCUCAACUUUGCGCGCUUGUUUUCAAACGACCAUAACUUCUUCAUUUCACCUCCAAAUCGCAUACCGUUUGAAGUUCUGGACUCCUGACUUCCCAAGCUUUGAAACAAGAUAUGGUAUGCAUAAUUUGAGCUCCAGAAAGUGCUUCAAAAACGUGUCCAACAGUAGCGAAAUUGAGGUGCGACAUUUCCGCUCAUGGUUUGUACAGUCUUCUUCAAACAGCCAUAACUUUUCCGUUUCAAAUCCAAAUCGAGCACCGUUUGAAGCUAUGGACUCGUGACUUCCCAAGCUUUCCAACGAGAUAUUGCAUGCAUAAUUUGAACUUCGGGAAGUGGUCGAAUCAUGUCCAACAGUUUCCGAAAUGGGGUGCGGCUGUGAAAUUGGGAUUUUUCAUGUUUUGGGACUUCGCAGCCGUUUCGCAGCUGCGAAAUGGGAGUCACUGUGCUGCGGAAUGGCACUCGUGUGCCAAAACCGCCUUCGCAAUUGCGAAAUACCCUGCGGAAUGGGACUUUUGGUGCGAAAUCAGGCUUUACCACUUCGCAAUGCGUUUCGCAGCUGCGAAAUGGAUGCUCCUGUGCUGCGAAGUGGCACUCGUGUGCCAAAAUUGGUUUCGCAGCUGCCAAAUACCCUGCGGAAUGGAGCUUUCUCUGCGAAAUGGAGGAUUUCAUGCUUUGGUGGUUCGCAGCCGCUUUCGCAGCUGCGAAAUGGGGGCCACUGUGCUGCGAAGUGGCACUCGUGUGCCAAAUUUGGUUUCGCAGCUGCGAAAACUUUCGCAGAGAGGGCAAUUGGGUUGCGAACUGGUUUCGCAACAAAAUUUCGAUUUCGCAGAGGCUGCGAAAUCUCGCAGACCCCUGUUUUUCCCCUGUUUCUCCCCUGUUUUCGGUCCGUUUGACUCUGAUUUUGCUCCGAUUUUGCUCCGAUUUUUUUCCUUCAAUUUCUUUGCAAUUCCUCUUGAUUUUGAUCAUCCAAAAACCUAUAUUACAUCAAAACAAACUAGAAUUAAAGCAUUGAAAUCAAAAUUAAAGCAUUGAAAUCAAAAUUAAAACAAGUAAAAAAACAAAACAAAAAGAUAUGGACUAACUAGUCUUUAAAAAGACUAAGUCCAUCAAAAAAUUUGAUCCUGAUUUAGCUUGCCCGGAUCCCAUAUGAAGCUUGCAUCUCUCACUUGGGACGUGAUUUGUAUGAUUUUCCCAUACAAAGCUUGGAGAAAAGUUAGAGGCAUGUGUUUCAUCAUCAAUUCUUCCUUGAUGACUAUCCUCUGUGGUUCUUCAUGUACAUUAACAGUAUAGCCAUCUUUUCUCUAUGCUUUUCCCCUUUUUCUUUCCUUUGAUUUCCUCCCUCUUUUCUUUCUCUGUUUCACUUUCACCUUAUACUCUAGCUUGCAUGUGGGCAGAUCAACCUCUUACACUCCUCAAAGUGAUCACUUCUUNNNNNNNNNNNNNNNNNNNNNNNNNNNNNNNNNNNNNNNNNNNNNNNNNNNNNNNNNNNNNNNNNNNNNNNNNNNNNNNNNNNNNNNNNNNNNNNNNNNNNNNNNNNNNNNNNNNNNNNNNNNNNNNNNNNNNNNNNNNNNNNNNNNNNNNNNNNNNNNNNNNNNNNNNNNNNNNNNNNNNNNNNNNNNNNNNNNNNNNNNNNNNNNNNNNNNNNNNNNNNNNNNNNNNNNNNNNNNNNNNNNNNNNNNNNNNNNNNNNNNNNNNNNNNNNNNNNNNNNNNNNNNNNNNNNNNNNNNNNNNNNNNNNNNNNNNNNNNNNNNNNNNNNNNNNNNNNNNNNNNNNNNNNNNNNNNNNNNNNNNNNNNNNNNNNNNNNNNNNNNNNNNNNNNNNNNNNNNNNNNNNNNNNNNNNNNNNNNNNNNNNNNNNNNNNNNNNNNNNNNNNNNNNNNNNNNNNNNNNNNNNNNNNNNNNNNNNNNNNNNNNNNNNNNNNNNNNNNNNNNNNNNNNNNNNNNNNNNNNNNNNNNNNGAAGAUCACAAGUACUCUAGAAAGGUGAUAUCACUGUAAAGUGGCACCAUCCCCGGCAACGGCGCCAUUUGAUUCGUCCCUAGCAGCGGCAGUGGCAACGGCACCAUUUGAUUCGAGGUUCGAUCCCCGGCAACGGCGCCAUUUGAUUCGUGCCCAAUUGGUGUCUCAGCUGAUUCGUGUCCAGCUGGUGCUCCUUGAUUGAGGGAUUAAUCAACAAAAUUUAUAACCUAUAACACCAUAUACUAGGGUAGCAAAGACAAAGCUACUAUAGUAUAGUGGCUCUAGGAUCGUUCACUGGGAUGGGUUUUCACUUCACAAAUGAUAUCAAUUCAAAGCUGAAUUGGUGCCUUUUCAUUUCAAGGUUAGCUUUAAAAGAAAACAUAAAGAUGUUUGAAAGAAAAGAAUUUGGUUUUAAACUAACCAAAAGUAGUAACUGAUUUUACUUAUAAAGAAAAGUGUUUCUUGGAGUUCAGAUCACUAGGCUCAGAUUCCUCAUACAAAAAAGGAAUUCCGGUCACUUGUUUCUUUUCCUCGCAUUAGAGAUUCAACUUAUAGUUAAUUCUCUAACCGGUGUUGUACAGAUGCUUCCCAUUAAUGGGUUCAAACACUAAAUCCCUCUCACUGAUGCAACUUGCAAUGGUUCAUGCCUCUCACGAGCACUUACCAUUCAAGGAGAUCUUUAACCUUGGACUUCCCUUCACAAACUCGCAAGAGAUAACUAAUGGAUGUCUCCUAGGAGUCCAAAAGCUUACCAAGUGUUGGUAAUUCUAGAAAAUCCUACCUUCAAGUCACCUCCCAAAGGCUCGCAAGGGGUAAACUAGUGCAUUUCCAUGGUUGGAAAUCACUUGCCUUACCAAGUGUUGGCCCAGGUGACUCUAAGGUGUUUUAAGUUAACUAAAAAGAUAAAAACCAUUAACGGGUCACACUUUCUCUUCAUUAAAAACUAAAACAACAAAACUUCCAAAUUAUGCAUGUGGAAACUUACCCGGCUUUCCUCACUCCAAGAGACAAAAGGCUUAGCCUCUCAUCCUCUGAGGAAAAAUCCUCAGAGUUUGGUUGGCUAGAAAAUGAAAAUGAAAUGAAAAAUGAAAGAGAAGGAAAAACAGAGCAAGGCUCUGUAUAUUCUAUAUAUGAUCAAUAUUACGGAUUACAUAUAUGGUCCUCCUUUUUUACAGUGGAUGCAAGGGAAUAUAUAUAGAGGAGUUUUUCCAACCUUCCUAGCUAAGAAAUCUUAUGGUUGGUGGAUCACAAGGAGAAGAAUGGAAAUUCAUACAAAAAUAUCUGAAGAAAAAUAUCCAAAAGAGUCGGUGCAAAAAUAUCGGGAAGCACUAAGGACCAUUUCGCAGGAGAAAAUGGUGUCUGCGAGAUUUCGCAGACACUCAAGAGGGCUGCGAAAUAUUUUCGCAACAACAAGUUAAACUCGCAGUGCUGCGAAAUUGGCUUCCACCUUGAGGUUCUCAGCGUUCCAACUUGCGGAAUGUAUCGGGUAGCUUCAGGAGGAAUUCCAUAGGACUGUACAAAAAGGCUGCGAAAUUCUCGCAACAAAAGGCUGAUUUCGCAACACUUUGGAGUGAUCUUCUUGCAAUGGCUGUAACUCCUUCGUUUCAACUCCGAAUCGUGCACCGUUUGAAGCAUUGGAUUCUUGACUUCCUAAGCUUUGAAAUGAUAUAUAGAAUGUAGAAAAUGGACUUCGGGAAGUUCUCCAAAAGUGCGAAAGAAGACUGCAGCUAGCUUUCCUCUGUUUUCUUCACUCUGUUUUUCCUCUCUCCUUGCUUCUCUCCUUGCAUACUUUGAACGACUAUGGCAAAGGGAUAUGGAGCUCCAAAGCUUGGUUCUUCUUGAAUUUGAGCUCUUCAUUGCUUUGCCAUGGAUUCCAAAUAACUCUCCUCAAUCUUGGAUUGUUUUGGUGAUCAAAUUACUAACAAAAACACCAAAAACUUACACAAUUUGAUUAGAAAUGAUUGCAAGGGUCCUUAACAUGUUAAUUGAGUUAAAAGGCAAUAACUACUACUCAAAAGUGUUUAAAAGAGUUAAUUACAAGCUAUCAAAUAGCACUUUUUGAGUAGUAAUCAGUAAUGAAAUGAACAACUUUAAGAUGUGGACACUAUACGCCUAAAGAGGGAAAUCACAAUCUAUGACUCCAAGUCAAACCACUAAAGGGCGACUAGAAUAGGAUGAUCAACUCACUAAAAAUGAGAAUGCAACUAUCUCGAGAAAAGCGGUAUGCCCCAAAUGACACUCAACAGUUAAAGGAUGACACAAAUGAAACUAAAAUGAAAGGAUGUUACAAAUGAAACUGAAAUGAUAACAAACUGAUAACUAAAAUGCAAUGAACAACUCUGGGCCGUUGAUGCAAUGGAUAGCUCAAGAAUAGGGGAACUGUUUGCCCAAAAUGGGAGAUUGUGGUCUGCGACUCUGAGUCAAACCACUAAAGGGUGACUAAAAUCAAAAUGAUCAACUCACUAAAAAUGAGGAUCUGGACAUCUCAAGAAAGGGGUUAUGCCCCAAAUGAAACUCAAAGGAAAAAGACGCCACAAAUGAAACUGACAAUAGAGGGAUGCCCUAAACAAACUAACGAAAAAUGGAUGCCCUAAACAAACUGACGGAAGUGAAAUGCCCUAAAUAAAUUGACCAAAGAAGAAUGCACUAAACAAACUUCGAGAAAAAAAAAUAUGCGAUAUACAAUCGAAAACACCUAAAGCAAAAACAAGAAACAAAGAAUGUGGUUUACAACUAGAAACACCCAAAAGAACCCUAAAGAAGUGACUGGGAUAAUGAACUCAAUGAAAAUGGUGUAUGCCACAGUAAAAGACUCGGAAGUAUCAGCAAAUGGGUCAAACGAUCAUGAAAUUAAUAGGAGAUAUGAUGAACCCAAAAAGGGCAUAUGCCCCAACAAAAGAACACUAAAAGGGGGGUAUGCCCCAAUAUGAAAUAGUGACCAACAUAAGACACAGAAUGUCACCAUACAAGACACUAUAGGAUAUGUUCAAUGACAAUGUAAUGAAAACAUAUAGCCCCAAUCAACAAAUGUUCAAGCAAGACUAUGCAUCACAUAAACUAAAAUAAUAGGCUAAACAAAUGCUAACCAAGUCUCUCACUUUAAAAUGUAAGCAAGUCAAGACAUGACAUGUCAACCAUCGACAUGAAAACAUCAUCACAAAUACAUUAACAAACUAAUAGUCCCUACUAUCAUGGAAGAUGUAGAACCUAACGUCCAAAGGCAUGUGAAAACUCAACCAGAAAACUCAAGACUAGUUUGUAUCCUCCUCUAAUCAAGAGAGCUGUUAGGCUCUGCCAAGAUGGAUGUAGGUAUAAUAGUGUCAAAAGUAGGAUGUCUGGAUGUCCAACGAAGGAAACUGGGUAUCCAAGUCAAACCAAGUAUGUUGAGGAAACUGAACCCAUGGGACAAUAACUGGGUAUCGAUUGAGAAAUAUGCCCCUCCGUAAAGUACAUCAAUUGAAAUAUGCCAAUCAUGCCUCAUGCUCCAAUGUGAAAAAGGACGUAUAAUCUUCUUUGAGGGAUGGUCAUGACUCAAAAUCCAUCAUCAGUUGAGAGAAGUAUACCCCAGCAUAAUGGUCAUCUAAAAAAUCAAUCCCCAACUAAGAAAUGUGUGCCUUGAUGUGAUGUAUCAAGCAAAAUGGCUGCAUACCCCAUAAAAAACUCUCUGAGGUGGCUAUGCCCCAAUGUUGGAUCAUACCACAACUCCUAGUCUAUCACAAUCAAAAUGCUCUCCAACCAAUCCCAAGUAUCGCCCACAUGAGAGCUAUCAAACACAAUGUGUGAUGUCAUGGCCUCAAGGUGGUCUUAAGAUUCGGGACAUAACGUAGGCUAGGGUAAUAAGGUGAAGAAAUGAAGGAAAACUAGGCUUAAUAAUCCCAAUGAUAAAACCUCAUACCCUUAUGUAUAAAAUGCAAUAUGUGUAAAGAGUCUCAUAAACCAUGGAUCUAAGGACGCCCAAUAUGAAUAUAUUAGUGAGGAAGAAAAAAAUCUAAGAUGAAUAUAUCAAUGAUAAAAGAGAAGAAAUGAAGAAUAUCAAACUGCUGAUGGGAUGUAUAAGAAUGAUGUGUGGAAAAUAUUGAACAUGGAAUGUAAAUUGAUAUGAACAAAGAACAAUGUAGGCAAGGCGAAUGCGAUAUCAUGAGAAGAACAAAUAAAUCAAAGAAAAAUGAAUGAGCACUAAUCCACUCAAAUCAAGUCAUGGAGAAUAGUCAAAUCACCAACGUAUGUAAUGAUGGAGAAGACAAUGAUUCGAAGUCCCUAGGAAAAUGUCACUUGUUUCUCACACAUAAAAUACAUAACGAGAUAGACACAAAAAGAUGAGAGUUUUUUUAAAGUUCACGUAAGAACUUUCAUAAGCAACUAAUUCAAUAAAGCAACCUCAAUGACCAAUAUAUACACUCAAUAAAGGAUGACACUGUAUACAUGUGUUUAUUACUUUUUCUUUUUCAUUUUUUUUUCAUUUUUUUUCAUUUUUUUUCUUUUACUCGUGCAUACUUUGAAUAUCAAUAAAUGAACUUCUCUGAGAAUACAUAAUGAAAUGGAUAUACUCUCAAACAAUGAUGUAGGCGAACUCUCUCUGACAAGAUGACCCUCUAAAUUAAGGAUUUCCGAACUAACAUCCAUGAGAUAGGAGUGGAGGAGGAUAUGAUCAUUCUCCAUGCACCGAAAUGUGAAAGAUCAUCACUCAAGGCAUAAAAAAAUGUGAUGAAAAAAAUAAAAGAUGAAACAAAAGAUAUAAACAAUCAAGUAUGAUGAAGAAUGAUGUUGGGAUGACAAAAAAAUAGUGAAGAAUGUGAGCCAAUAAGUCCACAACUCAUGAAACUCUCGAAUAAAAUAUAUAUACACCAAAAGACCCUUAUCCCGGUGUAAAAUGUGAGCAAGGAUAUAAGAAAGAAAAGACUAUGAUGCUCAUGUGAGGUUCAAAGGGCUAGCAACGGUCCAAAUGUCAAUAAAGGUAAUAGGGUGUGAGCUAACCAAAAUGAAGGUCACCCAUCCUACGACCAUGGUCUCAAACAUCGUGCUCUUAAGCUUUCAAAUGAUCAAUACUGAAAAUCGAUGUCCAUUUGAUAUAAACACGUCAACCCUUUCGACUUGGGCGUCAAACCAUACUCCAAAUGCUCAAUAAUAAUCUCAAAGAUAAUAUUCUCAAAGAAAAGUAAAUGGCGAUCUCAUAAGGCACAACUACUCAUCACAAGCCAACUCUCAUCAUGCAAGAUCAAUCUCUAUUUUCAUGGAAAAAUAAGUGACAAUCUCAUAAGGCAAUCGACCAAUCCUCACAUCGUAAACCAACCAAAGAUCAUAAAUCAUUCAUUGCCAUGCAAGAUCAAUCCCAAGCUCAAACUCCUCAUACUCUACCUGGUUGGAUUAGAGAAGAAAUGGGCAAAGCUAGAAAAACUGAAGAUGGAAAGGUCAUAUAAUGGUGUCAAGGGUGAUGUUGUGCAAAACUCACAAUGGAUGGAUGUAGGUCAAAGCAAAGUCAAUGUGUGAGAGUGAGUAAGGCACUACUCUGAUCAUAAGAAGAUGGGUCACAAUCUCAAACUCCCAAGGUCAAAUCUCCGAUCCUAGGCUAAUAAGCUCAACAUCCUCCAUGAUAGGUCAACCCCCAAUAUCACAAUGUGCAAAUGAAUAGAAGCCUCAAGUCAAAAGUACAACACAUCAUAUGAUAUAUGGCCCUAUGAUGACAAUCUAAAACUGGAAAUAUGUUAGAAACUCUAAGGUCAUAAAGGUGUCCACUGUGAGAUGACUACAAAUGUGACUAAGGAAUCUUUAUCAAUAAUUCAAAAAAUGAAUGAGGUGUGAAAAACCACACUAUCAUGAGAUUGAUACCCCAUUAAUAACAAAAUAUCCCUAAUUCACUUUCAAUCUAAGCUCUAUAAAGAAAAACAAUAAGGUUAUAAAGGCAAACCUCUAAAAAAUGGAGUGAAUGUGAAAACAUGUCUUCACCUUUCUAUAAUGAAAAUAUCAGGUUGAAAAUAGAAAUAGGCAAAUCAACCAAAGAAUGAAGUACAAAGCCCAUGACAGGUGAAGAAUGUAAAAAGGUGAACAUGAUCAAUGAACAUAUCCCAAAACAUCAAGCAUAAAGUGACAACAAAUCGAAAGAAUGUGUCGACUUAAGAAAAGAAGACUACCUGAAGCCCUAGAAAGAAAGUGUGCUAGACUCAACGAGUGACAAGAAGAAACUAAAACCAUAUAGCAAGGGGGUGGUCCAACUGAUACUCAAACUUGCACCAAUAUCUAAGCACUCUCAAUUGGAGACCAAAAAAUGGAGUAUUGGAUCCAUACUGUGACUAAAGCGGCCUCGAAGGCUCUUAGAUGCAUCCACGUGUAGGAAAAGAAAUCCUAAUAAAAAUAUCUAAGGCUUAACCUACAAGGUCAAGGCGUCUCUAAAAAGAAAAAUUAAGUGGACUUUAAAGGAUCCCUAGCAAAAACGAUCAUACCUUCCGAUGGUACGCAACCUCCUACACGUCUUGAAAGAUACGGGAGUGAUUCCAUGCAAGGUGGUCAUCACCUCCACACAUGCACUAUCUCAUAUCCUAGAGGGUUUCCUAAUGAUGAAGACUCUUACAUCUCUCAACACUUAGUGGUAAUCUAAGGUGCACAGUGAACGGUGUGGGUUCAUCCGAAAAUCCUAUCAAACUAAGCAAAGAGAAAACACACUAGUCACACAAAUAUCCUGAAAUCUAGCUCUAACCUAUACAAGUCUUCAAAGAUUGAACUCCAAUUAGCAUUAAUGUUUUGACCUUCUCUAGAAUGCUCCCAAACAUAGAUAUAGUCCAUUACUAAACCCUACUCUGAAUACUAGCUCGGUCGAAGAGCAAACAAAGUAACAAGUCUCAUAUCAAAUACGAGAUCAAGGGGAACACAGUCACCUGAGACUAGGGAAUUGGAGGUAAUGGGAUAGAUGUGUGUCCCACAUAGACAAGCAACAUUCAUCACACAGAAGAAGAAUAGUCAUGCAAUAGACAACCAAGCAAAGAACAGGUAUAUCAUUCAUAUCUACACACAAGCUAAACAAGAAAUAGGUAUAUAACAAGAAUAAACAAUAUGUUGAGAUAAACAAGAUAAUAUACAAUAAAGAGAAUCAAUCAUGCCAAUAUGAAUGAGAUAUACAAAAAUGAGAAUAUACAUGUUAAGGAGAGCAAGAUAAUCAUACAACAAGAAGAGUCUUAUGUUAAAGCAAACAAGAGAAUCAAUCGAUGUAGUCAACAUGUCAAUAUCGCAAAUGAACAUAAUAGCCAAAUAUGCAUCAUAAAGAAAAAAGGGUAAUCAUGCAGCACACAGUCAUACAAAACAAAUACAGACAAACAUAAGCAAAUAAAUGUAAACACACAUGAUAACAAAAAUAAAUGUAUAGUAAGGCACAUGCAAUAUAUACAUAAAAUAAUCAUCAAGUCAACACUCAUAUACCUUGAAACAUGAAAAUAUACAAUAAAGACACAACGAGAGGGUAUUCACUAAUCAAUUAAUCAAACGCUACAUUUCCCUUAACUUGAGUUCAAGUUUGAUCCUUUAAAUAUCCCUAGUGGAGCUGCUAAUUUGUGAACCCAUAUUUUUCACAUGCGUCCUUACACAACAGCGAGACUCAUUUUUUUUAUUUGGUGAAAUUUUGAUUUUUAGAAAAAAGACUUUGAGUCGUCACUUAUUUUUGUUUUUUUUAAGGGAAAAUAAAAUAAGAAAGAAAAACUUGUGUGACUCCAUAUUUGGGAAAGACAUGUAUGCAAAAACCAAAUCUAGAUUCAGGGGUCAAGUUACCUAUUGGGAAUGUACGAUGGUGAGCUGUAGCAUCUCUCUAAGCUCAUAUACGUACGGUCUCUACUAAACAAAUUAAGAGAAUUGUGGUAAUUAAUUAAUUAGUCAUGGAUACCAAGAAAAAGAAUUGCACAAAUGAGUACGUACAAAUCAUGAUAAAAAAAAAUCAAAUUAUAAGAAUAGACAAAAUAAAUAACAAGAGAAUUGUGCAAAGUGAUUUAUUAAACUAAAUAAAAAAGAAGAUAUUAAAAAAAAAAUUAGUUUUCAAGAAAUUUCAAAGGAUUUUGUUAAAAUGAUUUUGAAUUAAUGAUUUUAAUUUAUUUAUUUACAAAAAAAAUGUCAAUUUAUUUUCUUCAAGUGAUUUGAUUCAAUUUCAUUUGUAUUCAAUUUUUUUUUAAAGUUAUUUACACUCAUGGUUGUUAAAAGAAUUAUUAACAAAAUUUCAAGUUGACAAUAAAAAUGAUUUUUACUUGCUUUUACUCGAAAACAAUGAAUUUUUACAAUUUUAUUAACAAAAGCAUUUCAAUUUAAGAAAGUGACUUAUACAAAUUAUUAAAAAAAAUAUAACUUUAUCUACAAAAGAAUUUUUAAUUAAAAAGAAAAAAUUUAAAUCCUCUAUUUUAAAAAAUGACUUUUAAUCCCAUUUUAAUUAAGGAAAAAUGAGUUAUUUAAAAAAACAUUUUUUGGACAAUUUGAAUAAAAAUUAAUUUUUGGGACAACUUUAUUUACAAAACAAUUUUUGAACAAUUGUUAUUAAAAACAAAAUUUCAAAUUCUAUGAAAAACAAUUUUUUGGAUUUUUCCAAACACAUUUUUAUGAAUUUUUGUUAAUAAAAAACUUUUUUUUAUUAAGAAGAAUAUUUUUUGAGAUAUUGUUUUAUUAAAACAUGUUUAUUGAAUUAUUCUUCUUAUUCAAACAAAAAUUAUAAUUUGUUCGAUAUCCAAUUCUGUACAUAACAAGUAAAUAUAUACAAACAAAUAUUUAUAAAAACUAAUAAAAAUAAAACCAAAUAGAAGUGAGAAAUAAAACAUGUGCUUAAACAAUCUUACAACAAGCUCAAUGUAUUUCUACGACUUUUCGAGUCUCACUUUCUUACAUUAAAUUUUAUGCUCUACGUACCAUAAAUUCGUACUCAACCAACAAAAUUGCAGAAUUGGCCUAUGCAAAAACAAAAAUAACACAAAUGUAAAUAUCUAAAAAUGUAUAAAGUUCAUAAUAGAUAUUCAAGCCCAAAUUCAAAUUUCAAAUUAGUCCAACAAAUUUCGUCAAUCAAAAUGGGUUCAAAUUAGCAAAUAUAACCCAAUAAAAAUAUCUCACAUGUCAUAGGCCCUAAUAUAAAAUUUCCAAAUUAAUAACCAAAAUAUAAGUUCAAUUAAUCAAACCCAAAACAUGAUACAUUAAAACAAAUCUCAUUAGGCUUAAACUUAAUAUCUCAUAAUUCAAUAUAUAAACCUAAAUCCGCAGUCAAAAUCAACUCACUUUAUGCUAAUCCCAAUUUAUAAUCAAAAUCAAACAUAAUUUAAUAAGUAAAUAACUAAAUAAAUUAAGCAAACUCAAAAAUCGAACCACUAUUGCAUAAUCAAACAAUAAUAAAUAUAAUGACAAUAAUAAUAAUAAUAAUAAUAAUAAAAAUAAUAAUAAAAAUAAAAAAUUUAACUCACGUUGGAACCAGUUUGAGUGUCGUGGGAAAGAAAGAAAAUGAGUGAAAAGUGGGAGAUGAUCGUUAGCUGGUAGUGGCUCGUCGGUGGCGACUGGUCGAUAGUCCUAUCGGCGGUAGAGAGGAUUGAUGAGUUUUUAGGAAAGGAAAAAAAAAAGAGUAAUAAAAAAAAAAUGGAGAAAUGAGAGGAAGGUGGGAUAAGAGAGGAGAGAGAGAAUGAAGAAAAUAGGGAAAAAGAAAUGAGGUCGGCUAGAGGAGGAAGUGGUAGUGUGUGUGAGCUAAAGUGAAGAAGAAUGAAAGAAGAAGAAGGAGAAAAAUGGGGAAGAAGGGGAAAAAAAUUCGAGCCCCCUAAAUGAAGAAAGGUGAGUAGCCUAAAGAAGAAGAAAAAAUAAAAUAAAAUAAGAAAAAAUGAGGAGAAAAUGAGAGGGCCAGUAGUCUUGGGAAUGGGGUGGUAUGGGUGAGAGAGAGUGGGUGGGGGGGUUGUUGGGGAAGGUAUGGGAGAGAGAGGUAAGAUAAAAGAAAGAAAAAAAAAACAUAAUAAUAAUAAUAAUAAUCAUAAAUAAUAUAUAAAAUAAUAAAAAUUAAUAUUUAAAUGAUGAGUGGGUCAAAAAUAUUAUAUGUAAUUGGGAUUUAAUUUUAAGAGUAAAAUUGGAUUAAAAAUUAAUGUAAAAAUAAAAUUAGAACAAAAUUUGGAAUCUACAAAUACAUUCUUUAAUCUUUCCACAACAUCAAUCUGAUAUAAAUCAAAUGCAAUAAAUUCUAAAAAUGAUACAAUCUUUAAUCAAUCCACAACAUCAACCCGAUCAAAACUUAAUGCAAUAUUGCUUAAUGGAGAGAAUCGUAAAAUCCUUUUAUGAGAGGAAAACAAAACCCUUAACAGACCUUUAUGAGAGGAAAAUAGGAAAACAUAGAACUAAAAACCCUUAACGCAUUCACGAGAAUAAAAAAUCUUUAACACCUUAAUAAGAGGAAAACAAAGAAUUUGAACAAUCCUUAAUCCAUCAAAAGCUCUUAAUAUGAACGAGGGGAAAACAUAACCUUUAUUUUUCAGAUCGUUGAAUAAAGAAUCUAAAGAGAUAGAAUUUUUAGUUAUUAAGGAUUUUUUAUAGAUGUCUAUUGAAUGUUUAAGAACUUUUAUGGAUAAGUGUUAAUUAAGAGACUGAAAGGGUACUUAGGAUUUUCAACUAAAAAAGUUAUAACAAUAUGAAUCGUAAGAACUUAAAAACAUCACCCAUCCAAUAGAGGAAUAUGGAAUGAGAGGUUAUUUUUUUACUUAUACAACAAUAAACUUUUUUGGAAGAGGUUUUUCUAAGUACAAAAAGUUAUGAAUAAAAAACUAUUAUUAUGAUGAGUUAACUAAAAUAGAAUUAAUUUAGAAAAUAUCAAUAAAGUUGCAUGAAUUAUUAUCAUGAGUUAACUUAAUAAUAAUUAAUAGUAAUAAAGUUAAUGAAGUGAAUUUGGAUUGGCAGAUAUAUUUGAUGAUAAGAUUUUUUUAAUAAUAAAAAAUUAUUAUGGCAUGAAAAAUAGGACAAAAUUAACCUUAUGAUAAGAUUUUUUUAAUAAUAAAAACAUUAUUAUGGUAUGAAAAAAGGGACAAAAUUGGCCUUUCCUUAAUUGUAACCACCCCAAAAGGUAGGAAGAAUCUCCAACCCCCAUUCUCGGCUCCCUUAUCUUUUCCCCUACAACCAAAAUUCAACAACUAUCUUAGAAUGUCCUUCAGUCCACCAGAUCUGGAUCCCUUUGAUUUUCGUCUUCUUUUUUCUUUCCUCCUUUCCCUUUUUCUAGUUUCUUCCUUCAAAAUCCAUCCCUCAUAUCUCUCACAAAUUUUCUGUCCCACCUUCUUCUCUUCCUCCCAAUUUCCUUUCUAUAUAUAUAGUUUCUGUCUUUCCUUUGUUUCUCUCUUCAAAAUAUUCUGAUUUUCCCCUUAGAAAUUUGAUUUUUCUCUUCAAAUAUUUUGAUUUUCCCACUCAAAAUUCCGACUUCCCCCCAUAAAAAUUCUGGAUUUUCUUUCCCAAUUUGGCUUAAAGAUAGUCAUAUUUUUUUGUUCCCGAAAGACAUUAUGUGUCUUUUGAAACAUUCGAAGGGUGAUCAUGUAUGGACAGAAUUAAAAAGUAUGGUUGGUAAGUUGGGAGACAGGAUGGGAUGGGAGAUUUAAAAUUAAAAAUCAAUAAAAUAAUAUUAGAAUAAAAUAAAGAAAAGAAAUAGUGAGUAAAAACAACACCUAUACAUCACAAUAAUGAAAACAAAAUUGAUUGAUCACCAGCUAACAUUAGGAGAUUAUAAGAUAAAGAUGUAAUUGCAAUUAUUGAAAUCACUUAAAGAGAAAAAAUUAGGAACAUGCUCACUAUAAAUAAAAUCACCUUAGAAUUAAAAAUUAGGGACAUGAUUAUGAUGAUUAAAAUCACUUGAGAACUAAAAUGUUUUAGAGAUACAAUAAUUGAAAUCAACUGAAAAAUAAAUUCGGUAUGUGGUCGCAAUUAAUGUAUAUAUAAACAACCAAAUGUUGAAAGGAAAAACUAAUGGAAUUAAUGCGAUUUUCUUUUUAUGGUUAGAUUUCUCUUGACACCAAACAAAUGUAAGGAAGUUUAUAAAGGAAAAUUAGGUUUUGAUUCACUAAAUUAAAAUAAUAUAGAAAAAGAUCUUCAAAUUUUAUAUAUAUAUUUUUUCAUAACUCAGAUUUUCAUUAGAAUAGUGUCAGGAGUUGAACGCCAGUGGGAAUACAGGCUUAUGGAAACAAAUCUAUCCGACUAGUAGGUUCUUAUUAUUUUCAAUAUAGACCCCAUAAAAUAAAUAGGAGAUGGGCAGCCCGUCCCUUUUGUGAGGCCAUCCUCCCAACUUAUUAAAGGUGAUGUGAGUUUAAGACAGUGACAAAAUUGUCGGUUACUUCCCAAACCUGCUCUCCACAGGCAAACCCAGUGAUCCAGAAAUUAAUUGGUACCUGACACGUGACUACCAAACGUUCGCUCACCCACCAUACCCAUGGCCUCAUGCCCCAUAUAUUUCCACAAACCUAGCUCAAUUUUCAUAGCCACCUUCACUGUCCUACACUCACUAAGCCAUGGCCAUAGAUACAAGCCUCUUGCUUAAGCUUGCUGCAGCAAUUCUACUCUUCUUUAUCACCCGCUUCUUCAUUCGUUCUCUCCUUCCCAAACCUUCCCGGAAGCUCCCUCCUGGCCCCAGAGGGUGGCCGCUCCUCGGCGCUCUUCCUCUUCUAGGUAACAUGCCUCAUGUUGCACUAGCAAAGAUGGCCAAAAGAUACGGACCUGUCAUGUUCUUGAAAAUGGGCACUAACUGCAUGGUGGUGGCCUCAACUCCGGAGGCAGCUCAGGCUUUCCUUAAAACCCUAGACAUUAAUGUCUCGAACCGCCCGCCUAAUGCCGGUGCAACACACUUGGCCUAUGAUGCCCAAGACAUGGUUUUUGCGGAUUAUGGGCCAAGGUGGAAGCUCCUGAGAAAGCUAAGCAACUUACACAUGCUUGGUGGGAAGGCUCUUGAGGACUGGUCUCAGGUUCGAACUGUUGAGCUAGGUCACAUGCUUCGAGCCAUGCUUGAGUUGAGCCAGCGAGAGGAGCCGGUGGUGGUGCCGGAGAUGUUAUCUUUUUCCGUGGCCAACAUGAUAGGGCAAGUGAUACUAAGCCGCCGGGUGUUUGAAACAAAAGGGUCGGAGUCAAAUGAGUUCAAGGACAUGGUGGUGGAGCUCAUGACCACUGCUGGGUACUUCAAUAUUGGCGAUUUUAUUCCGUCCAUCGCAUGGCUGGACAUCCAAGGGAUCGAGCGCGGGAUGAAGCAUUUACAUAAGAAGUUCGACAAGUUAUUGACAAGGAUGAUAGAGGAGCACACGGCAUCAGCCCAUGAGCGCAAGGGAAACCCAGAUUUUCUGGACGUAGUCAUGGGCCAUCAAGGAAAUUCUACAGGGGAGAAGCUCACCCUUACCAACAUUAAGGCGCUCCUCCUGGUAUGCAUAGUUAAAGCUCGUCUUUAAUUUUGUUUUCCGAUAUUUUCUUUCCGGAAACAGCACUUUUAUUGCUUUUAGAUAUGUACGUUUUUAUCAGGUAGCCAUUUUAGGGGCACAUCACUGUUCUUUAUUUGCAUUUUUUUUUUGUCUUUUUCCACUUGCAUGGUUGUUUUCAUAUGCUCAGCUGCAUGGCACAGGAAAAUUGGGAAAAAUGAUUGGUUCUCUGAUCAGACCUUCUGCACCAAAACACACUUCUCUCUAUUUUAUAAAAUCAAGAACAUUUAUGGUUUACAUGAUUUUUCGAACUUGAACUUUUGCUAGGGCUAAUGCAUGGAUCUCAAUUUUCAAUUGCGUUUGAUUACAUAAAUUUCAAGUAUGUCACCAUAUUUUUGUUUCCUUGGCUAGAAUUUAUUUACUGCAGGAACAGACACUUCAUCAAGCGUAAUCGAGUGGUCUCUGGCUGAGAUGUUGAAAAACCCGAGCAUCCUCAAGCGUGCUCACGAAGAAAUGGAUCAAGUGAUUGGAAGGAGCCGGCGGCUCGUGGAGUCUGACUUACCAAAACUUCCAUACCUACAAGCCAUAUGCAAGGAAAGCUUCCGGAAGCACCCAUCCACCCCAUUGAACCUUCCUCGUGUCUCAGCCCAGGCAUGUGAAGUGAACGGCUACUACAUCCCAAAGAACACUAGACUUAGCGUGAACAUAUGGGCAAUCGGGCGAGACCCUGAUGUCUGGGAAAGCCCGGAAGAAUUCAGGCCAGAAAGGUUUUUAAGUGGAAGAAAUGCAAAAAUUGAUCCUCGUGGAAAUGAUUUUGAGUUGAUCCCGUUUGGGGCUGGACGAAGGAUUUGUGCUGGCACUAGAAUGGGAAUAGUGCUAGUUGAGUACAUUUUGGGGUCGUUGGUACACUCAUUUGACUGGAAAAUGCCGGAUGGAGUUGAGAUCAACAUGGACGAAGCUUUCGGGCUUGCUUUGCAGAAGGCAGUUUCUCUUUCGGCUAUGGUGACACCUAGGCUUCACCAGAGUGCGUAUGCAGUCUGAGCUCAAGCUGUUCAGAUCAAAACCCAGGGCUAGCUACUAUAUGGCAUGGAUUUGUUUUAGUUUCCUUUGGGUUAGUAUAACUGUAUAAGAUGUAUUAGCUCAAAGAUUGGGAGUUUCAUUCUACCACCAAGCCAUAUGCCUAUCCGUGAUCUAUAAAUUUAGCUUCGGUUUGGUUAUAGUUUCUAUUUUUCUUUUGUCUUCGUAAUCAGUAAAUAAUAGUAACCUUUAUAUAAAAUAUAGUAACUCUUCACAAAUUUUGCAUUGAAAAAAAUAAUAGUUUUAAAAUCUGUUUAAAAAAAUUAAGGUGCAUUAAAAAAUUUUAAUAUAUCAAAUUUAAAAAAUUUUAAAAAUAAUUUUAAAGAUAUAAAAAAAAUUAUAUUUUUUGUAAAAGAGUUUUACUUUUUGUAUAGAACAUAUUACGGUUUUGUAUUUUAAAAACAGAAUACGAGGAAUGUAUCCAAAUGUACAUUUAGUAAUAUUUUACUGAAAAUUUUAAAGGUUAGAUAAGAAAUAAACAAAAAUUAAAAUCUAAUUGCACUAUUAUUUUAAGGUUAAUUCUGUCAUGGGUAUUCAUCAAUUUUUUAAGUUAAUUAUGCUUAAGGUCUUUACUAAAUAAGAAGAGGAAAUUUUGGUAAUUAAUUAAAUUUAAAAAAUAUAUAAUAAUAAUAUAUUAUAUUGUAUAUAUGCUAAAGAACCAUUAGAGAUGACAAUUAGGCAGGGUUGAGAUGAGAUGGGUCACUCCCAUCCUGUUUACAUAGUUUAAUUCUCAUGAGCUAAUAAAAAAAAUUAAAUGGGAGGGAAAGGGUGUGAGAAUUUUCCAUAUCCACUUGGUACCAUCCUUUAUAAUUUCUUUUUAAAAUUUAAUUUUCAAAAAUGUUUAAUUACAUUAAAAAUAAUAUAUAUUUUAUAAAUAAAGAAAAUAUUAUAAUUUUUUAUAACUUCUUUUAUUAAAAAUAAAUUUUAAAUCAAAGAAAGGGGUAUUUUUGUCCAUUCAGGGUCUUUUUUUUUUUUGUCGAGGCACUAUUGGAAAAAAGGCCAACAGUAACACUUCUGCAUCAUUUUCCAACUUGUCAUAAUAUUUGGAUGUGUUCCAUUAUUGAAGCUCUAGGUAAGGAUUUUCUUCUCCACCUUGAAGAGCCAGACAUAUCAUCCAAAAGCCCCCAGACACUAAUGGACUCAACCUUUUAUAUGUUUAUACACUACUCUUAUCCAACAUACUUCCAAAUUGAAUAGCCGGUGAAAUCAAGUAAACCCAACAAUGUCCAUCCAUUCCCAUGUCUCCACGCUAUUUCUCCUUAUAGUCUUAAUAUUAUCUGGAUCCAUUGCCAUCACAGGUCAAUUAAAGAAGCAACUGUCUAUGACUUCCAAGGUCAGCCUGGUCAGGUAAGUUAUGAUCCAAAGCUCAAUUUUUCUAACAAUAGUUAGCUUAUAUUUUGGUUCUCAUCCCCUCAAUAAAGACAUGAACAGAUAUACCCAAUUAUUUUCAAUCAAAUUCUUAGAAGGGGAAAAUCUUUUCUGUAGGUGAUGUACGUGUCUUGGAAAUUUCUAUUACUUAUCCUAAGAAGUUUGUGUGUGGUUGUCAGGAAAAGGGAAGUUACUGUUUCAUCUCUAUAGCAUAUUAAAAUGUAGAAAAUUGAAUUCAUUAAUUUUCAAUUUUUUCUCAUUCUACUCAGGGUAAGUGUCCUUCGGAACUUGAACAUGCAGAAAAGAUUAAAAAAAAUAAAAAAUAACAGAAUUAGAAUAUGAACAUGUACGUGAAUAUGCACUAUGAUACUACACGCCAAAAAAGACAAAAAGCUUAGACAUGUUUGCUAAAGGACAAGGUGACUAGAAGAGUGAAAAGCGUGUAGAGCAUCUAGUCAGGGUCACCAUUACAAAAAGAAGAAAGGAAAACUUGUGUUUUGAUGGGGCCAUUUGGGAAAUAUUUGGUUUUCGAAACCCAAUUUUAUGAAAUCUAAAAACCAUCUUUUAAUGUGGAAAGUUAUAUACUUUUCAUGCACUUUGAGUCGGGUGCAUAUUUUGUGCCGAGAUUGCCCCUUCGGGAUCCAGGUCAGUAGCAUCCUAAGGCCAUGUUAGCAAGGGCCAAAAUGGAACCGCAGAAAAACUCCAAAAUCAAAAUCUGAUCUUCCCAAAAAAACACCCUAGUCGAUGGUUCUUUCACCCCUUUCUCUCAUUUGAUACCCAUUUCUCUCAUAUUUCUUCACUUCGUCACCGAGGCAAAGCAAAGAACCGUGUAUAGUUUUAAAAAAUUUCUCUCAUUUCAGUUCAGAAGCCCUUAAUCCCAAACUCCAAUCUACACUUUUCUUUCUUCAGCCCCUUCUCCUCUCAAAGUCUUGACUAGUCGUACCUGAUCGUCCCAAUUUCCUCAUCCCAAACUCCAAUCACCUGUACAUUUUGAUUGAAAUUCUGGUUUAGGCCAGCGAACUAGAAUGGAAACAACAACUAUGAUAUAUUGGUUUCAUGAAGAAGAAAUCUCCUCUUCGUGUCAUUGGGUGGAAUUUUGCCCUAACCUCCACAGAAAAUUUUAAGGUAAUUAAUUUGUAUUUAGGGUUGUUUUGAUUUUAUUUUAUUUUUCAAAUGGAGCACAAGAGCGAUUGUGGAGUGGUAAUUGUAGUUCGAAUUUUGUGUGCAUUGGUGAGGCCAUAGCUUGAGGCGCAUGUGGAUUUUGGACGGCAUGAUCAGAUGGUCAAUCUCUAUCUUUUUGUGGAUUGGAGGCUCAUGAAAUGUAAAAUGAAAGUGGUAAUUUAUUUUUGAUUGUCAAAAGAAUGUUGUGGAGAUAUGUAGAUAUUAGGUAGAAGACCUUUGUUUUUUUUGACAUUUUUAGACUGAUGGUAAUUAACGAUGACAACAAUUAGGCAAGAUCAUUUUUUGGCAAAAAAAUUCAUAAUUAAAUCAUAUUUGUUGAGACUAAAAAUAAUAAUAAAAAUAAUAAUUCAAAUGCAUAAAUUAUGUGCUAGUUAGUAUAAAUUGUUGGUAGUGUUUGUGAAUUUGCAAUGUUUGUUGGAUUGUGAGGGUACAUCUUUUGCAAAUCGUGUGUGGUUUGAUUAACAUGUUUUUCUUUAUUGGGAAUGAUUUCAUUGUUGUAGUCUUUCAGAUUUUCUUUGUAGAAAGACUGAAUUUUAGUGAUGAUAUGAAAUAAAACCAUUAUAAUCUCCUUUGAGCAAUAUUUAAAAUAUUUCAUUAUGAAAUUUUGUAAGCUUGGCUUUCAUUAAUUAUAUCAUAUUGAUCCAUCCAACCAUUAUUAUUUCUCCUUUUUGCGAUAGUCAAAACAUUUUAUCUACAAAGGAAGUGUUUGCAAAUUGAUUUGAUGUUGGAAACAUUUUAUCUUAAUGAACCUUAGGUACUACCCUAAUGCACCUUAGGUACUACCUUAAUGAACCUUAGGUACGACCUUAAUGUACCUCAGGUACUACCUUAAUGCACCUUCAAAAAAUUGUGCCCUUAGGUCACUAAAGACAAUUCUUUCAUUGCAUUACAUAUUGGAGCAUGACUUGGUUAUGUUGUUAUUGGUAACUCAAUGGUGAGCUUAUGUAAUCAUACCAGGAUCAAGGUACAACCCUAAUGCACCUUAAGUACUAUCUUAAUGAACUUGAGCUACUACCUUAAUGUACCUCAGGUACUACUUUAAUGUACCUUAGGUACUACCUUAAUGCACCUUCGAGAAAUGUUGCUUUUCUGUGAUUGAAGACACAAUUAUUUCAUUGCAUUAUAGAUUGGAGCAUGGCAUUGUUAUGUUCUAUUUGUUACUUAAUCAGUAGCUUAUGUAAUUAUAACAAAUUUAAGGUACUACCUUAAUGCACCUUAGGUACGACCUUAAUGAACCUAAGGUACUAUCUUAAUGCACCUUCGAGAAAUGUUGCUCUUCUAUGGCUAAAGAGACAAUUAUUUCAUUGCAUUACAAAUUAGAGCAUGACAUUGUUAUGUUCUUAUUGGUUACUCAAUCGAUAGCUUAUGUAAUCAUAACAAAUUUAAGGUACUACCUUAAUGCGCCUUAGGUAUGACCUUAAUGAACCUGAGGUACUACCUUAAUGUACCUCAGGUACUACUUUAAUGCACCUUCAAGAAAUGUUGCUUUUUUGUGACUGAAGACACAAUUAUUUCAUUGCAGUACAAAUUGGAGCAUGGCUUUGUUAUGUUCUUAUUGGUUACUUAAUCGGUAGUUUAUGUAAUCAUAACAAAUUUAAGGUACUACCUUAAUGCAUCUUAGGUACGACCAUAAAGAACCUGAGGUACUACCUUGUACCUCGGGUACUACCUUAAUGCACCUUUGAGAAAUGUUGCUCUUCUGUGAUUGAAGACACAAUUAUUUCAUUGCAGUAUAGAUUAGAGCAUGGCAUUGUUAUUUUCUUAUUGGUUACUCAAUCAGUAGAUUAUAUAAUCAUAACAAAUUUAAGGUACUACCUUAAUGCACAUUCGAGAAAUGUUGCUUUUCUAUGAUUGAAGACACAAUUAUUUCAUUACAUUGCAGAUUGGAGCAUGGCAUUGUUAUGUUCUUAACCUCUUGGAUGAAUAUUUUCAAAUUUAUGCACAAUCUUCUAAGCAUAAGCCAUUUGUUAUUGUAUGGUGUCUCAUAUUAAUUUUUCAAUUGUCACCUUGUAAUUUAAUUGUUAGUGUAUGGUUUAAAAUUUAUGAUCACAUAUUCAGAUUUUAAAAUCUACAAUCGUGUGCUGUCAUCUCUAUUUUGAAACUGCAUUUGAUAGACUCAUUCUUGCUAUUGAAAUAUACAAAUUCUGAUAUAUGCUUUGCGUUUUUCAUCUCCUAUCCAAAUUAAGGAUGACAUGUGAGUGGACCUUCACCAGAUGGUGUAUACACCUCGAUGGUGUCUUACUUUUAGACAUCUCCUUGGCAAUGUAGUGAAUUAGUGUUACUGUGAUGUGUUGCUUAUGAUAUUCUGGAUGGUGUCUUAUGAUAGUCCACCAUGCUUGUGUUUGGAAAAAUAUAGACUUAUGGUCUUAUCUACCUUAUCAAGUUGUACACGGUAUUUAUAGUUGGUUUAUUUCUAAAUUUAUACGGUGCAUCGUAUAAUGUCUCUGAUUUUUGUGUGCAGGACUUCGAAGUUGAUGAACUCUCACAAAUAUUUCUUUUUGUAUCAGAAUUUGUAGAUUGUAUGAAGUAAAGGAUGAUCAACCUACAGAUGCAUUUUGGAACCCUCUUUACCCCUUGCAACGGAGGAUGUUGUUCCUUUAAGAGAGCAAGUGGCAACUCUUGAAGAUUAACAUCAGGAUUCUCAUAUCCCAAAUGAUGUUAAGUUAAGGCCUGGAUGAUCAGGAGAGAUUUCCAUCAUCAGUAGGAGCUCAACCAAAUAUGAAGAAGAUGAGGAAAUACCACAUAAAAAAUAAGAGGAAUCUAGUCACUAGGGCUGAAGCCUGAUAGAUCAAGAUUUCAAGGUCGUGGAAGAGGAACAAGGAGAGGAAGCGGAAAGAGUGGCAUUUUGGCUCAAUCUAGAAUUUCAUUUGGGUUGAAUCCAGUCAUUUUGGCUGCACAUUCAUGUCCACCGUCUUUGGCAUCAGAAGAGGAACUCAUGAUAAAGACAACAAAAUUAUGGAUGGUUCAGAUUUGGCCUAUUUUAGUAGUUAUGUUCAAUUAUUUUAAAAAGUCUCUAUUAUUAGUGUCUUGAGUUCACAACUAAUGGGACUUUGGAUUCUCUUUGUUGGAAGAUUACUUGAUGACCGGUUCUUAAAAUAAAUCCAAUUCAGAACAAGCAAUUCAAAUAUAUAACAUUGCUUAUUAUUAAUCUAAUUAUUAUUAUUAUUAUUAUUAUUAUUAUUAUUACCUUUGUUGAUAAUCAAAUGCAGUUUUUAAAAAACCCCACAAAAUGAUGCGCAAAAUGAAUAGUUGACAAUUUGUGGGAAGUGCAUUCUCAUCAUAUCCGGGUAUGGUUGCCACAUUAAUAUGCCAUCACACAACCCUGUUGAACCCAAUAUCUGAUAUCAAACCUAAAGAUUUCUCUUUCUUUUCCUAAGAUGAUUUAAUAAGAUUGUUAUUAAAUAAAAGAAAAGAAACUCGUGAUAGGAAGAAAUUCAUCCACAUGCUUAAGGUCAUCUCAGCACCUUACAAUCUCAUCAAAUCACCAGUGCCACUACUCUUGAAUGUUUCCUUACGAAUACCAACCAAUGUCUUCACCAUCACCCAUGAGACCUGAAUUUGUCACCAUGGUUUAGAGCAUUCAGUUUCAAAACCAUGGUCCUUUUAUUUUAACUACAAUUGUAGAGGCCACUAGCAUGGAAUAGAACAUUGAAAUAUGGAAAACAUAUUUAAGAAAUGCCUGAUCUUCAUUAAGAUUUUCUCACUAAAACGAAACACAAACAUAGUCCAUGGAAUUUAUACCUUAGCAUAAUUAUUAUACCAUAGUCAACAAACCAAAGAAACCUCCAAACUACCAAAAACCUUGAGAGAAAUUGCUAUCUAAAACCUUACACACCAACUAAUUAUGAAAGGAAUACCCAUAAACAAGGUACUACACUGACCAUAGAAGGAUAAACUGAAAGAUGAUCAAGUUAGAAAUAGAAAUUUCCAGUCUCUGUGUCUCAUUUUCCUAUUAAAUUAUUACUUUUUCCGAUAAAAAUGUUGUCACUUUGGAUCACAGUUGAAAAACUAAUAUGUUGUUGAAUCAGUCACCAAUGCACCACGGACGCGCACAUUUCAUCAACAUAACAAAUUAUCACCUAUUUACUUUUCUCCAUGUUCUUCCUUCCUUUCCUACACAUUAUUUCACAUUAAUCAACAACCCUAUUACAGUCAUGAAAAUCCUCACUUGAAGAGGAUUGAAUAAUUGAUUUAUUAGUGUACUAAUUUUGAUCAUAUGGAAAGAUGAGUUUGCUUGAUACAAUCUGAAGAAGGAGGAUAACAUAUGACCUAGUAUGAGAUUGCUCCCUCUCGUAGGCUAUAGUACCAGCAUCACCAGGCAGUCUUUGUUUUCCUUACGCGUUGUCCAUUGAUGUACAUAAACUCCUGACUAUCACUAUGACCAAAAUCCUAUUGUUACAAUGGUUAGUGACAAACAUAUAUAGAACACAAAUAAUGGUUUUACAAUGGGAAGAAAACCACAUUAGCCCACAAGAUAACCAUUCAGUCAUUUCUAGACAAACUACAAUCAAGCAUUGCUUUAUAGGGCUAGUAGCAUCAGUUAGGAAAAUACUUAUCAUCAACCAUCAGUCCCAAUUGAUAGGAGUCCAUAAUUUUAUCUCUGACGUUGUUCCGUUCAUUGAGCAGUAACUUCACAACUAGCUGGAGUCGGUACAUGUGCAUCUUGUCCUACAGAAGUCGGAACAACUGAUUUCAUGUUUUUGGAUAAAAUAAAAAGAUAAACAGUACAAAUUAGGGUGUAAACCAACUCUAACCUCUACCAAUGAAGUACUUAAGGUUGCUUAAUUCCAAAAUUCCAUGAAGUUAAGAGCGAUGAUACCACAUUCGUACCUAUAACACAUCACGCUUAGGCUUGUCAUGUAGAUGAUUGAAAUAUGAGAAAUAUAAUUAAAUGCAAAUGACUUUAUUGCUUAGAAUAUAUGAAUCUUUUACCCAUUAAGUUGUUGGACAAGAUGUGGUUGCACAUACACAAAUUUUGAGACAUCCAGGUCCAUGUGAAUUCCAUGUGCAUGCAGUGCUUUGUGGAUAACCACUGAUAAUCACCUGGUUGAUGCACUAAUGUUGUUCCCCCAUCGCAAUGGCAAAAAUGAAAGGAUCUCAACUCGUCUAAUCGGAAAGUUGACCACGUGUAAGUGCCAGUGAUUGUUUUCACAUACGGGGAUAAACAACUGCAUGUUCAUUACAGAGUUAUUAGGUUUUACGUUAUUAGAUAACAGUCAUGGCAAAUGCCAUUGCAUAUAUUAUUAAGGAAAGUAACUUUAACAAGCAUUAUUUACCAAAUCACAUGUUCCCAGAUCAUGACCCAAUAUGUCAGCAUCCACAUACAUGCGACAUCUGUCCAUGAUGACCUAGCUGGUUGCAUUUGCUUUCAGGUUGUUGAGAACAACCUGUUCAAGGGUGAGAUUAAUCAAUACAAACAUCAACAAAUACUAUUCUAUUUUGACACCAUCUAAAUUUAGGAUAUUAGAGGGUCCACCAAGAACGAAGGAUCAAAAUAGUGUGCUCACGCUGGUGGUGCUUGCUGUCCAUUCAACAUGUGGGACAUAAUCGCCAUAAUCUGAAAAAGUUAUGGAAAUGCACAUAUUUUACAACCUCAAUCUACACUUUAUGCAUUCAUAUUACCUAUUAAUUGGGAAUUCAAUUCAACUAAAGGACAAGUAACUUACCACAGAAUUAACCCACCGCCUUACAUUUAGACAAGACAUUUCUUCCCCGGUAAUGUACAUCCCAUACAUCUCGCACAAAAUCUCAUUACAAUGAUAGAAAAGGAUUUUUGUCAUAUUGAUGUCAAGUUAUUCACAUAUUAUAUCACUGUAACAAUCAUUGGUACAAAAAAUAAAUGUACCUAGGAUCACCAUUUUAUGCCAAUGCGCAAUCCGCUACUACCCUAUCAGCAUGGGGGAUUUUAGGGAAUGUUUAACGCAUUACACGACAAACGGGCUUUUGCAAGUGGGAGGAUGCUUGACAAUCCUCUUAGCAGUCCGCUUAAAUCUCCUCAUAAAUGAAAGUCUAACUAAUUGGCUGCCACUUCCACUUGCCCCAUCAUUUUCCAAUGCUUCUUCUAUUCUCAAUUCUGGUGGAAACGAUGACACUACAUGAAAUUGUGGGGACAGUGACUGGGAAUUAAUGGCUGCUGGUGAUGCUUCCAUUCCAAUUAGCGAGUGGGGGGUUGUUGCGAGGCUGUCUUGUGGUACCAUUUCUUCAGCUGAAGGCUACUUGUCCGAUGUCUCGUGCCUUGGUUGAUAUUCAGCUGGCUGUGCUGUCUGUGGGCAAGGGACUGAAGAAGUCCUGUCUAAUCCACAACGCCGAGAACGUAAUGCAACAACAUCCCGUGCCAAAGAGGAAGCUAAUCUCAGCAUAGUCUCUAAUGUCUCAAUGAGACGAGCUUCAAGUACCUAUUACAUAGUGGGAAAUUUUAUAUACUUGUAUUCAUUGUAUGGAAGAAUUGGUAUACGUGGUGAGUGGGCAUGUACUAUCUCGGUAGCAUUGUCAGAAGUUAAGAAUGUUGAAGCUACUAAUGGUACAUUCAAGUGGGGUGUGCUUUCUGGUUGCUUUUGUGCCUGCGUGUUGCAUCAACAGUUCAAUGUGAUAAUCAACAAAUUGGUUAUUAGUUGAAUAAGCUAAUAUUGUUUAUAAAAUGUAGGGAAAUAUUUGUUAAGUUAGAGCAUACAUGCACAUGUCCAUAAGCACCGAAUGUUGAUAUUUUAGCUGCUAAUCGGCAUUUGAUUACUUCAUCACUCCAAGCGACAACUAGCGGGCUAGUAACUUCAAUUUUAUUGACGGCAUGUAGAAGUAUGCCAUGAAGAACAACUGUGCAAGGGUAGUAUAUGAGACGAGGAACAUUAAAAAAGCAAAUUGCAGUAAACAUGACAUUCAAAUUAAAAUGUAAACUAAGUUCAUCCUAAUUACAUAAUGUGUUGGAGCCUUUAUUGUACCUGUAGGAACAUGAGGCAGCCUCAGAUGUAAGUAGGAUGAUUUUUGCAAUAAUCCCUGAUUCCAUCCUCUAAGUAUUGGAACACAAACUUGGCCCAAUUCCUUUGGACACCAACAUCACCAUCCCAAAUGGUAUUCCAAAGGCCAUAGAUCCCUUCAAGCUUUGAGUUUGGUGCCAGCAUAGUGGCACAUGAAAAAAUUAAAAAUGAUUUUAAGAAUUCAUCACAAACUGGCUGAUUCUCAAGGUUUUGCUCCAGUAUGCAGAGGCUGUAUGUGCGAUUGAUCGGGGCUGUUCUUUUAAGGACAACCAUGUCUAACCCGGUACUAGGGAUGGCCAUGACCCUAUUGACAUGUUCUUCAUUGAUAGGGAUAGCAUUGUCGAUUGCCAUAUUCAGUUUAUGUAAAGUCGUAUUGAGAAAUGAGCCACCCACAUAGCUCAUACCUCAGUUCGCGACAUGCAAAGCUCAAUAGUCCCCUAAAGCCCAUCUCCUUAAUGGCUUGUUGUUUUUCAUCGAAUAGACAUGCAAUGACACUAAUAAAUUUCUUCCUUGAAAAACGGGACUUAGGAAGCUUUUCCUAUAGUAAAAAUGUAAUAUUUGUUAGUGACAAAAAAAUGCAAGAUAUGGAAAUUUGGAAUAAGGUUGAAAAUGAAGAUUCAAUCCAUUUUGGAAUGAAAACUCUUUUGUCAAUAUGUGUACAUGUUGGUGGAAUGUGCUCUUUCAUUUUUCUGUGUUCUAUGGCCAUGUCUAUAGUGAGAUAACCUUAUGUUUGGAAGAUGAAACUGAAAACUCAAGUUUUGAGACCCUACAAAUUAAAGACUGUUAGCGUAAAGUGUCGUAUGGUAAUGCAUAAGGCAUGAAAAAGUUCAUUUACAAAUAAAUUAUAAGAGUCUAGGAAAAAUAAACAUAGAUUUGGAAAAAAUUUGAACAAUACACUAAUAAAUGGAAGCUACCAAUAAGAAAAUUAACUAGUUUUCUUCUUAACCAACCAAAUAGUUGAAUAUUAAGGACAACAACAAUAACUAUUAGUUGCACAAUUAGUAUAAUAAAGUGAAACAAAUUUUUUGUUUAACUAUUAGAUGCAAUUUUCUAGGAAAUCAAUGGCCUUAUACAUAGUCAAGAGUAUGAAUAUGAUAGUUGUAAAAAGGAGUAAAAUUGAGACAACUAUGGCUUUCAAAAAAUUGAAAUUGAUUUAUGUGAGUGUGAUUGGUUUAGCACAAGUUCAACACUUGUGAAACAUCAAGAAGAUAGGCAAGUUUUUGAAGGGCACAGAGAAAAGUUCUAAACAUGAUCUUGCUGCUGGCCAAAAUAGUCAAGUGUAGGGAUUUACUUCUGCUAAUAAAUUAUGCAGACAUUUGUAUUUGCAAGUUUAAUAUGAAAAGAAGGGAUCCAACAAGUAAAUACGGUUCUAUGAUAAUCCAUUCGACACAAGGAUCCCAUUAUACCCAGUUUAAAAUAACCGCAUAUAAUAAAAAAGUCAUUGGCAAUAUCUAUGAUAGUUAUUCCUCAUCUUAAAACUUUGAAAAGUUAUAAGAUCGAGUUUUUUCCUAAUUUACACCAGGCUCAUGUUUAACUAGUUUAAAGUCAAUAAAAAAUAAUGAACAAACCAUAAUUUUCAAAACUAUGACAAGACUCACAAACAAGUCAACAAGCAAUAUCAGAACUUUAGUGCCCAUCUUAGAAUUUUAGCAAGUUACUAAAGACAAAUAGAGUCAUCUUGGAAAGCAAAGCUCAUAUUUUAAGAUUGAACACUCCUAGCAACUGAAAGUUAUAUAUCUACAUAAGAAAAAAAUUUAAAUAUUUCCAAAACAUAAAUUUUAUAGAUGCAAUGUAAGUCAAAUUUGUUUUUGUCCAAAACAAAAAGAACUUUACAUUCAACAAUGCCCUAGUAAGCACCUAUAUGUUGCAAGAAUUCUUAUACAACAUUAAAAAAUGGGAUAAUAACCACCAUGUAUGUAGUUAGACAAGAUAAGUGGUGGUGACGGGAGAAAGGGGGAAUGGUGGAAAACAAAGUAUAACAAAAUAUUCGGAUUGAACAGUAUACAUGGAUAUAUAUAUAUAUAUAUUAUGUUGGAGAUGAUUGUCCAAUCCCCAGAAGGGAAAAAUGUAAAUAAUAAUAUUAAUAACAAUAAUAAUUAUUAUUAUAAUAAUGUGUAGAAAAAAAAUCUAAUAUCAAUAGUACAUCAAUAAUUAAGGGAUAUGAUAGCAAAAAAAGUUGGCCCUGUCAGGAGUACAACAUAUAUAAUAACAUAGUUCAGUUUGAUAAUGAAUUCUAAUAGAAUGAAACCUAUAUCUAAUGGAAGGGAGGGAUGUGUUUUUGAAACUGAAUAUGUUAUGAAAGAAAAUUUGGAUUCUUUGCCAUUCAUCUUGGUUUACAAGUGUUGGACAUGUACGACAUGAAUGUUGGUUCAUUUCUGGUUAGGAAGGGUCUUUAAUUUAACUCAAUGGACAUAGCAAGUGACAGCAAAGGUACAAAACAUUGACAUAGUAACACUCAUUCAAUGAGAACCAAUUCACUUAAGUUAGUUCAAAUAUGGUAGUACAAGAUCUGAACAAUGCAAUAAGGUGACAGAUAUGCAUUGAAGGCAAAUGAUUCUUGCACGUUUUUCUGUUGUGGUCGAACAUAUGACAACAAGAGCAAUAGACCGUCCGUUUAUCUUGAAAUUGGGACUUAAUGCGCUUCUUCCUUGGCCUUCCGGGAGGCCCUUUGUAUGUGAAGGCUUUAGAGAGAAGAAAACCUCCCUAGUGAUAGAUCGAACCAAACCAUCAUCAUUGUAGUAAUCAUUAAUGAAAUUAGUAAUGUUUUGGCCAAUGAAAAUGAUGGCAGCUGCAACAUGUUCACAAGGGAUUCCCAACAUUCGCCAACCCCUAUAAGUGCACAUAUGGUUCAUAAUGUCUACAUUCAACAAGGCCCUCCCGAUACAUGCCCCAAAUGCUCCAUUCAUGAACGGUGUGACCGGAUACACCUCACCAUUUUCAAUAUUUUGCAGCACCUUAUCUUCAAUUUUUGGGCCUAUAAACCUUUUCUUAUUGUUGGACUCUUCUUGAUGCUUCACAAGCAUAGAACCUAACUUGGACAUGUGCUCCAAUAAAAAGUUACAAAUGUAGUGAUGUUUUUCAUUCUGUAAGCAAGCAUUAAAUGACUCGGCAAGGUUGGUAGUCAUUUUAUCCUUUUUUUUUUUUUUUUAGGAAUUUUGGCAUGGCCUAAUAGUUGAUUCGAGCCCAAUCGGUGUCUCAGCUGAUUCAUGUCCAGCUGGUGCUCCUUGAUUGAGGUAGUAAUCAACAAAAUUUAUAACCUAUUACACCAUGAACUAGGGUAGCAAAGACAAAGCUACUAUAGCAUAGUGGCUCUAGGAUCGUUCACUGGGAAGGGUUUUCAACUCUCAACUGAUACCAAUUCAAAGCUGAGUUGGUGCUUUUUCAUUUCAAGGUUAGCUUUAAAAGAAAACAUAAAGAUGUUUGAGUGAAAAGGGUUUGGUCUUAAACUAACCAAAAAGAAAGUAAUGGAAAUUACUUAUGAAGAAAAACAUUCCUUGGAGGUUUAGGUUCACAGGGGAGGUUCCUUAUGCAAAAACAGAGCUCCGAUCAUUUGGUUCAUUUCCUCGCAUUAGAGAAUUAACAUAAAGUCAAUUCUCUAACCGGUGCGGUACAGCUGCUUCCCUUUAAUGGGUUCAAACACUAAAUCCCUCUCACUGAUGCAACUUGCAAUGGCUCGUGCCUCUCACCUAGCAUUUUCCAUUCAAGGUGAUCUUUAACCUUGGACUUCCCUUCUCAAGCUCGCAAGAGAUAACUAAUGGAUGUCUCCUUGGAGUCCAAAAUCUUACCAAGUGUUGGCAAUUCUAGAAAAUCCUACUUCCAAGUCACUUCCCAAAAGCUCGCAAGAGAUAAACAAGUGCAUCUCCAUGGACGGAGAUAAUGUGCCUUACCAAGCGUUGGCUCAAGUGACUUGGAGGUGUUUUAAGUUAACUAAAAACAUAGAAAUCAUUAAAGGAUCACACUUUCUCUUCAUUAAUGACUGAAACCACACAACUAUUAACUCUUGCACUUGGAACCUUUCCCGGCAACCUUAACUCCAAGGAACUAAAAGUCUAGCCACUCAUUCUCUGAGGAAACUUCCUUAGAGUUUGUUUGGCUAGUAAGAAAACUAACGAGAAAACAAAUAUAUGAAGGAAAAACAGAGCAAGUGCUCUCUGAAAUAUAUUUCUUCCUUCCCUGAUUACAUAAUAAUCCCUUUGUAAAGAAAAUUACAAAACUAUAUAUAUGAGGUUAUUCACCAUUUUUACUUACUUAAAGACUAAGGAAUCCUAUGAUAAGUGGAUUACAAGGAGAGUUUGUGGAUUUAGACAACAAAUAUCUAAAGCAAAAUAUCCCAAAAUAUCUCAAAAUGUCGGUCGGAAAUAUCAGGAAGCUUCAGGAGAACACUGCUGCACUGUAUACUGAGAAAAAACUCUGCCGACAAGCGUUAUCAGAAGGUCCGGAUAUGUUUAUUCGAAGAAGUUGAAGCGUCCUCCUCUCCUAUCUGGCUAUGAAAUAUCCGGAUGUAAAAUGUCAGCGCACGGAAUUCCGGAUAUGAAAUGUCGGUGCACGUAUCCAGAUGUAAAAAUGUCGGCGCACGGAAUUCCAGAUAUGAAAUGUCCCGCGCUGCCAAGCUAUCCGGAUCAACUCCAUCCGGAUUCCCCUAAGAGGACAUGCGCGCCAUGCUAUCCUGCUCUCGUGAACAUCACAUUCCGGAUGAUAACACAUCCUAUCCGGAUAUAGUGUCCGGAUGGAAAACAUUGACUAAAGUGAGCAAGCCUUGCUACAGCCCACGUUCCGCCACUCUCCAAUGGUGUGUCCGGACGCCCUGUCCAGACAUUUUUUGCCAUGGAUUCCAAAGAACUCUCCUCAAUCUUGGAUUGCUUUGGUGAUAAAAAAGCUAUCAAACACCAAAACUUAACACAAUUUGAUUAAAAUUGAUUGUCAGGGUCCUUAAUAUGUUAAUUGGGUUAAAAAGUGAUAACUACUGCUCAAAAGUGUUUAAAAGAGUUUAUUACAAGCUAUCAAAUAGCACUUUUUGAGUAGUAAUCAAUAGCCCAAUGGCAAGACACAUUUUCUUCAACCCAUGUGGCUAAAGCAUCAUUGUAUUUUUUUAGUUCAAACAUGGAAACGUUAUAAUCAUGUUCUAACCUUGCAUACACAAUACUAUCUAGGAAUUGAAGUGCAUUUUCUUUACCCUUGUUCCCUCGUGUGUUAUGCUUGGACAAGAAACUACUAAAAUUCUCCUUCAAGUGACGAUAGCAAUAGGCAUGGUUUUCAAGGUCAAACACCUCAAGAACACUACAAAGGAGAGCAAGAUGUCUAUCUAAGAUAAUAAUAAUUUCCUUGUUUCCAACAACUAUCUUCAAUUUUUCCAAGAACCACAACCAAUCUUCAUAAUUUUUCGAGCUCAUCACUCCAAAGGCAUGAAGUUAUUAGCAUUGUAGGUGGUGGCUGAAAAUAGUGCACCGCCAUUUGGCCCACUCAUGUGGUCCGAAUCAAUUGCAAUGAUUGGUCGACACCCCAUUACAAACCCUUGGAUAGAUAUUGAAUGAGCAAGAAAAAACUGCUCAAAAUGGCCAUCAUCAGAAUAACUCAACUCAACGCUCAAUCUUGGAUUUGUUGCAAGCAUUCUUUCACACAUCCAUGGCAACAAUUUGUAAUAAUUUUUUGGUAGUCCAUAAAUAGCUCCUUAGCAUUCUCCUUUAUUUUCCAUGCUUGAAGGUAAGUCAACUGGAUGCCAUGUUGCCUUACAAAGUCCUUACAAAUUUGUCGUGGUUGGUAUUCAGGAGUAGAUCAAACGACAUCAUCAAUGACCAAUGAGGCACAAGUGGAUCUCACUAAAGGUUGAGACAAGGCAAUAUCUCCCAAGCAAUGGUUAUGUACAUUUUGAAAUGUGCGUACUUGAACAAUGUUUGAAUCCCCUAUUGCACGAGCAGUGAUUUUCCAAGGACAAUCUUCAAUUGUGCAUACUACAGUCAUGCGUUUUGAACUAUUCAUUUUGUAAGAAUAUUGGAAUUUUCUAGCCAAAUACAUCAAAUAGAUUGCAUCUCGAAACUCUGAGACAUUUGGGAAGGUAUGUCCACUACCUAUAAUUGAAUGUCGGAACCGGCUUGGUUGAAGUUGAAUGAUAUUUGUUUCAGCACAUAUUUGGGAAAACCCAAAUGACUCAAUUGUAGGCGACUCAUUAGAUAUGUUGCAAUGGGGGCUCACCAAUGGAGGAAACAUGUGCCGAGUUUGAAACAACAAUAGGUGUUGGGGCACUGCGAAAAAAACAGGGAAAGAAAUUGAUCAUCCAUCAGCCUAUGUGUGAAAGUUGAUUAAAAAGGGAAAAUUAUUAUGGGAAGACAUUAGGUACCUAGUAAGGGCAAUGAAGCCAGCACCACCUUCAACACAUUGGCAGACAUAGACACGACAAAACAUGUUAUUAAUUUAAACAUCUUGACUAUAUCGGCAUUAUUAUUCAUCAUCGAGAGUAGACAUGAUGGGUCAAACUUCACUAUGAAAUCCAAUUUAAUUGAAUUGGGCUCCAAGUUCAGUUCACCACAUACUUUGAAACAAAUUCAGAAUCUGAGAUAUUCUUGCUAACAAUGCAAUUGGUCCUACCACCCUUAUAUUCAACAGACCCAACAACAAUCUUAACAAGCUCACCAUCUUCUGGAAUGUAACAAAACAUCUCCUCUUCCAUUUCCUUAAUGACAUAAAGAUUUGUUACAAAUAAUAUAACAACGAAAGAUUGAGGAAUUAUGUAUGUUGAUUGCAUUUUCUUUUAUGUAGGAAAUAUAUAAGACAACUUUUAUUCACAAAUGAAGUAUUUGAAUCUUCAAAAAUGCAAUUUCCAGUCGUCACAUAGGUAGUACCCAAGGUGGGCUAAGGUAGUACCUGAUGUUGACUAAGACAGUACCUACAGUCGAUUAAGAUCGUACUUUCAAGAAUAAUUAGCUAGUACAUAAGGUUAACUUAGCAGUAGAAUAAGAUUAACCAACUGAUCACCAAAAUAAAACACAAUGGGCUAAGGUAGUACCUAAUAGAUUGGUAAGUUCUAUGCGCAAUUGAGUAUGUUUUAUGCACGUAGCCCAUGCAAUGCCACUUAUUGGUUAUAUCCUUGUGAAAUGGACUACGUACUGACCAAGGAAUUACCUAAUGUUAAGGAAUGAAGUCACUAAGACUAAUAUGAGAAGUGAACAUUUUCUAACCAGCAAACCACUUCUAAAAAUUUGGUCACCCAUAAUGACAAGCAAGGUUUUGUUAGAUCAACUUAUUUUUUUAGGACAUCUUCAUCAAGAUGGGAAGUUUGUAUUGUUACAGUAAAUACAAAAAGCUACGGAAUGGGAAUAGGUUUAUGGUUAGCCAUGGAGAUGAAGGUAGUUUUCUAUUCUGUAGAGGACCAAAACUGAGAACAAUACCCAUGAAGAUCUGGCUCCUCUCCACACCGUUUAUUCAUAAAGAACCAUUUAUCUAAAGAGUAGAGUGUCAUAAAAUUUUCAUUUCUUCAUUCAAGUCAUUGAAAAUUUAGUUACUUCAUUUGAAGGGUUACAAUUAUUACCUGCAUAUAUAAAAUAUAAAUUUGACUAGAUAAUUUUAACUGCUGAAACCUAUAUCAUUUUUUAAGCAUUUAUAGCAACUGCCUAAUAGUUCAAGUAAUUUUAUAUAAAAAUAUGAAAAUAAAACUGAUAAAAUUAUCAAAUCUAGGUCAUUUUGUGCUAAAUGGGAGCAGUCACAGACAAACAAAACAAAAAAUAUAUAGAUCAAUAUGCAUUUCAUCCAUUCUACUUGCAUUCCCUAGUUCCUAAAAUCUUAUUAAGGAAACUAAACCACUACAUGGAUACCAACAGUUCCUAUAUAGCCUUUCCUAUUUCCAUAUUCUAAAAGGGAUCUCUAAAUCAAUAUCAAUUACUAAUCAACAAGAAGAGUAACAUAUACUAACCAAAAAUAUUUGAAGAAAUGGGACGUGAAUUUAAAUUAUAGACAUAAAAAAAAAAAUAACAAAAACUUUAGCACCCAUCAACCAUCAAUAUCAUAAAAAACCCAAAAAGCUGAGUAAUUUGGAAUCUAAAAAUCACCAUUUCAAAAGCACUUAUUUCGAUCUCAAAAGAAAUACAUCCUCCUGAAAAAGUGUUCUUUUUGGUAAUCCACUGCAAAGCCCAAUCCAAAAACACAAUCCAAUAAAUGGGUUUCACUAAAAAAUGCAUUGUUUCCCAACACCCAAAAAUAGGAAGGAAAAAAAGGUUCAUUUUUGGCAAAUCAGUUCAAAAUCCGUUUUUCCCAGUUCAAAACCACAACAAAAAAAAAUGGGUUUUUCAGCAAAACGAUUCCCAACCCAUAUUCUUGCCUUCAUUUGAUAUCAAAACAGAAAAGUUUUGGGAAUUUUCCAAUCCAAAUAAAACCGUAGAAACUGAUAAAAACGCAUGGAAUUGAGAAAAUGGAUGAUGAUUCAUUACGAAUAGAUUUAAAAACUGAUUAUGAACUCCUAGAUGCCAAAAUUUGAGUCACACCUAAUUGAGAAAAAACCCAGACAAACAUGAGAUUUUUGUGAUGUGAAUGCAAAUGCAAAAGAAAGAAGGAAUGGGUUACCUUGGGAGAAAAAAUCUAAGAUGAGACAAAUGGGAUUAAGGGCUUUUGAACUGAAGUGAGAGAAAUUUUUGAAAACUAUACAUGGUUCUCAGCUUCGCCUCAGUGAUGGAGUGAAGAAACAUGAGAGAAAUGGGUAUCAAAUGAGAGAGAGGAAAGAAAGAAUCAUCGGCUACGGUGUUUUUGUGGGAAUGUCAAAUUUUGAUUUUUGAGUUUUCAAGCGGUUCAGUUUCGGCCCGUGAUGACAUGGACUCAAAGAUGUUGUUGACCUGGAGACCUGGGGGGCAAUCUCGGCCUAAAAUAUGCACCCGACUCAGAGUGCAUAAAAAAUAUAUAACUUUCCACAUUAAAGCUAGUUUUCAUAUUUCAUAAAUAUGGUUUUGAAAACCAUAUAUGUCCCAAAUGGCCCCAUCAACACACAAGUUUCCCAAGAAGAAAACAUCUUUCCAAUUAGCAUUCACACUAUGGUUUUCAAAUAGGUUUCAGUAUGCCAUUAUAUCCUAUGUCAAUAAUUCACCAUUAGUGGGUAUACCAAAAGAUUCUUCCUAUGAAUCAUACCUUCUUUAAAAAAAUAUAAACUUGACUUUUUUCAUGCCUCUAUUGAUUCUACACAACAUUCUGUUUGGAUCAGUUGUCAUAUUUCUCUUGCAUUCCUAUGUUUCUGAUACCAAGUAUAUCAGAUAAGAGUUUUUUUUUUUAAAAAAAAAAAAAAAAAAAAAAAAGAAACCUCAAACUACCCUUGAUUUCAUGAGGGAAGAAGAUUAAGGAUGAAAAUAGACCACAGUGUAUUGCAUAAAAAAUUUUAUGACUCUGAAGUGUUUGAUUUCAAUAAUGCGCAGAACACUCAUGUUCUAUCAACAACUCCUAGUGGCUCAAGUAGUGGAUCAACUAUAUUAACAGCAGCAAAAUUAGCAGUAAUGUCACCAGGGACGGAGACUGAUGGAUCCAUCUUAUGUCUAUCUGAUAGUAAUUCAAUAGUUGGUAUCAAACCAACACUUGGUCUUACCAGCUGAGCUGGGGUGGUUCCAAUCUCUCCUAGGCAGGACACAGUUGGGUAGGUAAUGUUUCAUCUUCCUCAAUCCAAAUACAAGACUAUCAUUUGUUGAGCAACCAAAUAGAGCAGACUGGUCCAUCUUAUUGACGAACAUAGAAAAGAAGAAAUAACAAUGAAAAGUUGGGAUCUUACAAUUAUUUAAAUUUCAAAUGAUGAUUUUUAGUAGUGAAUUUUGUGUUUAUACUCUUCAUCCAGACCGAAGCCAAUCAAGCAUCAAUGAAUGUAACUAGAUUUUAUUAUAUGCAAUACAAGAUCUUCACAUGGUUCUGUCAAUUUGUUAGGCUUUGAUAUAAAUCUGCUUGCUUUAUGAUCAUCGGCAUGUGCUUCACUACUUUGUUUUUAACUGGAGAACUUCAUAGUUUUGUUAUAUCCAUUGAUCUCAGAACUCAAUGGUGUUAAUUCUAGUAAGAACUCCUAACAUGUUGGAUGCAACAGGCCUAUCUUAGGACAACCUUCUAUUCUAUAGAGAUAUUGGAUGUCAUUGUUGGUUUUGACUAUAGGGAUGAAGCAACUAGGACAACAUCCAAGUACAAACCAUAAGGUAGCUAUAAGCAAUUUCUCAAUGCAAAUGAGAUCAGGGAGAAGAGAUUGUAAUAAGUACAAAUGCUAAGAAACAAAACAGAUCAUGAUCAGAAUUCUUCCAAAAAAGAAUAGAGAAAAAAAAUGAAAAAUAUUGGAGAAAGCAUUUCGCACGAUCUUGCUUUGGAUAUUGAAAUGAAAAACAAUAGAGUCCCAACAGUUCACAAAACCUAAAAAACUCCAAUGUAAAUCUAUAGCAUUUCACAUAAUAUUGCUUAAAAUAUUGAAAGAUCGUGACCUUCUCUCAAAAGAAGUCCUUCAAUAAAUAUGGAUUAAGGGUUUUCCUCCCUCCUUUAGAGAAAAUAGUGUUAGACCAUAGGGUAGGGCAGGGCAAAUGAAAGAGAAAACAAAUCAGGGUUUUGAUUAAAAGAAAAGGAAACCCAUUGGAAUCUUAGAAUGCAAAUCUUACCCCACUUCCAGUUGGUAGCUAGACUCCUUACUUGAGCUACUCCUCUAAUCCCGACUACAUCGACUGAAUCUUUCACUUUUGAAAUGAAAACCUCCAGAUCUCAGUUCGUUUCUGGUUACUUCAUGGAAGAGAAGGCCAAAUAGCUCUAUCUAUGGAGCACUAGUGCAUCAUUAGGAAGUGAAGCUUAGAGUGUAUGCUCUCAAAUAUUCCUACCACCAUGAGAUUCCAAGACUUUUGGAGGGAAAUCCUGUAGAAGGAAUGAAACUUUUAGCUAAAUAUAUUCACUGUGUAACACUUUUAAGAAGUGAUGAGGAUAAAAAAAAAAAUUUAUAUAUAUCAAUGACACCUUUCAGAAGAGCCAAGGAUGCAAAAAAUGACGCUUAAAAUAAGCGCCAAGAUUUUUAACCUCUACCGUUCCAUGACGCUUGUAGAGCGCCAUAGUAAAGGAGCGUCAACGUCUAGGCAUGAUAAGCUAAAUAGAAACUUUUCUAAUAGCAUCCAGAAAGAAAAAGUCAUUGUUUUUGUGUUUUUUUUUUUUUUAGUAGUGCUAGUGAUUAUAUUUGCAUCCUUCAAAUAUCGUUACACAUCUAAUUAAAUUUUUAAAAAUUUAGGAUAAAAAUGGCCUUCUCCUUUAAAGUUAGCAUUAUGUGGAACUAUACUUUAACAUCCUUAAGGUUGUGUUUAGUUCCAGAAAAUACUAAGGAAAUAAAAAAUAUAUAAAGAAAAAUAAUUUUUUCAUAUUUGGUUGUCAUAUGAAAAAUAUAGAAAAAAAUAAAAUAUAAUUAAAAUUUCAUGUAUGUUUAAAUUAUUUAAAUCUUUAUAUCGAUGAGUUAAAAUAAAUAACAUUAGUUUAAAGUAACAAAUAAAAAUAAUUUAUCGACUUUUAAUUUAUUUUUUAUUUUUCUUCACUUUUUCUUUAUAUUUUCUUUCAUUUGUAUUUUCCCUCAAAUUUUCCGGGAACCAAAUAUAACCUAAGGGAAUCUAGAAUAUUAUAAACAUUCUUAAAGGUGUCCAUAGCUAAACUUUUGAACACCAUUAAAAACGUGAAAAACUAUAUUUUGGACAUACUUCAGAUGUCGAAUCUUACUUUCAAGUUUGAAUGCCAUGAAAUUGUUUCAAGAUUGGGAACAAUAAGACUAACUCAUCAUGUCAUGGAUCCUUGCAUCCAUAUCAGAUGCUCUUCUAACACGUAUGGUAAAUUGUGAUACUUCAGCUCAGGUAUAGAGGACUCUUGAACAACAUUUUGCCACUGAAGUACGAGCCAAAAUAACUCACUUCAAGACUCAACUUCACAACACAAAGAAAGGUGACCCAUCCAUAAGUGACUACUUUCUCAAGAUCAAAAACAUUGUUGAUCACCUUGCACUAGUUGGCCAUAAUCUUUCUGAUAAAGACCAUAUAGAUGCAGUCUUUGAAGGAUUACAUCAAGAAUAUGGAACCUUCAUCAUCUCACUAAGCUCAAGAAUUGACCCAUAUACAGUUGAAGAGAUUGAAGCACUCCUUCUUGCCCAAGAAGCUUGUACUGAGAAAAACAUCAAGAUUCAUGAAUUCUCGGGUGAUACUCGGGUUUUUAAUGACAUGUCAAAUUCAGAUAUUAGAAAAGUUUUCAUAAAAUUGUUAAUCAAAUGGUAAAAAUAAAAAAAAUAAAAAAAUUGUGAAGAUCCGCAUCUUAAUUGAGAGAGAUUUUAGAAAAGUUAGUUAAAAGUGAAUAGUUUAAAAAUCUUGCCACGUCAUAUGUAAAGAGUAGGAAUUAAAAAAAUUAUUAAAUAAUUGAGAUUAGGUUUUUGUAAUUUUGAAUAUUAAGUAUAUUGUGAGAAUUAAUUUAAUAAUUAUUAGAUAAUUAUUAGAGAAUUGUGGAGAAAAACUUGGUAAAAAUUUAUAUUAUAUUGAAUUGUUAUAAUGAAUAAUUAAACAGAAAUUGAAUUUAAUUCUAAAACGAAUCAAUUUAACUCUUAUACUUGGAAUUAAACCUUAUGGGAUUAUAAAACAUCAAAUAGAAUUGAAUUGAAAUUAAGUUUAGAUUAAAUUAUGAUAUAUGAAUUUAAGAAAAUGUAUAAAAGGGUAAAUUAAUUAAAUGCGAAUUUAAUGAAUUUAACUUUUGCAAUUUUGAUUCAAUUGAGGAAUUUGACAAAUGAAAUAAAUUAAAUGAAAGUUAAACUAAAGGUUGAUAAUUUGAUUAUUAUAUAAAUUUAAUGACUAAAUAAUUGAUGAAAUUAAGUUUUAAAAUAUUGCUUAAUUUUUUGUUGGUGAAUAAAUAUUGGUAAAAUUAACGAGUUAAAGGUUAUCAUGAAUCUCAACUUCUUGUAUGUUGAAGAAUUAUUUUAUAUUUAAGACAUUUUAUAAAAUUGAUUUUUAUUUUUAUUUUUUAUUCUUUUUAAUAGUUAAUGGAAUCAUGUCCUUAAUGAAUUUCAAAGUAAAAAUGCGUUAGGUAAUUAAAUUCAAAUUAUAUUUUUUGAAGAGUAGACUUGUAGUAAAUUUAAUAAAGAAUACAAUGGUAUUUUUCAUAAGAAAGAAAAUCAUAAGUUGAGUAUAAUUUAUAAUUGUGGAAUGUGAAAUAAAAACUAGUAUUUUAAUUUAUUAAAAAAAAUAUGUGUGGUAUUUCAAAUUUGUUUAAUAAUAAUAAUAAUAAUAAUAAAAAUAAUAAUAAUAUAGAAGGAAUGGAGAACAUAAUAGGGGCGUUCGUAGAGAGGAAAGUGUCAUUGGCCUUCGACCGAUCAUUUGGUGGCCAAACGACUUUCAUUUUGUGUGAGAUUUUAGAAGAACACUCUAUUCAACACGAGAAACAUAUGAACGUAGUCAGAUUUUGAUUUCAACAGUUAGAUUUUCUAAUUUGAGGUAAGAUGGUUUAAUCCUAAAACUUUGAUUUAAUAUUUUAUUUUGAAAAAAAUUUAUAUAUUGUGUUGUUGGGAGAUAAUAGAUGUUAUUUGUAUUAUUUGAAGUAUGAUUAUGAUUAUUGAUAAUUUUAUUUUGUGAUUUACAGAUUUUUUUUUUGGAAUAAUGAUAAUAUUUAAAAUGAUUUAAAUAUAGAAAAAUAGUUGUAUUGAGUGUUACGAAUUAUAUAUUGAGACUGUUGAGAAUAAAUAAAAUUAAAGUAUAAAUUGUGUUUCAUUGAUAUUUGAAUUAUUGAGAAUUUUCUUUGAUAUUUGGGAUGAGAUAAUUGAAGAAAAAUUGUUAUGUUGGUUGUUGGAAAUUAUUAAGCUAUUGGGAAUAAAUAAAAUUUAUGUGACUAAGGUUUAACCCAUGUUUCGAUAAUAUACGAAUUAUUUGUGAAUUUUCUUUGAUGUUUGUAGUGAUUAAAGUGAAGAAAAAUUGUUGUGUGAAUUAUUGAAAAUUAUAAAACAUAAUUGGAGUAAAUGUAAUUAUGUCUUGGAAGAAAAAGAAAAAUUGAAGAAAUGGUUGAAUUAGUAACUUUAAUUUUAUAGGGUACUUAAAACAUUUCCAAGUUCACAAUCUAAAAAGCUCAAUCUGAUCAUUGACAUUCAAAAUAUAAAGUGAAAGAACAUUUUUUUAAACAAUUUUCAAAAUAAUUGGUUUAUAUUGACUUAUGCUAGUGUUUUAUGAAAGAAAAUACUAAAUUAUUGUAAUAUCAUAAACAAUAUUUAUCUCAAUAAUUUGAGUCAUUACACUCUCAACGGGAAAAUAAUAUAUCCAACUCAUAAGCAGAUUGUUUUGGCACCUCUAGAGAAUAAGUUCAGAAUUUAUUGUAAUGCCAUCUUCACACAUCAGAGAUGGACAUGGAUGAAGACCCUCAAUGAAGAACUCAAGGCCAUUUACAAUACUAACAUUGAGUAGUUGCAUUUUUCACAAAAGAUAGUUUGAUCUAUCUCAUCGUAUAGUUAGGACUUGGUUCAAUGAUGGAAGUGGUAGUGCAUGGUAAUUUUGAGAAAUUGAAGAUGAGGUUCUGAUCAAGAUUGAGGAUGACGAAACCAUUGCCACCAUUGUUGAAGAGGUAAAAGUUUCAACAAAGGGCAUGGUUGACCAUUGCAGCGAUAUAUUGUGUAUCGGAAGGUAUCGACACGAUAUUUCAUGGAGAAAUAUGGAUCGAUAUUUCGGGAUAAAUCCCGAGAAAUCGGCGAUUUUAACGAUAAAUCGUCAAUUUUUCCCGAUAUAUCGCAUAGUCAACGAAAGUCAAAUGCGCUAAAAUGCUUUCUCCUUUUGCUUCUGAGGGGAUUUGAACCCCAAACCUUUUGGUUUGGGGUACACCCCACUUGCCUUUGGUAUAUAUUGUGCACUAAACUUAUAUAUACUUAAACUCAUUAUAUAAAGAAAAUAUUAAAAGGAUAUUUUAAAGAGCAAAUUAAUUAUAAUUAUUUUAUAAUUAAAUGCAAAAUUUUCUUUUAAUUGAUUACCAAAAAUAUAAAAAUUAUAUAAUUUUCUUCAUAAUGUUUUUCAUAUCAUUAAUAAUUAAUUAAAUAUUUAAAAAUUAUAUAUAUAUAUAUAUAUAUCAUAAUUUAUUUUAUAUUGUUUAGUACAAUUGAAUUAAAUGAAUCAUAAUUUUAAUAUUAAUAUAUAUUUUAAAAUUAGACAUAUUAUAAUCAAAUAUCAUAAUAUUAAAUGUAAUUUAAUAAUAAAUGUACACUUAUAAAAUUCAUAUUUUUAUCGAUGCAUACGAUAUUAUUAUCAAAUAUGAUAAAUCAUGUUAUACAUAUAUCAAAUUUUUCAAUAAAAUAACUUUAAAAUGUCUAUUAUACUUCUAAUUAUAUUAUUAUGAGGUUUUCCUUACAUUUUCAUGAGUUUUUAACAAUUUUAAGCUUACCGAUUUUUUUUUUUCCAAAAUAUCUACCGAUAUAUUCGAUAUAUCCGUAAAAUUGAAGUACCGAUAUAUCCGUGAUUACCGAUAUUUUCAUUCUUGAUUAUACCAUGUAAAAUAAAAGUACAGUGGUUUUGGAAAAUACAAUGAAACAGAGUGAGUUUGAUUUUUUAUUUUUUAACAAAAUAAAAUGUUGAAAAAAAGAAGUAAAUAAAGAAAGAUAUAUUAAGAGUCAGUUUGACAUUACUUUUAAUGAAAGUGUUUUUAUUGUAAGUGUUUUCUUCUACAACACUUCUGUAAAAAACACUUUUAUAAGAAUUUAAAAAAGUGAUUCUAAUAGUAUUUUUAAUAAUAUAUUGCAUAAGUAUAAAAACAUUUUUAAUAAUAAUAAAUUACUAAAAAAAGAUAUUUAUUACAAAAAAAAUUAUAAUAAAUAAAAAAUUUUAUUAAAAAAAUAUAUAUAAAUAUUUAAUUGUUAAAAAAACUCAAAUUUAUUUUUAUGAAAAUGAAGUGAAAAGGGAAGAGGAGAGUAAGAAGAAAAAAGAAAGUUAAAGGGAAAUGGAGGAUAGCGAGAAAAUUUAUUUUAGGAAUAUAUAAAAAAAAUUUGAAGUAUUUUUUUUUUUAAAGAAACACCUCUCAAGUGCUUCUCUAAAAAACACUUCAAAUGUUUUUUAAAAUUUUCAUAAGUGUUUUUCAAAAUAUUAUAAAACAUAUAUAUAUUUUAUCUUAAAAAAACAUUUAAGUGUUUUUAGGGCUAAUUACACUUCUAAAAAACAUUGUCAAACGGGCUCUAAAUUCAUAUUUCCUUGAAUUUAUAUUUUUAUUUUCUCUCUAUGAAUUUUCCUUUAUUUCAAAUAUAAACUAUAUUUUAAAAGGGUAAUUUUAUUUACUUGCCUUAAGGUUUUUGUUAGAUACACUUAAUUAUCAUUUAUUUGAAAUUUUAUUAAAUAUCUUUCUUAUCAUUUUCGUUUCUUAAUUGCCAUGUACUCGAUAAAAUCAACUUGAAGGGAAUUAAGCCAAAUUCCCAACCUGUGAGAAACAAAAAAUAGAGAAAACACACGCCAAAGAAAAACAAUCACACGCACAAGACAGUAUUUACGUGGUUUGGCAAUUUGCCCACUACAUCCACGGAGUUGUAGGGAUACCAUUAUUAUUAUGGAAGAAUACAGAGUACAUCUUGCGGCUACAAUAUUUUCUCUCUAUAUAUAACACAACAACCACACUACACUAAAAAUCCCUAAUUACAAAAGGUGGUUCCACAAUGGGUUAAACGGGCCUAUCAGCCCAAGCCUUCGCUCCAUGGACUAAGCCUCAGUAAAUCUCCCAUUAAAAAACCACGCAAUAUUAUUCGGGUCGGGUCGUCAAACCGGAUCAAACAAAACUAGGCUCCACAAAGCCCAACAAAUCUCCCACUUGGAGACUAGUUCAAUCACCAACAUCAAACCAUUAUCCUCCAAGAAACAAUCCCUCAUCCCUGCAACUCAUCCUCCUAUCCUCAAGCUAGAAGACCAAUUGAAGUUGCGCACAACUUCAACUUCUCAACAGUGAUACCCUUAGUCAACAUGUCUGUCGGGUUCUUAGAUCCACAAAUCUUCUCAAGUAUUACUAGUUUAUCUUCAACAAGGUAACGGAUAAAGUGGUAUUUUGUUUGUAUAUGCUUCGACUUUGAAUGAAAAACCGAAUUUUUGACAAGAAAAAUUGCACUAUGACUGUCACUGUGUAGAAUGCCCAUCUCCUACUUCUUAUCCAAUUCAUCUAAGAAACUAUGUAGCCAAAUCAUCUCCUUUCCAACUUCAGUUGCUGCAACAUACUCAGCUUCUGUAGUAGACAAAGUAACAAUCUUCUAUAGAUUUGAAGCCCAUGAUAUAGCUGUACCACCUAGAGUAAAAACAAACUCAGUAGUACUCUUUCUACUAUCAAUAUCACCAGCAAAAUCAGCAUCUACAUAACCCUGCAGUUUCAAACUUACACUUGUGAAGCAAAGACAUGUAUCUAAUGAACCCUUCAGAUAUCUUGAAAUCCACUUGACUACCUCCCAAUGUUGCUUUCCAGGCCUACUCAUGAAUCUGCUCACAACUCCCACUGCAUGUGCAAUGUCUAGCCUUGUACACACCAUAGCAUACAUCAAGUUGUCAAUAGCUGAGGCAUAGGGCACCUUGCUCAUAUGGUCUCUUUCUUCUUCUGUCUUCGGUGACUGUUCUUUGCUUAGUUUGAAAUGACUACCCAAGGGUGUGCUCACUAGUUUAGCUUCAUUCAUGUUGAACCUGCUGAGAACUUUCUUCACAUACUCUGACUGUGAAAGCUUCAAUGUACUAUUAGUCUUGUCUCUAAUGAUUCUCAUACCAAGGAUUUGCUUUGCAGCUCCCAAAUCCUUCAUCGUAAACUUUUUGGACAAUUGCUUCUUCAGAUUAUUAAUCUUCUCAAUGUCAGACCCUGUAAUAAGCAUAUCAUCCAUAUACAACAGUAAUAUGAUGUAAGAAUUGUCAAAAGACUUAACAUAGCAAUAGUGAUCAACUUCACAUCUCUUGAACCCAAUUCUAUGCAUAACAUUGUCAAACUUCUUGUACCACUGUCUAGGAGCUUGUUUAAGGCCAUACAAGCUCUUUCUUAGUUUGCAAACUAGAUUCUCUUGUUCCUUAACAAUGAACUCUUCUGGCUGAAUCAUGUAAAGGUCUUCUUGCAAGUCACCAUGAAGGAAUGCUGUCUUCACAUCUAAUUGCUCAAGAUGUAAGUUUUCUGUAGCCACCAUUCCCAGUACAAGUCUGAUUAUUGACAUCUUCACAACUGGAGAAAAUAUCUCUGUGUAGUCAAUGCCCUCCUUCUUCUGGAACCCUUUAACAACUAAUCUGGCCUUGUAACGUUUGCUACCAUCAUGCUCAUUCUUUGUUCUGUAUACCCACUUGUUGUGCAAAGCCUUCUUUCCUACUGACAAUUCAGUCAGUUCCCAUGUCUGAUUUCCCAACAAGGAAUCCAUCUCAUCCUUCAUGGCUAACUCCCACUUGCUUGAAUUCUCAUCUUGUAAGGCUUCAUCAUAACACUUUGGCUCACCACCAUCAGUCAACAUGAGAUAAUUUAAAACAGGUGAAUAACACUGUGGAGGUCUAAUGUUCCUGGAAGAUUUACGAACUUCAGCUAUAGGUGUACUCAAAUCUACCUGUGAAUUUAUAUUCUCCUUAUCUUCUUCACCCCCUUUUUGGACAGUACUUUCAGUCAAUUCAUCUAAGUUGACAAACUCAGAUUUCUUUUUAUCUAUCUCUGUAACAUCUGACACUAUAGUUGGCCUGUCCUUGUACACAACCUAUUCAUUAAAUAUCACAUUUCUACUUCUGAUGAUUUUCUUGUUUGUUCAUCCCAAAACCUAUAGCCAAAUUUCUCAUCACCAUAGCCAAUGAAAAAACAUAUUUUAGACUUUACAUCAAGUUUACUACGAGCAUUAGAAUCAAUAUGAACAUAAAAAACACAACCAAAAACUUUUAAACGUGAAAAUUUUACCUCUUUACCACUCCAAACCUCCUCGGGAAGUCUAAACUCCAUGGGAACUAAUGGUCCUCGGUUUAUCAAGUAAGCCGCAGUGCUAACAGCAUCAGCCCAAAAAGUUUUUAGUAGUCCAGCAUGCAACCUCAUACUUCUAGCACGCUCACUAAGAGUUCUAUUCAUGCGCUUAGCCACACCAUUCUGUUGUGGUGUCCUAGGAAUGGUCUUCUCCAUCCUAAUUCCCUCUACAACACAAUACUCAUUGAACCCUCCAUCUAUGUACUCUCCUUCAUUAUCUGACCUCAAACAUUUUACUUUCAAACCUGUUUCUAUCUCAACCAUGACUUCCACUUCUUAAAAGUUUCAAAUGCAUCAGAUUUAUUUUUCAGAAAAUAAACUCAUACCUUUCUUCUUGAGUCAUCAAUAAAAGUGAUGUAGUACCUUGAACCUCCAAGGGAUGCAAUCGGAGAAGGCCCCACCAAAUCAGUGUGUACUAGUUCCAAUUUUUCAGCCUUCAGUGUCCUGCGAGUUUUCAAGAAGCUCACAUUUUUUUGCUUUUCUAAGAUGCAACUUUCACACAUGUCAAAAUCAAUGGACUUCAAUUCUGGUAGUUUUCCUUUUGACAACAGCAUCUUCAUCCAUUUCUCACUCAUGUGAUCAAGUUUGCAAUGCCAUAAGCUUGUAUCAGUCUUUGCAUCAGCAACUGCAAUUGUGUCUCUUGGACAUGAGGUCAUAUACAGAGUACCGGUCUUCUUUCCACGAGCCAAUACCCUAGCUCCCUUUGUAACCUUCCAAGUACCACCAACAAAUAGUAUUGCAUGUCUUUCAUCAUCAAGUUGUCCAACAGAAAUCAGAUUCCUCCUCAGGUCAGGAAUAUGUCGAACUUUCUCCAGUAACCAAACAGACCCAUUGGGCAACGAUAUCCGGACGUCUCCCAAACCCACAACAUCCAAGGCUGAACCAUCAGCCAAAUACACCUUACCAAAUUCACUUGCAGCAUAAUUCUGUAUGAUUUCUCGGUGUGGAGUGGUAUGAAAAGAAGCUCUUGAAUCCAAAACCCAAUCAUCAAGUGGACUGUCUACUGCAAGAAGUAAUGCAUCUUGUACCUCUUCUGUUACAACAUUAGCAAAAUCAUCUUCAUUAUUCUUCUUAUGACUUUUGCAUUGCCUUCUAAAGUGACCUAUUUUCCCACAAUUCCAGCAUUGUACUUGUUGGCCUAAUCUAGAUUUGUUUCUAUUCCGAUUAGAAUUUUUGGAUUUUCAUCUACCCCGAUUUGAAUUUCUGUCAUUACCUUUGCCUCUUAUCUCAAGGUUUAGGGCAGAACCAGAUCCUGAGGUUUCGCCUGCAUCUCUUCUGCGAAUCUCCUCAGCCAGAAUUAAAUCUCGUAUAUCAUUGUACUUGAGUUUUUCCUUUCCCGUAGAAUUGCUUACUGUCAUCCUCAUUGCCUCCCAACUGUUUGGCAAAGAAGCCAAGACGAUUAAGGCGCGAAUCUCAUCAUCAAAAUCAAUUUCUACAGACGACAAUUGAUUUGUGAUUGUAUUAAAUUCAUUUAGAUGUUGUGCUACUGAUGCAUUCUCUACCAUCUUCAAAUUGAACAAUUUCUUCAUUAGAUGCACCUUAUUGUUUGCGGACGGCUUUUCAUACAUACCGGACAAAGCCUUCAUCAGAUCUGCUGUGGUCUUCUCAUUUACAAUAUUGUGUGCAACAGACCUAGACAGAGUUAACCUAAUAACUCCUAGAACCUGUCUGUCAAGAAGCGCCCAUUCCUCAGCCUUCAUACUCUCAGGUUUUGUCCCCAAAAGAGGCAGAUGCAAUUUCCUCCCAUAGAGAUAAUCUUCAAUCUGCAUCCUCCAAUACGCAAAGUCUGUGCCAUCAAACUUUUCUAUUCUAGACGUCUUUUCUGCUUCCUCUGCCAUUGCUCCCACUUAAACCUAACCCUAGGCUCUGAUACCAGUUGAAGGGAAUUAAGUCAAAUUCCCAACCUAUGAGAUCCAAAAAAUAGAGAAAACACACGCCAAAGAAAAACAAUCACACGCACAAGACAGUAUUUACAUGGUUCGACAAUUUGCCUACGUCCACGGAGUUGCAGGGAUAUCACUAUUAUCAAGGAAGAAUACAGAGUACAUCUUGCGGCUACAAUAUUUUCUCUCUAUAUAUAACACAACAACCACACCACAUUAAAAAACCCUAAUUACAAAAGGCGGUUCCACAAUAGGCUAAACGGGCCUAUUGGCCCAAGCCUUCGCUCCAUGGAUUAAGCCUUAGUAAAUCUCCCAUUAAAAAACCAUGCAAUAUUAUUCGGGUCGGGUCGUCAAACCAGAUCAAACAAAACUAGGCUCCACAAAGCCUAACAAAAUCAACCUUAUUAUCAUCCUUACUUCUUGAACCUUGGCUUAAAACUCCAACUUCACACAACAUAUGGUAUAAAUUAAGAAAAGACUUAUUAAAAGUAGUAACGUUCUACUUUAGUUUAAAAAUGUUAACAAAAAUUAGAGGAGAAUGAACUAAAAUAUACUGAAUUUAAAAUCAAGCUAACAUAUUAGAAACCAUUUGAAAUCUCACGUGAUUAAAUAGAUUUCUUGUAGUUUGACAAAGGAAAGAAAUUACUUGAAAAGAAUGGCAAAAUCGAACUGCAUCUUAUGACCUACAAUCACAUGAUUUCCAGACUUAGUGCAUCCAUUGCCAAGAAAGAUGACGAUCAUAUCACCUUUUGUAAUAAUUCAAUGCCUCUUUUUGUAAAGCCAUAUCAUAAAUAUAAUGAAAUUAAAAGACAAAUUAAUCAAUCAAAUAAUUAAAAUUUAAAAUUUACAUGGCAGUAGGUGAGGGAAUUGUUUAGUUAAGAAUGAAGAGAGACCACACUCGAGGAAAUAUUAUUGAGGGCAUUGAUGUUGACUUCCCAUAUUCACACCUAAUUAAAAAGGUGAUUAAGAAAAUAAACAAAAACAACCCAAAAAGAGUGAAAGAUAUAUUGCUAGGAAAGAUUGUUCAAAAUGAUCCCAAGUUAUAAAAAUGAACUCUUUCAUUAAGAUGACCUUUUUGAAUACUUUUAUCCUUUUUUGUUUUUUGUUUGCCUUCAAAAUUAUAAUCUUUCCUUUAUUUAUGUUAUUUUAUUUACUUUAUCAUUUUUUUUUUCUAAUUUCUCAUUUAUUUCUUCUACUUACUUUUUCUCUUCUAUGAAGUCUCAUUAUAACUUCAUCUUUAACUUAAUCUCUCUCUUACCCCAUAAUUUCAUCUUUAGUUUAGUCAUGUCUUAUGAAGCUAAUUGUAUUUCCCUCCCUAGCUUACUCUCUAAGUUGUUAGUAAUCCUCGAUCUCAAUUCUUUCUCGUAGUCCAUUUUUAUUUUCAUUCAAGGUGAUCAUUAAAAUUACACAAGGGCUAAAUUUAAAUUAUAAGAGUUAAUUUCAAUUACAUUCCCUCAAGUUUUGGCUUAGAUACACCUUACCUCAACUGGUUUGAAAUUUCAUCAAUUAUCUCCCUUAUUUUAAGUGAAAGGGGAGGUGAGUAAAAUUAAUAAAUGAAAAGGUAAGGGAUGUAUUUGAUGAAAUUUCAAAUCAAUGAGCGAAAGUGUAUUUAGCUGAAACAUCAUGGAAAAUGAAUUAAAUUAACUUUAUACAAAACUUAACUGAGAUUAAAUUCUUGUAAAGUUUCUCACUUAAUCUAUCAUGAGAUUAAGUUCAAAAUCAUAAUAGUGAUGAGAUCUCAAACUUCAUAUCUUAACACAGUCAAUUGAACUUAUCUUGAUGAGUUUGAAGUCUCAAAAUUGUUUUGAGAUCCCUAGCUAGAAAUAAUUGCUAAAGCCCUUAAUUUUUUUAUUAAAAUGCCUGUGAGCUUGAUUGAGAUCAAUUUGGAUUACUUUUAGAGAUUCUAGAGGAAUUUAGAAGAAUAUAUAAAGGAAAAAACUUAGGGAAGAAGAAAAGUGCUAGUUAGAGCAGCCUUCUAUUGCACCAGAAGAAGUGGGCGCACCCUUCUACUAUGCCAAAAGGACUUGACGCAUCUGUAUAAGUACGCUAGGAAGGAAAAUAAAGCAACAAGCCGGCCUUUGACUUGAGAGAUGGAGAACCCUCUCCCAGACUUAACUGGCGCACCUUUUAAGUGCGCCAAGGAAAAGAAAGAGUUGUGGCUCAACCCCAUCAAGGAUUGAUAGGCAUACUCUGUCCACUAAAGAUUAAAUGUGUUAGCACAUCUCUUAUCUCCCUCUAUGAACAAAUGGCGCAUUUAAUUAUACAUACACUGUAAGCAUUGGGCUGCCUAUCCGAUGGUGCAAUUCAAAAGCUGUGGCACGCUUGGUCAACGUAUGAGAAGCAUCCACUUGCAUCCAACAAUCUUGCAUGGGUGGGGCACACCCAACCUAAGUGUUCUCGAAGUUUGGAUGGUGUUGGAGCUGUUCUUUCCAAACUUCCAGCUUCUUCUUGUCUCACGUUCACCUGCAAUGCAAGGUUUACCCGGUGAAGCCCCGGGCAGACCCCUCCGAUGGUUAAGUCUGUUGGAGUGUGAUAAGCCAACUUCUUUUUAAUUUUUCUUCUUAGCUGUGUUCUUAUACAUCUCUUCACUUACCGCCGGGACCGGAGAUAAUGGGGGCAUUUUCACCACAUCACUACCCACUUUGCCCCCUUCUCAUGGCAGCAACCUUUUGGGCUAACCGCUCCCACCAUUUUUGGCGUCUAACCCCCUCAAGACCUUUCACAUAAGUUCCCAUAUUUCUUUCUGGGCCAGAGACUCUGUCUAGUCCUCCAAAUUCAGCUCUUAAUUUUAAAUGCUUGGGCCCAGGCCCAUUGCUCCAAAUCUGUGAGGGGUACCCACAGAUGGCUACCACCAUACAUUCUACUGCAACCUUAUUCAUCAAGAUGUGAACCAAUCAUGAAAACAAGGGAAGCAAUUUAGAAAAAGGAAUGGGGCCUCACAAGAUAUUUGGUGGAGAAUUUGUUCUGCUACCAUCUCUGAAAGGAUCAAAGGUUGACUAAUUUUAGGCUGGCAACCAGUAGUAUUCUAGAAAUAGAGAAGGGAAAUUUGAGGAAAAGUCAUCAUUUUCCUUCUCAAAUUUCCUUGGAGGGGUGUUCUAGAAUAUAGAAUAUAGAAGAUAUUUUUUCUUAUCCCUUGGAGGGGUGUUUUUAGUUUUUCUUCUUGAAAUACUUUGCAGGUACAAAACUGUAUGAGCUUUUUGUUCAUGGAGUUCUAUGGGAUUCUUCGAAAAUGAAUGAAAUUCAAUUUUAAAAGAAGUCUUUUGUUUCUUUGCUUGAGUAAUUUUUUACCUUAAGUUUAAUUUCCCUCGCAUGUUCUAUCCAUGAAGCACUAAUUUCAACUAAAUCUUUGUAUAAUGGUUAUGGGAGUAACUUUAAACCUUAAAAUUCUCAUUCAAGCUUUUCCAAAUGAAAUAUAUUAAUAUCAAGUUUCAUUUAAAUAAUCUAUUUUUCCGCAGAUAUAACGAUGAGUUGAAAUUUAGACUUAUUUAAUUUGUUUAUGUCAAACAUUCAAAUCUAAAAUACAUAUAACAAAAGAUCAUGGGAAUUUGUAAUAUAAACAAUUUUUAUGCAAAGGGCCAAAUUGUAAAGAAUAGAAUACUAUUUUCAAAAGAGAUCCAAAUCAAGUCGUUGUUUUUAAUAAAUAAAUAAAUAAAUACAUUUUUUGUUUCAUUUGGAAGAUGGUGUUAAAGAGCGACUGAAUCAAAUAACUUGCUCAACCGGCAAAGCUGAGCUGGUCAACUGGACUUGCUUAUAUAUACGUAAUUGGGGAAAAAAAUGUCAGAUGAGGGGGCGGAUUAGGUCACUUGGGGGGUGCCGGGUGUAGAUGGAAGAAAGAAGUACGUAUAUAAUAAUAAUAAUUGGAGGGUUGACGUUGUCUGUGAGGCAGCUCGGGCUUUCCUUAAAACCCUAGACAUUAAUUUCUCGAACCGCCCGCCUAAUGCCGGUGCAACACACUUGGCCUAUGAUGCCCAAGACAUGGUUUUUGCGGAUUAUGGGCCAAGGUGGAAGCUCCUGAGAAAGCUAAGCAACUUACACAUGCUUGGUGUGAAGGCUCUUGAGGACUGGUCUCGGGUUCGAACUGUUGAGCUAGGUCACAUGCUUCGAGCCAUGCUUGAGUUGAGCCAGCGAGAGGAGCCGGUGGUGGUGCCGGAGAUGUUAUCUUUUUCCGUGGCCAACAUGAUAGGGCAAGUGAUACUAAGCCGCCGGGUGUUUGAAACAAAAGGGUCGGAGUCAAAUGAGUUCAAGGACAUGGUGGUGGAGCUCAUGACCAGUGCUGGGUACUUAAAUAUUGGCGAUUUUAUUCCGUCCAUCGCAUGGCUGGACAUCCAAGGGAUCGAGCGCGGGAUGAAGCAUUUACAUAAGAAGUUCGACAAGUUAUUGACAAGGAUGAUAGAGGAGCACACGGCAUCAGCCCAUGAGCGCAAGGGAAACCCAGAUUUUCUGGACGUAGUCAUGGGCCAUCAAGGAAAUUCUACAGGGGAGAAGCUCACCCUUACCAACAUUAAGGCGCUCCUCCUGGUAUGCAUAGUUAAAGCUCCUCCUGGUACGUUUUUAUCAGGUAGCCAUUUUAGGGGCACAUCACUGUUCUUUAUUUGGAUUUUUUUUUGUCUUUUUCCACUUGCAUGGCACAGGAAAAUUGGGGAAAAUGAUUGGUUCUCUGAUCAGACCUUCUGCACCAAAACACACUUCUCUCUAUUUUAUAAAAUCAAGAACAUUUAUGGUUUACAUGAUUUUUCGAACUUGAACUUUUGCUAGGGCUAAUCCAUGGAUCUCAAUUUUCAAUUGCGUUUGAUUACAUAAAUUUCAAGUAUGUCACCAUAUUUUUGUUUCCUUGGCUAGAAUUUAUUUACUGCAGGAACAGACACUUCAUCAAGCGUAAUCGAGUGGUCUCUGGCUGAGAUGUUGAAAAACCCGAGCAUCCUCAAGCGUGCUCACGAAGAAAUGGAUCAAGUGAUUGGAAGGAGCCGGCGGCUCGUGGAGUCUGACUUACCAAAACUUCCAUACCUACAAGCCAUAUGCAAGGAAAGCUUCCGGAAGCACCCAUCCACCCCAUUGAACCUUCCUCGUGUCUCAAACGAGGCAUGUGAAGUGAACGGCUACUACAUCCCAAAGAACACUAGACUUAGCGUGAACAUAUGGGCAAUCGGGCGAGACCCUGAUGUCUGGGAAAGCCCGGAAGAAUUCAGUCCAGAAAGGUUUCUAAGUGGAAGAAAUGCAAAAAUUGAUCCUCGUGGAAAUGAUUUUGAGUUGAUCCCGUUUGGGGCUGGACGAAGGAUUUGCGCUGGCACUAGAAUGGGAAUAGUGCUGGUUGAGUACAUUUUAGGGACGUUGGUACAUUCAUUUGACUGGAAAAUGCCGGAUGGAGUUGAGAUCAACAUGGACGAAGCUUUCGGGCUUGCACUGCAGAAGGCAGUUUCUCUUUCGGCUAUGGUGACACCAAGGCUUCACCAGAGUGCGUAUGCAGUCUGAGCUCAAACCGCUCAGACCAAAACCCAGGCCUCGUUGCUAUAUGGCAUGGAUGCAGUUAUGAAGAAAAUAUUUUCGGAUGUUGUUUUAGUUUCCUGUGGCUUAUAAUAAGAUGUAUUAGCUCAAAGAUUGUAGUUUCAUUCUAACACCAAGCCAUAUGCAUCUAUGCAUAAUCUAUUAAUUUAUGCUUGAUUUGGUUAUAGUUUUUGGUUUUUUUGUCUUCCAAAUCAGUAAAUAGUAGUAACCUUUAUAUAAAAUAUAACUCAUACAAAAUUUUGCAUUGAGAAAGUAAUAGUGUAUAACUCAUAUGCAUCUAUGCAUAAUCGCUUGACCCCACCUCUUUUAAUUUCUUUUUAAAAUUUAAUUUUAAAAAAAUGUUUAAUUACAUUAAAAAUAAAUAUAUUUUAUAAAUAAAGAAAAUAAUAGGAAGCCGACAUGCAUGAUUAAAUAGUUGUGUUGGAGUCCAGCAACAAAAGGCAACAAGGUCCUUGAUCAGAGCCAUCAUCUCUUUUCGAUCACUUCUUGUGCAUGAGUUGGCCUGCAGAAUGGGAUUGGCUUAGAUGAUCGUUACUGAUGUUUCCUUUUCAACAUCAUAAUUCAGCGCAAACCAAGUUGAAUAUUCAACAACAAAUAAGUACAGAAAAAUAAAGGAAGAAAAAAAUCCCACUUUAUCUCCGUAAAGUAAUGCCAUAUUUUUCUUCAGACUUAUCUUCUAGCUAGAUUUUUGUUGGAGCUCUGAGCCCGUGAUCCAUUAGAUGACCUUUAAAAAAAUCCCAUCAGCUAUGGAAAAAGUUUUCAUUAAAUCUAAUGAUAAAAAACAAGAAACAAAAGGAGGCACAUCUUCCAGGAACUUUCACCCAGAAAAAAAUAAAAGACAAUGAAUCUUAAUCAGCCAUUAGCCGCUUUCAAUUAUUUAUCAUAAUUAAUGGCGUGCGAUGAAAGCCUAGGAACCAGUCCCAAACAAAAAUUCAUAAAGCAAACCCUCGGUACGAUCGGGGCGGACUGAAGUGAAGGUGGAACUUAGAAGAAGUCGAUAAAUAAAUAGUCGGGUACCAGAUCUGACCGCUACAAUAAAUUGGGGAGUAAGGAUGAAAAUAUCGGUAAUCACGGAUAUAUCGGUACUUCGAAUUUACGGAUAUAUCGGGGAUAUAUCGACGGAUAUUUUGGAAAAAAAAUAUCGAUAGGCUUAAAAUUGUUAAAACUCAUGGAAAUAUAAGAGAAACCUCAUAAUAAUAUAAUUAAAAGCAUAAUAGAUAUUUAAAGUUGUUUUAUUGAAGAAUUUGAUAUACAUAUGAUAUAAUUUGCGAUAUUAGAUGUAAUUAUAUUAUGUAGAACUAUAAGAAAUGUUAAUUUUGUAAUUGUUCUCAUUAUAAAGUCACAUAAAAUACUUCAUUUCAUUUAAUAUCAAUAAUUUGUACACAUUACAUUACAAUGUCCCUUUUGUACCAAAAUGAGGAUCGAUGUGGUUCAAUGGGAUUGAUAGAUGAAGGAACCCCGCCUUGUUGUUGGAGACAAUAUUAGUACUAACUCAAUGAAUCUCGAUAAUAUUGGUUAAAAAUUCUAACAUGCCAUGCAUAUAUCUCUUGAGUCCUGCCCACUACCGCUACAUGGAUAGGGUACUCAAAGUUCACCCAUGUGUUAAUGUCAAAUCCUCCUUCCAUCUGAUAUGGAACUUGGUAUGGCAUUUGUCUGGAAAGGGAACAAUGCGACAUACCAUACUCUUCAUCGGUUGAACUUGAAGGUUGACCAUAACUCAUUACAUGAGGAAGGUAGAUGUUAGCCUCAUUUGAGGAAUCACUAAAUUGAGUCCCUAUACUCAUAGAUUCAAAACUCCCUGAAAGUAACUCUUCGUUAUAUGGUUCCAUCGUUCAUUCUCUUCCUCUAUAGGGCUUCCUAAUAGCUCCUAUGCUUGGACCAGCUCUUCUAGAGCCAUGGUCUUCAUCCUGUGUGUAGUGUGUGAAAUCAUUUUCAUAGGUAAAUUGGCUGAUUAGAUAUUGACUAUGUUGAUGUUCAUAAAUAUCUCCUCCCGUAUUAUCACCUCCAUCAUUAGUUUCACCUCUUGAACCAUAGUAACUAAAAGCAGAAGUACCUGCAGCACUAGGUCUACUGCUAUGGCCAGCACUUGUGGAGUCAAUCUCUUGGUGGGAAUUCAAUGCCGCUUGAACUAAAUCAUUAGUAUCUUUGCUAAAACUUUCAGAGUGAACUUCUUCAGAUAACACACGUUCAACAUUAACUCCAAAUUAUUGAGCAUGAGCGGCAAUUCAUGGAUUAGGAUUUCCAACUUCGUCAUCCAAGUGUAUAGGCCUAACCCAUUGGAACAACUGAUUAUCUUCUUCUUCACCUACCUUAGCUGAAAUGUCAAGAAGAUCAAAGUAAUCUUUUUCAACAACUCGAUCAUUUUCUGCCUCCAUAUCGCGUAACUUUAGCCUCAUAUUAUAGUAACAAAAAACUAAUUGCUCCAAUCUAGGGUAAGCCAAACGAUUUCGUUGCUUUGUGUGGAUGAGAGCAAACGUGCUCCAAUUUCUCUCACGGGCAAAAGAUGACGCAGUUUGUGAGAGAACUUUGAUGGCUAACUUUCUCAAUGUAGGUGUUUGAUUCCCAUACAUAAACCACCAUUCAGUUGCAACCAAUUUGAUAAUCAUAUAAAUACUUAUGUGGUGAAUUUACAAUAAUGAUAAUCAAUUUUUUCUUAUAAAGACUCACCGGGUACCAUGGUUGACCUUGUUGCAAUCGCUGCUCGAUUACUGAAUCAUUUUUUUGCAUCUCGAAAAAGCACAAGCUAUGUAUUCAACAUUUAAUUUGUUAAUAUCAUAUUUGUUAGUAAACGUUCAAAUAAAUUGAUAAUUGAAAUAAUUGUUUUAUCAACAAAAAUAACAAUUUUCUAUUUACCUCAUUUCCAAAUUGACCAAGCGACUUAGUAGUUGGAUCAAAUUUUGCAAAAACAUCAUGGACCGCUUGAAGUAGUUCCGGAUCACUACCAACUCCAUGCCUAUAUUGAAAUCUUGGAUUUAAGAAGUAUGUUACAAUAAAAUUAAGUAGAGCUAGUAUAUUUUUAAAGAAAAUUAAAUACAAAGUAAAAACUUAUAAAGAUAGAUAGUACUUAAGUACCUGUUGCAUGAAGUGGAUGUUUUAGUGUUUUCUCCCAAUGAUCUUUUAUUAUUUUGAAGAUCUAAUCUCCAGCUCCUUGAUGAAUAAGGUUUCCUUUCAUCACUUGCAUAAACUCGUACACAAAUGGCAUUGUGGGAACAACUUUAGAAUCCACAAGUUGAAGCACCACGUAUAAUGGCUCAUAUAAUGAAACUAUAUUUGUCAAUCUGUCCCAAUACGUAUGGUCAAACAAUAAUUGCUCCAAUUCUCAGCUAAGUUUUGUUCGACUGAGUUUGUGGUGUGCCCAUUCAUCACUCAUAAACAUUUUUUUCAAAUCAACCCUUUUUUUAAGAAGACUGUUAAGAACAAUAUAAUUGGUAAAAAACCUUAUAGCUCCUGGUCGAACAAUGUCUCCACCACAAUACUUUCUCAUUUGUGCAAGUAACCAAUCAUGAUUGUAAAUGAAGUUAGUUAUCUUGCGAGCAUUGUUUAUCACAUCGAUAACAUUAGGUCUUUUACCAAUGUCUUCAAAGAUUAAGUCGAUACAGUGCGCCGCACACGGAGUUCAAUAUAAGUUAUACUUCUUCAUCAAUUGUUUCCCUGCUUUCAUGAACGCCGACCCAUUAUCUGUGACAAUUUGGACCACAUUUUCUUUACUGACUUCUUUGAUAAUAGUCUUCAAUAGCUCGUAAAUAUACUUGUGGUCUUUGAUAUAGUUUGAUGCAUCGAUUGACUUAAGGAACACCGUGGUCCCUUUAAAAUAAACCAUGAAAUUAAUAAUACUUAAUUUCGUGGGCCUUGUCCAUCAAUCUGACAUUAUUGUGCACUCAUAUGUCUUCCAUUUUUCUCUUUGCUGGUUCACAUAAGCUUCCAUUUCUUUGUACUCCAUUUCCAAGUACUUGUUCUUUAUUUCAUAUGGAGAUGGAGGUUCGAUUCCCAUUCCUACACUUCAUAUAUAAAAAAUAUGUAAAACAUGUCACAAAAGACCAUGCUUACUAAAAAUGUGACACAAUAUAACAUUUCAAAAAUUAGUAAUUAGUUGCUUGUUGUGCACCAAUAAUCAUAUUCUUGAAGUGAUGAGACUUUGCUUUUGCGGGUGCGACGCUCUCAUAAAUGAAGAAUUAGCUAAUUAAGCGUCCCAUCGUUUCUUUAAUUGCACCACGCUUGAAUAUUUCUUUAAUAUUUUUUUGUCUUGCUGCAAAAGACUUAUAAAGCGAAGGGGCAACAAGGGGUGAUUGGUGCGAAUGUCGCAUACUUUGUGAUUUUCACAUCGUCGUCGGUAUACCAGCAGACCGUGAAGACUUCCCCGUUUUGUGUUUGCUUCCUACAAUAUUCUCAUGUUGUUCAUGUUCCCAUUCUGAUGAUUUUGAGGCACGAACUGCAGAUCGAUAUGCAUCCCGCUCAUCUGGGUACAUAUCUGUUAGAUACAUAUACACAUCUUCAUCCUCAACAUCUUCAUCAUCAUCAUUUUCGUCUACCAAAUGUGUAUCAUGAGUCCCCAUUGUGCCACGUAAUUGAGCACAGAUGUCUUGAAUAUCAGCAACUUUCUUUGCUUUUGCUUUUUUUUUUUUUUUUUUGUCAUACACCAACAAACAUAUCUUUUCUUUCACUUCGGGAGGCACUCUCGGACACUUUUUGGUGUUGUUAUGCGAGUCGUUAUGCGUUAAAUGGAACUUGAAUCGUGUGAUGCCUCCACUUUUCAUCAAUAACCUACAGAAAUUACAAAUUGUUCCAUUUAUGUUCCCCCUCAAUUGGUGAACAAUACUUCCAAGCCGGAUCUCGCCCUGGCAUGACAGAACCACCUUCACUAGCCAUGCUAAAUCUAUUGCAAAAGAAAUACACUUGAAUGUAAUUUCAAUGUAAACAAAAAUUAAGUCAACAUUUAAAUUUAAAUCUAUGAGAAAUCUACAAAAUAAUCAUAAAAAAUGAACAUAUUUGAUAUUCCAAAUAUCUAGUUCAUGUUAAUUAAACUAAUUAAAUAAUUUAGCUAAGUUAAUUUUUUGAAUCUAAAUGUAAUUCUAUGAAAAAUUUAGUAAAUAUAAAAAUUAAUCAUAAUUGAAUAUGAAAAUAAAUCCCAAUAAUCAUAAAAAUGAACAUAUUUGAUAUUCCAAAUAUACUAGUUCAUGUUCAUUAAAUUAAUUAAAUAAUUUAGUUAAGUUAAUUUUUUGAAUCUAAAUGUAAUUCUAUGAAAAAUUUAGUAAAUAUAAAAAUUAAUCAUAAUUGAAUAUGAAAAUAUAUAGCAAUAAUCAUAAAAAAAAGUUCAUAUUUGAUAUUCCAAAUAUACUAGUUCAUGUUAAUUAAACUAAUUAAAUAAUUUAGCUAAGUUAAUUUUUUGAAUCUAAAUGUAAUUCUAUGAAAAACUUAGUAAAUAUAAAAAUUAAUCAUAAUUGAAUAUGAAAAUAAAUCACAAUAAUCAUAAAAAUUAACAUAUUUGAUAUUCCAAAUAUACUAGUUCAUGUUAAUUAAAUUAAUUAAAUAAUUUGUCUAAGUUAACUAGUUGAAUCUAAUUCUAACUAGAAUGAAUGUGAAAAAAAAAAUCACAAAAAAUCAUCUAAAAUAAACAUAUCAAUUUAUAAUUAAAUAAUCAAAUUAACCUAAGUUAAUUCAAUAAAAAUAUACAAAUUAGUUACAAUUGAAUGUAAAAAUAAAAUUAAAUCAUCCAUAUUGCAAAUAUACUAAUUAAUUGAACAUACAUGAAUUAAUUACAAUUGAAAACAAAAUUAAUUACAAGUUAAAACAAACAUACCUUAAAAUGAUUGAAUAAUUGAGCAACCUUCGAAAAAAUUGGAAUAAUGAGAGAGCAAAUCAAUAAUGAAAUCAAAUAUGAAUGAAAUGGAUGCAAAAUGGGCUAUUUAUAGGAGAAAUUUGGGCCACAAUAGCCGUUGGAAGAUUAUUUUACCAUUGAAAAACAAUUUUGGCUGUUGGAUCAAAAUCUGGGCAAAAUCUGACCGUUGGAUCAUGAUAUUACUGUUGGAAUCUCAUCCUAACCGUUGGAUCAAACCUAGAUUCAAUUUGGAGCAUUGGAUAUAUGACUGUUGCAAGCAGACGUGGCGGGCAACAUUUGGACCAUCGGAUCAACAUGGGUGUGAUUUGGGCUGUUAGAUCAUGUUGGAGAUAUGAGUAGACAUGUCACCAAAAAAUCGGCGAUUUAUUGCCGAAAUAUCGACGAUUUUCCUCCGUCUGGGCUGACUUUUCGCCGAUAUAUCGCCGACAAAUUGGCGAUAUUUUGACAAUUUUUUAGUGAAAUUUCUCAUUCUUGAUUUUUCUCCACAUAAUAUCGUGUCGACACCUCCUGAUACAUGAUAUAUCACUGAUAUAUCCCGACAUUUUCCUCUUUGUUGGGGAGUAGGUGAUCUCGAUAUUAAUUCAAUAAAUAAAUAAAUAAAUAAAAUCAGAGUGGUGUGUGAUUGAGAUUAAUUGUAUGAUCACCGAAUUAUGAUGGAUCGGACGUACAAUAUCAAAAAGUUUUGAUAUCGUUUUGAUAUUAUUUUUUUAAUAAAAAUAAUUAUUUUUAAAAAAAUAUGUUAUAAAUAUUUAAAAUAAUUAAAAAUAUUUAGAUCAAAAAUCGACUAUUUUUCAAACAAAAAUAUGGAAGUGAUAAAUGUGCAAAUAUGGGGAAUAUUUAAUCCUUUUAAUCCAUUAUUUCAUUAAUAAAGUGGGUAUAAUUAAUGAUGAACGCAAACUUGGUUUUGCUAGGGCAUGCAAAGGUUUUGCAAGAGAGAGAGAUCAUUUCUCGACUUUAAGAAAUCAAUCUCCUUUUGGCCUGGAGGCAGACUCCAAGUUAAGCCUUGAAAGAGCAUUGCUAAUAGCAUCACUGCUAUUGCAGACCCGAAUGCGAUCCCUGUGCACCCACACCUUCCAGCACUGAAGGAAAUGAAACGAAGGUUUGGCUCGUUCAACUCCACUGCUUGACUGUACUAGCAUUCAGAUGCUACCCUGGAUUGAAAUUUAAUGGUUCUUCCCAUAUUCUAAGGUUCCGGCCAAGCCCCAAACGGCUCAGAAGGACAUGACUGCCUUUGGGGAUAAAGUAGCCAGCAACACUAGUCAGAUUCUUGAGCUAGUCUAUCCUUUCCAACCACUCCAUCAAUUUCUUCACUGCUUUGCUCAAAACCCCUAGUUGAUUGACCAUUGCCUACUCAAUUGCAUUUGAUGGACUAUCCACGCCUGCAAGCAUCAACUCCUGUAAAUUAUGGAAGGAUCAUAAUCUGAUGAUUGAUCAAGUUAUUUGCUGGCUAGGAAAUGAUCAACACAUAAUAUAGAUCAAAAUGUAAACACAACACUACUAAAAAAUAAUUUAUGGUGUUACUAUUUAUGGUGUCACUUUUAAAAUAAUGACACCAUAGGGUUUAUAAUUAAUAAAGGUGAUACAUCAUAUAAAAAUUCUUCAAUUGAGAUAGUUAGAUGAUGUUAGUUUUAUUUUUAUAAUGUCAUUUUUUGGUAAGUUACAUCAUAUAAAAUAAAAAAAUUUAAGUAUUAUAACUCAAUGAGCCUAUUUGAGCCCACUUUUAAAAUUAAUAAUGAGGGACAAUGUAUAAAAAGCCAAUUGUUUCCACAUGCCACCCACAAUCCAAAAAAUCUCAGUAUACAAACCUUAUAUAUCAAACCAUAAUCUUUUUCUACCUUUUCUCUCACCCAUUGUCAACACACUCACAACUGACAUUCUCCACUUUGUGAACUCCCAGGUAACCCAAAUUCUCUUAGAUCUAUCAUAUUUUUUCCUUUAUUAAUAUCAUUAUAUCGAUUGUUUCAGCAUCUUUGCAUUAUGAUUUUUGUGAAAUGCAUUUUCUUGAGUUGUAGGGAAGAAAAACUUAAGUUUAAACUUCUAGCAUAGAAGAAGAAACCUAUAGAUUAAUUGAUUUUUUAAUCUGAACCAAACACAUGGUCGAAUCCUUAGAAACAAGUGAAAAAUAAGAAAAAAUGAAUGAUUUUUAAUAUAUAUUUGUGUGAGAAUGACAUGUACAUAAUUUUGUUGAGAUAUACUGUCACAUAAUCUUCAUCCCUUCCCAAAAAUGAGAGAGAGAGAAAAAAAAAAAGGAAUAAUUUUUUUGUGUGUAUCUAAGUGGGAAUGAGAGAUAUAGAAUUUCGUUGAGAUGCAAUGCUAUCACAUGAUCUUUAUCCUCCAUUAAACCCAACACAUUAAAUCCACUAACUCUCUCCUCAAAAACGAGUAAAAAAAAAAAAAAAAGAAUGAGUUAAAAAAGAGGAAAAAAAUGAUUUUUUUAAUGUGUUUCUAAGGAGAAUGAGAGAUACAGAUUUUUGUUAAGAUGCACUGCCACAUGUUCUUCAUCCUCUCCAUUAAGCCUAACAUAUUAAACCUAAUAGCUCACUCUUUUAAGCAUUCCAAUGAAGUGCCUACAGUAUCCAACUCAAAAUAAGACAGACAACUUAAGCCCCAUUAGCCAACAACCCAUAUUUUGUGCACAUCUUCAUGAGAUUAUUUUGUGAGAAAAUGUCAUGAAACAAUCCCAAUUUGAUAAUCUAGGCAUGUAUUUGACUUAAAAAUAAAUUUCUAUUCUAUAUAUUAAAGAAUAAAAUCAUGAUUGAAAAUUAUUCUUAAAAACUUAUUUAGAGCAAAAAUUGUUUUCUAACAUAAAAAUAUUUUUUUAACUUAGAAAAUAUAUUUGAAAUUAUUUGAUAGAAAACUGGGCAUGUAUUUGACUUAAAAAUAAAUUUCUAUUCUAUAGCUCAAAUAAUAAAAUCAUGUUUGAAAAUUAUUCUUAAAAACUUAUUUAGAGCAAAAAUGGUUUUCUAACAUAAAAAUAUAUUUUUUAAUUUAGAAAAUAUAUUUGGAAACAUUUGAUAGAAAACUGGGCAUGUAUUAAACUUAAAAAUAAAUUUCUAUUCUAUAGAUCAAAGGAUAAAAUCAUGUUUGAAAAUUACUCUUAAAAACUUAUUUAGAGUAAAAACGGUUUUCUAACAUAAAAAUAAAUUUUUAACUUAGAAAAUAUAUUUGAAAACAUUUGAUAGAAACCUUUUUUUUUCUAAUGUCAAUAAGUUGUCUUUUUCUUAAUUUAAUUGCAAUCAAUUUGCCUAUAUGCAUUUAAAAAUAUAUAUUAUCAUAUUUAGCAAUAUUUUGAUUGUUAGGCAAAUUAUCAUUUUUGAGAGGAAUUUUUGUAGCUCUCAUAAUUAUAAUUGUAUUUUAAUAACCAUUUCCAAUAUAAAAAAAAAAGAAAAAGAAAAUAAAGUUAGACAAUUAUCAAAAUCUGAUUUUUAGGAUUUUUAAAAAAUCUACAAGCCAAAACUAUUUAUAAUUUUGACCAUGUGAGAACAAUUCUUUUUCUAUACUUUGAGUUAUUUUGUUUUUUUUUUCUUAGCAUUUGAAAGUAUAAAAGAAUUUCUUUUAUCAUAUUAUAUAUGUGCAUAUGUGUUCUUAUGGUUGUUUAUGUCAUGUUUUAUCAAAGAAUAUAGUGAAAUUUCCUUUGAGUGGAAGGUUUUAGUCCACGCUAGUGAGUGGACAUGGUAUGAAUAGUUUGGGUGGGUUGUAUCUAUGGUAAAAAAUAAUAAGACACACCUUUUGCAAGUCUCCAAGUUGGUUGAGACCUACAGACAUGGCAUCAUGUUGACUAGACCUUGACUUUUGCAAGUCUCCAAGUUUCCAACUUUUUUUUUUUUAAUAUUAAGGUGUGGGGUCAUGAACACCUUUAUUUCCUUUUUAAAUAACAAAAAGGAAGAGAAUUUGAUCGUGAGAAGGCUAUUGCUAUCAAUUGUGUUCACCUGGAGAAUUUUUUAAUGUAUAGAGGCCAUAUAUAUAUAUAUAUAUAUUUAUGUCUAAUUUAGGAGGGUAAUUUGGGUUUGUCUAAUCUAUUCCAUUUAAUCUUACUAUACAAUCAUUUUUAUUAUUUGAAUUAUUCUUGUAUUAAAUUUCUUCAACCCAAAUUUAAUUAAUUGAUAGGAUGAAAGAAAAUGUGAGAAUGUGAGACUAGAGGUGGCCUUUGUUUGAUUGAUAAUUAAUCAUUUUUUUAUUUUACAUAUAUCUAUCGACAUAUAAAGAGCCAUAAAGUUAAUAUCAUAAUGGAAUUUCAUAAAACCCAUUAUAGAAUUUCAUGCUUGAAGUCAUUACUUUUGAAAGUAUUUAUUAUAAUGAAAGCUACUUUUUGUAAAAAUUAUUAUUUUAUGGUUGAUAAUUCAUUAAGUGUCUUCUUAUUCAACUAGUUGACUUCUUGCCAUGGAAAAGUAUACCCAAAAAAAGGUGACUUCUUGUAGUAGAAAAGUAUACCCAAAAAAUGACUUGUUGGAGUGCACCCAAUGUGUAUGUAAAUUUUGUGGGUGAAAAAUUUAGAGGUAAAUUAUUGGGUACUUGUAUACAUAGAUAACUAUGAAAACAUAAUUUUUGUUAAGUGAAAUAAAUUAAUUUUAAAAUAACAAACAAACUGCCAAUAAAUUAAGUUAAACAUGUUGAUUAAAGUUAAGAGAAAAAUAUUAAAACAUAAAAUGAUGAAAAUGAUAAUAAUUAUGAUAAUGGUGAACAUAGUAAAUGAUAACAAUAAUUGUGGUUGGUAAAUGAUAAAAAUAGUUGCCGGAAAAUUUGUUUAGAUAAUAGGUUAAUUUUAUAAUAAAUUUAUGGCAUUUUAAGGUUUUUUUUUAUAACAUAUUCUUUUAGAUUUUAAAAUUUCAAAGGAUACUAUUUGUUUUUAUUACUUAUAACUUUUAGUAUUUAUAAAUUAAAAUUUUAGUACUUAAAUUUAAUAUUUGUAAGUUAUAUGAAUGACUUGAAGCAUGUAAUAUAUAUAAAUACACAUAUUCAUACUUGAAAUAUUGCAUUUUUUUGGAUUAUUAGUUUAAUUUAAUGGAGAUGAGUAUUUUGUUGAAAAGUUACAAUGUAUUAUUGAAAAUAUGACUUGAUAGUUGAUUAUGAAUAUGUGUCAUUUUUAGUAAAAAUAAAUAAAAUUAAAUCUAUAACAUUUUAUAUUGAUAGUAUAUUAUUCUUGUAAUAGGUUCAAAUAAUAAGCAAGUCAUUAUCAAAGAAGUUAUUGGAAGUGUAAGGGUACGUUUAUUUAUUGCAUGCUCUUAUAUAGUAUCAAUUGUAAGGAAGAUAAAAUUACUGAUUACUACUCAAAAAGUGCUAUUUGAUAGCCUAUAAUUAAUCCUUUUAAACACUUUUGAGUAGUAGUUUAGGCCUUUUAACUCAAUUGGCAUGUUAAGGACCCUUGAAAGCAAUUUUAAUUACUUUGUGUAAGUUUUGGUGUUUUUGUUAGUAUUUUGAUCACCAAAGCAAGUCAAGACUGAGGAGAGUUAUGAGGAAUCUUGGGCAAAGCUUAGAAGUCAUUUGCCAAGAGUGAAUCCAGAAUGCAAGGAGAAAAAGUAAAGAGAAUCUGCCAUGAAGCAUAUUCUUGAUGACAGUCAUAGCAGCCACUUUAGGAGCACUUUCUGAAGUCCAAUUGAUACAUGCUAUAUACCAUUUCAAAGCUCAGGAAGUCAACAAUCCACUGCUUCAAACGGUGUGCAAUUCGGAGUUGAAACGAAGAAGUUGCAGCCAUUGCAAGCCAAUCACUCCAAGCUGAAGGAAGCAUUUUUGCAAAGUGUUGCGAAAUCACCCUUUUGUUGCGAAGUGAUUCCACAGCCUUUUUGUACAGUAGGGUGUAUUUCCUCCUGAAGAUGCCCGACAUAUACCGCGAGAGGGAAGCUGGGAACCUCAAGGUGGAAGCCAACUUCGCAGCCCUGCGAAGAUAGCAUGUUGUUGCGAAAUGAUUUCGCAGCCCUCUUGAGUGUCUGCGAAAUCUCGCAGACACCAUUUUCUCUUGCGAAAUGGUUCCUGGAGCAUCCCGAUAUCUGCUACCGAUAUUGGGAGAUAUUUUACAUUAGAUUUUUGUUGUCUAAAUACCAAAAUACUCCUUGUAAGCCACCAAUUACAAGAUUCCUUAGCUUUUAAGUUAGUAAAAAAGAGAAAAAUAUCUAUGUAAUAAUUAGUUUUAUAUUAUGUUCAUAUAUACCUCUCGGGAGCCUGUUCUCAGAAGGAUCCUUUUGUAAAGUUUUGGGUAAGCAAGUAAAGUUCAGUUCUUUGUUUUGCCUUACCUUCUCACUUUGUAUUUUUCUAUUUAUUACUAAGUUAUGAACUCUCUGAGGAGUUUUCCCCAGAGAAUGAGUAACUAAACCUCUAGUUCCUUGGAGCUAAGGUUGCCGGGGAAGGUUCCAAGUGCAAGAAUGCAAAGCUUUGUGGUUUUAGCUAAUAAUGAAAAGGAAGUGAAAUCCUUUAGUGAUUUCUAUGUUUUUAGUUAACUUAAAACACCUUAGAGUCACCUGGGCCAACACUUGGUAAGGCAAGUGAUUUCCAACCAUGGAAAUGCACUAGUUUACCCCUUGCGAGCCUCUGGGAGGUGACUUUAGGGUAGGAUUUUCUAGAAUAGCCAACACUUGGUAAGCUUUUGGACUCCAAGGAGACAUCCAUUAGUUAUCUCUUGCGAGCUUUUGACGGGUAAUCCAAGGUUAAAGAUCACCUUGAAUGGUUACGGCUUAGUGAGAAGCUUAAAUCAUUGCAAGUUGCAUCAGUGAGAGAAUUAAAGUGAAAUCUAAUUGAAGGAUGUAUCUAUACAACACCGGUUAGAGAAUUGACUAUAGGUUGAAUCUCUAACGCGAAGAAAUGAACCAUCUGACCGGAGCUAUGUCUUUUGCAUGAGGAACCACCCCAGUGAACCUAACUCUCCAAGGAAUGUUUUUCUUCCUAAGUUAUUCCCAUUACCUGUUGUGUUAGUUAGUUUAAGUCUAAAUCUUUACAAAUCAAAGUUUGGGUUUUAUUUCUUAAGCUAACCUUGAAAUGAAACAAGACCAAUUCACUUUGAAUUGGUAUCAUUGAUAGCUUGUUAAUCCUUCCCAGUGAACGAUCCUAGAGCCACUAUACUAUAGUAGUUUUUUCUUUGCUACCCUAGUAUAUGGUGUUAUAGGUUAUAAAUUUUGUUGAUUACUCCCUCAAUCAAGGAGCACCAGCUGGACACGAAUCAACUGAGACACCAACUGGGCAUGAAUCAAAUUACCUUGUAAAGGUAAUUAAAUAUUUAUAUAUUUUAAAAACUUUUUUCCUAUAUACUAUGCUUUUGAAACUUGUUUAAUUAAACAUAUUAGUUAUUUGACAAACUUUUCACAAAUGUUUUGUAUACUUAUGUGUUCUAUUUCGUUCCAUAGUUUUAUUGCAUAAUACUUAUGUAUAUUUUUUCACAAACUUUUUACAACUAUUUUGUGUACUAAUGCAUAUUAAGUUUUGUUCUUGCCUAUAUAAGCUACAUUUAGUUAUUUAAAUAUAUCCAAUAUUAUGUUGAAGAAAGAUGUAUUUACUUAACUUUUUUUAUUCUUCAUAUUAACAAGUUUUUUAGUUCUCUUGUCUCGAGAUUGGAUGUCAAAAGAUAGAAGGUCAGUUGAGUAUGAUGAAAGAGUUGAAAACUUUAUCAAUUUUGCAUUAGCACAUUCAAUCAACCAUACCUCUAUAAAAUGUCCAUGCUUAUGUUGUGCAAAUCUGUUAUGUCAAACUCUUCAAGUCAUUAGAGAGCAUUUGUUCUUUAAUGGAAUAGAUCUCAGUUAUUGAGUAUGGUAUUGGCAUGGAGAAAAGGGACCCAAUGGAGGAUUUUCAAAUGUCUCACCACAACAUUAUGACAAAUGCAACUAUAAUGAUGUUGUUGACACAAUAGAUAUGGUUAAUGCUGCACAAGUUAAUUAUAUGAAUAAUCCCCAAGUGUUUGGAAGGUUACUUGAAGAUGCAGAAAAACCUUUAUAUCUCGGAUACAUGAAAUACACAAAGUUGCCAGCAUUGGUAAAACUUUACGACUUAAAAGCACGUUAUGGUUAGUCUGACAAAGGAUUCUCAUAAUUGCUUCAGUUGCUUGGAGAUAUGUUGCCAUUGAAUAAUGAGAUGUUGUUGUCCAUGUAUGAAGCUAAAAAGGCUUUCAGUGCACUUGGGAUGGAAUAUAAAAAAAUUCAUGCAUGUUCUAAUGAUUGUAUUUUGUAUAGAAACCAGUAUAAGGAUGGUAUUACAUGCCUAACUUGUGGAAAGUCAAGGUGGAAGAUAAACGAUGAGGGGAAAAAGAUUAAGAAGGGGGGUUCCUUCAAAGGUUUUUUGGUAUUUCCCACCAAUCCCUAGAUUCAAAAGGAUGUUCCAAUCCUCAAAAACCACUAAACAUCUUAUAUGGCAUGCCAAGGAUAAAGAAUAUGAUGGUAAACUACGCCACCCAUCAGACUCCUCAGCAUGGAAACUAGUUGACCAUAUGUGGCUUGAUUUUGCUUCUAAACCGAGGAACCUUAGACUAGUACUCUCAAUAGAUGGUAUAAAUCUUCAUAAGUCUAUGAGCAGUAGACAUAGUUGUUGGUCUGUUAUACUGAUCAUAUACAACCUUCCUCCUUGGUUGUGCAUAAAAAAGAAGUUUAUGAUGCUAUCAUUAUUGAUCUCAGGACCACGACAACCUAGUAAAAAUAUAGAUGUUUACUUGAGUCCAUUGGUGGAUGACCUUAAAACUUUGUGGUAAAAAAAAGUUGAGACUUAUGAUGCACACUUGCGUGAGGUUUUUUACUUUAAAGGCCAUCCUUUUAUGGACAAUCAAUGAUUUCCCUGAAUAUGGAAGCUUGGCCAAUUGCAUUGUGAAAGGAUAUUAUGCAUGUCCAAUAUGUGGAGGAGGAACAUAUUCCGAAAGAUUAAAGCAUGGUAGGAAGAACUCGUAUAUGGGUCACCAACGAUUUCUUCCACAUAACCAUCCCUAUUGGAGACAAAAGAAGGCAUUCAAUGGUGAAGAAGAUUUUAGAAUUCCUCCUAAAAUUUUGAGUGGGGAAGAAAUACUUGAAAAAGUUGAUCUCAUUCCUAUUUCUUGGGAAAAAAUGAAGAUAAAAUCUCUUGAAUCUAAUGUGAACACAAAUUGUUGGAAAAAAAAAAGUCCAUAUUUUUUGAGUUAGAAUAUUGGAAAUAUCUUCAUGUCCUUCACAACCUGGAUGUUAUGCACAUCGAAAAGAAUGUCUGUGAGAGUAUUAUUGGUACUUUGUUUAACAUCCCAGGAAAAAAAAAGAUGGACUUAAUGCUCAACUUGACCUAGUUGAAAUGGGUUUAAGGUCUGAACUUUUCCCAAGAGUUGACUUAAAGCAGACCUAUCUUCCCCCUGCAUGUUAUUCACUAUCCAAACAUGAGAAAAAAAUUAGUUUGUCAAACAUUGUCUAAUUUGAAGGUCCCGGAGGGGUAUUGCUCAAAUUUUAGAAAUCUUGUCUCCUUAGAGGAAUUGAAGUUAUUUGGUUUAAGAUCCCAUGACUAUCAUGCACUUAUGCAACAACUGUUGCUAGUGGCAUUACGUUUUGUUUUGCCAAAGCAUGUGAGAUAUACUAUAUCAAGAUUGUGUAUCUUCUUCAAUCAAUUACAUACAAAAGUGGUUGAAGUGUCAAAAUUGGAUGAAGUACACAAUGAGUUAGUGGUCAUGUUGUGCUUACUUGAAAAAUAUUUUUCACCUUUAUUUUUUUGAUAUUAUGCUUCAUCUAGCAGUGCAUUUGAUAAAGGAGGUGUGACUAUGUGGUCUAGUUUACUUUAGUGGAUCUACCCAUUUGAGAGGUAUAUGAAAGUUCUUAAAGGAUAUGUUCACAAUCAUAAUCAGCCUGAAUGAUGCAUUACUAAGUGCUAUUUAGCAGAGAAAGCUGUCGAAUUUUGUACUAAAUAUUUAUUAAGGAUUCAUGCAAUUGGAAUUCCAAAAAGUAACAAUUAUGACAACAAAUUUGGUAGACCUAUAAUUGGUGGUCAUUCUACCAACAUUGAUCAUAAAUCGUGGUUACAAACACAUCAUUAUGUGUUAGAGAAUACAACUAUUGUCCAACCAUACACUGAGUAAAAAAAAACAUACCUUUAUCUUUUUAUAAUUUUAUAACAUAAUGAUGAAAUCCUAAGUUUGCAUUCCUUGUCUAUAAUGUCAUAGGGAACACAUGAAUUGGUUGAAGUCUCAAUACCCUUGACAAUCUAAUAGACAAAUUUGGUUGCAAGAAGAACAUAUGUGUUGUUUUACAUAUUGACUGAAAGAAAAGGUAAUCUCUUAGUUUUUAGAAAAAUUUUCAAUAUGUUGAAAACAUCACAAGUUUCCAAUAUGUUUUGAUUAUACACAGGUUGAAGAGGCUAUCCAUAAUGGGCAAGAUAUUACCGACACGCUUAGGUGGUUAGCACAUGGCCCUACUCUCCAGGUAGUCAAAUAUCCUGGAUAUAUCGUUAAUGGGUGUCGUUAACAUAUUAAUGAACACGAUAUGACAUGCAUCACCCAAAAUAGUGGUGUUAGCAUUUUAGUAAGGACUAUGCAAAUUCCCAGUUCUAAGGAUAAGAACCCAGUUUUUGGUGAACUUUGCUUUUAUGGGGUCAUUAUUGAGAUAUGGGAUCUUGAUUACAACAUGUUCACAAUUCCAAUUUUCAAGUGUGAUUGGGUUGACAACAAGAAUGGUAUAAAAGUUGAUGAACUCGGGUUCACAUUAGUUGACUUCUCCUAAAUAUGUCACAAAUCGGAUCCAUUUAUUUUAGCAUCACAAGCCAAGCAAGUCUUCUAUGUUGAAGACCAACUUGAUCCUAAAUGGUCAAUAGUUCUCUCAAUUCCUCCAAAAUAUUUCAAGAACAUAGAAGGACUAGAUGACUUCACCGAUAAUUGCAUGGAACAUCACCCCUUUAUAAGUUCAAUGCCAAAAGUUGAAUCAUUUGAUGCUAUGGAUGAAUCAGAGGCAAUAUACAUGAGGGAAGACUAUGAGGGCAUAUGGAUUGAAAAUAAUUAAAUAAUAUAUUGUACCCUUGACAUGAGAUAUAAUAAGGCAUUUCACUUAUUAGUUUUCAUGAGUUGCAUAUUACCUUAGCUUCUAUAUAUUGCUCAUGAUAUAUAUAUAUAUAUUGAUCAUCCUAAAUUUCUUUCAUGCAUCAUAAACAUAUGUUAUUCAAAGGUACCACUUCAAUCUUCAUUCAACUAUCUUUUUGUUGUCCAUGGAACUAGAUUUAUAUUAUUUUUUAUUAUCAUGUUUUGAUUUUAUGCUCACAUAACUUGAAACUCUCAUUCCUAAAUUUCUUUUUCAUUAAAACUAUAAAUCAUAAUUGAAACUAUGCACUAAUUUAUUUUAUUAUUAUCCUCACAAAUAAAUUCUUCAUUAUUGAUAAGAAAUCAAAAAACAAGACAAACUUUGAAAGAAAAUUUCAAAAAAUGUAUUUGUGAAUGACCAAUUUAAUUAUAGAAAAUAUAUGCAAGGCUAUACUAAUCUUGCUUUUAAGUCAUUUUACAGGUUUGUUGGUGAAGUACUAGUUUGCACAUUUACUUGAUAUCUUCCACACAAAUAUGGAUCUGAAAGAAGAAUAAAUGCCAAAAAUAAAGCAUAGAGGUAGUACAUUGAAACCAAAGAUUGCAAAAAAUCAAAGUAAAGGGAUAAAGCUCAAGAUUGAAUACAAUAGCCUUGGUAGUCACAUUGAGGAAAAUUCAGUUGAACUAAGUAGUUAUCUUAGUACAAUAACUAGAACCCAUGUGCCAAUAAUUAUUGAGAGUUGGAGGAAAGUCCCUAAAGAGACUAAGGAGAAGUUAUGUGAUUUGAUCACGGUAAGUCUAUCUAUAGCUUUAAUAUAUAAUUAUUGUAUACAUUCAUUAACAUGAGUUAACAUGGGUUACUAUUUUGUAGACAAGCUUUAAUGUGAAUAAAAAAUCCAAGAGGAAUUGUUUCAUACUAAUGGACAUAAGGUUUUGAACCUUUAAGACAAAGAAAUAUAUAUUGUCUUUCAAGAAUGACCAGAAAAGCUGAAAAAGUCACCUCCUAUCUACCCAUUCAUACAAGAGGAUCAUUGGAGACAGUUUGUUAAAGAUAGACUUUCUGAACAUUUUAAUGUUAAGCAUUAUUCUUAUUACAUCUUCAAUUUUCACAUUUACGUAGUUUCACCAUGUACUAAUUUUGUGUCUAUAUUUUGUAGGAAUAUUGCAAGGUUCAGAAAUCAAGAAAAGAUAAACACAUUUACAAUCAUUAUCUUAGAAGAAAAAGAAAAUGAUAUGCACGUUUUGAGCAGGAUAUAGUAAGUUAUCAACAUUCAUAAAAAAAAAUGAAGUAUAUGUUUUGUUUAUAGGAAAAUGAUUCCAAUUUUUAAAUAUCAUUUAUGAACUUGAUCAUAUUGAACUAAUGAGUUUUAUUGUUAACAAUUUUAUAGCUACAAGCAGAAGGGGCAAUUGGUAGGGUUGAUAGAAGUGUUUUAUGGAAGAAAGCAUGUGAGAAGAAAGGAAAGUUUAAUAAGAUUACAAAACCAAUGAUUAACAUGAUAGUAAGUUAGCAUAUUUAUUCCUUUUAGAGCCUAUAGUGUUAGUAUGUCCAUGUGAUUAUGGUUUGUGAUGAUAUCGUUAGGUGUUAAUAGGCAAGAGGCUUAAUGCUAUCAUUUUUAUGAGUAGUCAUGUUAGACUAGUGCAAAUAUAGUAGCCUAAUUUGAAAAUUAAUUUUGAAACAAUAUACAUUAAUUUAUCUAUUAUUCUUUAUAUUAAAACAAUUCAUUUUCUAGCUACCUUGAAUUGGUUGUCUUUGAUUGAUAUGUUAAUCAUCUUCAUCAAAUUAUUACUAAUAUAUGUUUUGUUGUAGGAUGAAUUACUAGAAAAGGCAAGGAGACUGGACUACCUCCACUUGGUCCAAAUGACAUAUUAUGUCAAGCAUUGGGUAAACUUGAUCAUCUAGGACAUGUGGUAGGUCAGGACCGUUUGGUUAGGCCCAACUCAUACUUUUAUCAAACAUUUGAUGACAUGAAAAAAAUCAAAGAAGAAAUAUGGGAAAUGGUGUGAAAGAAGAUGCAAGAUGCUGCAACAAGACAAGCUAUGUCUCCCCCCACACCCCAUUCUGAUAUGGGUAGUAAUAACAUGAGACAACAGCUUGUUUUACAACUAGUUGUAGCAAAAAAACUGAUGUUUGAAAUGAUGGAAGAGCCCCAACCACCAGAACCACCACUAAAACGUAAAGUAUACAUUUACUUACUAAUAAUACAAGAUUAAUAUAAGUGAUAUAUAGCCUAUGUAAAUGAUAUUAUUUGUUGUAUUGAAGGUAAUUAAAUAUAAAUUAGCAGUGGAAAGAAAAUGAAAUGUUGUUGCAACCGGUACACUAAUGAAAUGCUGAGCUUUCCAUUGCUUUGCCAUGGAUUCCCAAGAACUCUCCUCAAUCUCGGAUUGCUUUGGUGAUAAAAAAGUUAUCAAAACACCAAAACUUGACAAAAUUUGAUUAGAAUUGAUUGCAAGGAUCCUUAAUAUGUUAAUUGGGUUAAAAGGUGAUAACUACUACUCAAAAGUGUUUAAAAAAGUUAAUUACAAGCUAUGAAAUAACACUUUUUGAGUAGUAAUUACUCCCCCCAACCAACAUAUUGCUAGUCCCUUAGCAAUGAAGGAGAGAAAAAUAAAAAUAAAAAGUAUUAUAAUUUAUAACAUCAUGCUGAUCAAAAACCAAUUUCCAAGUGGCAUGAUGAUUUAACUCUCACAUGGAACAUUAAAGAAAUAAAACUCAAAUUUCAACAAGAGUUAUCAAAUAACUUGUCUAAUCACAAUUCUUAAAGAGAAGACAUUAUGUAAAUUUAAGCUUUAAAAGAGUUUCCACUCCCAAAGGGCCAAACCUUACUUUUCCACAAAAAUCUAAGUGUUAUUUAUUAGCUUCCGAAUAUAGUAUGUUGAACUAAUCUCUCCCCCUAACCUAGUUCUUUUUCAAAGCUUAGCAAACUAAUCAACCUCAAAUAGGUUAAGAACGCACCUCUUUUCUCACAAUUUUUUUUUUCAUUGUAGGAGUACAAGGCUUAAAGGUAUUCUUUUUUUAAAUUGUCCAUGUAAUGGGGGUCCAUUGAUGACUCCCAACCAAUUAAGGUUUAGGGCAUCAAGCUUUAAAGAUCUUUCAACCACUAACUCCUCGGAUUUUACCCCGGACUUUUGAGAAUGAAUUUUAAUACCCAAGCACCUACAGUAUGUUAGACUCCACCUUUUCACCCUUGUAACGAGCAUUGAGGUCGGUGACUCCCAACCAAUUAAGGCUUAGGGCACCAGGUUUUAAAGAUUUUCACCAUAUACCCCUCAGACCUUGCUCGAGUUUCAAGGCAAGUAAACAUUUUUUCUUUUUUCUUUUUUUUUUUUUCCAAAGGCUCAUUGGCCUUUUAUAAGGUGUCCCAACACUAUUAAAUGAGGUCAAAGGUACCAAGUCUAAAUUUUCCUAAGUCAAGAGGGAAAUAGUUUUUCAUCUUAUAAUCGGAACCUAUUGUACACAGUGUGUGAAUAGCUUAAAGUGGAAGAACUGAGGUUGAAUUCAAUAGAAGUUUCAACAAUUCAUCAACUUUAGUAAGCAUAAUACAAAAUCUAAGUCAAGUAAAAAGACAAAAAUUCAAUUUCUCCCUUUUCAUUUUGAAAAUUUUUCCUUAAUAACCAUGGAGAGUAGAAUAAAAAACUUUAAAAAAUUUUAAAAUUAAGCAAAAAGCAACUAAAUUACCAAAAUAACUUAGCAUUAUUAACAAAACUUACUUCCUCAACUCUCCCCCCAACCAAGCUGAACAUUGUUCUCAAUGUGACAAAAGCGAUUGAAAAAUAGGGAGGAAGUGGUACCUCCUGUGUGACAUGGAGUCUGAGUCAUAUAAGAGAAACCACAUGUUUAAAAAAAAAACAUAAGAGUUAGUGAGUAGAGGAAAUAGGCUGAUCAACAAAAGGAGGGGCCUGUGAUGGCUCUGAUGAGCUGGGAAUGGCAUGCUCAGGAGCUGAUGUAAUGCCGAGAUGAUGCUGGAUCUGCCUCAGGAUGGCAGUGUGUUGGGCCUGACUGGUAAGCCAUUUGAUCUAGCCUAACAACCUGGGGAAAAGGAGUGGAAUGGCAUCAGCUCGGAGUAGCUUCUUUCGAUUUUCUUGCAAUUCCUCCUGAUUUUAAUCAUUAAAAAAAAAUAAAAACUAUAUUACAUCAAAACAAAGUAAAAUUAAAGCAUUAAAAUCAAAAUUAAAGCAUUGAAAUCAAAAUUAAAACAAGUAAUAAAUAAAACAAAAAGGUAUGGACUAGCUAGUCUUUAAAAAGACUAAGUCCAUUAAAAAAAAUUUGAUCCUGAUUUAGCUUGCCCGGAUCCCAUAUGAAGCUUGCAUCCCUCACUUGAGACUUGCUCUGUAUGAUUUUUCCAUACAAAGCUCGGGGGAAAAGUGGAUGCAUGUGUUUCUUCAUCAUUUCUUCCUUGAUGACUAUUUUCAGUGGUUCUUCAUCUAUAUAGUCAUCUUUCUCUAUGCUUUUCCCCUUUUUCUUUCCUUUGAUUUCCUCCCUCUUUUCUUUCUCUGUUUCACUCUCUUCAUCAUGCUCUAGCUUGCAUGUGGGCAGAUCAACCUCUUUAUCACUCUCCUUAGCCUCCAUUUCAUGGAUACCCUUUUGAUUUUGAUGAGGUUGAGAAGGAGAGUUUUCUUUCUCUUGCAUUGUUUUGAGGUUGGCAAACCUUGAGAUUGAAUCUUGGAGAUUAUCUAUCUUCUGAGAUAGAUCAUUUUGCACUCCAUCCAUCCUGUCAAUUUUUUGACUGAGCUGAGCAUUGAUGGAUUUCUGAGCUCCAACAAAGUCUCCCACGACCUUGCUAAGAUUCACCAUAACUUGUUCAAGGUUUGAGGCUUGCUGUGGUGCUUGAGCAGGUUGCUUGUACUGAGGUGGCUGUGGUUUCUAAGAGAAAUUUGGAUGGUCCUUCCAAUUGGAAUUGUAGGUGUUGCAAUCACCAAACAUUUCCCUCAUGACUGGAAUGGUAGGACACUCUUCCACCAAGUGCUCAUAAGAUAGACAAAUGGCACAAGACAUAGCUUGCAAUGGUGUUUGAGAGAUGGCUUGCACUUUUUGCAUCUUUUUCAUUUCUAACUCUUCCAAUCUCCUUGCCAUAGCUGUAAUCUUUGCCUUCAUGUCUAUGCCGUCAUUCAAAAUAUACAUCUCACCCUUAGCAUUAGGUUGAGACGUCAUUCUUCCCAUAUCUCUAGCAUUUGGUUCAUCCCAUUCUCUUGAAACUUCAGCCAGAUAACUCAUGAAAUUCAUGGCUUCCUCUGCUAUCUUGUAUUCAAUAUGGCAUGCACAACUAGCAAUUUGUGAAUUAAAAACAGAGAAAACAAAAGAAAAUAAAAGAAAAACAAUUCUAAGAAAAAAAAUAAGGUAAACUAAAAACUAAAUAAAAUGUAUUCUAAAAUAUGAACAAAGGAAAAUAAACAAAUAAAAAGAGUUAGUAAAAGGAAAAGAAAAGUCACCAAACUUGUGAUGAAGAUCACAAGUACUCUAAAAAGGUCAUAUCACUGUAAAGUGGCACCAUCCCCGGAAACGGCGCCAUUUGAUUCGUGCCCAAUUGGUGUCUCAACUGAUUCAUGUCCAGCUGGUGCUCCUUGAUUGGGGGAGUAAUCAACAAAAUUUAUAACCUAUUACACCAUGAACUAGGAUAGCAAAGACAAAGCUACUAUAGCAUAGUGGCUCUAGGAUCGUUCACUGGGAUGGGUUUUCACUUCACAAUUGAUAUUAAUUCAAAGAUGAAUUGGUGCCUUUUCAUUUCAAGGUUAGCUUUAAAGGAAAACAUAAAGAUGUUUGAAUGAAAAAGGUUUGGUUUUAAACUAACCAAAAAUAGUAACUGAUUUUACUUACAAAGAAAAGUGUUUCUUGGAGUUUAGAUCACUAGGCUCAGGUUCCUUAUACAAAAAGGGAGUUCCGGUCACUUAUUUCUUUUCCUCGCAUUGGGGAUUUAACAUAUAGUUAUUUCCCGAACCGGUGUGGUACAGAUGCUUCCCAUUAAUGGGUUCAAACACUAAAUCCCUCUCACUGAUGCAUCUUGCAAUGGCUCGGGCCUCUCACCUAGCAUUUGCCAUUCAAGGUGAUCUUUAACCUUGGACUUCCCGUCAAAACUCGCAAGAGAUAACUAAUGGAUGUCUCCGUGGAUCCAAAAGCUUACCAAGUGUUGGCUAUUCUAGAAAAUCCUACCUUCAAACCACCUCCCAAAGGCUCGCAAGAGAUAAACUAGUGCAUCUCAACGGAUGGAGAUCACUUGCCUUACCAAGUGUUGGCCCAGGUGAUUUAAAGACGUUUUAAGUUAACUAAAAAGAUAAAAACCAUUAACGGGUCACACUUUCUCUUCAUUAAAAACUAAAACAACAAAACUUCCAAUUCUUGCAUUUGGAAACUUACCUAGCUUUCUUCAUUCCAAGAGAUGAAGAGCCUAGCCUCUCAUCCUCUGAGGAAAAAUCCUCAGAGUUUGGUUGGCUAGAAAUAAAAAGAACGAGAAAACAAAAAUAUGUAUGAAAAGCAGAGCAAGUGCUCUGUAUUUUACUUCCUUCCAAAAUUGUACAAAGGAUGCGUCGUCUUUGAGAACAAGCUCCCGAGAUUCUACAUAUAUAUUUUUUAUGAAAAUUACAAAACUAUAUAUAAGAGGUUAUUCACCCUUUUUUCUUACUUAAAGACUAAGGAAUCCUAUGAUAGGUGGGUUACAAGGAGACUUUGGGGAUUUAGACAUCAAAUAUCUAAAGCAAAAUAUCUCAAAAUGUCGGUCGCACAUUGGGGAUUUAGACAUCAAAUAUCUAAAGCAAAAUAUCUCAAAAUGUCGGUCGCACAUAUCAGGAAGCUUCAGGAGAACACUACGGCACUGUGUAGAAAAAUAUCUCAAAAUGUCGGUCGGACAUAUAGGGAAGCUUCAGGAGAACACCGUGGCACUGUGCAAAAUGGAUGCGAAACUCUCUGGGUAAGCGCUAUCAGAGGAUCCGGAUAUGUCUGACCGGGGAAGUUGAAACGCCCUCUUCUCCCAUCCGGCAUCAAGCGUCGGAUGCGAAAUAUCCGGAUGGAAUGUCGGCAGAGCAAAAUUCCGAAUGUGAGACAUCCGGGUGGAAUGUCGGCGGAGCAGAAUUCCGAAUGUGAGACAUCCGGGUGAAAUGUCGACGGAGCAAAAUUUCGAAUGUGAGACAUCCGGGUGGAAUGUGCGAUGCCACAGCCCACAUUUUGCCGCCCUUCGAUGGUGUGUCCGGACGGAUCCCAUACUCCUUGCAUUCCGGAUUUGCUUAUGGCAAAGGACUUCAAAGCUUCGGUUCUUUUUGUUUUUGAGCUUUCCAUUUCUUUACCAUGGAUUCCAAAGAACUCUCCUCAAUCUCGGAUUGCUUUGGUGAUAAAAAAGCUAUCAAAACACCAAAACUUGACAAAAUUUGAUUAGAAUUGAUUACAAGGGUCCUUAAUAUGUUAAUUGGGUUAAAAGGUGAUAACUACUACUCAAAAGUAUUUAAAAGAGUUAAUUACAAGCUAUGAAAUAGCACUUUUUGAGUAGUAAUCAACUUGUUAAUGGUGUUCAUAGCCUUCCAUACAGUCUUUUCAUGGCCAUCUAAAUUCAGCACUCUUAGCCAUGGGAAGUAAUAAGAUAAAGACAAUACAUAUAGAUGAGAAAGUACAGUAAAGAAGGAUUCAACAUGUUGCUCCUCUUCAACUAUAGGGCUUCCAUCUUUUUUUCGUUGGCCAAAGUAUCUUGUGUUGAGGAUCAUCUUCUAGAUGACAUUCCCGCUAUAUUGACAGACUGUAUUUCUAUCACACCCCAAAUACUGGGCAACGCAGAACUUGACUCAUGACCCCAGGUCAAAGGUUUGACCCUAAGAGUUACAAUUAUCCAUGUUGGCAAUCAAUCAAAACAUCCUGAAUUUUUUUUUUCAAUAAAGCGUUUAAUCCUAAAUAAAUUUAUUAAGUUAAGAUUUACUGUAACAUAUUAUUUUAUUUUUCCAAAACCAACCAUCACAUUAUCUCCUAUUCACAAGUAUUAAAAAAAAUAAAAUUCCACCGAUCAUCUUCCUACCCAAAAGCUCAAAUAUUUACAAUAAUCUCUAAGUCAAAAAGAAUAUUUCCAAAAAUGUUUUACAAACUAAUAAAAUAUAAUUUAACUUACAAAAGUCCAUAUAACUCAAAUUAGUGGAUGUCAAAAAGGUAUUAAAAAAAAACAACCAUUAUUAUGGUUUUUUUUUUUUUUUUGCUUUUUGAAACACUUCAUGAUCUUCCUAUGGUCCCUCAGAAACUAUAUCUGCAUCUAAAAAUUUUAUAAAAUAAAGGGAUGCACAUUUCCACGUUACUCUUUAGACCUAAAUGGGUUAGAAAUUCUAGGUCAAUAAAACACAACCAUAUGCCAAAAUAUAAUAUUACAUUUACAUUAUACACACUAAAAGAACCUCAACCAUACAUAUUUAAAUCAAUCAAAAUUAUCAUUUUCCUUAUUUAAUCAUAUGUCUAGCAUAUCAAUAAUUUUAAAUUUACAAAAUAAAUAAGUCACUUUAGUCUUGAAUAAUAUAUUCAAACAUACACUUGAUAAAUAAUACAAAUUCUUCUUCCAAAUGCAACCAUGAUGCAAAUGAUUACACACAAUCACACAAUGCAUUGUCAUUCUCGGGUUUUCACUGAAGGAUACACGUUUGUACCUAAAUACACUUCCCAUUCGGAGUCUUCCUAGGGUAAACUUUUGAGUUUUUCACCCUAAGGAUCUCACUUCCUUCUUAAUUCGCCCUCUCUAGGGUCAUUCAAUUUCUUAUUUUUCUUUUCUUUUCAUUUUUGCCAUUUUCGGGUCUUUUUAUUCUCAUUUCUAUUUCACACAACCGUUUCUUUAAUUUUUCUUUUUCUUCACACAAUCAUGAUGCAUAUGAAAUGCAACUGAAUCAUAUUUUAACAUCCAUAAUUUUCCAAGACAUAAUUCUAUUUACUCCCAUUAUGUUUCAUAAUUUCCAAUAAUCCACACAAUGAUUUUUCUUCACUUUAAUCGUCACAAACAUAAAAGAAAAUUCAUAAUUAAUUUGUAUAGUAUUAAAACAUAGUUUUAAACAUUGACCACAUAAAUUCUAUUUAUUCCCAACAUGCUUAGUAAUUUCCAAAUCCAAUAUAACCAUUUUUUUUUCAAUUAAAUAACCAAACAUAUCCAAGAAAAUUCCCACUAAUACAAAUAUCAACAAAAAUGUAAUUUAUGUCAUAAUUUAUUUGUCUCCAAUAAUUUCAAAAAUUUUAACACCCAUAUGACAAUUUUCCACAAUUAAGCCACCCUAACAUUCGGGAAAUUUUUUUCAAUAAUUCAAAUAUCAACAAAAACCCAAUUUAUAUCAUCAUCUUAUUUAUUUAUAAAAACAUUAAUAAUUUUAAUAAUCAAUACGACACUUUUCCACAAUUAAGCCACCGCAACAUUCUGGGAAAAUUUUCCAAUAAUUCAUAUAUUAACAAAACACAAUUAUACCUUAAUUUUUCUUAUCUCCAACAACAUCAAUAAUUCUUAGUACUCAAUAUAACUAUUUUUAUUUUUUCAUAUUUAAUAUUCUCAAGCACUACCAAAAUUCCAAGAAAAAUCCAUAAAUCACGAAAUAAAAUUAUUCACAACAAUAAUCACACUUCAAAUACCACAAAUAACAUCUAUUAUCUUUCAACAACACAAUAUAUAAUUUUUUUUCAAAGAAAAUAUUAAAUCAAAGUUUUAGGGUUAAAUCACCCUACCUUAAAUGUGAAAAAUUUAACCGUUAAAACUAAAAUGGGACACCGUAGGAGUAUUCCUCGCAUUGAAUAGAAUAUCUUUCUAAAAUUUCACGUGAAAUGGAUGUCAUUUGGUAGGUCCACCAGCGUCCUAAAGCUGGCGACCCAUUUUUCCCACUCUCUAUCGACGACUCCCCUACAUCUCUCACUCAAUUUCCUUUCUUCAUUUUUUUUUUCUUCUUUUAAACUCCCACGCCAAUUUCACUUUAUAUAUAUAUAUAUAUAUGUGUGUGUGUGUGUGUGUGUGUGUGUGUGUGUGUGUGUGUGUAUUAUUAAAACAAAUCCUAAAAUACCACGCACAUCCCUUUCUCAAUAAAUUAAAACCAUUAUUCUUAAAUUCACCUUCCGUAAUUAUGAAUUAUACCAAACUUAUGAUUUUCCAUCUCACGAAAAAUACCACCGUAUUCGUAAUUUAAUUUACUACAAGCCUACUCUUCAAAAAGUAUAAUUUGAUUAUAAUUACAUGAAACAUUUUUUUUUACUCUGAAAUUCAUUUAAAACAUGAUAUAAUUAACUAUUAACAAAAUUCAAUUCCAUAAAAUAUUAAAAACAUAAAAUAAUUUUUUGGCAAUCAAGAAGUUGAAAUUUGUAAUAACCCUUAACCUGUUAAUUUUACCCAUAUUUAUUUACCAACAAAAAUUUAAAUAAUAUUCUAAAAUUUAAUUCCAUAAAUUAAUUAGUCAUUCAAUUUAUAAAAAUCAAAUUCUCUACCAUUUGGUAUAACUUUUAUUUAAUUUAAUUCAUUUGUCAAAUUAUUCAAUCGCAUCAAAAUUUCAAAAGUUAAAUUCACUAAAUUCACAUUUAAUUAAUUUAUCAUUUUGUAUUUUUUUCUUCUAAAUUCACAUAUCAUAAUUUAAUCUUAAUUUAAUUUUGAUUCAAUUCUGUUUGAUGUUUUGUAAUUUUAUGAGGUUUAAUUCCAAUUAUAAAAAUUAAAUUCAAUUUCCUUUUAAUUAUCCAUUAUCACAAUUUGAUAUAAUAUAAAUUUUUAUCAAGUUUUUCUUACUACGAUUUUUCUGAUAAUUAUCCAAUAAUAAUUAAAUUAAUUCUUGUAACAUACUUAAUAUUCAAAUUUUCAAAACUUAAUAUCAAUUAUUUGAUAGUUAAUUUUUUUCUCCAAAUCUAAAUUUAAUUUAUGAAAUUCUCACUCCUUACAUCUAAUGUGGCAAAAUUUUCAAACUAUUGACUUUUGACCAACUUUUCCUAAAUUUCUCCUAAUUAAAUACUAACAUGUGGAUUUUCACCACUCUUUUUGACCUUUUGACCCACAAAUUUAUGAAAGACUUUAUGCUUGGAGAAUCUACAAAAACGUGGGUAUUACAAUUUCUCGGGUUGAUAACAGUCGUGGUUAAGAAGCCACCACUUGAAUACUCAGUCGCCAUUGUAAUGGGUGUGGAUGCAAAUAGUACAUCAUGUUUCUUCAAAAGUUCUCUGCUAAUCUCUAGGGAAGUCACGAGAACGAGAUGAAAUAUUGCCUAAUUGAAUACAUGCAAUUUCAUUGUUCAUUUCUUUCAUAAAGCCAUGUAUCCACCGGAAAGUUGGCUUGUUGUUGAGUAAAUGAGGUAGAUUUCGCACUAGUGGCCAUGGAGCUAAUCCUGGAGGAAGUUGUAUUGGCUUGCUUUUGGUACUUGUUUUGGAUUUUAAUUUAGUGAAGAUGAGAAAGAUUGAUGUGAUGAAGAGUAGCAAGAGGAAGUUGAGAUGAGACAACACAUCGUCUAUGGUAGUAGAAGAAAAUAAGGCUGAGUUGCUGCUACUACUCUCUACAACAAAACCAUUUACACGUUUUUUUAUUGCAAAACCAUGUUUGUCCUGUCUUGGGUCUGGAUGCACAUUUUUAAUAAUGGGGAAAUCAUGCAACCAAACGUCACAUACAAAGAGAGAGAGAAAAAAAAUAUUACCCAUUCUUGAACUCUAAAAGUAAAGUUAUAAAAAGCUUAGUUUUUUUUUUUGGUUAUGUAUGAUUGCAUGAUUUCCCCCUUUUAAGGUUUUAUCUCAUAAUUUUUUUUUCUAGAAGGUUCAAAUAAGUUUGAUGAAUAUUGUUUAUUUUAGUAAUUUGAUGAAGAUUUUUUAUUUUAGUAAUUUUAAUUUUAUGGGGUACUUAAAACAUUAGAAGGUCACAAAAAGCAACAUUUAUAAGCUACCUGUCUAAAAAUCUUGGCCUAAUCAUUGAAAUUCAAAAUAUAAAGUGACAACACACUUUUUAAAGCAAUUUUCAAAAUAGUUUUUAAAAACACAUUUAUGAUAUUUUUAAAAUAAAAAUCUCAAAAAUAACUUGUUUAUAUAGCGUUUUAUUAGACAAAUAGUUGAUCUUUACAAGAUCACCCUAAUUAUAGAUUUAUGAACAUGUAACACAACAAUUAUCUAUAUAUAUAUACUUAAAAUUAUUAUAUUUUAAGUUUUUAACUACAUAGGACAUCAUGAGUUCUUCCACCAUUUAUCUUAUAAUAAGUUUAUUUAAAUAUGAUAAAGGAUAUAUUAUCUCAUUUUUUAUUAUAUCUAAUGUUAUAUAUAUAUAUAUAUAUAUAUAACAAAUCAAAUACAAUUUAAAGAUUUUAAUUAACCAUCUAUUAGCAACAAAGCAAUCUCUUAAUCUCAUUCAUAAUAUUAGGAUAAUUUAGUAUUCCCUUUUAUAAAACACUAGCAUAUAAAUCAACACAAAUCAUAUUAAGGGUGUAUUUGGUAUUGAUUUUAGAAAACAUUUUUAGUAUUUCUAAUACUUGAAAGAUAAAAAAAUUCAAGUUUUAGAAAAAUCAAAAACGUUUUUUAGAAUGACUAUCAAAUACACGCUAAAUAUUACUUUUGAAUAUUUAUAUUUUUAAAUAACUUUUAAAUCUUUUAAGGCAAGUCUCUACUAUUUCUAUAAAUCCCCUAUUAUUUUUAAUUUUUAGAAACAAAAAAUAAAGAAUAGGAACUCCAUUUAAACAUCACCUUAUUAUUUCCUAUUAUAAAAUAGCACAAAUCAAAUGAAUUAUUUAAAAAUAAAUAAAUAUAAAAUCAAAGUUGAAGAGAAAAAACUCUUGUGCAUUAAAAAAACAUCAAAAUAAAUAAAUAAAUAAAACAUCAUCAAAUAAAUGUAAAAACAAAAUAAUGUUAUGGAAAAAUGAGAAUAGACAACAAGAAAAUAAGAACACGUAGAUUUACAUGAAAAGUCCUAGACGGGAAAAACCAUGGAUAGAGGAGAAGAAAUUCCACUAUAUUAAAAUUUUGGUAUAAAAUGUGAGAGAAUCAAGCGAGUAUUGUAUAGGCAUAAUCACUACGACCCUAAAUCCUAUACAUCAUCGCAUAGGUAUGGUGUAUGCGAUAAUAUUUGUGAUAAUAAAAAUAUUGUCACAUAAAAUAACUAUGGAAUGUAAUAUUUGUAAUAAUAUUCUUUACAAAAAAAUAUUUUUUCUUUACUUUAUUCACUUUGAUCACAACUUGAAAUAAGACAAUAAAAAUAUUUUCUUAAUUUUUGAAAAUUAAUUGAGGACUUAGAGCAGCUUGUUACUGAGUGAAUUUGCUGAAUGGUGAAGAAUGCGAGUAUAGUAGUUUUGCAAUUUUUUAGCCUUGUAGACAUAUUUUGUGAAGUCUUUUUCUCUUUGUAAAGCCCCAUUUUCUAUGUGAAGUUAUUUUUUUAAUAUUCUCUUUGGAAGUAAUUUAUCAUUAGUUAUAUAGGUAAGAUUAAGGAAUUAAAUUUGGAAUUCUUAAGAUUUGGUUGCUUAAUUCAAAGAAUUUGGUUCAAGGGAAAUUUGCCAACAAAAUAAUAUUUAUUUUUAAUUCUAUGAUGACUUUAAUUAUUUGAUAUAAUUUUAUUUUGAAAGACUUGAUGUGGGGGACUCAUCACUUAUUGAGUCCAAAUUUUGUUGCACCCAAAUUUUUAUGAGCUAAGAAACCAUAAUUUUAAAGACCAAUUCAAUGGUAAGUGAAUCCGCUAAAAUCUUCUAUGUACAAAUGACCUCACUUCAAGGUGCAACACAUACAUGUAUUAUUAUGUGUAUGGGAUGAGUCUUGAAGUUAGUCUUCAUUCCUCUUUGAUUUUUUUUUCUUCAAAUAAAUAAAUAAAACAUCAUCAAAUAAAUGUAAAAAUAAAAUAUGUAUCGGUUAAUUGGAGAGGAGAGCUUUAAGGGCAUUUCUUCCAUGAAAUUCUAUGCUCCGCGUACCAUAAAUUCGUACUCAACCAACAAAAUUGCAGAAUGGGCCCAUGCACAAACAAAAAUAGCCCAAAUGUAAAUAUCUAAAAAUGUAUAAAGUUCACAAUAGAUGAUCAAGCCCAAAUUUAAAUUUAAAAUUAGUCCAACAGGUUUCAUCAAUCAAAAUGGGCCCAAAUUAGCAAAUAUAACCCAACAAAAAUAUCUCAUAUGUCAUAGGCCCUAAUCUAAAAUUUUCAAAUUAAUAGCCAAAAUAUAAGUUCAAUUAAUCAAACCUAAAACAUAAUAAAUUAAAAUAAAUCUCAUUAGGCCUAAACUUAAUAUUCCAUAAUUCAAACCUAAUUUAAUAUAUAAACCUAAAUCCACAAUCAAAAUCAACCCAAUUUAUGCUAAUCCCAAUUUACAAUCAAUAUCAAACACAAUUUAAUAAGUAAAUAACUAAAUAGAUUAAGCAAACUCAAAACACCCAAACCACUACGGCAUAAAUCAAACAAUAAUAAAUAUAAUGACAACAAUAAUAAUAAUAAUAACAAAAUAAAAUAAAAAUUUUAACUCACGUUGGAGCCAGUUUAAAUGUCGUGGGAAAGAAAGAAAAUAGGAGAAAAGUGAGAGAUGAUUGACAACUGAUAGAGGCUUGCCGGCGGCGACUGGCCGGUGGUCCUGUUGAUGGUAGUGAAGAUUGAUGGGUUUUUGGGAAAAAAGAAAAAAGAAAAUGAGGAGUAAUAAAAAAAUGGAGAAAUGAGAGGAAUGUAGGAGAAGAAAGGAGAUAGAGAAUGUAGAAAAUGGGCGAAAAGAAAUGGGGCUAGCUGGAGGAGGAAGUGGUAGUGUGUGUGAGUUAAACUAAAGAAGAAUGGAAGAAGAAAAUGGAGAAAAAAUGGAAAAUAAGGGAGAAAAAACAUUCGGCCCCCUAAAUGAAGAGAUGUGGGUAGCCUAAAGAAGAAGAAAAAAUAAAAUAAAAUGAAGAGAAAAUGAGAAGGGGUCGGUGGUCUUGCGAAUGAGGUGGUGGUAUGUGUUAGAGAGAGAGUGGGUGGGAUUGUUGGGAAAGGUAUGGGAGAGAGAUGAGAGAGAAAAUAAAAAAAAGAUAAUAUAAAUAAUAAUAAUAAAAAUAAAAUAAAAUAAAAUAAUAUAUAAAAUAAUAAAAACUAAUAAUUAAAUAGUGAGUGGGCCAAAAAUAUCAUAUGUAAUCGAGAUUUAAUUUUAAGAGUAAAAUUGGGCUAAAAAUUAAUGUAAAAAUAAAAUUAGGACAAAUUUUGGGGUAUACAAAUAUGCGCCUCUUUAGUAGAGUCCACGAGUAAAGCAAGUGUAUAUGUGGGCGAAACAAACUGGGCUCUACUGAAAAACAAGAAAUACCAGCAAAUUUGUCUUAGUAUGACACGAGUUCUCCCAAAUUAAAACAAAACAAAAAGAAAUUUUAAAACCCCACACAAAUGGCAAAAACGGAAACUCCUAAGGUGUCUCUAAAGUUAUACUAUGGAUCUAGACUCCCUUAGAAAAGCCUCCAAAAAUGGCCCAAAAAUCGGUGUCAAAAUCGAGUAGCAAUUAGACCACUAAGGAGCGUAUGAACGAAUGUGUACAAAGGGAAAAAAACCAUACAAGGACAAAAGGCAUAAGGUAUCCAACAAUAUGACUGAAUCACAUGUUACAAGCUCAAAAGACUUUGUCAUGCACCAUGGAGGAGGGGAAGCUCUAGAAUAAUGUGAUGAGGAAGUUAUUAGCACAAUGUAACAGAGUGAGAAAAAAAGCAACGAGUGCAAAGCUGUGAGGACAAGGUGCACAAUGCUAAUGAAUAUGAAAUGAAUAGCACUGGGCUAUGAUGCAAUGAAUAGCUAAGGGUUGUAGCAUAAUGAACAAGUCAAGGAUGUGUAAAGAUGAGGAACAACUCAAGGUUGUAAUGCAAUGAACAACUUAGGGCUGUGAUUGCAAUGAACAACUCAAUGCAAUUAAUGCAAUGAAUAGCUCAGGGCUGUGAAUGCAAUGAACAACUUGAGGUUGUGGAUGCAAUGAACAACUCAUGGUCAUGGAUGCAAUGAACAGCUCAAGGCCGUGGAUGCAAUGAACAACUUAGGGUUGUGGAUGUCAUGAACAACUUAAGAAUAAGGGCACUGUACACCCAAAAGGGGAAAUCACGAUCUACGAUUCCAAGUCAAACCACUAAAGGGUGACCAAGAUGAGGGUGAUCAACUCACUAAAAAAGAGGAUCAAAAUGUCUCAAGGGAAGGGGGAUGCCCCAAAUGAAACUUAAAGGAAAUGAAUAGCACUAAUGAAACUAAAAAAAGAAAAUAUGUCACAACUGAAAUUGAAAAAAUAACAAAGUUAGAUUAAAGUGCAAUGAACAACUUUGGGUUGUGGAUGCGAUGAAUAGUACCGUGCUAUAAUGAAAUGAAUAACUCUAAGAUAUGGGCAUUGUACGCCUAAAAAAGGAGAUCGUGGUCUAGAAAUCCAAGUCAAACCACUAAAGGGCAACUAGAAUAGGAUGAUCAGCUUACUGAAAAUGAGAAUGCAACUAUCUCGAGAAAAAGGGUAUGCCCCAAAUGACACUCAACAGUAAAAGAAUGACACAAAUGAAACUAAAACAAGAGGAUGCCACAAAUGAAACUGAAAUGAUAACAAACUCACAAAUAAUGUGCAAUGAACAACUUUGGACUGUGGAUGCAAUGAAUAGCACCAGGUUGUAAUGAAAUGGACAACUCUAAGAUGUGGGCACUAUACACCUAAGAAAGGAGAUCACGGUUUACGACUCCAAGUCAAACUGCUAAAGGACGACUAGAAUAGGAUAAUCAACUAUCUAAAAAUGAGGAUGCAACUAUCUCGAGAAAAAGGGUAUGCCCUAAAUGACACUCAACAGUAUAAGAAUGACAUAAAUGAAACUAAAAUAAGAGAAUGCCACAAAUGAAACUAAAAUGAUAACAAACUCAAAACUAAUGUGCAAUGAAUAACUUUAGGUUGUGGAUGUAGUGAACAACAUUGGGUUGUAAUGAAAUGAACAACUCUAAGAUGUGGGCAUUAUACGCCUAAAGAGGGAAAUCACGAUCUACGACUCCAAGUCAAACCACUCAAGGGCGACUAAAAUAGGAUGAUCAACUCACUAAAAAUGAGAAUGCAACUAUCUCGAGAAAAGGGGUAUGCCCUAAAUGACACUCAAUAGUAAAAGGAUGACACAAAUGAAACAAAAACGAAAGAAUGCUACAAAUGAAACUGAAAUGAUAACAAACUCAUGACUAAAUUGCAACGAACAACUCUGGGUCGUGGAUGCAAUGGACAGCUCAAGAAUAGGGGAAUUGUUGGCCCAAAAUGAGAGAUUGUGGUCUGCGACUUUGAGUCAAACCACUAAAGGGUGACUAAAAUCAAAAUGAUUAACUCACUAAAAAUGAGGAUCUAAACAUCUCAAGAAAUGGGAUAUGCCCCAAAUGAAACUCAAAUGAAAGAGAUGCCACAAAUGAAACCGAUAAUAGAGGGAUGCCCUAAAUAGACUAAAGAAAAAGGGGUGCCCUAAACAAACUAACGGAAAAUGGAUGCCUUAAACAAACUGACGGAAGUGAAAUGCCCUAAAUAAAUUGACCAAAGAAGAAUGCACUAAACAAACUCCGAGAAAAAAAAAAAAAAAAAAGUAUGUGAUAUACAAUCGAAAACACCUAAAGCAAAAAUAAGAAACAAAAAAUGUGGUUUACAACUAGAAACACCCAAAAGAACCCUAAAGAAGUGAUUGGGAUAAUGAACUCAAUGAAAAUGGGGUAUGCCACAAUAAAAGACUCGGAAGUAUCAGCAAAUGGGUCAAACAACCAUGAAAUCAAUAGGAGAUAUGAUGAACCCAAAAAGGGUGUAUGCCUCAACAAAAGAACACUAAAAUAGGGGUAUGCCCUAGUGUAAAAUAGUGACCAACAUAAGACGCAAAAUGUCACCAUACAAGACACUCUAGGAUAUGCUCAAUGACAAUGUAAUGAAAACAUAUAGCCUCAAUUAACAAAUGUUCAAGCAAAACCAUGCAUCACAUAAACUAAAAUAAUAGGCUAAACAAAUGCUAACUAAGACUCUCAGUCUAAAAUAUAAGCAAGUUAAGACAUGACAUGUCAACCAUCAACAUGAAAACAUCAUCACAAAUACAUCAACAAUCUAAUAGUCCCUGUUAUCAUGGAAGAUGUAGAACCUAACGUCCAAAGGCAUGUGAAAGCUCAACCAGAAAACUCAAAACUAGUCUGUAUCCUCCUCUAAUCAAGAGAAUGGGACAAGGUUAUGUAAGAUGAUGAAAUAGGCAAACUCAAUAUCGGUCAGGCUCUGCCAAGAUGGAUGUAGGUAUAAUAGUGUCAAAGGUAGGAUGUUUGGAUGUCCAACGAAGGAAACUAGGUAUCCAAGUCGAACCAAGUAUAUUGAGGAAACUGAACCCAGGGGUCAAUAACUUUAUGAUCCAUUGAAAAUAGCAAUCAUGAAUAGAAGGUUGAGUCUCGAUGUCAAAAUCAACAAGGUGGCUAUGCCCCAGUAAGAAUACAUCUUCUCAAAAUGGGUAAACCCUCAAUGCAAGAUAAUCUCUAGAAAGUAUGUGUCUAGUAUAAACCGUUAUCUCACAAAAUCUAUCACUAAUGAGUGGGCUAUGUCCUAGUGUAAGCAUUUCCAAAAUCAAACAUCAAUGAGAGGAGUACAACCAAUCAUACAUAAUUUGAUCAAAAUGAAUCUCCACUCCUCAAAGUCAUCAUGGUAACGUGAAUAGAGUAUCUAUCCGCAUUUAAAGAAAGAUCAUGUCCCAAUGUGAAAAAGAUCAAGCAAAGUGGUAUGCCUCAACAAAAAGGCAAUCUAACAUGAUCAUGCCUAGAUGUAAGUUGGUAUCUUUAAGAUCAAUUGCCAAUGAAAGGGUUAUGCCCCAAUAUAGGGCAAUAUUUGAAAUGACUAAAAUCCGUUGCAAGCUCUCACAAGUGUCUAUGUCAUGAACCAAUCAUCUCCAAAAAAAAAAAAAAAAAAAAAUCUAUCAACAAUGAUGAGAAGGCUAUGCUUCUAUAAUCACAUCAAGGAAAUCACCCAGUCAUAUCUUGUACUCCAAUGUGAAAGGAAAAUAUGAUCACCUCCAAAGAAUGGCUAUGCCCCAAAAUACAUCAUUGAUUGAGAAAUAUGUCCCUACAUAAAGUACAUCAACUGAAAUAUGUCAAUCAUGCCUCAUGCUCCAAUGUGAAAAAGGACGUAUAAUCUUCUCUGGGGGAUGGUCAUGACUCAAAAUCCAUCAUCAAUUGAGAGAAAUAUGCCCCGACAUAAUGGUCAUCUAAAAAAUCAAUCCCUGACCAAGAAAUGUGUGCCUUGAUGUGAUGUAUCAAGCAAAAUGGCUGCAUACCCCAUAAAAAACUCUCUAAGGUGGCUAUGCCCUAGUGUAGGAUCAUACCACAUCUCCUGGUCUAUCAUAAUCAAAAUGCUCUCCAACCAAUCCCAAUUAUCGCUCACAUGAGAGCUAUCAAACACAAUGUGUGAUGUCAUGGCCUCAAGAUGGUCUUAAGAUUUAGGACGUAACGUAGGCUAGGGUAAUAAGGUGAAGAAAUGAAGGGAAACUAGGCUCAAUAAUCCCAAUGAUAAAACCCCAUACCUUAAGGCGAAUGAGAUAUCAUGAGAAGAACAAAUAAAUCGAAGAAAAAUGAAUGAGCACUAAUCCACUCAAAUGAAGUCAUGGAGAAUAGUCAAAUCACCAACGUAUGUAAUGAUGGAGAAGACAAUGAUUCGAAAUCCCUAGGAAAAUGUCACUUGUCUGUCACACAUAAAAUACAUAACGAGAUAGACACAAAAAGAUGAGAGCCUCUUGAAAUUUCACAUACGAACUUUCAUAAGCAACUAACUCGAUAAAGCAACCUCAAUGACCAAUAUAAACACUUAAUAAAGGAUGACAUUGUAUACAUGCGCUUAUUACUUUUUUUUUCUUUUUUUUUUCUUUUACCUGCGCAUACUCUGAAUAUCAAUAAAUGAACUUUUUUGAGAAUACAUAAUGAAAUGGAUAUACUCUCAAACAAUGAUGUAAGCGAACUUUCUCUGCCAAGAUGACCCUCUAAAUUAAGGAUUUUUGAACUAACGUCCAUGAGAUAAGAGUGGAGGAGAAUAUAGCCAUCCUUCAUGCACCGAAAUGUGAAAGAUCAUCACCCAUGGCAUAAAAAAAUGUGAUGAAAAAAAAUAAAAGAUGAAACAGAAGAUAUAAACAAUGAAGUAUGAUGUUGGGACAACAAAAAAAAAUAGUGAAGAAGGUGAGCUAAUAAGUCCACAACUCAUGAAACUCUCGAAUAAAACAUAUAUAACCAAAAGACCCCUAUCCCGGUGUAAAAUGUGAGCAAGGAUAUCAGAAAGAAAAGACUAUGAUGAUCAUGUGAGGUUCAAAGGGCUAGCAAUGGUCCAAAUGUCAAUAAAGGUAAUAGGGUGUGAGCUAACCGAAAUGAAGGUCACCCAUCCUAUGACCAUGGUCUCAAACAUCGUGCUCUUAAGCUUUCAAAUGAUUAAUAUUGAAAAUCGAUGUCCAUUUGAUAUAAACAUGUCGACCUUUUGGAAUUGUGCGCCAAACCAUACUCCAAAUGCUCCAUAAUAAUCUCAAAGAUAAUCCUCUCAAAGCAAAGUAAAUGGCGAUCUCAUAAGGCACAACUACUCAUCAUAAGCCAACUCUCAUCAUGCAAGAUCAAUCUUUAUUUUCAUGGAAAAAUAAGUGACAAUCUCAUCAGGCAAUCAACCAAUUCUCACAUCGUAAACCAACCAAAGAUCAUAAGUCAUUCAUCGCCAUGCAAGAUUAAUCCCGGGUUCAAACUCCUCACACUCUACCUAGUUGGAUUAGAGAAGAAAUGGACAAAACUAGAAAAAUUGAAGAUGGAAAGGUCAUAUAAUGGUGUCAAGGGUGAUGUUGUGCAAAACUCACAAUGGAUGGAUGUAGGUCAAAGCAAAGUCAAUGUGUGAGAGUGAGUAAGGCACUACUCUGAUCAUAAGAAGAUGGGUCACAAUCUCAAACUCCCUAGGUCAAAUCUCCGAUCCUAGGCUAAUAAGCUCAAUAUCCUCCAUGAUAGGUCAGCCCCCAAGAUCACAAUGUGCAAAUGAAUACAUGUCUCAAGUCAAAAGUACAACACGUCAUAUGAUAUAUGGUCCUGCGAUGGCAAUCUAAAACUGGAAAUAUGUUAGAAACUCUAAGGUCAUAAAGGUGUCCACUGUGAGAUGACUACAAAUGUGACUAAAGAAUCUUUAUAAAUAAUCUAGAAAAUGAAUGAGGUGUGAAAAACAACACUAUCAUGAGAUCGAUAUCCCAUCAAUAACAAAAUAUCUCUAAUUCAUUUUCAAUCUAAGCUCUAUAAAGAAUAAUAAUAAGGUUAUAAAGACAAACCUCUCAAAAGUGGUGUGAAUGUGAAAACAUGUCUUCACCUUUCUGCAAUGAAAAUAUCAGGUUGAAAAUAGAAAUAUGCAAAUCAACCAAAAAAUGAAGUACCGAGUCUAUGACAGGUGAAGAAUGUAAAAAUGUGAACAUGAUCAAUGAACAUAUCCCAAAACAUCAAGCAGAAUGUGACAACAAACCGAAAGAAUGUGUCGACUUAAGAAAAGAAGACUAUCUGAAGCCCUAGGGAGAAAGUGUGCUAAACUCAACAAGUGACAAGAAGAAACUAAAACCAUACAGCAAGAGGUGGUCCAACUGAUACUCAAACUUGCACCAAUAUCUAAGCACUCUCGAUUAGAGACCAAAAGAUGGAGUAUUGGAUCCAUAUUGUGACUAAAGCGGCCUUGAGGGCUCUCAAAUGCACCCACGUGUAGGAAAGGAAAUCUUAAUAAAAAUAUCUAAGGCUUAACCUACAAGGUCAAGGCGGCUCUAAAAAGAAAAAUUGAGUGGACUUUAAAGGAUCCCUAGCAAAAACGAUCACACCCUCCGACGGUACGCAACCUCCUACACGGCUUCAAAGAUACGGGAGUGAUUCCAUGCAAGGUGGUCAUCACCUCCACACAUGCACUAUCUCAUAUCCUAGAGGGUUUUCUAAUGAUGAAGGCUCUUACAUCUCUCAACAUUUAGUGGUAAUCUAAGGUGCAUAGUGAAUAGUAUGGGUUCAUCCGAAAAUCCUAUCAAACUAAGUAGAGAGAAAACACACUGGUCACACAAAUAUCUUGAAAUCUAGCUCUAGGCUAUACAAGUCUUCAAAGAUUGGAUUCCAAUUAGCAUUAAUGUGUCGGCCUUCUCCAGAAUGCUCCUAAACAUAGAUAUAGCCCAUCACUAAACCCUACUCUGAAUCACUAGCUUGGUCGAAAAGCAAACAAAGUAACAAGUCUCAUAUCAAAUACGAGAUCAAGGGGAACACGAUCACCCGAGACUAAGGAAUUAGAGGUAAGGGGAUAGAUGUGUAUCCCACAUAGACAAGCAACACAUGCAUCACACAGAAGAAGAAUAGUCAUGCAAUAGACAACUAAGCAAAGAACAGGUAUAUCAUUCAUAUCUACACACAAGCUAAACAAGAAAUAGGUAUAUAAUAAGAAUAAACAAUAUCUUGAGAUAAACAAGAUAAUAUACAAUAAAGAGAAUCAAUCACACCAAUAUAAAUGAGAUAUACAAAAAUGAGAAUAUGCAUGUGUGGACCCUCACCCGAUCCACCAACCGGUGCAAUUUGCUAUUCAAAAGGUGAAAGGGAAAACUGGUUUUCGAGUUUUGAAAAAUUUGUCCCAGUGAGGAACGGUUUUGUUUGGAGUCACCACUUACUUUUUAUUUUUAUUUUCAAAUUGGGAAAAUUUAAGUAAGAAUAAAAACCUCAGUAUGACUCCAGUUAGGAAAAAGCGGUCUGCGAAAACUAGAUUCUAGGUCCGGGGAUCAGGUUACCUAUCGGGAAGGUACCUCAUGCUAGGUAGCACCCCUCUAGGCCCGAAACUUGGUCUUUACUAAUGAACUGGGUAUAUGGGAGCAUAUGGGUCAAAGAUCAAACAAACCUUGGGCUAAACAAAUGAUAUGAAUCACAUAGACUCACCUAGUAUUUAGCAUGCACAUACACUCAACAAGUCAAAAUCAGAGUGCAUACCUGAGGUCCCCAGCCAAACAUUGUAUAAGAAGUCAGUCAAUAAGCUCAAACACACAACAAAUAUACAUAGCAAUCAUGCACCAAGCAUUCAUGUGAAUUUCAUUAUCCAAAGCCGAAGUGUAUACUUGUGGUCCCUAGCCAUGCAUUGCAAGGAAAAUGUGAGGCAAGUAAUACAAGCAUACAACAUACACUCUCAAUCAAGCAUCAAAUCUCAUACCCAAAAGAGAGGGAAACGGGUUGAAAUGAAAUAAAUGGUUUGCUUUCUUUUGCACACAUUCCUCUAAAUUCCAUCAAACCAAACCAUGCUCGCUUAACCCAUAUUCUUCUCAUCCAUGAAAUGAGCUCACAUAAAAUCUAACCAAACCGAACUCUGACCCUAAAGGUGGCCCACAAGUGCCUUGGAGCCUAAGGGCUCAAGCCACAACAAAAAUGGGGAUCAAAACAUGUUAAAAUUGGGGUUGUCUAGUAGAACUUGUUGAACUGGUUCCCAAUUGGUACAACUGAUUGAGAAAAAUUUUGAAACUUUACCAGCAUAUUCAUCGAAGAAUAAGGAAUGCAACAAAAAAAAUGGCACUCAAUUCCGAGCCCGGAUGAGGGAGAACCGGCCGAAACAAUGCAAUGUGUUUAUAAAAUGGGGCUACCUAACAUAACUUGUUGAACUGGUUCCCAACUGAUUCAAACUAUUGAGAAAAAUUCUAAAACUUUACCAUAAGAUUCCUAGAAAAAUAAGGAAUCCAAAAAAAAAUGGCACUCGAUUCCGAGUCUGGAUGAGGGAGAAUCGGUCGAAACAAUGCAACGUGUUCCUUAUAGAAGGCCAAACCCGAGCCACCCAACCUUUCUAUAAAAACCGGAAAAACUUCAAAACAGAGUAUUCCCCCUCAUUCUCUGAAAAGACUCCAAGAAGUUCUCACCAAUCAAGAGCUCCUUGCUCCCUUCUCUCUUUCCAUUCUAGCUUUUUAUACCAGAACCUCUGCUCCUAUGUAUCCUGACGAGGGGAGGGGGCCACAAAAGAGAGGCGCCGCCCAUGCCAUGGUGGCAAAAGAAGCCAUCCCUUUCGGCCCCAAAACCUUCUAGAACUGGACAUGCUAAUAUCUUAUAUCCAAGCCUUUGUCAUUCUCCAAUACAGGCAAACACAUAGACAAGGACUCUAACACCAUAAAAAAAUGAGUAGAAAGCAUAGAUAAAAACAUUAAAGAAAAAAAUCCCAGGGAAUGGUGAGCAAAAGAUGAACAUAAAUAACCUCAGUUCAGGGGUAGAUUCAUAGGCAAAAAUAGGGAAACGAUUCAAAAUAGAUUUUUAGCAUGAACAAAAUCAAAUGGGAUCAAUGGCAUCAAUUGAAUGAAGAACGUAGCUAACAGACAAAAAACCAAUUUCAACAUAACAAUUUGUGGCCUUUUUCGUCCACACCAAUCAAUAAAACAUUAAAUAUUUUGAAACAACCAGAAGAAGGAAUUGAAUAUAAGCAAGAAUACUGAGAGUAAUUAGAAUCGUACCUUGAAAGGACCAGCCUUUGAGAGGUGUUCCUCAGCUUCAAGUGAGAUUGAUUCUCCUUCUACAAAAUCCACUCAAGACCAGUGAUCACGAUUUCUUUUCCUUCUUUUCAAAGCCAACAAAAAUUCUUUUUUUUUUCUCAAGAUUUUUCCCUUUUCUCGUUCUUUCUGUUUUUCUUUAAAAACUUUUCCCAUUUCUCCCUCUCAGACCUCCGUUUUUCUUUUUCUCUAGGUGCCAAACUCUUAGAGACCCCUAGACUCUUCCCCCACUCUUUCAGUUUCCCCUCCUGCAGAGUCUCUCUCCCAGAAUCUCUAAAAAAAACCCUCUUUUUCCUCUCUAAACAUCUCAUCUUUUUUCUUCUUUUUCAAACUUCUCUUCCCAACUCUCUUUGUUCUCUGUUUUCUUUCUCUCUAGGUGCCAAACCCUCAGAGACCCCUAGAAUUUUCCUCCCACGCUUUCAAUUCUCCUCCUACAGAAUCUCUCUACCCAGAUUUCUCAAAAAGUCACUUUUUCCAAACGUCCCUCUUUUCCUCAAAACCUUUCAAACUUCCAUCCUUAGCAUCCGCACCACCCCAUUUUCUUUUCCCUUCAACUUUAGAAAUCCUCACCUUCAACCUUGGAACCCCAACUCAUUUAGCUCUCAUCUUCUCGAGGUGAGCAGCUGCCCCUCAUUACUUCAUAAUUCCUUGCCCGCCAAGAAUCCACAUGGAUUCAAGGUGGGUUGUAAUCAACCCGAAAAAUGGCCUAAAUUGGACAUAAAACCAUCCUCCUAACCCAUCUGGAGCACCAAGGCUCGAACCAGCCUAAACAAGGGCACCAAAAAUGCCAAAAACAGAGUCGUUCGCAAGCAGCCUCGACGAACCAAUUGACCGCCUAAAAAAAACCUUGACGAACCGGUUGACCAUCCAAUCGAACAGUUGAGAAAAAUUAUCAAAAUUUGAACAAUAUUCCUUGAAAAAUAAGGAAUCGAACAAAAAAAUGGUGCGCGAUUUUGAGUUCGAAUGAGAGAGAUAUGAUUGAAACAAACCCAAGUGCUCCGUAUUCGAACAUGCUCAUAUGAACUCCAACUGAGUUGAAGUUUUGGGGAGACCUCACUUCCUUUCUUUAGCACGAUGUGAAGAAUUAGGGAAUUGACCAUGAUGGCACUCCAAAAUGAACUACACACUCGCACUACAUUGGAUCGCAGAUGAACUUACACAAGGCUCAAAAACCGAUCAAACCCAAAAGAGGGACCAUAGUGGUGCCAUACGGAAAAAAUUGGGUGCAUGUGACACUCCUAAGAUAAAUGCAAGUGUCGAUGGACAAAAUUGAGGGUCUACAACAUGUUAAGGAGAGCAAGAUAAUCAUACAACAAAAAGAGUCUUAUAUUAAAGCAAGCAAGAGAAUCAAUCGAUGUAGUUAACAUGUCAAUAUCGCAAAUGAACAUAACAACCAAAUAUGCAUCAUAAAGAAAAAAGGGCAAUCAUGCAACACACAGUCAUACAAAACAAAUACAGACAAACAUAAGCAAAUAAAUGUAAACACACAUGAUAACAAAAAUCAAUGUAUAGUAAGACACAUGCAAUAUAUACAUAAAAUAAUCAUCAAGUCAACACUCAUAUACCUUAAAACAUGAAAAUAUACAAUAAAGACACAACAAGAGAGUAUUCACUGAUCAAUUAAUCAAACGCUACCUUUUCCUUAACUUGAGUUCAAGUUUGAUCCUCUAAAUAUCCCUAGUGGAGUCGUCAUUUUGUGGACCCGCAUUUUUCACAUGCAUCCUUACAUAACAGCGAGACUCAUUUUUUUAUUUGGUGAAAAUUUGAUUUUUAGAAAAAAAAAAAAAACUUUAAGUCGUCACUUAUUUUUAUUUUUUUAAGGGAAAACAAAAUAAGAAAGAAAACCUUGUGUGACUCCUUAUUUGGAAAAGACAUGUAUGCAAAAACCAAAUUUGGAUUUGAGGGUCAAGUUACCUAUUAGGAGUGUACGAUGGUGAGCUGUAGCACCCCUCUAAUCUCGUAUAUGUACGGUCUCAACUAAACGAAUUAAGAGAAUUGUGGUAAUUAAUUAAUUAGUCAUGACUACCAAGAAAAAGAAUCGCACAAAUGAGUAUGUACAAAUCAUGAUAAAAAAAAAUCAAAUUAUAAGAAUAGACAAAAUAAAUAACAAGAGAACUGUGCAAAGUGAUUUAUUGAACUAAAUAAAAAAGAAGAUAUUAAAAAAAAUAGUUUUCAAUAAAUUUCAAAGGAUUUUAUUAAAAUGACUUUGAAUUAAUGAUUUUAAUUUAUUUAUUUACAAAAAAAAUGUCAAUUUAUUUUCUUCAAGUGAUUUGGUUCAAUUUCAUUUAUAUUCAAUUUUUUAAAAAAAAUAAUUAUUUACACUCAUGGUUGUUAAAAGAAUUAUUAACAAAAUUUCAAGUUGACAAUAAAAAUGAUUUUUACUUGCUUUUACUCGAAAACAAUGAAUUUUUACAAUUUUAUUAACAAAAGAAUUUCAAUUUAAGAAAAGUGAUUUAUACAAAUGAUUAAAAAAAUUUAACUUUAUUUGCAAAAGAAUUUUUUAAUUAAAAAGAAAAAAUUUAAAUCCUCUAUUUCUAAAAAUGACUUUUAAUCCCAUUUUAAUUAAGGAAAAAAAAAGUUAUUUAAAAAACAUUUUUUGGACAAUUUGAUUAAAAAUUAAUUUUUGGGACAACUUUAUUUACAAAACAAUUUUUGGACAAUUAUUAUUAAAAACAAAAUUUCAAAUUCUAUUAAAAAUAAUUUUUUUGGAUUUUUCUAAACACAUUUUUAUGAAUUUUUAUUAAUAAAAAACCUUCUUUUAUUAAAAUGAAUAUUUUUUGAGCUAUUAUUUUAUUAAAACAUGUUUAUUGAAUUAUUAUUCUUAUUCAAACAAAAUUUUUGAUUUGUUCGAUAUCCAAUUCUGUACACAACAAGUAAAUAUAUACAAACAAAUAUUUUUAGAAACCAAUAAAAAUAAAACCAAAUAGAAGUGAGAAAUAAAACAUGUACUUAAACAAACUUACAACAAGCUCAAUGUCUUCCUACGACUUUUCAAGUCUCACUUUCUUUCAUUAAAUUUUAUGCUCCACGUACCAUAAAUCUGUACUCAACCAACAAAAUUGCAUAAUGGGCCCAUGCAAAAACAAAAAUAACCCAAAUGUAAAUAUCAUAAAAUGUAUAAAGUUCACAAUAGAUAUUCAAGCCCAAAUUCAAAUUUCAAAUUAGUCCAACAAAUUUUGUCAAUCAAAAUGGGUCCAAAUUAGUAAAUAUAACUCAACAAAAAUAUCUCACAUGUCAUAGGCCCUAAUAUAAAAUUUUCAAAUUAAUAACUAAAAUAUAAGUUCAAUUAAUCAAACCCAAAACAUGAUACAUUAAAAUAAAUCUCAUUAGGCAUAAACUUAAUAUCCCAUAAUUCAAGCCUAAUUUAAUAUAUAAACCUAAAUCCACAAUCAAAAUCAACUCACUUUAUGCUAAUCCCAAUUUACAAUCAAAAUCAAACACAAUUUAAUAAGUAAAUAACUAAAUAAAUUAAGCAAACUCAAAACUCCCAAACCACUAUUGCAUAAAUCAAACAAUAAUAAAUAUAAUGAAAACAAUAAUAAUAAUAAAAAUAAAAUAAAAUAAAAAUAAAAAUUUUAACUCAUGUUGGAGCCAAUUUGAGUGUUGUGGGAAAGAAAGAAAAUGAGAGACCAGUGGGAGAUGAUUGUUAGCUAGUAGUGGCUUGUCGGCGGCAAUUGGUCGAUAGUCCUACCGGCGAUAGUGAGGAUUGAUGAGUUUUUGGGAAAGAAAAAAAAAAGAGGAGUAAUAAAAAAAAUGGAGAAACGAGAGGAAUGUGGGAUAAGAGGGGAGAGAGAGAAUGAAGAAAAUAGGGGAAAAGAAAUGAGGUCGGCUGGAGGAGGAAGUGGCGGUGUGUGUGAGCUAAAGUGAAGAAGAAUGAAAGAAGAAGAAGGAGAAAAAUGGGGAAGAAGGGGAAAAAAAUACGGGCCCUAAAUGAAGAGAGGUGAGUAACCUAAAGAAGAAGAAAAAAUAAAAUAAAAUAAGAAAAAUGAGGAGAAAAUGAGAGGGCCAAUAGUUUUGGAAAUGGGGUGGUAUGGGUGAGAGAGAGUGGGUGGGGUUGUUAGGGAAGGUAUGGAAGAGAGAGGAGAGAGAAAAGAAAGAGAAAAAAAUAUAAUAAUAAUAAUAAUCAUAAAUAAUAUAUAAAAUAAUAAAAAUUAAUAAUUAAAUGAUGAGUGGAUAAAAAAUAUUAUAUGUAAUUGGGAUUUAAUUUUAAGAGUAAAAUUGUACUAAAAAUUAAUAUAAAAAUAAAAUUGGAACAAAUUUUAAAAUCUAUAAAUACAUUCUUUAAUCUUUCCACAACAUCAAUCUGAUCUAAAUGAAAUGCAAUAAAUUCUAAAAAUGAUACAAUCUUUAAUCAAUCCACAACAUCAACCCAAUCGAAACUCAAUGCAAUAUUGCUUAAUGGAGAGAAUAGUAAAAUCCUUUAAUGAGAGGAAAACAAAACCCUUAACAGACCUUUAUGAGAGGAAAAUAGGAAAACAUAGAACUAAAAACCCUUAACGUCUUCAUGAGAAUAAAAAAUCCUUAACACCUUAACAAGAGGAAAACAAAGAAUUUGAACAAUCCUUAAUCCAUCAAAAGCUCUUAAUGUGAACAAGGGAAAACAUAACCUUUAUUUUUCAGAGCGUCUAUAUAGGUGAAUAAAAAAUCUAAAGAGAUAGAAUUUUUAGCUAUUAAGGAUUUUUUAUAGAUGUCUAUUGAAAGUUUAAGAACUUUUAUGGAUAAGUGUUAAUUAAGAGACUGAAAGGGUACUUAGGAUUUUCAACUAAAAAAGUUAUAACAAUAUGAAUGGUAAGAACUUAAAAACAUCACCCAUCCAUCAUAGGAAUAUGGAAUGAGAGGUUUUUUUUUUACUUAUACAAUAAUAAAUUUUUUUGGAAGAGGUUUUUCUAAGUACAAAAAGUUAUGAAUAAAAAACCAUUGUUACGAUGAGUUAACUAAAAUAGAAUUAAUUUAUAAAAUAUCAAUAAAGUUGCAUGAAUUAUUAAUUUAAAAUAAUAUGGAAAUCAGUUUUAUAUUUAUUUAUUUAAAAAUAUUUUAAAAUACAUAUAUUUUUUCAUGACUCAAAUAGUCAUUCCUCAAAUGCUAAUUUUACUUGUUAUGUUAAUAACACUAGUUAAUAAUUUUUUAUUGUGAAAAUCGAUUUGAGAUUAAUAAAAUAAGAAAUUUUUAAAACUAAAAAGACAAUUUAAACUUAAAAAAAACUUUUAAAUUAAAAAUAUAAAAAUAAAACAAUAAUUUUUCAUUUAGUAAAACUUGUCAGUAAAAAAUAUAAAUAUAAAGAAAAAGUUGGAAAUACAAUAAGAGUUAAUAUUUUAUUUUUAAAAUUUUAUGUUUUUUUAUUUUAAUUGUAUUUAAUUUUUAUUUAUUUUAGUUGUAAUUUUAUUUUUAAUUUUUUAAUUUUUUAAUUUUAUUGUUGAUGUAAACUAAUAAAAUUUUUGUUCAAUUAUAUAUAUAUAUAUAUAUUUUAAAUUAGUGAGUAAAACCCACUUUUUCUAAUUUAUAAUAUAUUUAUGGGAUUUUAUAAAGAAAAAUCAACAUUUCAAUUUCCCUUCAUUAUUAUUAUUAUUAUCCAAUUUGGUUGAUUAUGAGAUUAGUUGGUAUCAUUACUAUAUCCAUUUGUCCUUAACCCUUCAUUAGAAUAGUAUUAGGAGUUGAACGUCAGUUGGAAUACAGGCUUAUGGAAACAAAUCUAUCCGAUUAGUAGGUUCUUAUUAUUUUCAAUAUAGACCCCAUAAAAUAAAUAGGAGAUGGGCAGCCCGUCCCUUUUGUCUGGAGGCUUAUGGAAACAAAGUAUCUUUGGCAGGAUACUUUGCAGAACAACUUUAGGAGACCCCUAUCUCAAAUUCAAGACUAUAAAUUAAAGCCUAAAAUCGAAACGGAAGUCGUAUAAUACAAAUAAAAGAAUAAAAGGGAGUGAAGUAAAAUUUAGUAUGGAAUGCAUGACAAGUUCCACCUGGAAGUGGCUUAUAGAGAAAAGGAAACGGAAAAAACAAAAGAACUGGAAUUGCAUAAAUCACAAUAAAUGGAUUCUUAUGCAGUGAGAGCAGCGUGUUUUCUCAUUCUCCUUGCUAUUGUUUUCUUCUCUUUACUCCAACCUCUACCAGUUUUUUUCUCAUUUUUGAACCCCUUUAAAAACCAGUUUAUUUUUUUAUUUUUUUAUCUUCGCUCUGUUUUUUCCUUUUCCAGAAAAAAAAAACGGCAAACCUCACUCGCCCAGCUGCCCUAAGAACCCACACUCCAUAUUUUUUUUUUUUCAAAAAAAAUCUUUCUCCUGCUCGGUUUUUCUUCCUUUUCUAUUUUUGUUCUCCCCCGAAUCUGUCGCCACCCACUCUCUGUUUCUCUUGUUUAGUUCCAAAAAUCCUCGCUCUCACCCCCCGUUAGCUAGUUUUUCUCUAUCUACCUUCAUCUUCGGUCCCCAGCUCUCUCUUAUUUUCCCGUUUUUCUAGCUCUCUCUUUUACCCAACCUUUCCCUCCCCCUCUAGAACAAAUUUUCUCCUCAAAUCUUCACCCGUGAGCCACCCUCUUCCUCCCUCGCUUGCUCUGUUUUUCUCUCUCCGGUCUUAUCCCCUUUCCCGUUUGUCCCCUAACUCCUCAUUUUUUUCCUCCUAAAAAAAAUGAAGACCCCCUACCAACCUUCACCUGCCCUCUGUUUAUCCCCUCUUGCAAGUCUUCCCUUGUUCCAACCAUCAGCCAGUCUCCAUCCUCAAGCACCACCAUGGCAAGGUGGUGGUGUCCAUGGCCACAUGUCCAAGCAUGCUCGGCUCCUCUAGAAACCAGCCACCCACUCUUCCAAAAAUGCUGCCAGCUCUCCCGGGAUUGUGACACCUAGAAAAAGAACUGCAUGGAAGAAGAGCCCCAAAUGGGGGUCUAGAAAUAUGCCCCUCUUCAGAAGAGCUCACGAAUGUAAGGAAUAUGAACACUGAAGUGAAAAGAAAGUGUGAAUAGUGAGUGGAAUGAAGUGAACACUAUCGAAGAACAAAGGAGACCCCCAAAGGACACUAGUGAAACCCGAACUCACUCAGGCCAAGAGGUGAACACAAACAAGGCUCUAAAAUCCUAAAAGAAAACAAUGUGUCAAAAUGUCUCUAAAGCCACACUGAGGACUCAGGCCCCCUCUAAGACGUCUCCAAAAGUGACUCGAAAGACCGUAUCAAAGAUGAGUAACGGUAGAACCACACUGAAGUACAAGAAAUAAUGUGUCCAAAGGAGACUCCCUUUGUGAACUACAUGAGAAUACUAGGUGUAGGGUGCCCAACAACAUGACUGAAAUAUGCAUCGUGAACCCAAGGGCCAUGUCAUGUGCAGUGGAAAAGGAAUCUAGAAGAACAAUGAUGAAUAGGCGAUAAGCAUAGGGUAAUGAGUUGAGGAAAAUGAGAACAAGUGCAAAACCACGAAGGUUAAUGUGCAAUGCCAAUGGAUAUGAAUACUAAGAACUGUGACUUUGAAUGGUACAACUGAGGAAAAAUGACUCUGAACAUAAAAAACACGGAAAGAUGGUGACUCAAGGUGCCUAGAUGGAUAUGUAUGAUGGCUCUGAACGCCAUAACUAAAGAAAGAUGGUGACUCAAAAUCGAACAAGACUCAACUAUGCAAGCGUAACUCGGAGGCGAACAAGACUCAACUUACUCUGACAAAACAAUGAUCGAUCGAUAUAGGUGCGGUUCUGACUCAAAUUGAACACAAACGGAUAGGAAUAUGGCUGAUCGAUACGGGUACAGCCUCAAAACGCAAACUGACACGAUGAUGACCGAUCAAUAUAGGUGGGUCCCAACCUAAACUGAACACAAAAUAAUAGGAAGAUGGCCGAUCGAUAUAGGUGCGGCCCUGAAAACUCAAACUAAACUCUAACUGAUAGGAUGAAUGAUCGAUCGAUAUGGGUGCGACCCCAAAACACAAACUGACCGAUCGAUAUAGGUGCGGUCACGACUCAAAUUGAAUAUAAGAUGAUAGGAAGAUGAUCGAUCGAUAUGGGUACGGCCUCGAAAACUCAAACUGACAUGGAAAAUGAACGAUUGAUAUUAGGUGCGGUCCCGAAAACUCAAAUUGACAUGGAAAUGAUAGGAAGAUGGUCAAUCGAUAUAGGUGCGACCCCGACUCAAACUUAAACAGACAAGAUGAUGACUGAUCGAUAUAGGUGUGGUCCCGACUCAAACUGAACACAAUGAUAAGAAGAUGGCUGAUCGAUAUGGGUGCGGCCCCGAAAACUCAAAUUGAAACGAAAAAAUGACCGAUCGAUGUAGGUGUUGUCCCAAAAACUCAAACUGACACGAUAAUGACCGAUCGAUAUAGGUGCAGUCCUAACUCGAAUUGAACACAAAAUGAUAGGAAUAUGCCCGAUCGAUAUGGGUGCGGCCCCAAAACGCAAACUCAAAUUGACAAGAUGAUGACCGAUCGAUAUAGGUGCAGUCCCGAAAACUCAAACUGAGAUGGAAAUGAUAGGAAUAUGGUCGAUCAAUAUGGGUGUGACCCUAAAACGCAAACUCAAAUUGACAAGAUGAUGACCGAUCGAUAUAGGUGCAGUCCCAAAAACUCAAACUGAGAUGGAAAUGAUAGGAAUAUGGUCGAUCAAUAUGGGUGUGACCCUAAAACGCAAACUCAAAUUGACAAGAUGAUGACCGAUCGAUAUAGGUGCAGUCCCGAAAACUCAAACUGAUAGGACGAUGACCGAUCGAUAUAGGUGCGGUCUUAACUCAAACUGAUAUGAAAGAUAAUCAAUUGAUAUAGGUGUGGUCCUAAAUCAAACUGACAGAAAAAUGGUCGAUCGAUAUAGGUGCGACCCUAAAAUGCAAACUGACAAGACGAUGACCAAUCGAUAUAGGUGCGGUCCCGAAAACUCAAAAUGAACUCAAACUAACACAGAAAGUGAUUGGAACAUGGCCAAUCGAUAUGGGUGUGGCCCCAACUCAAACUAACACGAAAAAUGAUAGAAACAUGGCCGAUCGAUAUAGGUGCGGCCCCAACUCAAACUAACAUGAAAAGUGAUAGGAACAUGGUCGAUCGAUAUAGGUGCGGCCCCAACUCUAACUGAAACUGAUAAGAUGAUGAAUGACUGAUCGAUAUAGGUGCGGUCAUAACUCGAAAACUCAAACUCAAACUAAUAGGAAGAUGGUCGAUCGAUAUAAGUGCGACCCCAACUCAAACUGACAUGACGAAUGACCAAUUGAUAUAGGUGCGGUCCCGAAAAAAUUAAACUGACACAGAAAUGAUAGGAAGAUGACUGGUCAAUAUAGGUGCGACCUAAACUCAAACUGAUAUUAACGAGAUGAAAGAAUGACCUGAUCAAGUGGCCCAAAGCCAAAGGAUAACUCAGAUAAUGAUGCAAGCAAACUCGACCAAAAGGGAUAUGCCCUAGUAUGACAACUCAUGAGGAUCGACAACUAGGUUGAAGGAUACCAAAGCCUAGGAAAGGUUUGAUGAUCCUAAGGAAUGAGGGUAUGCCCUAGUAUGCGACUCGCGAGAGUCAACGACUAAAUAAAAAAGUGCAUGAAGUCUAUGGAAGGUCCGAUGAUCCCAAGGAUGUAGGGUAUGUCCCAGUAUGAUAACUCGGAGGGGUCAACAACUAGAUCGAAAAAUGAAUGAAACCUAUGGAAGGUUCGAUGCUUUCGAAGAAGGAGGGUAUGCCCUAGUAUGACAACCCGGAGGAGUCAACAAUUAGAUCGAAAAGGUGAAUGAAACCUGUGGAAGACCCGAUGCUCUCAGAGAAUGGGGUAUGCUCCAGUAUGUGAUGAUGAACAAACAGAGAUGCAAAAUGCCUCUAAACCACUGUACUAUAAAAUAUGCUCAUCCAUCAUGUAAUGAAAAUGUCCAAUCUCAGAUAGGUAAUGCUAAACAGGACCAUGUAUCGUGACACCAUGCUGACAAAACAAAACUAACUAGUGAAUAACAACAAUAAUGAUUAGUACUCAAAAUGCAAAGAGAAAACAAAUCAACACUCAACAUGCCAACUAUCAAAAUGAAAGCAUCAUCACUAAUAAAUCAAUAAUCUAUCAAGCCCUACCAACAUGGAAGAUGUUGAACCUAAAGUACAAAAGAUGUAUGAAAGCACAACCAAAGUGAUCGAGGAUUGAUCCACGUCUCCUCCUAAUUGAGAGAUGGGUGUGAGGUCAUGUGUCAUGGUGAGAUGUGUAGGAUAAAAGAAGGUGAUGAUCAGGCUCUGGUAAGAUAGAAAGCAUGAAAGUAUCAAAGGUGGAAUGUCUGAGUACAAGCUGAAAGGUAUGUAGGUAACCGAGAUUAUCCAAGUAUGUCGAGAAGACUAAACCCAAGGUAUCAAUAGCUCCAUAAUCCAUCAAAAACAGCAAUCACAAAAUAGAAAGUCAAGUCUCGAUAUCAAAACAUCCGACUAGGUGACUAUGCCCCAGUAUGCAAUGAAGACAACAUGAAAUAAUCCAAUGAUCUCUAUAUCACUCGGUAGAUGCUCCAAUAUAAAGGAUCAAUCUGAUCUCCCUCCAAAAGAUGGAUAUGCCCUAGUGUAAAGGAUCUGAUAGGAUGACUAUGCUCCAAUGAAACAUGCUCUCCAUUCUGGCUAUGCCCUAGUGUAAAGUAGUGUAUUCGAGUAAAAAAAUCAAUCAAUUUCUACUCCUGGUGUUAAAAAUGGAAACAUCUCAACAUAAUCCAUAUGAAUUAGAAUCCCCGAGCUCUAUGAGUAUGAAUGAACUAGCUAUGCCCCAGUAUAAACCAUUUGAAGUGACUAUGCUCCAAGAUAAAUCAAAGUCCAUCACCGAUGAGAGGGCUAUGCCUCAAAAUAAAUUGCCAUCUCAAAAAUCAACCAUCAAUGAGUAGAAUAUGUCCUAAUGCAGAGUAUCGAGUAAAGUGACUGUAUCUCUAAUAAAAGCGUUCUCUGAAAUGGCUAUGCCCUAGUGUAAGGUCAUCCCACAAUUCCUAAUCCAUCAUAAUCCAAGUGAAGAAGCGAACUGACUAUGCCUCAGUGCAAGGCAUCAUCUUGAAAAAAAACGUCAUCAAUGAGCGGGGUAUGCCCCAGUAUAGAUCAUAUCAUCUCCGAAAAUCCAUCACUGAUAAAAAUGGUAUGCACCAAUGUAAAUCCAUCGCCUCAACUCCCCAUCCAUCAUGCUCCGAGAAAUAAUCUCCAACCAAGUUCGAGUACAUCAUGUGUGAAGCGAUAAAGGACUACAAACGACUAGACUCUUAGCAUGAACUAUAAACAACGAAUCUGAACCAAACUGGACUCAACAAAGCAACUCUAAUGAACUAAAGACUGGACCCGAUAGAACGGGAACGGCUCAGAUGACGACCAUAAAUCAAAAUGAAAGGUGCUCUGAGCUAAACCACUGAAAAAUGAUGUACCCAUGUCAACUAAACCAAGUCCUCAACUCGGAAUAUCCCAAAAUACCAUAUGACCAUCAAUAUCAUCAACAUCUAGAUCAAUCUACUGAAGGCUAGGAGGAGGGGGAACUGCAUGUGUAGAAUACGUAGGUAAGGGAUUGGUGGUCACACUUGGCCCAGACAAGUUGACCAACCCUGAAUCAAUCAAGUCUUAUUUCACAUGAUGGAACGCCGAACAACACUCAGUAUCGUGUCCCUAAAUCUGAUGAUAUAAGCAAUGCUCAUGUGAGCGGAAAUGAGGAGGAAUGGGAUAUGGCAAGGAGCGUGGCACCAAAUGAACAAUCAAACCAGCAUCUCUAAGCUUCUCAAAAGCUCUAGUCAAAGUCAUGCCCAAUGGAGUGAACUGUCUCGCGGGUCUCUGUGCAAAUGGUUUAGGUGGUGGGUGAGUAGCGACUCUUAGAUGUGAUGGUCAUGAUUGUAGGCUAGUUUGAGAAAUGUAAGGCUAUUGAACAUAAACCGGCUGAUACUGAUACUGUGGAUGAGAGAAAUGAGCUCUGACUGUAGGAGGCCUGUAAGGUGAGUGAAGUGCAGGCCUCUGAUGCUGAUAGCUAAUAGUGUCAACCUCUCCAGACCUACUAGAUGAUCCAACUAGCUUCUUCCUCUUAUUGUUAGGGGAAGGAGUAGCAUCUGUCCAUAAUCCUCGAGCAAUGACCUCCUUAACACUAAAAGCUACAUGAACUAGACUCUUAAGAUCCUGAAAUGGGAUGCCCACAAGGUGUCUAGUGAACCUCGGUUGUAGGUUCUGAAGAACCAUAUCAAUCUGAUCCUGCUCCUUAAGCCGGUCUAUCAUACCAGCCACCUUUGCCCUCCAACGUUUGACAAAGGAAGAAAUAGACUCAUCUGGCCUCUUCAUGGUGGCCUCCAACUCUUGUCUGGAUACAUCAAUGUCGACACUAAAAGCAAACUGAGUCAAGAACUCAUGAGCCACAUCUUCCCAGGUGCGAAGUCUCAAAGGCUCAACUGAAGCAAACCACCUCUGAGCUGCCCCACUAAGUGACAUGGGGAAAAGGGCCACCAACUGUGCUUCAUCUAUCCCAUGUGCUCUCAUGACUGUGCUCUAUAGUCUCAAGUGGAUCUUAGGACAACCAAUCCCACUAUACCACUCAAUGUCUGGCAUGCGAAACUUGGUGGGCAAGCUAGCCGCCGGUAUGUCAUCCCUAUCAUCCCAAGUCAAACCUCCAUCCUGUAAUCUGAUUUGUCUUAUCCUGGCCUCAAGCCUCUAAACCCUAGCCUCCUGCUCGGUCAAUCUAGUAUCAUUAGUAGUAGUAACAAUGAGAGGCAACACUGUGGCAGUAGGUGGUGGAGUACUCUCGCAAUGAUCUGAUAAAUGGAAUGGAAUGCCAUGUGAAAUCCUAGGUGGAAAAACCUGUGCUGUCUGAGGUACAUGAGGAACUGUAUCGUCAGUGCUAAUGCCAACUGGAUGAUGAUCCUAGCGAGAACUCUCUAUCUGAUCCAAACGUCUACUAACCCUUGCCAUGAACUCCUGAAUAGAAGCAAGUGUGGAAGCUAGCUCGUCUGACAUCUCGAUCGAACUGUCUGAACUCUGAUGUGAAUCUGCUCUAAUCAAUCAACCUCCAACUCUCUUUCAAGGAUGUAACUCCAGACUUAAACAACUCCUAAAAUGGCUCCCUACAAUGCAAACGAAAUGGAUGAAGGACACAAGAUAAGACCUUAAAAGACAACAGUACAACAUGCAAGCACAUGGUCCUGAGGUGGCAAUUUGAAAUCUAGAUUUAUGAUGAGAACUCUGGAGUCAUAAAGGUGUCCACUGUGAGAUGGCUACAAAUGUGACUAGAGAAUUCCUAUCGAUAAUCCAAGAUGAAAGAGGUGUGAAUAACACACUAUCAUGAGAUCAAUACUCCAUUUAUAACCACAUAUCCUUGAUUCAACCUUCAAUCCAAGCUCCGUAAGAGAAAAAUGAUAAGGUGAUCAAGGCAACUCUCUCGAAAAAAGUGUAAAUGUGUCUUUCACCUUUCUAUAAUGACAACAUGAGCAUCGAGUUGAAAAUUGAAUCAAUGAUCAAACAAAGAAUGGGGUAUUGGGCUGAUGAUAGAUGUACGGGGUAAAAAGGUGAUCAAUGAACAUAUCCUAAAGCAUCAAGCAAGUGACAACAAAGUGAAAGGAUGCCAAGCCAAGAAAAGAAGAUGAAAACCCUAGGGAGAAAACAUGUUAAACUCAUCGAGUGAAAAACAUAAACUAAGGCGACAUGACAAAGGUGAUCCAACCGAUACUCAAACUCAUACCAAUCUCUAAGCACUCUCAACUAGAGACUAAAAAGAGGGAGUGUCGAAUUCGAAAUAUGACCACAGAGGCUCUGAAAGCCCUCAAAUGCACCCACGUGUAGGGAGGGAGUCCUAAUUGAAGGAUCUACGGCUCAACCUACAAGGUCAAGGUGGCUUUAAAUGGAUAUGGGUGGACUUUUAAAAGAUCCUUAGCAGAAGCGAUCGUACCCUCCGACGGUACGCAACCUCUUACACAUCUCUGAAGAGACGGGGCGCUUCUAUGCAAGGUGGUCAUCACCUCCACACAUGCACUACUUCGCAUCCCAGAGGGUUCCAAUGGUGAAAGCUCUCACAACUCUCAGCACUCAGUGGUAAUAUAAAGUGUAUAGUGAGUGGUGUGGGUGCAUCCGAAAACCCUAUGAAACUAAAAGAAAACACACUGGCCACAAAAAUAUCCUAAAAUCUAGCUCUGGGCUAUACAGGUCUUCAAUGAUCGGACUCUAAUCGACAUCAACGUGUCGGUCACCUCCAGAAUGCUCCCAAACAUCAGUAUAGCCCAUCGCUAGACCCUACUCCCAUCCUUUGGCUCGAUCAAAGAACAAGCACACACAAGGCCUCACACUUGAAAAAGUGAUAGCCAAGAUGAAGGAAAUGACCAAAACUAGAGGGUUGGAGAUAAGAGGAUAGAUGUGUGGCCCACACGGACAAACAACAUGCAAUCACGCAAAAAAAGGGCAGUCAUGUAACAUACAGUCGGGCAGAGUACAUGAUAUGUCACUCAUGUAUACAUACAAGCCGUGACGAUCAGAAUGAAUAGUGAUACAGACAUCAUACUCAAAGAUGAUCAAGAGACUACACAAUGCAAGUGAGUCAACAUGUCAAGUCAAAUUAUGUACAAUGGCGAGUCUAUACAUGUGAAAUGAUCAGAACGAACAUGGAAAAAAACAGGAUCACUAUGCUAAACAAUGUAAGAUAAUCGAUCAAUACAAUCAACAUAUCAAUCUCUCAAAUGAAUAUGGCAAUGAAGCAUAGAAAAAAUAGCUACCUCGAAAUCCCCAAUCAAAAUAAUCGAUCAUCAUAAUCAGCAUGUUAAGUGUCUCAAACAGAUAUAGCAACGAAACACAAAAAGAAUCACUAUAUCAGAAUCCUCAAUCAAGAUAAAUCAAUUGUCAUGACCAGCAUAUCAAUGUCCCAAAUGAAUACCAUAUCCGAGCAUGCAUCUAAUGAUAUUGGGAACUCUCAAUGUGCAAUCAAGAGAUAGGUACCCAAUGAUCGACUCAUCAAAUGCCACAUUUGCUUCAUCUUAAGUUCAAGUUUGACCCUCUAAACGUUCCCCAGUGGAGUCGCCAUUUUGUGGACCUCGUAUUUCUACUCAUCCACUUCCACUCAAUGGCGAGCUCGCUUUUUGUUGGAAAAAUGAUUUUAUUUUUAAGAAAAUGACUUGGAGUCGCCACUUAUUUUUUGUUUUAUUUUUAAAGGGUAAACAAAAUAAGAAAGAAAACCCUAAGUGUGACUCCUUAUUUGGAAAAGGUGGUCUGUGAAAAAUCGAGUCAAGGCUCGGGGGUCAGAUUACUUAUCGGGAAGGUAUGGUAAAGACCAUAACACCCUUCUGAGUCCCUAAAAACGAGUCUCUACUAAUAAAAUGAAGCAAGUAUGACAAUUGAUAAGUGAAUCAAUGGAUACCGAAUGAAUAUCGAUUAAAACAGAAUAACCGAAAGAACAAGAUGGGCAAAUAGUGUACCUGAGCGAUGAACUGAUUUGCUUCAUGGAAAACAAAGAUUAGUAAACAAACAUAGAAUACUUGCACACAUGUAUUAGAGUGGAAUAAAUCAAUCAUGUAUAACAAUCAAUCAAUCAAUCAACCAAUCAAUGAGGAAAUUCCAUAUGUUGGGCCCUCACCAAAGCCCGAUUUAUUUUAGCAUGAAUUGGUCUCACAAAUUCCAUUGUUUUAGAAUUAUGAGGAAAAAAAAAACAUUAUUGCUUAUCAAAAUCAAGAGAGAUAGAAGAUUAUUUGAAAACCAGAGUGGAAUUAAAACUGUUUGAAAGAAAAUUAGAUUUUUGAAAUUUAUUUGAAAAAUUGGAGUCUCAAAGAUUACUUGAAAAUCGGAGUUUUGAAAAUUAAAUUUAAGAAUUGGAAUUUUAGAUAUUAAAUUUAAAAGAAAUUGGAAUUUUGAGAAUUAAAUUUAGGAAAUGGAAUUUUGGAAAUUAAAUUUGAAAGAAAUCAGAAUUUUUGAAAUUAAAUUUGAAAGAAAUGAAAUUUUGGAAAUUAAAUUGAAGAAUUUGAAUUUUGGAAAUUAAAUUUGAAAGAAAUUGGAGUUUUAAAAAUUAAAUUUAGGAAAUGGAAUUUUGGAAAUUAAAUUUAAAAGAAAUCUGAUUUUGGAAAUUAAAUUUGAAAGAAAUUAGAAUUUUGGAAAUGAAAUUUGAAAGAAAUGAAAUUUUGAAAAUUAAAUUGAAGAAUUUGAAUUUUGGAAAUUAAAUUUGAAGGAAAUCGGAAUUCUAGAAAUUAAAUUUGAAAGAAAUUGGAGUUUUAAAAAUUACAUUUAGGAAAUGGAAUUUUGGAAAUUAAAUUUGAAAGAAAUGAAAUUUUGGAAAUUAAAUUGAAGAAUUUGAAUUUUGGAAAUUAAAUUUAAAGGAAAUCGGAAUUCUGGAAAUUAAAUUUGAAAGAGAUUGGAGUUUUAAAAAUUAAAUUUAGGAAAUGGAAUUUUUGAAAUUAAAUUUAAAAGAAAUUGGAUUUUAGAAAUUAAAUUUGAAAGAAAUCAUAAUUUUGGAAAUUAAUCGAGAAUUGGAGCUAUGAAAAUUAAAUUUAAGAAUUAUAGUUUUGGAAAAUUAAAGUUUUGAAAAUUAAACUUAAAAAUUUGAGGUUUUUUUUUUAAAAAAAUUUAAAUUUUAAAAAAAUGGAAUUUUGGGAAUUUAUUCGAAAAUGGAAUCCUAAAAAAAAUCUGAAUUUGAAAAUGUUAAUUUUGAAAAAUUAAUUUGAAGAUUGAAGUGAUUGAAAAUCAAGAAUUUUGAAAGUUGAUUUUUUUAUUAAAAAAAAAAUUGGUGAAAACGUGUGAGCAUAAAGGCUUAAAAAAAAAAAAAAAAACAAAACAAAAAAAAGUGUAUGGGCAUAUGUGCCCCAUGGAUGGCCCACCAAAAUUCCUCCAUUGACUUUACUACCAUGAAAUGAUUCCUAAAUAAGAAAAACCAUUAAUGACUCUGAGAGACUUCAAGAGAGAGACAGGGAGAAAAGUCUUUCUCUAACACAACUGAUGAACCAAGUCUUUAUGGGAGACUAGGCGGCGUUUGGUGGUGGUUUGGAUUCCUUUGCUGCCUUGUCAGUCUUCUUUGGUAGGAUACUUUGCAGAACAACUUUAGGAGACCCCUAUCUCAAAUUCAAGACUAUAAAUUAAAGCCUAAAAUCGAAACGGAAGUCGUAUAAUACAAAUAAAAGAAUAAAAGGGAGUGAAGUAAAAUUCAGUAUGGAAUGCAUGACAAGUUCCACCUGGAAGUGGCUUAUAGAGAAAAGGAAACGGAAAAAACAAAAGAACUGGAAUUGCAUAAAUCACGAUAAACGGAUUCUUACGCAGUGAGAGCAUCGUGUUUUCUCCUUCUUCUUGCUACUGUUUUCUUAUCUCUGCUCCAACCUCUACUAGUUUUUUUCUCAUUUUUGAACCCCUUUAAAAACCAGUUUAUUUUUUUAUUUUUUUAUCUUCGCUCUGUUUUUUCCUUUUCCAGAAAAAAAAAACGGCAAACCUCACUCCCACAGCUGCCCCAAGAACCCACUCUCCAGAUUUUUUUUUUCAAAAAAAAAUCUUUCUCCCGCUCGGUUUUUCUUCCUUUUCUAUUUUUGUUUUCCCCCGAAUCUGCCCCCACCCACUCUCUGUUUCUCCUGUUUAGCUCCAAAAAUCCUAGUUCUCACCCUCCGUAACCCAAUUUUUCUCUAUCUCCCUUCAUCUUCGGUCCCCAACUCUCUCUUAUCUUCCCGUUUUUCCAGCUCUCUCUCUUACCCAACCUUUCCCUCCUCAUCCAGAACAAAUUUUCUCCUCAAAUCUUCACCUGUGAACCACCCUCUUUCUCUCUCACUUGCUCUGUUUUUCUCUCUCCGGUCUUGGCCCCUCUCCUGUUCGCCCCCUAAAUCCUCAUUUUUUUCCUCCCAAAAAAAAUGAAGACCCCCUACCAGCCUUCACCUGCCCUCUGUUUAUCCCCUCUUGCAAGUCUUCCCCUAUUCCAACGAUCAGCCAGUCUCCAUCCUCAAGCACCACCAUGGCAAGGUGGUGGUGUCUAUGGCCACACGUCCCAGUAUGCUCGGCUCCUCCAGAAACCAGCCCCCCACUCUUCCAAAAAUGCUGCCAGUUCUCCCGGGAUUGUGACACCUAGAAAAAAAAACUACAUGGAAGAGGAGCCCCAAACGGGGGUCUACAAAUUAACUUUUUAAAAAUUCUAAACCUCUUUUGUGUUAUUAGCUUUUUUUCUCUCUCUCAUAAUUUCAUUACUUAGGCUUGUUUGGUUCGACUUCUAAAAAUGUAAAAAGAAGUAAAAAAAAUCAUUUUUAUGCCAAUAAGCUCUAUAUCAUGACUAUGAAACAAAUAUCUUAUGAAUUAUUGGAGCAAGAAAAUCAAUUCAUGAUUAAUUUUGUAAAUGAACUUUCUAAAAUGAUACCUUCAAUUGAGAAAGUGGUUGGUAAUUUAACUUAAUAACUUAAUUUAUCUUAUUAAGCACAUUAAGUAUGCUUGAUAAAAUAACUUACUACCAUAAUUUAAAGUUUUAAAUAACUUAAAUAAUUGGUUAAAAUAAUUAACUUUUUAAAAUUUUGAAACAUUUUUUGUGUUAUUAGCUCAUUUUUCUUUCUUUCUUUCUUUCUUUUUUUUUUUUCCUCAUAAUUUUGUUAUUUAGGCCUUGUUUGGUUUGACUUGUGAAAAAAAAAAUCAUUUUUAAGCUCAAUAAGAGUUUCUAUGAUUUUGACUUUUGUUUUUUUUCAAAAAUCUUAUGCCUUAAAAACGAGCUUAAUAUAGAAGUUAGGAAAGUGUUGUUUCUUGUAUAAACUCUAUUUUAAUUUAUGUAAGAAGUUUUUUCAUGUUUAAUAUACUUUGAGAAUACCAAUAUUGCUCUUUAAAAAUUAUGACUUUGGCUUCAGCUUUAGCUUUAUGAUUAGUUAAAGAAAAACACAAAAAACUCUCCGUAACAAGGUGUUAAUAUCAUUGAGGAUAAAUAUGACAAUUUAAUGGUCUAGAAAAAGUUUUGAGUUGAUUUUAUGAAACAACUUUGAUACUUAAAGUAAAAUUAAGUAGCAAGUUUUAAGUCAACAACUUAAAAGUGAUUUAAUUUAAAGUCAUUCUAGCAAUGCACUAACAAAUUGACAUGAGUCAAGAAGAGGUUGAUCGGUUUGAAGGUAUAGAUUUGGAUGUUAUCAACCUCCCUUGGGAGGAUGCAUAGAAUUUCCAACAUGUAGUCAGAAACAAAAAACUUCACCAAAAAAAAAAAAAAGUCCUAGGAAAAUAUCUUGAGGGACAUGUCUAAAUUAUCAUCUAAAUAUUCAAACAAUUUAUUAAAGCUUUAAUGUUGCAAAAGACGUUCAAAAGUCCAAAACAAGAGAAAAUUUCAAGACAUGCAUAAACCAUUUUUUUUUUAACUAAUCCAAAAAUGUGAUAAAAUCAUGAAAAAAAAAAAUCAUACAAUAGUCUCAAAAUGUCUAAUUUACAAGAAAAAUUAUGGCAAGGUAAAGUAUACAUACAAAUCAAUUUCAAAAUCAAGCAAACAACCCCUUUAUUCAAAAUUAGGUCAAUGCAAUCACUAUUGCAAGGGAAAAUGUUUAACUCAAUUGGGAAAAACAUUUUUUAAAUAUUUUAUUUGUCUAAAAUAAGCUUUAAGAAGGUUAAAAUUAAGUAAAAAUAUCAAAACAAUUUUACAAAGUCAUUUAGCAAUACAUUUCGGGUGUAACUAACCCACCAAAAUAUGAUUUGAUAUCUCCCAUUUGAAAAUUACUUUUUAACUUAGCCAAAAUUCUAAAGUCAAGUUCAAAGAGUCUACAAUACCAUAAAAUCAUAGAAUAAAUUUAGGAGCAUCCUAAGUUAGUCAUGUGUAAUGAAUCAAAUUUUAUGUAGGGGUCUCGCCAAAUCCCCAUUUAAUAUACAUGAAUCUAGCUUAUGCAUUUUCAACUUCACAUGAGUAUUGAUAAACUCAUCAAAACUAAGAAUUAUCCCAUUUAUUUAGGACUACAAACUUGGAUUCGUGUUAUACUCAAAAUCAAAAUUUUAUCGAAGAUAAAAAGGAAAAUGCAAACCGGAUGAAAUUUGAUUGCAUAUCUUUAGAAAAAGAGUUUUAGACCUUAAGAACUCUAACUAAAAUUUUGAAAUGGAUUUUAAUAUUAAUCUUUUUUUUGAGAUAAAGAUUUCUUUUUAAAAGAGAAAAUAUUUGUAAAUAACAAAACAUAAGAAUCAAACCAAGUAAACCAAAGGAGUGGAUGAACUACAAAGUUAUUUUUUUAUUUUUUAUUUUUACAAUCAACAAAGACUAAAGAUGGUGAAAGUAGAGACCAAUAUUCAUUAUUUUUCAAUGGCCUUUGAAAGUCAAAUUAAAAAAUGGAUCACCAGGCAACACAUUACGAAUUUUUAGAUCAAACAAACAAACAAGACAUCAAUAAAAAAUUAACAAAGAUCAACCAAACACAUAAACUGAGGCAAACAAUCGAGAACUAAUAUAAGAUAAACCAAAUGCAUAUACAUGUGGUCAUAAUAAUAUGAAUUUAGUAACAUAAGCACACAAAAUCCUAAAAAAACACAUGAACUAAGUAAGAUGAAUCAAGAACUAAAAUUACCUAUUUUAAAGCUUGAAUAUAAUAACAUUAGGAUAAACUAAUUAUCGGAAAUUCUAAAAGCACAAAUUAGAAUUGAAUCAAUCAAGAACUAAGAUUAAUAAACUUAAAACAUGAAUGCCAUUACAUGAGAUCAACUAAACUAAUUAAUUAAAAUUUGUAAGAACACAUAAAAUAAAUAGGAUGGAUUAGAAAAUAGAAAAAAAAAAAUACUAUUUUAAAACAUGAAUAUAAUAACGUGAGUUCAAUCAAACAAAUAAACUAGAAUUCAAAAAAUACAUGAACUACAUAGGAUCAAUCAAAACUCAAAAAAAAAAAAAAUUGACAAAACUUAAAUCAUGAAUAUAAUAACCUGAGUUCAAUUAAACUAAUAAACAAAAAUUCUAAAAACAUAAAAUAAAAUAGGAUCAAUUAAGAACUAAAAUUAACAAUUUUUAAAUAAGGAUAAAAUAGCAUGGAAUAAAUCACAUUAUCCAACUAAAAGUUUAAAAAAAAAAAACCACAUAAACUAAUAAGAUGAAUCAAGAAUUAAUAAUUAACAAUUUUGAAACAAGAAUAAAAUAUCAUGGAAUCAAUCACAUUAAUCAAAUAAAAAUGAAAAAAAACCACUUAAACUAAUAAGGUGAAUCACAAAUAAAAAUUAACAAUUUUGAAACAAGAAUAUAGCCUGGAAUUAAUCACACUAACCAAUUAAAUUUUUUUUUUAUAAAAAAAAACAUAAUCUAAUAAAAUGAAUCAAGAAUUAAAAAAAAUUAACAAUUUUAAAACAAUGAUAAAAUAGCAUGAAAUCAAUUACAUUAAUCAAAUAAAAUUCUGAAAACCACUUGAACUAAAUAGAUUUGAUUAAGAACUAAGAACUAAUUAUUUUUUUUAUUUUUUUUUAAACAAACAAUGUAUAAACUAAAGGAUCGACAUGUGAUUACAAUUUUUUUUUUUAAAAAAAAUAUCGAAACAAAAUACUCAAGAAAACUUACCUUCAAUCAUGUAAAAGAUGCUGCUGAUCAAUGGUGCGUGCUGUCCAAAAAAGGUUCAGCCUGGUGUGUUUUUCUCUCUCUCCAAUGGUGCGUGCCCCUCUUUUUUUAAAAAAAAAUCUGAUGCACAAUCCCACGUCUCAAAGUGGCAGCCUCAGUGGUGCGACUGUAGGAGAGUUUCUUUGUUCGAUAGUGUGUCAGUGCUCUUUCCUAGUGGAUGCACGAUAUGCAUGCGUCUUCGAAGAUGAGGGCAUGGCUUCUCUUAAAGAAAUCUGUGAUGAUGAAAGUAGUCCCCUUAAUGGAUGCGUCCCUAUUGGAGAGCCCCCUCUUAUAGUGUGUGUUGAGCCCCCUCCUAUAGCCCCUCCUCUCCCGUGUGUGUUGCUGAAAGAAGUCGCCUAUGGACGCACCCCACCUAAAAAUCCCGUGUGAAAUCUCCUCCCAUUUCCACAGCCUAUGCGUCAUCCCAAAAAAUCUAGUGGUAUACAGCCCGAUCUUCCACUUUUUUUUGGUAAGUCGUAGUUCCACCUUGGUCAUCAAUACUCUCUCUCUCUCUCUCUCUCUCUCUCUCUCUCUCUCUAUAUAUAUAUAUUCAUUAUUACAAUAGUAAUUUGAUAUAAAUUAUUUCAUUUAAGCCAUUUAUAAAUAAUAUAUAAGAUGACAUAAUAUACCAAUAAUUCAAUUAAGAAUAUAUGAUAUUAAUCAAUAAAUAUUAUUUAUGAUAGAUAUAUCAAGUAUAUUAUCUAAUAAUAUUUUGUUAUAUUAAUAGAUAAAUAAAAAUUUAUGAUGAUAAUUUUAGAAAUGUAGAAUACCAAUAUUUUUUAAUGUUUGAAAUUGUAGUUUCAUUUUAGUUUUUUCUUUCUUGAAAAUACGUUUAAUUAAGAAAGUAAAAAUUGUUUUUUUAAAAAAAAAUUCACAAAGUCUUGUUUGGUUUUAAACUUUCAUUAAUGUAAAAAUUUGUGAAAAAAAAUAUAAGUAAAUUAUAUAAUUUAUAUCUCAUGUUAUGAAAUAUAUUACUAUAAUGAAUAAUAUUGUUUCUUUUAUAAUAUACAUAAUGUGAUAUUAUGUAAUAGUAAUAAUCUAUAUUAUAUUGUUAUAUAUUAUCAUAUUAUAAAUUAUAACUUAUAUACCUUAAUAUUAUAUUAAGGUUAUUUUUUUACUAUAUUUUAAAUUUUAAAUCACUUUAGAAAAUUUUCUAAUAUAUUUAUAAUAAAUUAAUCAUCUAAAUUAUUUUAAUAUACAAAUAUAUUCUCUAAUAAAUAAUUUUUAUAACGUUUUCAAAUAUAUAUAUAUAUAUAUGAUAAUAUUUUAUUUAUAUUAUUUUGUACUGGAUCUCAAGUCUUUAAUUUAUAUGCUUUUAUUAUAUCAUUUGAUUUCUACCUUUUUAAAAAAACCGCUUUUUUCCCCCUUAAGUUUUCUAGAAAAUGAAAAGGAAAAAUAUCAUUCAAACAUAUUUUGAGAGAUGAUCUUUGUUUUUUUUGAAAAUGAACAAAUCUUAAGUUUUAAUAAUUAAUAUUGAUUUGGGACUCUUUAAAGACACGUUUAUAAUUAGUAAUUAUGAAAUUUUGAAUUUUGAUGGAAUAAAUUAAAUUAAAUUUUAAUUUUCUAUAAUAAAAGGUAAUUUGUUUUAAAAUUUAUUUAAAUUAAAUAAUUUUUAGAUAUUUUAGAAUUAAUUAAAAUAAUAUAUAAAAUGACAUAAAUAAUUAUUUUAUGUGAUUAUACCAUAAAUCAUUUAAAAUUUUAAAAUUAUUCAUUUAUUAAGUAGUUCAAAUUUUAAAAUCCAAUACAAUUCUAAGAACGAAUCCAAUAUUAUUUUUUAUCCUUCCACAACAUGAAUGUAAUCAAAGUGAAAUCCAAUAAAUCCUAAGAAUAAAUACAAUCCAUUCUUUAAUUCUUCCACAACCUCAAUAUGAUCUAAAUGAAAUGUAAUAAAAUAUUUCAAAGGAAAUUAAAUAUAAUUAAAAUUAGUUAAAAUUUUAUUUUUCUUCAUUUUUUUUUUCUUUUACUUUUUAUUUUUUAUUUUUUAUUUAUUUGCAUUUUCUCUUAAAUUUUUCAGAGAAGCAAACAUAGUGAAUUUUUUUUAUGGAUAAGUAUUAAUUAAGAGAUUGAAAGGAUUUUUUUUGGAUAGGAGUCGAUAGAAAAGGUUUGGGAUAAAGAAAGAGUUUCCGGCCAAGUAGUCUUUUUUUUUUUUGCUACUUCUCAACCUAAUCUCAUGUUGAAGAUAUUUGUGUGUUCGUACAACAUCAAAUUCAACUUUAUUAUUAUUAUUAUUAUUAUUUUAUUUUUUAUGUGGUUUUUUUUUAAAAAGAAAGUCAUAUGAAUGGACAUGAUGAGAAAGAUUAGAUCGAGAAAAGACCUUGCUUUGGUUUUAGUGGAAUUUUCAAAAGGAAUAUGGUUAGGGGAAUAGACUACUUUCAACUAAAAAGUUAUAACAAUGUGAAUGGUAGGAACUUAAAACAUCACCAAUAUAUCAAAGGAGUGUAGAAUGAGAGGUUUUUAUUUUUUAUUUUUAUUAUUAUUAUUAUUAUUUUUACUUCUACAAUAAUAAAUUUUUCUGCAAGAGUUUUUUUAGGUACAAAAACUUAUGACUAAAAAACCAUUAUUACGAUGAGUUAAUUAAAAUAGAAUUAAUUUAGAAAAUAUAAAUAAAAUUGCAUGAAUCAUUAUCAUGAGUUCACUUAAUAAGAAUUAAUAGUAAUAAAGUUGAAUGAAGUGAAUUUGGAAUGUAGAUAUUAUUGAUGAUAAGAUUUUUUAAUAAUAAAAAUAUUAUUAGGGUAUGAAAAAUAGGACAAAAUUGACCUUUCUUUAUGUUACUGGUUAAAUGGAUAAUAGGGAUAAUCAAGUACUUACAUGUGGUGAGGUUACCUAAGCUAAUUCUGUACUUACCAGCUAGCCCAAAAGCUAAGAAAAAUCUCCAUCCUCCAUUCACGGCGCCCUUUUCUUUUCCCUAUUUUUAGAAAAUUCAACGAGUUUUGGUAAAUCAAUCUUACAACGUCCUUUCAGUCCACCAUUAUUUUCUGAUUCCUCCUUUUCUUUUUCUCUCGUUUCUUCCUUCAAAAUCCAUCCCUCAUCUCUCUCACAAUUUUCUCUUUACCUUCUUCUCUUCCUUCCAGUUUCCUUUUUAUUUUAUUUUUCAUGCAGACAGAAUCCCCUUACUUUCCUUUGUUUCUCUCUUUAAAAAAUUCUGAUUUUGCCCUAAAAAAAAUUGAUUUUUCUCUUUAAAUAUUUUAAUUUUCCUCCUCCAAAUUCUGAUUUGCCUUUCUAAAAUUUCAGAUCUUCCCAACCCAAAUUAAAUUCCGAUUUCCCCCGGUAAAAUUCUGGAUUUUCUUUUCCAAGAUAGUCAAUUUUUUAUUUUUUUUUCAAAAGACAUUAUGGGUGUAUUUUGAAAAAUUGAAAAGGUAAUCAUGCAUGGCCAUGUGAGGAGAGAAUAAAAAGUAUAGAUAAGUUGGAAGACAACAUUGAUGGGAGAAUAAAAGUUAAAAAAUCAAUAAAAUAGUGAGUAAAAAUAAUGAAUGGAACAUUCUCAUUCAACUAUUAUGAACAACCAAAUGUUGAAAUGAAAAACUAAUGAAAUUAAUACGAUUUUCUUUCUAUGGUUAGGUUUCUCUUCACACCAAACAAAUGUAGAGAAAUUUAAUUUAUAAAUGAAAAUUGGGUUUUGAUUCACUAAUAUAAGAGAAUAAAAAUAAAAAGAACUCUAAAUUAUAAAUUAGUUUUAUUUUUAUCAAUUUAAAAAUAUUUUAAAAUAUAUAUACUUUUUUAUAACUCAAAUAAUUAUUUCUUGAAAUAACAUUUUUACUUGUUAUGUUAAUAACACCAAUUAAUAAAUUUUUUUAGCGAUUAAAACUAAUUUGAGAUUAAUAAAAUAAAAAAAAAUUUAAAUUUAAAAUAUAAUUAAAAUUAAAAAAACUAUAAAAUAUAAAAUAUAAAAAUAAAAAUAAAAUAAUAAUUUUCAUUAGUUAAACACAUGUUGGUAGAAAAUAUAGAUAUCCAAAAAGAGUUGGAAAUACAAUGAUUAUCAAUAUUUAUUUUUAAAAUUUUAAAUUUUUUUUAAUUGUAUUUUUUAUUUUAUGGUUGAUUUUAACUAACAAAUUUUUUAUUCAAUUUUAUUGAAAAAUAAGAAGAUGGGCUUUAUAUAAUAUAGAAUAUAAAAUUAUUAUUAAUUAAAGGAUAAAAAAAGAUUUUAUUUAUCACUUGAAGAUUUGAAUAAUUUUUUCACAAUGAUUUGCAUCUUAUAAUAAAAAAUUUAUAAUAUAUUUAUAUACUUUUAUCAAAUUAAAUUGAUCAAUUAAUUUUGGAUUAUUUAUUCAAUAUUAUCAAGUAAAAUGGUAUUUAGAAAAUAAUUAUUUGAGUUAUAAAAAAGUAGAUGUAUUUUAAAAGAUUUUUAAAUUGAUGAAGAUAAAAUUGAUUUAUAAAAAUUAAUUAAAGUUUUUUUUAAAUAGUGAAUAAAACCCCCUUUUUUAAAAAAAAAACUUUAUAAUGUAUCCAUGGCAUUUUAUAACAUAAGAAAAUUAAUUUUUUGUGAAAGAGGAAAAAAAAUCAACUUUUCAAUUUCCAAUAAUAAUAAUUAUUAUUAUUAUCCAAUUUGGCUGAUUCUGUAAUUAGUUGGCAUCAUUACUAUUCUGUAAUUAGUUAGAAUAGUAUUAGGAGUUGAAGGUCAGUUGGAAUACAGGCUUAUGGAAACAAAUCUAUCCCAUUAGUUGGUUCUUAUUAUUUUUAUUAUUUUCAAUAUAGGAGAUGGGCAGCCGCUUCCUUUUGUCUGGGGGCCAUCCUCCCAACUUAUUAAAGGUGAUAUGAGAUUAAGAUUUUAACAAAAUUGUAUCUUGACUUCUCGAACCAUCGUUACUUGGCUCUCCACAACCACACCCAGUGCUGACACGUGACUAACAAACCUUCGCUCAUCUACCAAACCCAUGGCCUCAUGCCUUAUAUAUUUCCACAAACCUAGCUCAAUUUUCAUAGCCACCUUCACUAUCCUAUACUCACUAAGCCAUGCCCAUAGAUACAAGCCUCUUGCUUGAGUUUGCUGCAGCAACUCUACUCUUCUUCAUCACCCGCUUCUUCAUUCGUUCUCUCCUUCCCAAACCUUCCCGGAAGCUCCCCCCUGGCCCCAGAGGGUGGCCGCUCCUCGACGCUCUUCCUCUUCUAGGUAACUGAUUCGUCCCUAGCAGCGGAAGUGGCAAUGGCACCAUCUGAUUCGGGGUUCGAUCCCCGGCAACGGCGCCAUUUGACUCAUGCCCAAUUGGUGUCUCAGCUGAUUUAUGUUCAGCUGGUGCUCCUUGAUUGAGGAAGUGAUCAACAAAAUUUAUACCUAUAACACCAUACACUAGGGUAGCAAAUACAAAGCUACUAUAGUAUAGUGGCUCUAGGAUCGUUCACUGGGAAUGAUUUGCAAGCAAUCAAUGAUACCAAUUCCAAGUGAAUUGGUCUUGUUUCAUUUCACAGUUAGCUUAAGGAAUAAAACACAAACUUUGAUUUGUAAAGGUUGAGAUUUAAACUAACUAACUUAACAGAAGUUUGGAAUAAUUUAGGAAGAAAAGCAUUCCUUGGAGAUUUAGGUUCACUGGGGUGGUUCCUCAUGCAAAAGACAUAGCUCCGGUCAGAUGGUUCAUUUCCUCGCAUUAGAGAUUCAACCUAUAGUCAAUUCUCUAACCGGUGAUGUACAGAGACUCCUUCAAUUAGAUUUCACUUUAAUUCUCUCACUGAUACAACUUGCAAUGGUUCAUGCCUCUCACGAGCACUUACCAUUCAAGGUGAUCUUUAACCUUGGAUUCCCCUUCACAAACUCGCAAGAGAUAACUAAUGGAUGUCUCCUAGGAGUCCAAAAGCUUACCAAGUGUUGGUAAUUCCAGAAAAUCCUACCUUGAAGUCACCUACCAGAGGCUCGCAAGGGGUAAACUAGUGCAUUUCCACGGUUGGAAAUCACUUGCCUUACCAAGUGUUGGCCCAGGUGACUCUAAGGUGUUUUAAGUUAACUAAAAACAUUGAAAUCACUAAAGGAUUUCACUUCCUCUUCAUUACUAGCUAAAACCACAGAGCUUUGCAUUCUUGCACUUGGAACCUUCCCCGGCAACCUUAGCUCCAAGGAAUUGGAGGUUUAGUUACUCAUUCUCUGGGGAAAACUCCUCAGAGAAUUCAUAACUUAGAAAUAAAAUGAAAAUACAAAGUGAGAAGGUAAGGCAGUAGAAAGACAAGACUUUACUUGCUUACCAAACGUUUUCAGAAGGAACUCUUCCCUUAGAGAACAGGCUCCCGAGAGGUAUAUAUAUCAACAAAAUAUAAAACUAAUUGUUACAAAGAUAUUUGGUCUUUUUACUAACUUAAAAACUAAGGAAUCAUGUAAUUGGUGGUUUACAAGGAGUAUUUUGGGAUUUAGACAACAAAAAUCUAAUGGAAAAUAUCUCCCAAUGUCGGUAGCAAGCUUCGGGAGGCUUCAGGAGCCAUUUCGCAGGUGAAAAAUGAGGCCUGCGAAAUUUCGCAGACACCCAAGAGGGCUGCGAAAUUAUCUUGCAAGACCGAGCUAUCUUCACUAGGCUGCAAAGUUGGCUUCCAUCUUGAGGUUUCCAGCUCCCUUCUCGCGGCAUGGUUCGUGCAUCGUUAGAAGGAGAAAUACCUUACUGUACAAAAGUGCUGCGAAAUUCUCGCAACACAUGGCUGAUUCCGCAACACUUUAGAGUGUCUGGCUUGUAAUGGCUGCAACUUCUUCGUUUCAAUUCCGAAUCGCACACCGUUUGAAGCAUUGGAGUGUUGACUUCCUGAGCUUUGAAAUGGUAUAUAGCUUGCAUCAUUUGGACUUCAGAAAGUGCUCCAAAAGUGGCUGCUACGACUGUCAUCAAGAAUAUGCUCCAUGACUGAUCCUCUUUGCUUUUUCUCCUUGCAAUCCGGAUUCACUCUUGGCAAUUGAAUUCUAAGCUUUGCCCAAGAUUCCUCAUAGCUCUCCUCAUUCUUGACUUGCUUUGGUGAUCAAAAUACUAUCAAAAACACCAAAACUUACACAAAGUGAUCAAAAUUGCUUUAAAGGAUCCUUAACAUGCCAAUUGAGUUAAAAGGCCUAAACUACUACUCAAAAGUGUUAAAAAGGAUUAAUUAAAAGCUAUCAAAUAACACUUUUUGAGUAGUAAUCACUCCCCCCAACCGACAUAUUGCUAGUCCCUUAGCAAUAUAGGAGAGAAAAAUAAAAAUAAAUAGCAAACUAAUCUAAAAUUUACAACAUCAUGCUAAAGGAAAAUAAUUCUUAAGUGGCAUGAUGAUUUACUUCUCACAUGAAUCAUUAAAGAAAUACAAACCCAAAUCUCAACAAGAGUCAUAACACCUGUGCUAAACACUGUCAAUCAAGGGAGUGCAUUAUGCAAACUGAAGUUUUAAAAUCAUUUCACUUUCUAAGAACUAAACUUCAAUCUUCCACAAAAAUCUAUGUGUAUUGGUUCCUUAGAUUCCGAGAAUAAUAUGCUAAACUAGUCUCACCCCCCAACCUAUCUCUUUUCAACACUUUAGCAAACUGACCAAAAUCAAUAAGAAAAGAACACACUUUCAUCUUUUUUUUUUUUUUUUUUUUUUUUUUUUUUUUUUUUUUUUUUUUUUUUUUUUUCGGGGGACCUUUUGGGGGUACCCUUUCUGACUUGCCCAUGGAAGGGGGGCCCCCCGAUGACCCCCCACCAAUUAAGGUUUAGGGCCCCCCGUUUUAAGGAUUUUUCAACCCCAAACCCCCCGGAUUUUUCCCCAAAUUUUUAAAAAGGAAUUUUUAAACCCCAAGCAUCCACCAAAUGCUAUUUUUUCCUUUUCCCCCUUGGAACGGGGUUUGGGGGCGGGGACCCCCCACCAAUUAAGGGUUAGGGCCCCGGGCUUUAAGGGGUUUCCCCAAAAACCCCCCAAACCUUGCUCGGGUUNNNNNNNNNNNNNNNNNNNNNNNNNNNNNNNNNNNNNNNNNNNNNNNNNNNNNNNNNNNNNNNNNNNNNNNNNNNNNNNNNNNNNNNNNNNNNNNNNNNNUUUCAACCACUAACUCCUCGGAUUUUUCCCCAAACUUUUAAGAAUGAAUUUCUAAUACCCAAGCAUCUACCAUAUGCUAACUUUACCUAUUCACCCUUGUAACGAGCAUUGAGGUCGGUGACUCCCAACCAAUUAAGGCUUAGGGCACCAGGCUUUAAAGGCUUUCACCAUAUACCCCUCAGACCUUGCUCGGGUUUCAAGGCAAGCAAACAACUUUCUUUAUUUCAAAGGCUCAUUGGCCUUUUGCAGGGUGUUCCAAUUUUUAUCAAAUGAGGUCAAAUAUACCAAGUCUCAAAAUUAUCCUAAGUCAAGAGGGAAAUAGCUUUUCAUCUUAUAAUCGGAAACUAAUGUGCACAGUGUGUGGAUAGCUUAAAGUGGAAGAACUAACUUCAAUUACAGUAGAAGUUUCAACAAUUGAACCACUUUAGUAAGCAUAAUCCAUACUCUAAGUCAAGUGAAAAACAACAGUUCAAUUUCUCUUGGUUUAAUUUGAAAAUUUUUCCUCAAAAUUCAUGGAGAAUAGAGUAACAAGAGUAAAAAGUAAAAACUACAACUAAUUAACCAAUAUAAUUGCAAUACCAAAAAGGUUUAGACUACUUCCUUCCUCAUACCCCCCAACCGAACUGAGCAUUGUCCUUAAUGUGAUUUGAGUGACUGUAAUAAAAGGGAGGAAGUGGUACCUCCAUGCUGAUAUCAAAUUCGAAUAUUGAUUGGGGAAAACCACAUGUUUCAAAAAGAAUAGAAUAUGUGAGAAAAGGAAAUAAUAAUAACUUAAUGCUAACUUUUAACAAGAAAAAUUCAACUUGUAUUACUUUGAGUUCAUUUGAUUACAAUGCUAAAGACAAGUAACACAAGGAAUCCCAUAUAUAGUACCAAAAUACUGGGAUUUCUUUUCAACUAAAACAAAACAAGCAUAAAAACAUAAAUAGCAAAUAUAUAUAAUGUCUGAUGAGUGGGGUGAUGGUGCUAAGCAGAAGGAUCUGCCUCCUCUGUAGGUGGAUCAGCUGGGGCUUCUGGCUCUGGAGGAAGAGACUCUGAAGGCUGAGAGUGUGGCUCUGGUGGAGUAGCAGUGGAGGGCUCUACAGCUUGUGGUAGAUCGAAAUGGACUUGAAGCUGCCUUAGGAUGGCAGCUUGUUGAGCCUGAGAGGCUAACAUCUGCUCCUGGCAUGCUUUGAUGGCUGCCAACUCUUGAGCAAAAUUGCUCUGGGACGCUGUAAGAGUCUCCAAUGCUCGGCACAGCUCUCGAUAUUCGGAUAUAGGGAUGGCCAUCCUCGGCUCAGCUGAUGUGGAUGGCUGUGAUGCAGCAGGUGCAGCUGGUGAAGCUCGAGGGAUGGCAGGAGUAGCAAGUGUUAUACCUUCAGGUGCAUGUCUUGGGGAGGCUCUCCUUGCUGCUGGCUGAGGCUGCCCAGGAUGAUCAAUUUUGUAGGCCAUCAUAUUAUUCCAUUUAUCAAGGGUAAAUGGCUCACGACAUAUUCUCUUUCUUUCCUGCUGAGGCUCAGAGGGGUAUCCAAGAUGCUCCAAAACUUGGCAUAGCAGCCGUGGGAAGAGGAGGGGAAUGCAAUCUGCUCUUUAAAGCUUCUUCUUGUGAACCUUCUCCUCAAAGUAGAGAAGGGCUGCCAUGAUCAGAUGAUGAGGCCCAAAGAAGAAUCCUUCUGACAUCUUGUACAAGGCUUCCAGGAGAAUUCCCCUUCUUUGGGUCCAAUGCUGCAGGGGAUAGAUAUUAUGCCUCAAAAAGGCAUCAAUCAAAAACAUCACUAGAGGUAGCUCCCCCCUCAGCAAAUGUGAUCGAUUUGCAGCUCCUCUGGUUAGUGUGCGAACCAUCUCUAACUCAGUAGGAUUUACCCAAGCUUUAAAAUUGUCGAAUUGGGUUGGCUCAAAAGGAAUUUGCAGGGCUUCAGCAAUAUGUCUUGCUCCCAAAAUACCAUGUCUUCCAUCAAUUAUAAAAUGAAUCAAGGUUGGAUUUCUUACUUCUUUGGUUGUCAUGGUCUGGUAGAAGUCCGUGACUACCCGGGGAUAGAAAAAAUCCCUUGGAGCUAGCAGAUACUCCAUAUGAUAUCUCCUCAGCAGCUGGAAGGAUUGGGCAAGCUCUGGCCUCACUCUGAAUGCUGUUAAAUCGAAGCAAAGCUCAGAAUGGAAUGCCCGUGUUCGACAAUCCAAGUUUCCUUCGAUUGGGGGCUGGGGCAGCAUUGGCCUUCGGAUCACUUCUUCCAGAGGUGCUUCAGCUGCAAUUUGGGGCUCUGGAAUUGGCGCUUGAGGCUCCUGAGCUUUUUCUUGGGGUGCCGGAGAUGGUACCGGCGAUGGAAUUGGAGUUGCUUCAGGUGAGGGAAUUGGCGAGGGAACCGGUGACGGCACUGGAGUUUGAACCAGUGAAGGAUUUGGGGACUGCUCAGGGGAUUGCUCAGUCAAAUCAAUUGGUUCAGAGCUCUCAACCCUGGUUUUCUUCUUCAAUGGCUGACCGCCUGACCUUGUUAAAUAUCGCCUUGCCGGCGGCUUUGGUGGCGCCGGCUUCACUGGAGAAGGAUUUGGUCUCGACGGCGAAGGCUUUGGAGCAGGUUCUGGAACAGAACCUGGACUUGGCUCCUUUCGCAGACUCCUUUUGCGAUUCGAAGGGGAUGAAGACUUUGCCCCUUGUGUUCGUGCCAUUUUGGAAUACCGAAACUUUAGCCGGUGCUGCUGAACGGAGAAGACGACCGGAGGUUCGGACGGCGUGGCUUGGCGAAGAAGAUGAAGGGGCUGCGAGAAUGGUGCUCUGAUUUUUGAAACCCUUUUUGCAGCACUUUUGACCGGUAUAAAUAGGAAAAACGGAAGCCCAGGGGUCAGUUUAAGUUUCGCAACAAAACGCCAAUUUUGCAGCAACUUGCCAUUUUCGCAGCAACUUCGCAGUGAGUUUCGCAGCUGCGAAAUUGAUGUCACUGUGCUGCGGAGUGGCACUCGUGUGCCAAAACCACUUUCGCAAUUGCGAAAUGCCCUGCGGAAUGAGACUUUUGGUGCGAAAUCACGCUUUUCCAUUUCGCAAUGAGUUUCGCAGCUGCGAAAUGGGUUCUACUGUACUGCGAAGUGGCACUCGUGUGCCAAAUUCACUUUCGCAGCUGCAAAAUACACUCGCAGAGGCUUCUACAGUGCUGCGGAAUGGUUUGGCAGCAAAAUGCUCAGUUCGCAGAAGUUUCCUUCUCUCUGCGAAAUUUCGCAGAGCUCUGUUUUUCCCCUGUUUCUGCUCUGUUUCGGCUCCAAUUUCGACCCGAUUUUUUUUCUUUUCAAUCCCCUUGAAAUUUCUUCCACCUGGGAUCAUUUUAAACAAUUAAAACACACUUAAAAACAUGAUUUAAGAUCAAAAACUAAGAUCAAAAGUAUGGAAACAACUUAAAAAUUUUACAAAAUUUACAAAAAUUUUGGACUGUGGUUAAGACCACGUCCAGCAAACCCUUUUCACUUAGGCUUUUUGAGGUUCAAGGAGGUUGAUUGCCUCCUUUUCUGAUUUGAAUGACUCCAUGAACGGCUUAAGACGAUAUCCAUUGACUCUAAAGCUAUCCUUGCCAUUGGAAUUCAAUAAGUCCACCACUCCAUUGGAAUAUACUCGGUGAAUAACAAAUGGACCAAUCCACCUUGACUUGAGCUUCCCAGGAAAGAUAUGGAGUCUUGUGUCAUACAUCAAAACUUUUUGCCCUUCCUGAUUCAGUUUGCCCGGAUCCCAUUUGAAGCUUGCAUCCUUCACUUGAGACUUGGUUUGAGAUGAAGAUAUUACGACAGGACAUUGAUUAUUUUCUUCAAGAUAUGUAUAUUUCAGCUCCACAGGUAAAGGCUUCAGAUUGAAUUUUGGAAUUUCUUUUUCAGCGGCUGCCUCCUCUUCUUCAUUGAACAAAGGUAGAAUUUCUUCUAUCUUUCUCCAACUUUGUAGAGUAGCAAGCCCAAUAGGCGAUUCAGAAAAACCUUCCUCAAUAUCCUCAAGAUUUUCAUUCAACUUAUCUUGCAUAUGUUGAUUACAGUGCUCCUCCACCAAAGUAUCAAUUACACAUAACUCUUCUGGACCUUCUUCUUCUUCCGGAGUGAUUUGAUUUUUAGACAUAUAGAAAAUAUUUAGAUCCAGUGUCAUAUUACCAAAAGUGAGUUGCAUAAGCCCAUUUCUACAGUUGAUGAUUGCAUUUGAAGUUGCAAGAAAUGACCUUCCAAGGAUGAUAGGAACUAAAUUAGCUUCCUUUACAGUAGGAUCAGUAUCAAGAACAACAAAAUCUACAGGAUAGUAGAAAUUAUCUACUUGAACCAAUACAUCCUCAAUUACUCCUCUUGGAAUUUUCACUGAUCUAUCUGCCAAAGAUAAAGUGAUUGCUGUUGGCUUCAACUCUCCAAGUCCUAGUUGCUUGUAGACAGAGUAUGGAAGCAAAUUCACACUUGCUCCCAAGUCUAGCAAGGCUUUCUCCACUACCUUUCCUCCAAUCAUGACUGAAAUGGUAGGACUUCCAGGGUCUUUGUACUUCGAAGGAGACUUACACUGUAAGAUUGCACUUACUUGCUCAGUCAAGAAGGCUUUCUUGUUUACAGUCAACCCUCUUUUGAUCGUACACAAGUCCUUUAGGAAUUUUGCAUACGUUGGAACUUGUUUGAUCAUAUCCAGCAGUGGAAUAUUAACUUUCACUUGCCUCAAUACUUCUAGGAUUUCAGCUGCAUUUCUAACCCCCUUUUUCCCAUGUAAUGCUUGAGGAAAAGGUGGAAAAGUUGAUUUCUUCAGCAUUUUUUCCUUCAGAAGCUCUUUCUCUGGAAUUGCUUUCAUUGUUGAAUCAGAGUCCUUCUUCUCUUCGCUGAUCUCACUCUCUUUAUCUUCCAUUUCCUUCCCUUUCUUCAUCUCUUCUUCUUUUUCAACAUGUGGCUUGGGUGUUGGCUGCUCAAUUUUUUUACCACUCCUUAGAGUGAUCAAAGCUUUCACAUCUUUCACCUGUGAUGAUUCUCCCUCAUGGAUUUCCACUUCAUGGACACCUUUGGGAUUUUGGUUAGGUUGAGAAGGAAAUCUUCCUUUUUCUUGCAGUGUAUUCAAAUUUGUAAGCCUGGAAAUUGAAUAUUGGAUGUUAUCAAACUUUUGGUUCAUUUCAUUUUGCAUUCCAUCCAUUCUUUUGUUCAACACACUCUCCAUUCUAUCCAUUCUUUGAUCAACUCGAGCAUUGGUGGCUUCUUGCUUUCCCACAAAAUCUCCCACUACCUUGCUGAGAUUGGCUAUUAUUUGUUCAAUACUUGAAGAUUGCUGAGAUGGUGGAUCCGGCUGUUGGUAUUGAGUUGCUCUGGCCUUCCAUGAGAAAUUUGGAUGAUUCCUCCAACUUGAAUUGUAGGUAUUUCCAUAUGGAGCAUUGUUAUUGGGCCUGAAUUGUCUAACAACAUUUGCUUGAUCUCUAUACAUUUCCCUUUCAACUGAAAUUGCAGGGCACUCCUCUACCAAAUGUUCAAAUGAUUGACAAUUGGGACACAACUUCACUUGCACUGGUGCUUCAGCAACAGCUUGCACUUCAUGCAUUCUUUUCAGCUCCAGCUCCUCCAAUCUUCUUGUCAUAGCUGCCAACUUUGCUUUCAUGUCAUCAUCUUCUUUCAAAUUAUACAUCCCAGCCUUUGCAUUGUAAGCAUUCAACUGAGACUUCAUCUUUCCCACUUCUCCUUUGGUUGGUUCAUCCCAUCCCCUUGAAACAUCAGCUACAUAGUUCAAGAAAUCCAUAGCUUCCUCUGGAUUUUUGCUCAUGAAAUCUCCUCCACACAUUGUCUCGAGGAGUUGCUUCAUUGAGGAUGACAUACCAUCAUAGAAAUAGCUCACCAAUAGCCAUGUAUCAAAGCCAUGGUGAGGACAAGCAUUUAUAGCUUCCAUGUAUCUUUCCCAACACUCAUAGAAUUUCUCAUUCUCUUUAGCUGAGAAGUUUGAAAUUUGCCUUUUCAAGCCAUUUGUUCUAUGAGUAGGAAAAAAUUUCUUAAGGAAUUCAGCUUGUAAAUCAGUCCAAGAGCGGAUACUCCUUGGCCUUAAAGAAUUAAGCCAAAUUUUGGCCUUAUCCUUUAAAGUAAAAGGAAAUAACUUAAGCCUCAUCAAGUCAAUUGAAGCUCCUCCCUCUUGGAAUGUAUUACAAACAUCUUCAAAUUCCUUGAUGUGUGCAUACGGAUUCUCACUUUCCAUCCCAUGGAAAGUUGGUAGAAGUGGAACAAGAUACGGUCUGAUCACUAGCUGCUCUGUAGGGGCACUAUACAUGAUGGUGCACUCAUACGANNNNNNNNNNNNNNNNNNNNNNNNNNNNNNNNNNNNNNNNNNNNNNNNNNNNNNNNNNNNNNNNNNNNNNNNNNNNNNNNNNNNNNNNNNNNNNNNNNNNUAUAGUCAAUUCUUUAACCGGUGAUGUACAGAGACUCCUUCAAUUAGAUUUCACUUUAAUUCUCUCACUGAUACAACUUGCAAUGGUUCAUGCCUCUCACGAGCACUUACCAUUCAAGGUGAUCUUUAACCUUGGAUUCCCCUUCACAAACUCGCAAGAGAUAACUAAUGGAUGUCUCCUAGGAGUCCAAAAGCUUACCAAGUGUUGGUAAUUCCAGAAAAUCCUACCUUGAAGUCACCUACCAGAGGCUCGCAAGGGGUAAACUAGUGCAUUUCCACGGUUGGAAAUCACUUGCCUUACCAAGUGUUGGCCCAGGUGACUCUAAGGUGUUUUAAGUUAACUAAAAACAUUGAAAUCACUAAAGGAUUUCACUUCCUCUUCAUUACUAGCUAAAACCACAGAGCUUUGCAUUCUUGCACUUGGAACCUUCCCCGGCAACCUUAGCUCCAAGGAAUUGGAGGUUUAGUUACUCAUUCUCUGGGGAAAACUCCUCAGAGAAUUCAUAACUUAGAAAUAAAAUGAAAAUACAAAGUGAGAAGGUAAGGCAGUAGAAAGACAAGACUUUACUUGCUUACCAAACGUUUUCAGAAGGAACUCUUCCCUUAGAGAACAGGCUCCCGAGAGGUAUAUAUAUCAACAAAAUAUAAAACUAAUUGUUACAAAGAUAUUUGGUCUUUUUACUAACUUAAAAACUAAGGAAUCAUGUAAUUGGUGGUUUACAAGGAGUAUUUUGGGAUUUAGACAACAAAAAUCUAAUGGAAAAUAUCUCCCAAUGUCGGUAGCAAGCUUCGGGAGGCUUCAGGAGCCAUUUCGCAGGUGAAAAAUGAGGCCUGCGAAAUUUCGCAGACACCCAAGAGGGCUGCGAAAUUAUCUUGCAAGACCGAGCUAUCUUCACUAGGCUGCAAAGUUGGCUUCCAUCUUGAGGUUUCCAGCUCCCUUCUCGCGGCAUGGUUCGUGCAUCGUUAGAAGGAGAAACACCUUACUGUACAAAAGUGCUGCGAAAUUCUCGUAACACAUGGCUGAUUCCGCAACACUUUAGAGUGUCUGGCUUGUAAUGGCUGCAACUUCUUCGUUUCAAUUCCGAAUCGCACACCGUUUGAAGCAUUGGAGUGUUGACUUCCUGAGCUUUGAAAUGGUAUAUAGCUUGCAUCAUUUGGACUUCAGAAAGUACUCCAAAAGUGGCUGCUACGACUGUCAUCAAGAAUAUGCUCCAUGACUGAUCCUCUUUGCUUUUUCUCCUUGCAAUCCGGAUUCACUCUUGGCAAUUGAAUUCUAAGCUUUGCCCAAGAUUCCUCAUAGCUCUCCUCAUUCUUGACUUGCUUUGGCGAUCAAAAUACUAUCAAAAACACCAAAACUUGCACAAAGUGAUCAAAAUUGCUUUAAAGGAUCCUUAACAUGCCAAUUGAGUUAAAAGGCCUAAACUACUACUCAAAAGUGUUAAAAAGGAUUAAUUAAAAGCUAUCAAAUAGCACUUUUUGAGUCAAAUGAGUUCAAGGACAUGGUGGUGGAGCUCAUGACCACUGCUGGGUACUUCAAUAUUGGCGACUUUAUUCCGUCCAUCGCAUGGCUGGACAUCCAAGGGAUCCAGCGCGGGAUGAAGCAUUUACAUAGGAAGUUCGACCGGUUAUUAACAAAGAUGAUGGAGGAGCACACGGCGUCAGCCCAUGAGCGAAAGGGAAACCCAGAUUUUCUGGACGUAAUCAUGGCAAACCAAGAAAAUUCUACAGGGGAGAAGCUCACUAUUACCAACAUUAAAGCACUCCUCCUGGUAUGCAUAGUUAAAGCUCGUCUUCAAUUUUGUUUUCCGAUAUUUUCUUUCCGGAAACAGCACUUUUAUUGCUUUUAGAUAUGUACGUUUUUAUCAGGUAGCCAUUUUAGGGGCACAUCACUAUUCUUUAUUUUUGGACUAUUUUUUUCUUUUUCCACUUGCAUGGUUGUUUUCAUAUGCUCAGCUGCAUGGCACAAGAAAAUUGUGAAAAAUGAUUGGUUCUCUGAUCAGACCUUCUGCACCAAAACACGCUUUUCUCUAUGUUAUAAAAUCGGUUUACAUGAUUUUUCAACCAGCUUCCUUGAACUUGAACUUUUGCUAGGGCUAAUGCAAAAAAUGAUUGAUCUCAAUUUUCAAUAGCGUUUGAUUACAUAAAUUUCAAGUAUGUGAACAUAUUUUUGUUUCCUUGGCUAGAAUUUAUUUACUGCAGGAACAGACACUUCAUCGAGCGUAAUCGAGUGGUCUCUGGCUGAGAUGUUGAAAAACCCGAGCAUCCUCAAGCGUGCUCACGAAGAAAUGGAUCAAGUGAUUGGAAGGAGCCGGCGGCUCGUGGAGUCUGACUUGCCAAAACUUCCAUACCUACAAGCCAUAUGCAAGGAAAGCUUCCGGAAGCACCCAUCCACCCCGUUGAACCUUCCUCGUGUCUCAACCCAAGCAUGUGAAGUGAACGGCUACUACAUCCCAGAGAACACUAGACUUAGCGUGAACAUAUGGGCAAUUGGGCGAGACCCUAAUGUCUGGGAAAGCCCGGAAGAAUUCAGGCCAGAAAGGUUUUUAAGUGGAAGAAAUGAAAAAAUUGACCCUCGUGGAAAUGAUUUUGAGUUGAUCCCGUUUGGGGCUGGACGAAGGAUUUGCGCUGGCACUAGAAUGGGAAUAGUGCUGGUUGAGUACAUUUUAGGGACGUUGGUACAUUCAUUUGACUGGAAAAUGCCGGAUGGAGUUGAGAUCAACAUGGACGAAGCUUUCGGGCUUGCACUGCAGAAGGCAGUUUCUCUUUCGGCCAUGGUGACACCAAGGCUUCACCAGAGUGCGUAUGCAGUCUGAGCUCAAACCGCUCAGACCAAAACCCAGGCCUCGCUGCUAUAUGGCAUGGAUGCAGUUAAGUAGAAAAUAUUUUGGGAUGCCUGUGGCUUAGUAUAAGAUGUAUUAGCUCAAAGAUGGUCGUUUCAUUCUACCACCAAGCCAUAUGCAUCUAUGCAUAAUCUAUUGAUUUAGGCUCGAUUUGGUUAUAGUUUUUGUUUUUUUGUCUUCCAAAUCAGUAAAUAGUAGGGGUAUUUUUGUCCUAUGUAGUGAUUCUUUUUGUUUGAUUGAUUAUAUUUGGAUCCUUCAAAAAUAUAUGGUCAGAGCCAUCUCCAUCUUUUCACUUCUUGUGCUGCAGAAUGGGAUUGGCUUAGAUCGUUAGUCUAAUGUUAACCCCCUUCAAAUCUAAUUAUUCAUACCCAAUUUUGACACGAAAGAGCCAUUGUCAUGAAAGGGGGACCAGGGACCUCAGCACCCUUGGUUCAUCAUUUUGGUACGAUGCCAACUCUACCACAUAACCACCAUUUAGAUAUCUAUCCUUUUAUUUUUGGCAUGUGAACUUAUAGUGGGUGGCUGACCUUGAAUCCAGUAGUUAUCAUGAUAUAUAUGGCUGUGUUGAAACUAACCACCAUUUAGAUAUCUAUCCUUUUAUUUUUGGCAUGUGAACUUAUAGUAAGUCCGAUUUAUGUCCAAGGGUCAAAUUUAAAUCUCUCUUCAAUCUAAUGGCUAAGAACUUCCCAACUUUAUUUAAUACUUAAUGUAUCCAAUAAUUGUAAUCGAGUAAUCCAAUGACAAGUACCUUCAAUGAUUAUUUUGGCAAAAGAAAUAAUAUAAGUUUGUUAUUUUAUGAUAUAAUAAAUUUAUUAAUACUUUCCUUUUUCAAAAUAUGUAAUUAGUUGUAAUUUCAUUAUAUAAUAUAUAAAUUAAGUUAUUUGCAAUUUUAAAAUAUGCUCAUUUUGUAUUUUUUUAAGUGUUAUUUAAAAAUUACACAAUUUUGUUUUAUAAAAAGUAUUUAGUACUUUUAAUUUUAUAAUUUACAAACAUUAAUUUAUACUAUUUUCUUAAAAUAUUUAGUUUAGUAUGCAUAUUAUUAGUUGUUUUCUCAGAUCUCAAGUUCCAAUCAAAAAAAUAUUUAUGAUUUGUUUUUGUUAAUUUGUGUCUUGUUUUCAAUUUAAUUAAUGAAAUUUUAUUUGAUCAAAAAGUUCAUUAUAAACCAAUUUUAAAAAUCUAAUCCUUUAUUAUAUUUUGAUAUGGUUUUGAUAAAAAUGUCUUUAUUAUUAUUAUUUUUUAUAAAAAUAAUUAUUAUUUUUGAAAUAUAUUGUAAAUAUUUAAAAUAAUUAAAAAUAUUUAGAUCAAAAAUCGAUUAUUUUUCAAACAAAAAUAUGAAAGUGAUAAAUUUGCAAAUAUGGGGAAUAUUUAAUCCUUUUAAUCGAUUAUUUCAUUACUGAAGUGGGUAUAAUGAUGAACGCAGACUUGGUUUUGCUAGGGCAUGCAGAGGUUUUGCAAGAGAGAGAGAUCAUUUCUCGACUCUGAGAAAUCAAUCUCCUUUUGGCCCGGUGGUGGACUCCAAGUAAAGCCUUGAAGGAGCCUUGCUAACAUCCCUGCACACCCACGCCUUCCAGUACUGAAGGAAAUGAAGCGAAGGGUUGGCUCGUUCAACUCCACUGCUUGAACUGUACUAGCAUUCUGAUGCCGCUCUGGAUUGAAAUUUAGCGGUUCUUCCCAGAUUCUAGGGUUCCGGCCCAGCCCCAGACGGCUCAGAAGGACAUGACUGCCUUUGGGGAUAAAGUACCUAGCAACACUAGUCGGAUUCCUGAACUCGUCUAUCCUUUCCAACCACUCCAUCAAUUUCUUCACUGCUUUGCUCAAAAUCCCUGGUUGCUUGAUCAUUGCCUACCCAAUUGCAUUUGAUGGACUAUCGACGCCUGCAAGCAUCAACUCCUGCAAAUUAUGGAAGGAUCAUAAUCUGAUGAUUGAUCAAGUUAUUUGCUGGCUAGGAAAUGAUCAUCAUGCAAUGUAGAUCAAAAGGUAAGCACAACGCUACUACAAAAAUAAUUUAUGGUGUCAUUUUUUAAAUAAUGACACCAUAGGGUUUAUAAUUAAUAAAGGUGAUACAUCGUAUAAAAUUUUUUCAAUUGAGGUAGUUAGAUUAUGUUAGUUUUAUAUUUAUAGUGUCAUUUUUUGGGAAGUAACAUCAUAUAAAAUAAAUUUUUUUAAGUAUUAUAACUUAAUGAGCCCACUUGAGCCCACUUUUAUAAUUAAUAAUGGGGGAUAAUGUAUAAAAAGCCCAUUGUUUCCACAUGCCACCCACAAUCCAAAAAAUCUCAGCAUACAAACCUUAUAUAUAAAACCAUAAUCUUCUUCUACCUUUUCUCUUACCUAUAGUCAACACACUUACAACCAACAUUUUCUACUUUGUGGACUCCUGGGUAAUCCAAAUUCUCUUAGAUCUAUCAUAUUUUUUUUUUCCUUUUAUUAAUAUAAUUAUAUUGAUUGUUUCAGCAUCUUUGUAUUAUGGUUUUUGUAAACUGCGUUUUCUUGAGUUGUAGGGAAGAAAAACUUAGGUUUAAACUUCUAGCAUAGACGAAGAAACUUGUAGAUUAAUUGAUUUUUUAAUAUGAACCAAACACAUGACUGACUUCUUAAAAACAAGAAAAAAUGAAUGAUUUUUAAUAUGUAUUUAUGUGAGAAUGACAGGUACAAAAUUUUGUUGAGAUAUACUGCCACAUAAUCUUCAUCCCUUCCCUAAAACAAGAGAGAGAGAAAAAAAAAAAGGAAUGAUUUUUUUUGUGUGUAUCUAAGUGGGAAUGAGAUAUAUAGAAUUUCGUUGAGAUGCCACAUGAUCUUUAUCCUCCAUUAAACCCAACAUAUUAAAUCCACUAACUCUCCCCAAAAACGAGUAAAAAAAAAGGGAAAAAAGUAUGAGUUAAAAAACAAAAACGGAAAAUAUGAUUUUUUUUUUUUUUUAAUGUGUUUCUAAGGAAAAUGAGAGACAAAUUUUUGUUAAGAUGCAUUGCCACGUGUUCUUCAUCCUCUCCAUUAAGCCUAACAUAUUAAACCUAAUAGCUCUCUCUUUUAACUUUCCAGUGAAGUGCCUACAGUAUCCAACUCAAAAUAAGACAACUUAAGCCCCAUUAGCCAACAACCCAUAUUUUGUGUACAUCUUGAUGAGAUUAUUUUGUGAGAAAAUGUCAUGAAACAAUCCCAAUUUGAUAAUCUAGGCAUGUAUUUGAGUUAAAAAUAAAUUUCUAUUCUAUAGAUCAAAUAAUAAAAUCAUGUUUGAAAAUUAUUUUUAAAAACUUAUUUAGAGCAAAAAUAGUUUUCUAACAUAAAAAUAAUUUUUUAACUGAGAAAAUAUAUUUGAAAUUAUUUGAUAGAAAAUUGGGCAUGUAUUUGACUUAAAAACAAAUUUCUAUUCUAUAGCUCAAAUAAUAAAAUCAUGUUUGAAAAUUAUUCUUAAAAGCUUAUUUAGAGCAAAAAUGGUUUUCUAACAUUAAAAUAAUUUUUUAAUUUAGAAAAUAUAUUUGGAAACAUUUGAUAGAAAACUGGGCAUGUAUUUGACUUAAAAAUAAAUUAUUAUUCUAUAGAUCAAAGGAUAAAAUCAUGUUUGAAAAAUAUUCUUAAAAACUUAUUUAGAGUAAAAACAGUUUUCUAACAUAAAAAUAAAUUUUUAACUUAGAAAAUAUAUUUGAAAACAUUUGAUAGAAAACUUUUUUUUUUUUAAUGUCAAUAAGUUGUCUUUUGUUAAUUUAAUUGUAAUCAAUUUGCUUAUACGCAUUUAAAAGUAUAUAUUAUCAUAUUUAGUAAUAUUUUGAUUGUUAGGCAAAUUAUCAUUUUUGAGAGGAAUUUUUGUAGCUCUCAUAAUUAUAAUUGUAUUUUAAUAACCAUUUCCAAUAAAAAAAAAGAAAAAAAAAGUUAGACAAUUAUCAAAAUCUGAUUUUUAGGAUUUAAAAAAAAUCUACAAGCCAAAACUAUCUAUAAUUUUGAUCAUGUGAGAACACUUCUUUUUUAAUACUUUGAAUUAUUUUGUUUUUUUUUUCUUAGUAUCUGAAAGUAUAAAAGAAUUUCUCUUAUUAUAUUAUUAUAUUAUAUAUGUGCAUGUGUGUUCUCAUGGUUGUUUAUGUCAUGUGUUAUUAAAGAAUAAAGUGAAAUUUCCUUUGAGUGGAAGGUUUUAGUCCACGCUAGUGAGUGGACACAGUAUGAAUAGUUUGGGUGGGUUGUAUCUAUGGUAAAAAAAAUAAUAAAAGACACCUUUUGCAAGUCUCCAAGUUGGUUGAGAUACAUGGUAUCAUGUUGACUAAACCUUGACUUUUGCAAGUCUCCUAGUUUCCAACUUUUUUUUUCUUUUUUUUUUAAUAUUAAGGUGUGGGGCCAUGAACUCCUUUCUUUCCUUUUUAAAUAACAAAAAGGAAGACAAUUUUAUUGUGAGAAGGCUAUUGCUAUCAAUUGUGUUCACGUCGAGAUUUUUUUAAUUUAUGGAGGCCAUAUAUAUAUUUAUGUCUAAUUUAGGAUGGUAAUUUGGGUUUGUUUAAUCUAUUCCAUUUAAUCAUACUAUACAAUCAUUUUUUUAUUUGGAUUAUUUUUGUAUUAAAUUUCUUCAACCCAAAUUUUGUUGAAAAGUUACAAUGUAUUAUUAAAAAUAUGACUUGGUAGUUGAUUAUGGAUAUGUGUCAUUUUUAGUAAAAAAAAAAAUCUAUAACAUUUUAUAUUGAUAAUAUAUUAUUCUUGUAACAGGUUCGAAUAGUAAGCAAGUCAUUAUCAAAGAAGUUAUUGAAAGUGUAAGGGUAUGUUUAUUUAUUGCAUGCUCUUAUAUAGUAUCAAUUGUAAGGAAGAUAAAAUUACCUUGUAAAGGUAAUUAAAUCUUUCUAUAUUUUAAAAACUUUUUUCCUAUAUACUAUGCUUUUGAAGCUUGUUUAAUUAAACAUAUUAGUUAUUUGACAAACUUUUCACAAAUGUUUUGCAUGUAUACUUAUGUGUUCUAUUUUGUUCCAUAGUUUUAUUGCAUAAUACUAAUGUAUAUUUUUUCACAAACUUUUUACAACUAUUUUGUGUACUAAUGCAUAUUAAGUUUUGUUCUUGCCUAUAUAAGCUACAUUUAGUUAUUUAAAUAUAUCCAAUAUUAUGUUGAAGAAAGAUGUACUUACUUAACUUUUUUUAUUCUAAAUAUUAACAAGUUUUUCAGUUCUCUUGUCUCGAGAUUGAAUGUCAAAAGAUAGAAGGUCAGUUGAGUAUGAUGAAAGAGUUGAAAACUUUAUCAAUUUUGCAUUAGCACAUUCAAUCAACCAUUCCCCUAUAAAAUGCCCAUGCUUACGUUGUGCAAAUCUGUUAUGUCAAACUCUUCAAGUCAUUACAGAGCAUUUGUUCUUUAAUGGAAUAGAUCUCAGUUAUCGAGUAUGGUAUUGGCAUGGAGAAAAUGGACCCAGUGGAGGAUUUUCAAAUGUCUCACAACAACAUUAUGACAAAUGCAAGUAUAAUGAUGUUGUUGACACAAUAGAUAUGGUUAAUGCUGCACAAGUUAAUUGUAUGAAUGAUCCCUAAGUGUUUGGAAGGUUACUUGAAGACGCAGAAAAACCUUUAUAUCUUGGAUGCAUGAAAUACACAAAGUUGUCAGCAUUGGUAAAACUUUACGACUUAAAAGCACAUUAUGGUUGGUCUAACAAAGGAUUCUCAAAAUUGCUUCAGUUGCUUGGAGAUAUGUUGCCAUUGAAUAAUGAGAUGUCAUUGUCCAUGUAUGAAGCUAAAAAGACUUUCAGUGCACUUGGGGAUGAAUAUAAAAAAAUUCAUGCAUGUUCUAAUGAUUGUAUUUGGUAUAGAAACCAGUAUAAGGAUGCUAUUGCAUGCCUAACUUGUGGAAAGUCAAGGUGGAAGAUAAACAAUGAGGGGAAAAAGAUUAAGAAGGGGCUUCCUUCAAAGGUUUUGUGGUAUUUCCCACCAAUCCCUAGAUUCAAAAGGAUGUUCCAAUCCUCAAAAACCGCUAAACAUCUUAUGUGGCAUGCCAAGGAUAAAGAAUAUGAUGGUAAACUAUGCCACCCAUCAGACUCCUCAGCGUGGAAACUAGUUGACCAUAUGUGGCUUGAUUUUGCUUCUAAACCGAGAACCUUAGACUAGCACUCUCAACAGAUGGUACAAAUCUUCAUAAGUCUAUAAGCAAUAGACAUAGUUGUUGGACUGUUAUACUGAUCAUAUACAACCUUCCUCCUUGGUUGUGCAUGAAAAAGAAGUUUAUGAUGCUAUCAUUAGUGAUCUCAGGACCACGACAACCUAGUAAAAAUAUAGAUGUUUACUUGAGUCCAUUGGUAGAUGACCUUAAAACUUUGUGGGAAAAAAACGUUAAGACUUAUGAUGCACACUUGCUUGAGGUUUUUACUUUAAAGGUCAUCAUUUUAUGGACAAUCAAUUAUUUCCCUACAUAUGGAAACUUGGCCAAUUGCACCGUGAAAGGAUAUUAUGCAUGUCCAAUAUGUGGAGAAGGAACAUAUUCCCAAAGAUUAAAGUAUGGUAGGAAGAACUUGUAUAUGGGUCACCGAUGAUUUCUUCCACGUAACCAUCCCUAUUGGAGACAAAAAAAGGCAUUCAAUGGUGAACAAGAUUUUAGAAUUCCUCCUAAAAUUUUGAGUGGAGAAGAAAUACUUGAAAAAGUUGAUCUCAUUCCUAUUUCUUGGGGAAAAAUGAAGAUAAAAUCUCUUGAACUGAUGUGAACACAAAUUGUUGGAAAAAAAAGUCCAUAUUUUUUGAGUUAGAAUAUUGGAAAUAUCUUCAUAUCCUUCACAACUUGGCAGUUAUGCACAUUGAAAAGAAUGUUUGUGAGAGUAUUAUUGGUACUUUGUUUAACAUCCCAGGAAAAAAAAAAGAUGGACUUAAUGCUCAACUUGACCUAGUUGAAAUGGGUUUAAGGUCUGAACUUUUCCCAAGAGUUGACUUGAAGUGGACCUAUCUUCGUCCUGCAUGUUAUUCACUAUCCAAACAUAUAUGACAAAAAAUUAUUUUGUCAAACAUUGUCUAAUUUGAAGGUCCCUGAGGGGUAUUGCUCAAAUUUUAGAAAUCUUGUCUUCUUAGAGGAAUUGAAGUUAUUUGGUUUAAGAUCCCAUGACUACCAUGCACUUAUGCAACAACUAUUGCUAGUGGCAUUACGUUUUGUUUUGCUAAAGCAUGUGAAAUAUACUAUAUCAAGAUUGUGUAUCUUCUUCAAUCAAUUAUGUACAAAAAUGGUUGAUGUGCCAAAAUUGGAUGAAGUACACAAUGAGUUAGUGGUCACGUUGUGCUUACUUGAAAAGUAUUUUUCACCUUCAUUUUUUGAUAUUAUGCUUCAUCUAGUAGUGCAUUUGAUAAGGGAGGUGUGACUAUGUGGUUCAGUUUACUUUAGGUGGAUCUACCCAUUUGGGAGGUAUAUGAAAGUUCUUAAAGAAUUGUUCGCAAUCAUAAUUGGCCUGAAGGAUGCAUUACUAAGUGCUAUUUAGCAGAAAAAGCUAUCGUAUUUUGUACUGAAUAUUUAUUAGGGACUCAUGCAAUUGGAAUUCCAAAAGCAACAAUUAUGACAACAAAUUUGGUAGACCUAUAAUUGGUGGUCGUUCUACCAUCAUUGAUCGUAAAUCGUGGUUACAAGCACAUCAUUAUCUAUUAGAGAAUACAACUAUCGUCCAACCAUACACUGAGUAAGAAAAACAUACCUUUAUCUUUUUAUAAUUUCAUAACAUAAUGAUGAAAUCCUAAGUUUGCAUUCCUUGUCUUUAACGUCAUAGGGAACACAUGAAUUGGUUGAGGUCUCAAUACCCUCGAAAAUCUAAUAGACAAAUUUGGUUGCAAGAAGAACAUAUGAGUUGUUUUACAUAUUGGCUUAAAGAAAAGGUAAUCUCUUAGUUUUUAGAAAAUUUUUCAAUAUGUUGAAAACAUCACAAGUUUCCAAUAUGUUUUGAUUAUACAUAUGUUGAAGAGGCUAUCCAUAAUGGGCAAGAUAUUCCCGACACACUUAGGUGGUUAGCACAUGGCCCUACUCUCCAAGUAGUCAAAUAUCCUGGAUAUAUCGUUAAUAAGUGUCGUUACCAUAUUAAGAAACGCGAUAUGACAUGCAUCACCCAAAAUAGUGGUGUUAGCAUUUUAGCAAGGACUAUGCAAAUUGCCAGUUCUAAGGAUAAGAACCUAGUUUGUGGUGAACUUUGCUUUUAUGGGGUCAUUAAUGAGAUAUGAAAUCUUGAUUACAACAUGUUCACAAUUCUAAUUUUCAAGUGUGAUUAGGUUGACAACAAGAAUAGUAUAAAAGUUGAUGAACUCAGGUUCACAUUAGUUGACUUCUCCAAAAUAGGUCACAAAUUGGAUCCAUUUAUUUUAGCAUCACAAGCCAAGCAAAUCUUCUAUGUUGAAGAUCAACUUGAUCCUAAAUGGUCAAUAGUUCUCUCAAUUCCUCCAAAAGAUUUCAAGAACAUAGAAGGACUAGAUGACUUCACCGAUAAUUGCAUGGAACAUCACCCCUUUAUAAGUUCAAUGCCAGAAUUUGAAUCAUUUGAUGCUAUGGAUGAAUCAUAGGCAAUACACAUGAGAGAAAACUGUGAGGGCAUAUGGAUUGAAAAUAAUUAAAUAACAUAUUGUACCCUUGAAUGAGAUAUAAUAAGGCAUUUCACUUAUUAGUUUUCAUGAGUUGCACAUUAACUUAGCUUCUAUAUAUUGCUCAUGAUAUAUCUAUAUAUAUUAAUCAUCCUAAAUUUCUUUCAUGCAUCAUAAACAUAUGUUAUUCAAAGGUACCACUUCAAUCUUCAUUCAACUAUCUUUUUGUUGUCCAUAGAACUAGAUUUAUAUUAUUUUUUAUUAUCAUGUUUUGAUUUUAUGCUCACAUAACUUGAAACUCUCUUUCGUAAAUUUCUUUUUCAUUAAAACUAUAAAUCAUAAUUGAAACUAUGCACUAAUUUAUUUUAUUAUUAUCCUCACAAAUAAAUUCUUCAUUAUUGAUAAGAAAUCAAAAAACAAGACAAACUUUGAAAGAAAAUUUCAAAAAAUAUAUUUGUGAAUGACCAAUUUAAUUAUAGAAAAUAUAUGCAAGGCUAUACUAAUCUUGCUUUUGAGUCAUUUUACAGGUUUGUUGGUGAAGUACUAGUUUGCACAUUGACUUGAUAUCUUCCACACAAAUAUGGAUCUAGAAGAAGGGGAAAUGCCAAAAAUAAAGCAUAGAGGUAGUGCAUUGAAACCAAAGAUUGCAAAAAAUCGAAGUAAAGGGAUAAAACUCAAGAUUGAAUACAAUAGCCUUGGUAGUCACAUUGAGGAAAAUUCAGUUAAACUAAGUAGUUAUCUUAGUACAAUAACAAAAACCCAUGUGCCAAUAAUUAUUGAGAGUUGGAGGAAAGUCCCUAAAGAGACUAAGGAGAAGUUGUGGGAUUUGAUCACGGUAAGCCUAUCUAUAGCUUUAAUAUAUAAUUAUUGUAUACAUUCAUUAACAUGAGCUAACAUGGGUUGCUAUUUUGUAGACAAGCUUUAAUGUGAAUAAAAAAUCCAAGAGGAAUUGUUUCAUACUAAUGGGCAUCAGGUUUCGAACCUUUAAGUACAAGUUGACAAAGAAAUAUAUAUUGUCUUUCAAGAAUGACCAAAAAAGCUGAAAAAGUCACCUCCUAUUUGCCCAUUCAUACAAGAGGAUCAUUGGAGACAGUUUGUUAAAGAUAGACUUUUUGAACAUUUUAACGUUAAGCAUUAUUUUUAUUACAUCUUCAAUUUUCACAUUUACGUAGUUUCAUUAUGUACUAAUUUUGUGUCUAUAUUUUGUAGGAAUAUCGCAAAGUUCAGAAAUCAAGAAGAGAUAAACACAUUUACAAUCAUUAUCUUGGAAGAAAAUGAUAUGCACGUUUUGAGCAAGAUAUAGUAAGUUAUCAAUAUCCAUAAAAAAAAAUGGAGUAUAUAUUUUGUUUAUAGGAAAAUGAUUCUAGUUUUUAAAUAUCAUUUAUUAACUUGAUCAUGUUGAACUAAUGAGUUUUAUUGUUAAAAUUUUUAUAGCUACAAGCAGAAGGGGCUAUUGGUAGGGUUGAUAGAAGUGUUUAUGAAAGAAAACACGUGAGAAGAAAGGAAAGUUUAAUAAGAUUACAAAGCCAAUGAUUAACUAAGUUAGCAUAUUUAUGCCUUUUAGAGCCUAUAGUGUUAGUAUGUCUAUGUGAUUAUGGUUUGGGAUGAUAUCGUUAGGUGUUAAUAGGGAAGAGGCUUAAUGCUAUCAUUUUUAUGAGUAGUCAUGUUAUAUUAGUGCAAAUAUAGUAGCCUAAUUUGAAAAUUAAUUUUGAAACAAUAUACAUUAAUUUAUCUAUUAUCAUUUUUAUUAAAACAAUUCAUUUUCUAGCUACCUUGAAUUGGUCCUCUUGAAUUGGUUGUCUUUGAUUGAUAUGUUAAUCAUCAUCUUCAUCAAAUUAUUACUAAUAUAUGUUUUGUUGUAGGAUGAAUUACUAGAAAAGGCAAGGAGACUAGACUACCUCCACCUGGUCCAAAUGACAUAUUAUGUUAGGCAUUGGGUAAGCUUGAUCAUCUAGGACGUGUGGUAGGUCAAGACCGCUUGGUUAGGCCGAACUCAUACUUUCAUCAACCAUUUGAUGACAUGAAAAAAAAAAUCAAAGAAGAAAUAUGGGAAAUGGUGUGAAAGGGGAUGCAAGAUGCUGUAACAAGACAAACUAUGUCUCCUCCCACACCCCAUUCUGAUAUAGGUAGUAAUAACAUGAGACAACAACUUGUUUUACAACUAGUUGUAGCAAAAAAACCAAUGUUUAAAAUGAUGGAAGAGCCCCAACCACCAUAACCACCACUGAAACGUAAGGUAUACAUUUACUUACUAAUAAUACAAGAUUAAUAUAAGUGAUAUAUAGCCUAUGUAAAUGAUAUUAUUUGUUGUAUUAAAGGUGAUUAAAUAUAAAUUAGCAGUGGAAUGAAAAUGAAAUGUUGUUGCAACCGGUACAUUAAUAGAAGAAAAUUGAUCAAAUGGGUUGGUCGUAAUAAAUGUUGCACACAAGCUAGAUGCUAGACUCCCAUUUCCAAAUCCAUAUGAGAUUAUCAAUGUUGGGGAUGCUAUUGGCCUUAAGCUUGACUGGCCAACAAGCCUUGUCAUACUUGAAACUAAACAUCCUCGGGUAUGUCAUUUUAUACUUGUAGUAAAUUUGAUUGUAACUUGGUAUUUUAUUGUUAGGAGUAUAUAUUACUAACAUUCCUUCAUUUUUCAUAGGUGUUGGAUAAAGGAAAGAAGUAGAUAGUGAAUGCACCAAUUAUUCGAAAAUCUAAGCCUCAAAAUUAUUCGGUCAUUAAAAAUUUCCAGAAAUUUAUGGAUGGUUGUCUUAGUAAUGAGAAGACAUACCCAAUACAGCUCCCCAUUUCACUAUUUGGUGUCGAAUUCCGAACAUAUAUAUCUAGAGAGGAUUGUGAAUACAUUAUUUCAUCUUCAGAAGUGUCAUCAAAAUGCAUCUCCUUCCAUUUAUGGUGUGCACCUUUUAUUUUCAUUUGUUUUUAUUUUUUUUAAUAUGAGUUGCCCAUGUUGAACAAGAUUGGAUAUGACUAAUGAUAAUUUUCUUUUGGUGUUUUGAUAAUAUAAUAGGUACAUGCAUGAUCAACUACAUAUUGCCAAAAAGGAAUCACAAUUUAUAUUUGUUAAUCCUUUUACAAUAUCAUGAGCAGGCUUUAGUAAUCCUCAAACAGAGAAAAGAACACAAUUGUUGUCAAAACACUUAAUAGAGUGCCAAGAUGUCGGAUAUGUUUUCAUGCCCUACAACCUCGAGUAAGUGACGAAUAUUAUACUUUAAUUUGAGGUUUUAUGAUUGAUUUAUAUUUCUAAUUAGAUGCUACUUUUGUUUUUAAUGUUUUAGCUUUCAUUGGGUCUUGGUAGUGAUUGAGCCAAGGAAAAUGAUAGUCCACUAUCUUGACCCUGUGCAUCACAAACCAUGUGAGGACUUAAAGGAUAUCGUAAACAUGUAAGUUCUUCCUAUUAUUUUUCAUAGUAUUAUUUAAAAAAAAAUUACAUUCACCUCAAACACAUUUUUUAUUGUUAUUUCUAUAUAUUAAAGAGAUAAUUUUUUAUCCUACAAUGAUUGCUUCAAAGGUAUUACUUAUUUAAUGAAUUGUACAUAUUUUUAGGCUUUCAAAUGUUAUGCAUUUUAAUGUUAUUUUCUUAUUUGAUUUCAGUUUGGUGAUAAAAAAACAUAUUCUCAAGUAGAAUUCAAUGAAAUUAGAGGAGAAUUGACUACUUUUGUGCUACAACUAAUCAUGAAUCAUGUUGAUGCAUCAUGAUCACCAUGCAUGGUGAGUUCCUUAGCUACUACAUGAAUUUUUCCAUAGAUAUUGUAUAGUAUUGCUUUUCUUUGAACAAUGUUUUUAUUUGAAAAAAAGAAAAAAAAAAGUUCUUAGAUUUGUUCAUUUAUGAUAACAUCGAUCCAUAUUUAUUUUCUUCAAUGAAAUAUAUAAAACUCAUUAAACUAUGAAAUGCAGGUAUACACUCUUAGGAGGGUGGAAUAGAGAAUAAAAAGAACAAAGAAGGCAACAAGAUUUUAGGUUUUUAAAUACAGCUCGUAUGUCAUACGUUGUAGGACAUAAACAUUACUUUAAUUGGUAGUGAGAAUUUUAGAUUUUUAGAUGCUACUUUUAUGUCAUUUUAUAGUUAGUCGAUUUUAUGCUUAUGAAAUGAAGGUAUACAUGAAUCUUGGGAUGCUUCACAUUUCUAAAUCAUGUUUUGGUAUGUAUUCCCUCUUCUUUUUUAGUUUUGGUGGGUUUGAUAUGUUGGAUGUACUAUCUUUUUGUGAACAUUUGAUAUACAAAUAUUAUUAGAUGAUCAAUGUAUUACGAGUUAUUCCAUAAGCAUUACCGAAAAAUGAGUUAAAUGUAAUAUGAUUGUUAUAUUUAUGGAAAAAAUAUACACAGGUUAAUCCUAUUUGUUAAUUCAUAAGCAUUACAAAAAUCUACAACUAAAAGCAAUCAUAUCUUCCACGAUAAUUUACAAUGAUGUGACACCAUAACUCAAAGGUGAUGCAUUUAAUGUGACAUCAUAACUCAAAGAUCAUGCAUUUAAUGCGAUAUCCUAUCAUCACUAGAAAUAUAUGAUGUCACUUUCGAAUGCGUCACCAUUUAUCUACUUUGGUGUCACUUACAAAUACGUCACCAAUUGGUACCCUCUAUGGUGUCAGUGGAGAAGGUGACACUAUGUUGUAGUGACACCCUAUGUUUAUGGUGACUCGUUAUAAAUGUCACCAUAUAUUUUUUUUCUUGUAGUGCAAAUUACUUAUCUUACUAUGCAUUGGGCUUUGAUAUUAGCCAGAGACAGUAGUGGCUCCUAAUUUUUAUCCUUAACUGAAAUGAAAACGUCAAGCAGGUCCCCAACCUCUUUUUCUCCAUUCUUCCACUAUUAUACUAUUUGGUCCAUGAUUGGAUCAUGGUACUUGUUAAUGGUGUUCAUAGCCUCCCUUAUAGUCUUUUCAUGGCCAUCUAAAUUUAGCACUCUCUGCCAUGGGAAGUAAUCAGAUAAAGAGAAUACAUAUAGAUGAGCAAGUAUAGUAAAGAAGGAUUCAACAUGUUGCUCCACUUCAACUCCAGGGCCUCCAUCUUUCUUUCGUUGGCCAAAGUAUCUUGUGUUGAGGAUCAUCUUUCAGAUGACAUUCCCGUUGUAUUGACGGACUUUAUUUCUGUCACACCCCAAAUACUAGGCAACCCAGAACUUGACUCGUGGCCCUAGGUCAAAGGUUUGACCCUAAGAGUUACUCUUAUCCAUGUUGGCAAUCAAUCAAAACACCCUAGAUUUUUUUUCUUUUCAAUAAAGCGUUUAAUCCUAAAUAAAUUUAUUAAGCUAAGAUUUACUAUAACAUAUCAUUUUAUUUUUCCAAAACUAACCAUCACAUUAUCUCAUGUUCACAAGUAUUAAAAAAAUAAAAUUCCACCAAUCAUUUUCCUACCCAAAAGCUCAAAUAUUUACAAUAAACUCUAAGUCAAAAAGAAUAUUUCCAAAAUUUUUUUACAAACUAAUAAAAUAUAAUUUAACUUAAAAAAGUCCAUAUAACUCAAAUUAGUAGAUGUCAAAAAGGUAAUUAAAAAAAAACAACAACCAUUAUUAUAGUUUUUUUGCUUUUUAGAACACUUCAUGAUCUUCUUAUGGUCCCUUAGAAACUAUAUCUGCAUCUAAAAAUUUUAGAAAAAAAAGGGAUGCACAUUUCCACGUUACUCUUUAGACCUAAAUGGGUUAGAAAUUCUAGGUCAAUAAAACACAACCAUAUGCCAAAAUAUAAUAUUACAUUUACAUUAUACACACUAAAAGAAACCUCAACCAUACAAAUUUAAAUCAAUCAAAAUUAUCAUUCUCCUGAUUUAAUCAUAUGUUUAGCAUAUCAAUAAUUUUAAAUUUACAAAAUAAAUAAGUCACUUUAGUCUUGAAUAAUAUAUUCAAACAUACACUUGAUAAAUAAUACAAAUCAUUUUUCCAAAUGCAACCAUGAUACAAAUGCUUACACACAAUCACGCAAUGCAAUAUCGUUCUCGGGCUUUCACCGAAGGAUAUGCAUUUAUACCCAAAUAGACUCCCCAUUCGGAUUCUUCCUGGGAUAAAAUUUUGAGUCUUUCACCCUAAGGAUCUCACUCCCUUCUUAACUCACCAUCUCUAGGGUCUUUCAAUUUCUUAUUUUUCUUUUCUUUUCAUUUUUGCCAUUUUUUGGGUCUUUUCAUUCUCAUUUCCAUUUCACACAACCAUUUCUUUAAUUUUUCUUUUUCUUCACACAAUCAUGAUGCAUAUGAAAUGCAACUGAAUCAUAUUUUAACAUCCAUAAUUUUCCAAGACAUAAUUUUAUUUACUCCCAUUAUGUUUCAUAAUUUCCAAUAAUCCACACAACGAUUUUUCUUCACUUUAAUUGUCACAAACAUAAAAGAAAAUUCACAAUUAAUUUGUAUAGCAUCAAAACAUAGUUUUAAACAUUGACCACAUAAAUUCUAUUUAUUCCCGACAUGCUUAAUAAUUUCCAAAUCCAAUAUAACCAUUUUUUUUCAAUUAAAUAAUCACACAUAUCCAAGAAAAUUCUCGCUAAUACAAAUAUCAAUGAAAAUGUAAUUUAUGUCAUAAUUUAUUUGUCUCUAAUAAUUUCAAAAAUUUUGACACCCAUAUGAAAAAUUUCCACAAUUAAGCCACCCCAACAUUUGGGAAAAUUUUUCUAAUCAUUCAAAUAUCAACAAAAACCCAAUUUAUAUCAUCAUUUUUAUUUAUUUUUAAAAGCAUUAAUAAUUUUAAUAAUCAAUACAACACUUUUCCACAAUUAAGCCACCACAACAUUCUGGGAAAAUUUUCCAAUAAUUCAAAUAUUAACAAAACACAAUUAUACCUUAAUUUUUCUUAUCUCCAACAACAUCAAUAAUUCUUAGUACUCAAUACAACUAUUUUUAUUUUUUCAUAUUUAAUCUUCUCAAACAUUACCAAAAUUCCAAGAAAAAUCUAUAAAUCACGAAAUAAAAGUAUUCACAAUAAUAAUCACACUUCAAAUACUACAAAUAACAUCUAUUAUAUUUCAACAACACAAUAUAUAAAUUUUUUUGAAAGAAAAUAUUAAAUCAAAGUUUUAGGGUUAAAUCACCCUACCUUAAAUUUGAAAAAUUUAACCAUUAAAACUAAAACGGGACACCGUAGGAGUAUUCCUCGCAUUGAAUAGAAUAUCCUUCCAAAAUUUCAUGCGAAAUGGACGUCAUUUGGUAGGUCCAUCAACAUCCUAAAGCUAGCGACCCAUUUUUCCCACUCUUUGCCGACGACUCCCCUACAUCUCUCACUCGAUUUCCUUUCUUCAUUUUCUUUUCUUCUUCUUCUUUUAAACUCCCACGCCAAUUUCACUUUAUAUAUAUAUAUGUAUAUAUAUAUAUAUAUAUAUAUAUAUAUAUAUAUAUAUAUAUAUAUAUAUAUAUAUAUAUAUAUAUAUAUAUAUAUAUAUAUAUAUGUAUGUAUGUAUUAUUAAAACAAAUCCUAAAAUACCACGCACAUCCAUUUCUCAAUAAAUUAAAACCAUUAUUCUUAAAUUCACCUUCCAUAAUUAUGAAUUAUACCAAACUUAUGAUUUUCCAUUUCACGAAAAAUACCACUGUAUUCGUAAUUUAAUUUACUACAAGUCUACUCUUCAAAAAGUAUAAUUUGAUUAUAAUUACAUGAAACAUUGUUUUUUUACUCUAAAAUUCAUUCAAAACAUGAUAUAAUUAACUAUUAACAAAAUUCAAUUCCAUAAAAUAUGAAAAACAUAAAAUAAUUUUUUGGCAAUCAAGAAGUUGAAAUUUGUAAUAACCCUUAACCUGUUAAUUUUACCUAUAUUUAUUUACCAACAAAAAUUUAAAUAAUAUUCUAAAAUUUAAUUCCAUAAAUUAAUUAGUCAUUAAAUUUAUAAAAAUCAAAUUCUCUACCCUUUGGUAUAACUUUCAUUUAAUUUACUUCAUUUUUCAAAUUAUUCAAUCGCAUCAAAAUUUCAAAAGUUAAAUUCACUAAAUUCACAUUUAAUUAAUUUAUCCUUUUCUAUUUUUUUUUUCUAAAUUCGCAUAUCAUAAUUUAAUCUUAAUUUAAUUUUGAUUCAAUUUUGUUUUAUGUUUUCUAAUUUUAUGAGGUUUAAUUUCAAUUAUAAAAAUUAAAUUAAAUUUCUUUUUAAUUAUCCAUUAUCACAAUUUGAUAUAAUAUAAUUUUUUAUCAAGUUUUUCUUACUACGAUUUUUCUUAUAAUUAUCCAAUAAUAAUUAAAUUAAUUCUCGUAACAUAUUUAAUAUUCAAAUUUUAAAAACUUAAUCUCAAUUAUUGGAUGGUUAAUUUUUUUCUCAAAAUCUAAAUUUAAUUUAUGAAAUUCUCACUUCUUACAUCUGACGUGGCAAAAUUUUCAAACUAUUGACUUUUGACCAACUUUUCCUAAAUUUAUCCUAAUUAAAUACUAACACAUGGAUUUUCACCACUCUUUUUGACCUUUUGACCCACAAAUUUAUGAAAGACUUUAUGCUUGGAGAAUCUACAAAAACCUGGGUAUUACAAUUUCUCAGGUUGAUAACUGUCGUGGUUACGAAGCCACCACUUGAAUACUCAAUUGCCAUUGUAAUGGGCCUGGAUGCAAAUAGUACAUCAUGUUUCUUCAAAAGUUCUCUGCUAAUCUCUGGGAAAGUCGUAGGGACGAGAUGAAAUAUUUCCCAAUUGAAUACAUGCAAUUUCAGUGUUCAUUUCUUUCAUAAAGCCAAUGUAUCCACCAGAAAGUUGGCUUUUUGUUGAGUAAAUGAGGUAGAUAUUGCACUAGUGGCCCUGGAGCUAAUCCUGGAGGAAGUUGUAUCGGUUUGCUUUUGGUACUUGUUUUGGAUUUUAAUUUAGUGAAGAUGAGAAAGAUUAAUGUGAUAAAAAGCAGUAAGAGGAAGUUGAGAUGAGACAACACAUCGUCUGUGGUAGUAGAAGAAAACAAGGUUGAGUUACUGCUAUUACUCCCUGCAACAAAACCAUUUACAUGUCUUUUAUAGCAAAACCAUGUUUGUCCUAUCUUGGGUCUGGAUGCACAUUUUUAAUAUUGGGGAAAUCAUGCAACCAAAUGUCACACACAAAGAGAGAGAAAAAAAUACGUUUUUUAGAACUUGGAAAGGUAAAGUGGGACAAAAAAUAUUAUCCAUUCUUGAACUCUAAAAGUAAAGUUAUAAAAAGCUUAGUUUUUUUUUUUUUUUGUUAUGUAUGAUUGCAUGAUUUCCCCCUUUUAAGAUUUUAUCUCAUAAAAUUUUUUUCUAGAAAGUUCAAAUAAGUUUGAUGAAUAUUGUUUAUUUUAGUAAUUUUAAUUUUAUGGGGUACUUAAAACAUUAGAAGUUCACAAAAAGCAACAUUUAUCAGCUACCUAUCUAAAAAGCUUGGCCUAAUCAUUGAAAUCCAAAAUAUAAAGUGACAACACACUUUUUAAAGCAAUUUUCAAAAUAGUUUUUAAAAACACAUUUAUUUAUGAUAUUUUUAAAAUAAAAAUCUCAAAAAUAACUUGUUUAUAUAGCGUUUUAUUAGACAAAUACUUGAUCUUUAUAAGAUCACCCUAAUUAUAGAUUUAUGAACAUGUAACACAACAAUUAUCUAUAUAUAUACUUAGAAUUAUUAUAUUUUAAGUUUUUAACUACAUAGGACAUCAUGAGUUUUUCCACCAUUUAUCUUAUAAUAAGUUUAUUUAAAUAUGAUAAAGGAUAUAUUAUCUCAUUUCUUAUUAUAUCCGAUGCUAUAUAUAUAUAUAUAUAUGUAUGUAACAAAUCAAAUACAAUUUAAAGAUUUUAAUUAACCAUCUAUUAGCAACAAAGCAAUCUCUUAAUCUCAUUCAUAAUAUUAGGAUAAUUUAGUAUUUCCUUUUAUAAAACACUAGCAUAUAAAUCAACACAAAUCAUAUUAAGGGUGUAUUUGGUGUUGAUUUUAGGAAGCAUUUUUAGUAUUUCUAAUACUUGAAAGAUAAAAAUUUUCAAGUUUUAGAAAGAUCAAAAGCGCUUUUUAGAAUGACUAUCAAAUACAUGCUAAAUAUUACUUUUGGAUACUUAUAUUUUUAAAUAACUCUUAAAACUUUUAAGGCAAGUCUCUACUAUUUAUAUAAAUCCCCUAUUAUUUUUAAUUUUUAGAAACAAAAAAUAAAGAAUAGAAACUCCAUUUAAACAUCACCUUAUUAUUUCCUAUUAUAAAAUAACACAAAUCAAAUGAAUUAUUUAAAAAUAAAUAAAUAAAAAAUCAAAGUUGAAGAGAAAAAACUCUUGUGCAUUAAAAAAACAUCAAAAUAAAUAAAUAAAUAAAACAUCAUCAAAUAAAUGUAAAAAUAAAUUAAUGUUAUGGAAAAAUGAGAAUAGGCAACAAGAAAAUAAGAACACAGAUUUACAUGAAAAAUGCUAGACGGGAAAAACCAUGGAUAGAGGAGAAGAAAAUCCACUAUAUUAAAAAUUUGGUAUAAAAUGUGAGAGAAUCAAGCGAGUAUUGUAUAGGCAUAAUCACUAUGACCCUAAAUCCUAUACAUCAUUGCAUAUGUAUGGUGUAUGCGAUAAUAAAAAUAUUGUCACAUAAAAUAACUAUGGGAUGUAAUAUUUGUAAUAAUAUUUUUUACAAAAAAAUAUUUUUUCUUUGCUUUAUUCACUUUGAUCACAACUUGAAAUAAGACAAUAAAAAUAUUUUCUUAAUUUUUGAAAAUUAAUUGAGGACUUAGAGCUACUUGUUACUGAGUGAAUUUGCUGAAUGGUGAAGAAUGCGUGUAUAGUAGUUUUGCAAUUUUUCAAACUUAUAGACAUAUUUUGUGAAGUCUUUUUCUCUUUGUAAAGCCCCAUUUUCUAUGUGAAGUUAUUUUUUCAAUAUUCUCUUUGGAAGGAAUUUACCAUUAGUUAUAUAGGUAAGAUUAAGGAAUUAAAUUUGGAAUUCUUAACAUUUGAUUGCUUAAUUCAAAGAAUUUGGUUCAAGGGAAAUUUGCCAACAAAAUAAUAUUUAUUUUUAAUUCUAUGAUGACUUUAAUUAUUUGAUAUAAUUUUAUUUUGAAAGACUUGAUGUGGGGGACUCAUCACUUAUUGAGUCCAAAUUUUGUUGCACCCAAAUUUUUAUGAGCUAAGAAACCAUAAUUUUAAAGACCAAUUCAGUGGUAAGUGAAUCUGCUAAAAUCUUCUAUGUACAAAUGACCUCACUUCAAGGUGCAACACAUACAUGUAUUAUUAUGUGUAUGGGAUGAGUCUUGAAGUUAGUCUUCAUUCUUCUUUGAUUUUUUUCUUCAAAUAAAUAAAUAAAACAUCAUCAAAUAAAUGUAAAAAUAAAAUAUGUAUCGGUUAAUUGGAGAGGAGAGCUUUAAGGGCAUUUCUUCUAUGAAAUUCUAUGCUCCACGUACCAUAAAUUUGUACUCAACCAACAAAAUUACAGAAUGGGUCCAUGCACAAACAAAAUAACCCAAAUGUAAAUAUCUAAAAAUGUAUAAAGUUCACAAUAGAUAUUCAAGCCCAAAUUUAAAUUUCAAAUUAGUCCAACAGAUUUCAUCAAUCAAAAUGGGUCCAAAUUAGCAAAUAUAACCCAACAAAAAUAUCUCAUAUGUCAUAGGCCCUAAUUUAAAAUUUUCAAAUUAAUAGCCAAAAUAUAAGUUCAAUUAAUCAAACCCAAAACAUGAUAAAUUAAAAUAAAUCUCAUUAGGCCUAAACUUAAUAUCCUAUAAUUCAAGCCUAAUUUAAUAUAUAAACCUAAAUCCACAAUCAAAAUCAACCCAAUUUAUGCUAAUCCCGAUUUACAAUCAAAAUCAAACAUAAUUUAAUAAGUAAAUAACUAAAUAAAUUAAGCAAACUCAAAACACCCAAACCACUACAACAUAAAUCAAACAAUAAUAAAUAUAAUGACAAUAAUAAUAAUAAAAAAUAAAAUAAAAUAAAAUAAAAUAAAAAUAAAAAAUUUAACUCAUGUCGGAGCCAGUUUGAAUGUCUUGGGAAAGAAAGAAAAUGAGAGAAAAGUGAGAGAUGAUUGACAACUGACAGUGGCUCAUUGGCGGCGACUGGCUAGUGGUCCUACCGAUGGUAGUGAGGAUUGAUUGGUUUUUGGGAAAAAAAAUAAAAUGAAGAAAAGAAAAUGAGGAGUAAUAAAAAAAAUGGAGAAAUGAGAGGAAGGUGGGAGAAGAAUGGAGAGAGAGAACGUAGAAAAUGAGUGAAAAGAAAUGAGGCUAGUUGGAGGAGGAAGUGAUAGUGUGUGAGCUAAAGUGAAGAAGAAUAGAAGAAGAAAAUGGAGAAGAAUGGGGAAAAAAAAAUCCGCCUCCCUAAAUGAAGAGAGGUGGGUAGCCUAAAGAAGAAGAAAAAAUAAAAUAAAAUAAAAUGGGGAGAAAAUGAGAGGGGGUCAGUGGUCUUGCGAAUGAGGUGGUAUGCGUUAGAGAGAGAGAGUGGGUGGGGUUGUUGGGGAAGGUAUGAGAGAGAGAGGAGAGAGAAAAGAAAAAAGAUAAUAUAAAAUAAUAAUAAUAAUAAUAAUAAUAAUAAUAAUAAUAAUAAUAAUAAAAUAAUAUACAAAAUAAUAAAAACUAAUAAUUAAAUAGUGAGUGGGCAAAAAAUAUCAUAUGAAAUCGGGAUUUAAUUUUAAGAGUAAAAUUGGGUUAAAAAUUAAUGUAAAAUAAAAUUGGGACAAAUUUUGGGGUAUACAAUAAUGCGCGCCUCUUCGAUAGAGUCCACGACUAAAGCAAGUGUAUAUGUGAGCAAAACAAAGUGGGCUCUACUGAAAAACAAGAAAGACCACCAAAUUUGUCUUAAUAUGACAUGAACUCUCCCAAAAAAAAAAAAAAAAAAAAAAAUCUAAAACCCUACAAAAAUGGCUAAAACGGAAAUUCCUAAGGUGCCUCUAAAGUUAUACUAUGGAUCUAGACUCCCUUAGAAAAGCCUCCAAAAAUGGCCCAAAAAUCGGUGUCAAAAUCGAGUAGCAAUCAGACCACUAAGGAGCACAUGAACGAAUGCAUACAAAGGGAAAAAAAACCAUACGUGUACCAUACGAUGACAAAAGGCAUAAGGUAUCCAACAAUAUGACUGAUUCACGUGUUACGAGCUCAAAAAACUUUGUCAUGCACCAUGGAGGAAGGGAAACUCUAGAAUAAUGUGAUGAGGAAGUUAUUAGCACAAUGUAACAGAGUGAGGAAAAAAGUGAUGAGUGCAAAGCUGUGAGGACAAGGUGCACAAUGCUAAUGAAUAUGAAAUGAAUAGCACUAGGCUACAAUGCAAUCAAUAGCUCAGGGUUGUACCAUAAUGAACAAGUCAAGGAUGUGUAAAGAUGAGGAACAACUCAAGGUUGUAAUGCAAUGAACAACUUAGGGCUGUGAAUGCAAUGAACAACUCAGCGCAAUGAAUGAAAUGAAUAGCUCAGGGCUGUGAAUGCAAUGAACAACUCGAGGUUGUGGAUGUAAUGAACAACUCAGGGUUGUGGAUGUCAUGAACAACUCAAGAAUAGGGGCACUGUACACCCAAAAUGGGAGAUCACGGCCUACGAUUCCAAGUCAAACCACUAAAGGGUGACCAAAAUGAGGGUGAUCAACUCACUAAAAAAGAUGAUAAAAAUGUCUUAAGGGAGAGGAGAUGCCCCAUAUGAAACUUAAAGGAAAUGAGUAGUGCUAAUGAAACUAAAAAAAGAAAAAAUGUCACAACUGAAAUUGAAAAAAUAGCAAACUUAGAUUAAAGUGCAAUGAACAACUUUGGGCUGUGGAUGCGAUGAAUAGUACCGUGUUGUAAUGAAAUGAAUAACUCUAAGAUAUGGGCAUUGUACGCCUAAAGAGGGAGAUCGUGGUUUACGACUCCAAGUCAAACCACUAAAGGACAACUAAAAUAAGAUGAUCAACUUACUAUAAAUGAGAAUGCAACUAUCUCGAGAAAAAGGGUAUGCCCCAAAUGACACUCAACAGUAAAAGAAUGACACAAAUGAAACUAAAACAAGAGGAUGCCACAAAUGAAAUUGAAAUGAUAACAGACUCAGUACUAAUGUGUAAUGAACAACUUUGGACUAUGGAUGCAAUGAAUAGCACUGGGUUGUAAUGAAAUGAACAACUCUAAGAUGUGGGCACUAUACCCCUAAGAAAUGAGAUCAUAGUUUACGACUCUAAGUCAAACCGCUAAAGGGCGACUAGAAUAGGAUAAUCAACUCACUAAAAAUGAGGAUGCAACUAUCUCGAGAAAGGGGGUAUGCCCUAAAUGACACUCAACAGUAUAAGAAUGACAUAAAUGAAACUAAAAUAAGAGGAUGCCACAAAUAAAACUAAAAUGAUAACAAAUUCAAAACUAAUGUGCAAUGAAUAACUCUAGGUUGUGGAUGUAAUGAACAACACUGGGCUGUAAUGAAAUGAACAACUCUAAGAUGUGGGCACUAUACGCCUAAAGAGGGAAAUCACGGUCAACGACUCCAAGUCAAACCACUAAAGGGCGAUUAGAAUAGGAUGAUCAACUCACUAAAAAUGAGAAUGCAACUAUCUCGAGAAAAGCGGGAUGCCCUAAAUGACACUCAAUAGUUAAAGAAUGACACAAAUGAAACUAAAAUGAAAUGAUACUACAAAUGAAACUGAAAUGAUAACAAACUGAUAACUAAAGUGCAAUGAACAACUCUAGGCCGUGGAUGUAAUGGACAGCUCAAGAAUAGGGGAACUGUUCGCCCAAAAUGGGAGAUCGUGGUCUACGACUCUAAGUCAAACCACUAAAGGGUGGCUAAAAUCAAAAUGAUCAACUCACUAAAAAUAAGGAUCUGAACAUCUCAAGAAAGGGGUUAUGCCCCAAAUGAAACUGACAAUAGAGGGAUGCCCUAAACAGACUGAAGAAAGGAGGAUGCCCUAAACAAACUAACGAAAAAUGGAUGCCCUAAACAAACUGAAGGAAGUGAAAUGCCCUAAAUAAACUGACCAAAGAAGAAUGCACUAAACAAACUCCGAGAAAAAAAAAAAGAAGUAUGCGAUAUAGAAUAAAAAACACCUAAAGCAAAAACAAGAAACAAAGAAUGUGGUUUACAACUAGAAACACCCAAAAGAACCUUAAAGAAGUGACUGGGAUAAUGAACUUAAUGAAAAUAGGGUAUGCCACAAUAAAAGACUCGGAAGUAUCAGCAAAUGGGUCAAAUGACCAUGAAAUCAAUAGGAGAUAUGAUGAACCCAAAAAGGGCGUAUGCCCCAACAAAAGAACACUAAAAGGGGGGUAUGCCCCGAUAUGACGACUCACAAUAAUUAAGAAAUGGAUCGAGUAAUGAGAAAAUCUGCAAAAUAUCUUAUGAACUCAAAGAUGGGGGUAUGCCCCAGUGUAAAAUAGUGACCAACAUAAGACACAGAAUGUCACCAUACAAUACACUCUGGGAUAUGCUCAAUGACAAUGUAAUGAAAACAAUAGCCUCAAUCAACAAAUGUUCAAGCAAGACCAUGCAUCACAUAAACUAAAAUAAUAGGCUAAAGAAAUGCUAACCAAGUUUCUCAAUCUGAAAUGUAAGCAAGUCAAGACAUGACAUGUCAACCAUCGACAUGAAAACAUCAUCACAAAUACAUCAACAAACUAAUAGUCCCUACUAUCAUGGAAAAUGUAGAACCUAACGUCCAAAGGCAUGUGAAAACUCAACCAGAAAGCUCAAGACUAGUUUGCAUCCUCCUCUAAUAAAAAGAAUGAGAUAAGGUCAUGUAGGAUGAUGAAAUAGGCAAGCUCAAUAUUCGUUAGGCUCUACCAAGAUGGAUGUAGGUAUAAUAGUGUCAAAGGUAGGAUGUCUAGAUGUCCAACGAAGGAAACUGGGUAUCCAAGUCAAACCAAGUAUGUUGAGGAAACUGAACCCAUAGGAUAAUAACUUUAUGAUCCAUUGAAAAUAGCAAUCAUGAAUAGAAGGUCGAGUCUCGAUGUCAAAAUCAACAAGGUGGCAUUGCCCCAGUAUGAAUACAUCUUCUCAAAAUGGGUAAACCCUCAGUGCAAGAUAAUCUCUAGAAAGUAUGUGUCUAAUAUAAACUGUCAUCUCACAAAAUCUAUCACUGAUCAGUGGGCUAUACCCCAGUGUAAGCAUUUCCAAAUCAAACAUCGAUGAGAGGAGUACAACCAAUCAUACACAAUAUGAUCAAAACAAAUCUCCACUCCUCAAAGUCAUCAUGGUAAUGUGAAGAGAGUAUCUAACCUCAUUUAAAGAAAGAUCAUGUCCCAAUGUGAAAAAUAUCAAGCAAAGUGGUAUGUCUCAACAAAAAUGCACUCUAACAUGAUCAUGCCUAGAUGUAAGAUGGUAUCUUUAAGAUUAAUCACCAAUGAAAGGGUUAUGCCCCAGUAUAGGGCAAUCUCUUAAACGACUAAAAUCCACUACAAGCUCUCACAAGUGUCUAUGUCAUGAACCAAUCAUCUCAAAAAAUAAAUAAAUAAAUAAAUAAAUCUAUCAACAAUGAUGAGAAGGUUAUGCUCGUAUAAUCACAUCAAGAAAAUCACCCGGUCAUAUCUUGUAUUCCAAUGUGAAAGGAAAAUAUGAUCACCUCCAAAGAAUGGCUAUGCCCCAAAAUACAUCAUCGAUUGAGAAAUAUGCCCCUACGUAAAGUACAUCAACUGAAAUAUGCCAAUCAUGCCUCAUGCUCCAAUGUGAAAAAUGACGUAUAAUCUUCUUUGAGGGAUGGUCAUGACUCAAAAUCCAUCAUCAGUUGAGAGAAGUAUGCCCCGACAUAAUGGUCAUCUAAAAAAUCAAUCCCCGACUAAGAAAUGUGUGCCUUGAUGUGAUGUAUCAAGCAAAAUGGCUGCAUACCCCAUAAAAAACUCUCUAAGGUGGCUAUGCUCCAAUGUUGGAUCAUACCACAACUCCUGGUCGAUCACAAUCAAAAUGCUCUCCAACCAAUCCCAAGUAUCGCCCACAUGAGAGCUAUCAAACACAAUGUGUGAUGUCAUGGCCUCAAGGUGGUCUUAAGAUUCGGGACGUAACGUAGGCUAGGGUAAUAAGGUGAAGAAAUGAAGGAAAACUAGGCUUAAUAAUCCUAAUGAUAAAACCCCAUACCCUUAUGUAUAAAAUGCAAUAUGUGCAAAGAGUCUCAUAAACCAUGGAUCUAAGGACACCCAAUAUGAAUAUAUCAGUGAGGAAGAAAGAAUCUAAGAUGAAUAUAUCAAUGAUAAAAGAGAAGAAAUGAAGAAUAUCAAACUGUUGAUGGGAUGUAUAAGAAUGAUGUGUGGAAAAUAUUGAACAUGGAAUGUAAAUUGAUAUGAACAAAGAACAAUGUAGGCAAGGCAAAUGCGAUAUCAUGAUAAGAACAAAUAAAUCGAAGAAAAAUGAAUGAACACUAAUCCACUCAAAUCAAGUCAUGGAGAAUAGUCAAAUCACCAACGUAUGUAAUGAUGGAGAAGACAAUGAUUCGAAGUCCCUAGGAAAAUGUCACUUGUUUGUCACACAUAAAAUACAUAACAAGAUAGACACAAAAAUAUGAGAGUCUUUUGAAAGUUCACGUACGAACUUUCAUAAGCAACUAACUCAAUAAAGCAACCUCAAUGACCAAUAUAUACACUCAAUAAAGGAUGACACUGUAUACAUGUGUUUAUUACUUUUUCUUUUUCAUUUUUUUCAUUUUUUUUUUCAUUUUUUUUCUUUUACUCACGCAUACUCUGAAUAUCAAUAAAUGAACUUCUCUAAGAAUACAUAAUGAAAUGGAUAUACUCUCAAACAAUGAUGUAAGCGAACUCUCUCUGACAAGAUGACCCUCUAAAUUAAGGAUUUUCGAACUAACGUCCAUGAGAUAGGAGUGGAAGGGGAUAUGACCAUCCUCCUUGCAUCGAAAUGUGAAAAAUCAUCACUCAGGGCACAAAAAAAUGUGAUGAAAAAAAAUAAAAAAUGAAACAAAAGAUAUAAACAAUGGAGUAUGAUGAAGACUGAUGUUGGGAAGACAAAAAAAUAGUGAAGAAGGUGAGCCAAUAAGUCCACAACUCAUGAAACUCUCGAAUAAAAUAUAUAUACACCAAAAGACCCUUAUCCCAGUAUAAAAUGUGAGCAAGGAUAUAAGAAAGAAAAGACUAUGGUGCUCAUGUGAGGUUCAAAGGGCUAGCAACGGUCCAAAUGUCAAUAAAGGUAAUAGGGUGUGAGCUAACCAAAAUGAAGGCCACCUAUGAUGGUCUGAAACAUCAUGCUCUUAAGCUUUCAAUGAUCAAUACUGAAAAUCGAUGUCCAUUUGAUAUAAACACGUCAACCCUUUGGAAUUGUGCGCCAAACCAUACUCCAAAUGCUCCAUAAUAAUCUCAAAGAUAAUCCUCUCAAAGCACAAUAAAUAGCGAUCUCAUAAGGCACAACUACUCAUCACAAGCCAACUCUCAUCAUGCAAGAUCAAUCUCUAUUUUCAUGGAAAAAUAAGUGACAAUCUCAUCAGGCAAUUGACGAAUCCUCACAUCGUAAACCAACCAAAGAUCAUAAGUCAUUCAUUGCCAUGCAAGAUCAAUCCCAAGCUCAAACUCCUCAUACUCUACCUGGUUGGAUUAGAGAAGAAAUGGGCAAAGCUAGAAAAACUGAAGAUGGAAAGGUCAUAUAAUGGUGUCAAGGGUGAUGUUGUGCAAAACUCACAAUGGAUGGAUGUAGGUCAAAGCAAAGUCAAUGUGUGAGAGUGAGUAAGACACCACUCUGAUCAUAAGAAGAUGAGUCACAAUCUCAAACUCCUAAGGUCAAAUCUCCGAUCCUAGGCUAAUAAGCUCAACAUCCUCCAUGAUAGGUCAACCCCCAAGAUCACAAUGUGCAAAUGAAUAGAUGCCUCAAGUCAAAAGUACAACACAUCAUAUGAUAUAUGGUCCUACGAUGACAAUCUAAAACUGGAAAUAUGUUACAAACUCUAAGGUCAUAAAGGUGUCCACUGUGAGAUGACUACAAAUGUGACUAAGGAAUCUUUAUCAAUAAUCCAAAAAAUGAAUGAGGUGUGAAAAACAACACUAUCAUGAGAUCGAUACCCCAUCAAUAACAAAAUAUCUCUAAUUCACUUUCAAUCUAAGCUCUAUAAAGAAAAACGAUAAGGUUAUAAAGGCAAACCUCUCAAAAAUGGUGUGAAUGUGAAAACAUGUCUUCACCUUUCUAUAAUGAAAAUAUCAUGUUGAAAAUAGAAAUAGGCAAAUCGACCAAAGAAUGAAGUACGGAGCCCAUGACAAGUGAAGAAUGUAAAAAGGUGAACAUGAUCAAUGAACAUAUCCCAAAACAUCAAGCAUAAAGUGGCAACAAACCGAAAGAAUGUGUCAACUUAAGAAAAGAAGACUAUCUGAAGCCCUAGGGAGAAAGUGUGCUAGACUCAAGGAGCGACAAGAAGAAACUAAAACCAUAUAGCAAGGGGUGGUCCAACUGAUACUCAAACUCGUACCAAUAUCUAAGCACUCUCGACUGGAGACCAAAAGAUGGAGUAUUGGAUCCAUAUUGUGACUAAAGUGGCCUCGAAGGCUCUAAGAUGCACCCACGUGUAGGAAAGGAAAUCCUAAUAAAAAUAUCUAAGGCUUAACCUACAAGGUCAAGGCGGCUAUAAAAAGAAAAAUUGAGUGGACUUUAAAGGAUCCCUAGCAAAAGCGAUCAUACCCUCCAAUGGUACGCAACCUCCUACACGUCUUGAAAUAUAUGGGAGUAAUUCCAUGCAAGGUGGUCAUCACCUCCACACAUGCACUAGCUCAUAUCCUAGAGGGUUUCCUAAUGAUGAAGACUCUUACAUCUCUCAACACUUAGUGGUAAUCUAAGGUGCACAGUGAACGGUGUGGGUUCAUCCAAAAAUCAUAUCAAGCUAAACAAAGAGAAAACACAUUGGUCACACAAAUAUCCUGAAAUCUAGCUCUAACCUAUACAAGUCUUCAAAGAUUGGACUCCAAUUAGCAUUAAUGUUUCGACCUUCUCCAGAAUGCUCCCAAACAUAGAUAUAGUCCAUCACUAAACCCUACUCCGAAUCACUAGCUCGGUCGAAGAGCAAACAAAGUAAUAAGUCUCAUAUCAAAUACGAGAUCAAGGGGAACACGGUCACCCGAGACUAGGGAAUUGAAGGUAAGGAGAUAGGUGUGUGUCCCACAUAGAAAAUCAACAUGCAUUACACAGAAGAAGAAUAGUCAUGCAAUAGACAACCAAGCAAAGAACAGGUAUAUCAUUCAUAUCUACACACAAGCUAAACAAGAAAUAGGUAUUUAACAAGAAUAAACAAUAUGUUGAGAUAAACAAGAUAAUAUACAAUAAAGAGAAUCAAUCACACCAAUAUGAAUGAGAUAUACAAAAAUGAGAAUAUACAUGUCAAGGAGAGCAAGAUAAUCAUACAACAAGAAGAGUCUUAUGUUAAAGCAAGCAAGAGAAUCAAUCGAUGUAGUCAACAUGUCAAUAUCGCAAAUGAACAUAACAACCAAAUAUGCAUCAUAAAGAAAAAAUGGUAAUCAUGCAGCACGUAGUCAUACAAAACAAAUAUAGACAAACAUAAGCAAAUAAAUGUAAACACACAUGAUAACAAAAAUCAAUGUAUAGUAAGGCACAUGCAAUAUAUACAUAAAAUAAUCAUCAAGUCAACACUCAUAUACCUUAAAACAUGAAAAUAUACAAUAAAGACACAAUGAGAGGGUAUUCACUGAUCGAUUAAUCAAACGCUACAUUUCCUUUAACUCGAGUUCAAGUUUGAUCCUUUAAAUAUCCCUAGUGGAGUCGCUAUUUUGUGGACCCACAUUUUUCAAAUGCGUCCUUACACAACAGCGAGACUCAUUUUUUUUAUUUGGUGAAAAUUUGAUUUUUAGAAAAAAGACUUUGAGUCGUCACUUAUUUUUGUUUUUUUUUAAGGGAAAACAAAACAAGAAAGAAAACCUUGUGUAACUCCUUAUUUGGGAAAGACAUGUAUGCAAAAACCAAAUCUGGUUUCGGGGGUCAAGUUACCUAUUGGGAAUGUACGAUGGUGAGCUGUAGCACCUCUCUAAGCUCAUAUACGUACAGUCUCUACUAAACGAAUUAAGAGAGUUGUAGUAAUUAAUUAAUUAGUCAAGGAUACCAAGAAAAAGAAUCGCACAAAUGAGUACGUACAAAUCAUGAUAAAAAAAAUCAAAUUAUAAGAAUAGACAAAAUAAAUAACAAGAGAAUUGUGCAAAGUGAUUUAUUAAACUAAAUAAAAAAGAAGAUAUUAAAAAAAUUAGUUUUCAAGAAAUUUCAAAGGAUUUUAUUAAAAUGAUUUUGAAUUAAUGAUUUUAAUUUAUUUAUUUACAAAAAAAAAAGUCAAUUUAUUUUCUUCAAGUGAUUUGAUUCAAUUUUUUUUAAAAAAAAAAGUUAUUUACACUCAUGGUUGUUAAAAGAAUUAUUAACAAAAUUUCAAGUUGACAAUAAAAAUGAUUUUUACUUGCUUUUACUCGAAAACAAUGAAUUUUUACAAUUUUAUUAACAAAAGCAUUUCAAUUUAAGAAAAGUGACUUAAACAAAUUAUUAAAAAAAUAUAACUUUAUCUACAAAAGAAUUUUUAAUUAAAAAGAAAAAAUUUAAAUCAUCUAUUUCUAAAAAUGACUUUUAAUCCCAUUUUAAUUAAGGAAAAUUGAGUUAUUUAAAAAAACAUUUUUUGGACAAUUUGAAUAAAAAUUAAUUUUUGGGACAACUUAUUUACAAAACAAUUUUUGGACAAUUAUUAUUAAAAACAAAAUUUCAAAUUCGAUUAAAAACAAUUUUUUGGAUUUUUCCAAACACAUUUUUAUGAAUUUUUAUUAAUAAAAAACUUUUUUUUAUUAAGAAGAAUAUUUUUUGAGCUAUUAUUUUAUUAAAACAUGUUUAUUGAAUUAUUCUUCUUAUUCAAACAAAAUUUUUAAUUUGUUCGAUAUCCAAUUCUGUACACAACAAGUAAAUAUAUACAAACAAAUAUUUAUAGAAAGCAAUAAAAAUAAAACCAAAUAGAAGUGAGAAAUAAAACAUGUACUUAAACAUGCUUACAACAAGCUCAAUGUCUUCUUACGAUUUUUCGAGUCUCACUUUCUUUCAUUAAAUUUUAUGCUCCACGUACCAUAAAUCCGUACUCAACCAAAAAAAUUGCAGAAUUGGCCCAUGCAAAAACAAAAAUAACACAAAUGUAAAUAUCUAAAAAUGUAUAAAGUUCACAAUAGAUAUUCAAGCCCAAAUUCAAAUUUCAAAUUAGUCCAACAAAUUUCGUCAAUCAAAAUAGGUCUAAAUUAGCAAAUAUAGCCCAACAAAAACAUUUCACAUGUCAUAGGCCUUAAUAUAAAAUUUCCAAGUUAAUAACCAAAAUAUAAGUUCAAUUAAUCAGACCCAAAACAUGAUACAUUAAAAUAAAUCUCAUUAGGCAUAAACUUAAUAUCUCAUAAUUCAAGCCUAAUUUAAUAUAUAAACCUAAAUCCACAAUCAAAAUCAACUCACUUUAUGCUAAUCCCAAUUUACAAUCAAAAUCAAACAUAAUUUAAUAAGUAAAUAACUAAAUAAAUUAAGCAAAAUCAAAACUCUCAAACCACUAUUGCACAAUAUCAAACAAUAAUAAAUAUAAUGACAACAACAAUAAUAAUAAAAUAAAAUAAAAAAAUUUAACUCACGUUGGAGCCAGUUUGAGUGUCGUGGGAAAGAAAGAAAAUGAGAGAAAAGUGGGAGAUGAUCGUUAGCUGGUAGUAGCUCGCCCGCGGCGACUGGUCGAUAGUCCUGCUGGCGGUAGUGAGGAUUGAUGAAUUUUUGGGAAAGGAAAAAAAAAGAGGAGUAAUAAAAAAAUGGAGAAAUGAGAGGAAGGUGGGAUAAGAGGGGAGAGAGAGAAUGAAGAAAAUAGGGGAAAAGAAAUGAGGCCGGCCGGAGGAGGAAGUGGUAGUGUGUGUGAGCUAAAGUGAAGAAGAAUGAAAGAAGAAGAAGGAGAAAAAUGGGAAAGAAGGGGAAAAAAAAUUCGAGCCCUCUAAAUGAAGAAAGGUGAGUAGCUUAAAGAAGAAAAUAAAAUAAAAUAAAAAAAGAAAAAAUGAGGAGAAAAUGAGAGGGCCAGUAGUCUUGGGAAUGGGGUGGUAUAGGUGAGAGAGAGUGGGCGAGGUUGUUGGGGAAGGUAUGGGAGAGAGAGGAGAGAUGAAAGAAAGAGAAAAAAAAAACAUAAUAAUAAUAAUAAUAAUAAUAAUCAUAAAUAAUAUAUAAAAUAAUAAAAAUUAAUAUUUAAAUGAUGAGUGUGUCAAAAAUAUUAUAUGUAAUUGGGAUUUAAUUUUAAGAGUAAAAUUGGACUAAAAAUUAAUGUAAAAAUAAAAUUUGAACAAAUUUUAAAAUCUACAAAUACAUUCUUUAAUCUUUCCACAACAUCAAUCUGAUCUAAAUGAAAUGCAAUAAAUUCUAAAAAUGAUACAAUCUUUAAUCAAUCCACAAUAUCAACCCGAUCAAAACUCAAUGCAAUAUUGCUUAAUGGAGAGAAUCGUAAAAUCCUUUUAUGAGAGGAAAACAAAACCCUUAACAGACCUUUAUGAGAGGAAAAUAGGAAAACAUAGAACUAAAAACCCUUAACGUAUUCAUGAGAAUAAAAAAAAUCCUUAACACCUUAAUAAGAGGAAAACAAAGAAUUUGAACAAUCCUUAAUCCAUCAAAAGCUCUUAAUAUGAACGAGGGGAAAACAUAACCUUUAUUUUUCAUAUCGCUGAAUACAGAAUCUAAAGAGAUAGAAUUUUUAGUUAUUAAGGAUUUUUUAUAGAUGUCUAUUGAAAGUUUAAGAACUUUUAUGGAUAAUUGUUAAUUAAGAGACUGAAAGGGUACUUAGGAUUUUCAACUAAAAAAGUUAUAACAAUAUGAAUAGUAAGAACUUAAAAACAUCACCCAUCCAUCAUAGGAAUAUGGAAUGAGAGGUUAUUUUUUUACUUAUACAACAAUAAACUUUUUUGGAAGAGGUUUUUCUAAGUACAAAAAGUUAUGAAUAAAAAACCAUUGUUACGAUGAGUUAACUAAAAUAGAAUUAAUUUAGAAAAUAUCAAUAAAGUUGCAUGAAUUAUUAUCAUGAGUUAACUUAAUAAGAAUAAAUAGUAAUAAAGUUAAUGAAGUGAAUUUGGAUUGGCAGAUAUAUUUGAUGAUAAGAUUUUUUUAAUAAUAAAAAAUUAUUAUGGCAGGAAAAAUAGGACAAAAUUGACCUUAUGAUAAGAUUUUUUUAAUAAUAAAAACAUUAUUAUGGUAUGAAAAAAAGGGACAAAAUUGGCCUUUCCUUAAUUGUACCGGUUAAUGGAAUAAUGGGACAUGCGGUGGUUACAAGCCACCCCAAAAGGUAGGAAGAAUCUCCAACCCCCAUUCUCGGCUCCCUUAUCUUUUCCCUUACAACCAAAAAUCAACAACUAUCUUAGAAUGUCCUUCAGUCCAUCAAAAUUCAACAACAACAAUUAUACAUUACAAUAAUGAAAACAAAAUUGAUUGAUCACCAGCUAACAUUAGGAGAUUAUAAGAUAAGGAUGUAAUUGCAAUUAUUGAAAUCACUUAAAGAGUAAAAAUUAGGAACAUGCUCACAAUAAAUAAAAUCACCUUAGAAUUAAAAAUUAGGGACAUGAUUAUGAUGAUUAAAAUCACUCGAGAACUAAAAUGUUUUAGAGAUACAAUAAUUGAAAUCAACUGAAAAAUAAAUUCGGGAUGUGAUCGCAAUUAAUGUAUAUAUAAACAACCAAAUGUUGAAAGGAAAAACUAAUGAAAUUAAUAUGAUUUUCUUUUAGAUUUCUCUUGACACCAAACAAAUGUAAGGAAGUUUAUAAAGGAAAAUUAGGUUUUGAUUCACUAAAUUAAAAUAAUAUAGAAAAAAGAUCUUCAAAUUUUAUGUAUCAGUUUUAUUUUUAUUUAUUUAAAAAUAUUUUAAAAUACAUAUAUUUUUUCAUAACUCAAAUAGUCAUUCCUCAAAUGCUAGUUUUACUUGUUAUGUUAAUAACACUAGUUAAUAAUUUUGUAUUGUGAGAACGAUUUAAGAUUAAUAAAAUAAGAAAUUUUUAAAACUAAAAAGACAUUUAAAACUUUAAAAUUAAAAAUAUAAAAAUAAAACAAUAAUUUUUCAUUUAGUAAAACACGCAGUAGAAAAUAUAGAUAUAGAGAAAGAGUUGGAAAUAAAAUAAGAGUUAAUAUUUUAUUUUUAAAAUUUUAUGUUUUUUAUUUUAAUUGUAUUUAAUUUUAUGUAUUUUAGUUGUAAUUAUAUUUUUAAUUUUUAAAUUUUUUUAUUUUAUUGUUGAUGUAAAUUUUUGUUCAAUUAUAUAUAUAUAUAUAUAUUUUAAAUUAGUGAGUAAAAACCCACUUUUUCUAAUUUAUAAUAUAUUUAUGGGAUUUUAUAAUAUAAGCAAUUUUUUUUUUUGAGAAAGAGGAAAAAUCAACUUUUCAAUUUCCCUUAAUAAUUAUUAGUAUUAUUAUCCAAUUUGGCUGAUUAUGAGAUUAGUUGGUAUCAUUACUAUAUCCAUUUGUUCUUAACCCUUCAUUAGAAUAGUAUUAGGAGUUGAACGUCAGUUGGAAUACAGGCUUAUGGAAACAAAUCUAUCCGAUUAGUAGGUUCUUAUUAUUUUCAAUAUAGGCCCCAUAAAAUAAAUAGGAGAUGGGCAGCCCGUCCCUUUGUCUGGAGGCCAUCCUCCCAACUUAUUAAAGGUGAUAUGAGAUAAGAUAGUGACAAAAUUAUCGGUUACUUCCCGACACCUGGCUCUCCACAAGCAAACCCAGUGAUCCAGAAAUUAAUUGGUACCUGGACACGUGACUACCAAACGUUCGCUCACCUACCAUACCCAUGGCCUCAUGCCCCAUAUAUUUCCACAAACCUAGCUCAAUUUUCAUAGCCACCUUCACUAUCCUACACUCACUAAGCCAUGGCCAUAGAUACAAGCCUCUUGAUUGAGCUUGCUGCAGCAACUCUACUCUUCUUCAUCACCCGCUUCUUCAUUCGUUCUCUCCUUCCCAAAUCUUCCUGGAAGCUCCCUCCUGGCCCCAAAGGGUGGCCGCUCGUCGGCGCUCUUCCUCUUCUAGGUAACAUGCCUCAUGUUGCAUUAGCAAAGAUGGCCAAAAGAUACGGGCCUGUCAUGUUCUUGAAAAUGGGCACUAACAGCAUGAUGGUGGCCUCAUAUUAAGGAAAUUAUAUGUUAGUUAUUGUAUGAUUAUCUUGACAUAAUUAGCUGAUUGUAUAGGAGCAUAAUUAGCCUUAUAUUACUGAUUCUGUAGCUAUAAUUUAGGAGAAGAUUAGAUCAAACAUGUGUAUAUAUAUACUACAUUCUAUUAAUGAGAAAAGUAUCCAAUUUGAAGCCAAUCUCUUUAUUCUUGUUAUGGUAUCAGAGCAAGAACAAAAAACCACCAUGGCUGGCAGUCAGAAGGCUUCUGGAUCAGAAAACAAGACCAUCGAUCCUUCACAUCCUCUCUAUAUUCAUCAUUCAGAUCAACCAGGCCAUGUUUUGGUGCCCAUCAAAUUAAAUGGGGUCAACUAUCAAUCAUGGAGCAAAGCAGUUAUUCAUGCCCUUACUGCCAAGAAGAAGAUCGGCUUCGUCGACGGGACAGUUGAAGAACCAUCGCAGGAAGAUGAACCCUUUAUGUUUGAACAGUGGAAUCAAUGCAACAGCAUGAUACUUUCUUGGCUAACUCAUGCUGUUGAAUCGGACAUUGCUGAAGGAAUUAUCCAUGCUAAAAUAGCACGCGAAGUGUGGGUUGAUUUGCGCGACCAGUUUUCUCAAAAGAAUGCUCCAGCGGUUUUUCAAAUAUAGAAAUCAAUCGCCACCAUGUCGCAAGGAACGAUGACAGUAGCUGCAUAUUUUACAAAGAUCAAAGCCUUAUGGGACGAGCUUGAGACAUACCGUUCCCCGCUGACCUGCAACCAACGGCAAGCACAUCUCGAGCAAAGGGAGGAAGACCGUCUUAUGCAAUUUCUAAUGGGUUUGAAUGAGUCAUAUAAGGUAGUGAGAUCCAAUAUUUUGAUGAUGUCGCCAUUGCCCAAUGUCUGUCAAGCAUACUCUUUAAUUGUCCAGGAAGAGAUGCAACGACAAGUUUCUUCUGAGCCAACCGAGAAUUUCUCAAUAGCUGCCGCAGUCCCUGGAAAAGGAGGUAAUCCAAGACAAAAAUUGUGUGACCAUUGUAACAGAUCCGGACAUACCAUAGAUGAAUGUCGGACUCUUAAAUUUCACUGUAAGUUCUGUGAUAAAAGAGGUCACACGGAGGAUAGAUGCCGACUGAAAAAUGGGAGCAAUAACAAAACGGGACAAUUCCGAGGACAAUGUCCUUUUGGUCGUGGGAAUCAGCCCUUAGCAAACGCGACAGAAUCCCAGGAAAUGUCUGAUUCGACUUCUUCUAGUACAGUCCAGGGGUUCACUACAGAACAAAUACAACAGUUGGCUCAAGCAAUUUCAUGCAUUAAAUCACAGUAAUUCCGGUAAUAUUGACGCAUAUGCAAAUGCUGCAGGUUUGAUUCCAUCAACUCUUGUGUCUGUUAAUUCUAGUAGUACAAGUUCUUGGAUUUUGGAUACAGGUGCCACGGAUCACAUCGUUUCCCACAUGUCUCUUUUCACUGAUCUCAAACCUUCUAAUGUCACAACUGUUAAUUUACCAAAUGGUGCAGCAUCACCAAUAACACACACUGGCACCGUUAUUUUUGAUUCCCAAUUGACCCUUAAAGAUGUUUUAUGUGUCCCAUCCUUUAACUUGAAUUUAAUUUCGGCUAGCAAACUCGCAAAAGAUCAGAAUUGCUGCAUCAUAUUCUUUCCUGACUAUUGUAUUUUGCAGGACUUGGUUUCGGGGAAGAUGAUUGGCUCGGGUAAACAGCGUGGUGGUCUAUACUACAUGCAUCCAUCAACAAAUAAAUCGGUUGUCUUUCAUGUUUCUCAACCGUCUGACUUAUGGCAUUUACGCCUGGGUCAUCCCUCUUUUUCUCGUUUUAAAUUAUUAUCACAUUUGCUUCCAGAUAUUCAUAAAGAAUUAGGAAAUCAUUGUCCAAUUUGCCCACAGGCUAAGCAGACACGCUUGCCCUUUCCCAAAAGUUCAAUAACUACAAAAUUUCCUUUUUCUCUUUUACAUUNNNNNNNNNNNNNNNNNNNNNNNNNNNNNNNNNNNNNNNNNNNNNNNNNNNNNNNNNNNNNNNNNNNNNNNNNNNNNNNNNNNNNNNNNNNNNNNNNNNNNNNNNNNNNNNNNNNNNNNNNNNNNNNNNNNNNNNNNNNNNNNNNNNNNNNNNNNNNNNNNNNNNNNNNNNNNNNNNNNNNNNNNNNNNNNNNNNNNNNNNNNNNNNNNNNNNNNNNNNNNNNNNNNNNNNNNNNNNNNNNNNNNNNNNNNNNNNNNNNNNNNNNNNNNNNNNNNNNNNNNNNNNNNNNNNNNNNNNNNNNNNNNNNNNNNNNNNNNNNNNNNNNNNNNNNNNNNNNNNNNNNNNNNNNNNNNNNNNNNNNNNNNNNNNNNNNNNNNNNNNNNNNNNNNNNNNNNNNNNNNNNNNNNNNNNNNNNNNNNNNNNNNNNNNNNNNNNNNNNNNNNNNNNNNNNNNNNNNNNNNNNNNNNNNNNNNNNNNNNNNNNNNNNNNNNNNNNNNNNNNNNNNNNNNNNNNNNNNNNNNNNNNNNNNNNNNNNNNNNNNNNNNNNNNNNNNNNNNNNNNNNNNNNNNNNNNNNNNNNNNNNNNNNNNNNNNNNNNNNNNNNNNNNNNNNNNNNNNNNNNNNNNNNNNNNNNNNNNNNNNNNNNNNNNNNNNNNNNNNNNNNNNNNNNNNNNNNNNNNNNNNNNNNNNNNNNNNNNNNNNNNNNNNNNNNNNNNNNNNNNNNNNNNNNNNNNNNNNNNNNNNNNNNNNNNNNNNNNNNNNNNNNNNNNNNNNNNNNNNNNNNNNNNNNNNNNNNNNNNNNNNNNNNNNNNNNNNNNNNNNNNNNNNNNNNNNNNNNNNNNNNNNNNNNNNNNNNNNNNNNNNNNNNNNNNNNNNNNNNNNNNNNNNNNNNNNNNNNNNNNNNNNNNNNNNNNNNNNNNNNNNNNNNNNNNNNNNNNNNNNNNNNNNNNNNNNNNNNNNNNNNNNNNNNNNNNNNNNNNNNNNNNNNNNNNNNNNNNNNNNNNNNNNNNNNNNNNNNNNNNNNNNNNNNNNNNNNNNNNNNNNNNNNNNNNNNNNNNNNNNNNNNNNNNNNNNNNNNNNNNNNNNNNNNNNNNNNNNNNNNNNNNNNNNNNNNNNNNNNNNNNNNNNNNNNNNNNNNNNNNNNNNNNNNNNNNNNNNNNNNNNNNNNNNNNNNNNNNNNNNNNNNNNNNNNNNNNNNNNNNNNNNNNNNNNNNNNNNNNNNNNNNNNNNNNNNNNNNNNNNNNNNNNNNNNNNNNNNNNNNNNNNNNNNNNNNNNNNNNNNNNNNNNNNNNNNNNNNNNNNNNNNNNNNNNNNNNNNNNNNNNNNNNNNNNNNNNNNNNNNNNNNNNNNNNNNNNNNNNNNNNNNNNNNNNNNNNNNNNNNNNNNNNNNNNNNNNNNNNNNNNNNNNNNNNNNNNNNNNNNNNNNNNNNNNNNNNNNNNNNNNNNNNNNNNNNNNNNNNNNNNNNNNNNNNNNNNNNNNNNNNNNNNNNNNNNNNNNNNNNNNNNNNNNNNNNNNNNNNNNNNNNNNNNNNNNNNNNNNNNNNNNNNNNNNNNNNNNNNNNNNNNNNNNNNNNNNNNNNNNNNNNNNNNNNNNNNNNNNNNNNNNNNNNNNNNNNNNNNNNNNNNNNNNNNNNNNNNNNNNNNNNNNNNNNNNNNNNNNNNNNNNNNNNNNNNNNNNNNNNNNNNNNNNNNNNNNNNNNNNNNNNNNNNNNNNNNNNNNNNNNNNNNNNNNNNNNNNNNNNNNNNNNNNNNNNNNNNNNNNNNNNNNNNNNNNNNNNNNNNNNNNNNNNNNNNNNNNNNNNNNNNNNNNNNNNNNNNNNNNNNNNNNNNNNNNNNNNNNNNNNNNNNNNNNNNNNNNNNNNNNNNNNNNNNNNNNNNNNNNNNNNNNNNNNNNNNNNNNNNNNNNNNNNNNNNNNNNNNNNNNNNNNNNNNNNNNNNNNNNNNNNNNNNNNNNNNNNNNNNNNNNNNNNNNNNNNNNNNNNNNNNNNNNNNNNNNNNNNNNNNNNNNNNNNNNNNNNNNNNNNNNNNNNNNNNNNNNNNNNNNNNNNNNNNNNNNNNNNNNNNNNNNNNNNNNNNNNNNNNNNNNNNNNNNNNNNNNNNNNNNNNNNNNNNNNNNNNNNNNNNNNNNNNNNNNNNNNNNNNNNNNNNNNNNNNNNNNNNNNNNNNNNNNNNNNNNNNNNNNNNNNNNNNNNNNNNNNNNNNNNNNNNNNNNNNNNNNNNNNNNNNNNNNNNNNNNNNNNNNNNNNNNNNNNNNNNNNNNNNNNNNNUUUUCGUUUUUCACCCCAUCACCGUGCUUUUUUAGCUCUUUUGACAGCCCAAACCGAACCUUCAUCCUUUGAACAAGCUGACUGUGAUCCACGUUGGCGCCAAGCCAUGUCCACCGAACUUCAGGCUCUAGAACGAAACAACACUUGGGAGAUGGUCCCUCUUCCUCCGGGACACAAACCCAUUGGCUGCCGCUGGGUGUACAAGAUCAAAUACCAUUCUGACGGAACCAUUGAACGCUAUAAAGCCCGUUUGGUUGCCAAGGGCUACACACAGGUCGCCGGUAUCGACUAUCAGGAAACCUUUUCUCCAACUGCCAAACUCACCACUCUUCGCUGUUUGCUGACUGUCGCAGCUUCCAGAAAUUGGUACAUCCAUCAGCUUGAUGUGCACAACGCAUUCCUUCAUGGCAAUUUACAAGAAGAGGUUUAUAUGACUCCACCUCCUGGUCUUCGCCGAUAGGGGGAGAAUCUGGUAAGUCGGCUUCGCAAAUCUAUUUACGGUUUGAAACAGGCAUCACGCAAUUGGUUCUCAACUUUUACAGCUACUGUUAAGUCUGCGGGUUACAUACAGUCCAAAGCAGAUUAUUCACUUUUUACUAAAUCCCAAGGUAACAAGUUCAUUGCUAUUCUCAUUUAUGUUGAUGAUAUCCUGUUGACUGGUAAUGAUUUGCAUGAAAUCAAGAUGCUCAAGACUCAUCUGCUCAAGCAUUUUUUUAUUAAAGACCUCGGUGAAUUGAAAUAUUUUUUGGGUAUAGAAUUCUCUCGCUCUAAAAAGGGAAUCUUUAUGUCUUAAAGAAAAUAUGCAUUAGAUAUUUUGCAAGACACAGGAUUGACAGGAGUGAAGCCCGAAAAAUUUCCGAUGGAGCAAAACUUGAAAUUGACUGAUGAAGAUGGCGAGUUACUUCAUGAUCCAAGUAGGUAUCGGAGACUGGUUGGCAGAUUAAUAUACUUGACUGUAACCAGGCCUGACAUAGUGUAUUCAGUACGUACACUAAGUCAAUUCAUGAACACACCUCGGAAGCCGCACUGGGAAGCAGCAUUACGAGUCCUCCGAUAUAUUAAAGGGUCACCAGGUCAAGGUCUUUUUCUUCCAUCUGAAAAUAAUUUAACACUCAGCGCAUUUUGCGAUUCAGAUUGGGGAGGAUGUCGUAUGUCAAGACGUUCCGUUUCUGGUUAUUGUGUUUUCCUCGGAUCAUCACUCAUCUCUUGGAAAUAAAAAAAACAAACGAAUGUUUCACGUUCGUCAGCAGAAGCAGAGUACAGAGCAAUGGCGAAUACUUGCCUGGAAUUGACUUGGUUGAGGUACAUACUUAAAGAUUUGAAGGUUGAAUUGGACAAACCAGCACCAUUGUUUUGUGAUAAUCAAGCAGCUGUAUAUAUUGCAGCUAACCCAGUUUUUCACGAAUGUACUAAACACAUUGAGAUUGAUUGUCAUAUAGUUCGAGAAAAACUUCAAGCUGGGGUAAUUCGUCCGUGUUAUGUUUCUACAAAGAUGCAGUUGGCGGACGUUUUUACAAAGGCACUUGGCAGGGAGCAGUUCGAAUUUUUGUGCACCAAGUUGGGAGUUCUUGAUUUGCACUCUCCAACUUGAGGGGGAGUAUUAAGGAAAUUAUAUGUUAGUUAUUGUAUGAUUAUCUUGACAUAAUUAGCUGAUUGUAUAGGAGCAUAAUUAGCCUUAUAUUACUGAUUCUGUAGCUAUAAUUUAGGAGAAGAUUAGAUCAAACAUGUGUAUAUAUAUACUACAUUCUGUUAAUGAGAAAAGUAUCCAAUUUGAAGCCAAUCUCUUUAUUCUUGUUACCUCAACUCCCGGGGCGGCUCGGGCUUUCCUUAAAACGCUAGACAUUAAUUUCUCUAACCGCCCGCCUAAUGCCGGUGCCUCACUCUUGGCCUAUCAUGCCCAAGACAUGGUUUUUGCGGAUUAUGGGGCAAGGUGGAAGCUACUGAGAAAGCUAAGCAACUUACACAUGCUUGGUGGGAAGGCUCUUGAGGACUGGUCUCAGGUCCGAGCUGUUGAGCUAGGCCACAUGCUUCGAGCCAUGCUUGAGUUGAGCCAGCGAGCGGAGCCGGUGGUGGUGCCGGAGAUGUUAACUUUUUCCAUGGCCAACAUGAUAGGUCAAGUGAUUCUAAGCCGCCGGGUGUUUGAAACAAAAGGGUCGGAGUCAAAUGAGUUCAAGGACAUGGUGGUGGAGCUCAUGACCACUGCUGGGUACUUCAAUAUUGGCGAUUUUAUUCCGUCCAUCGCAUGGCUGGACAUCCAAGGGAUCCAGCACGGGAUGAAGCAUUUACAUAGGAAGUUCGAUCGGUUAUUAACAAAGAUGAUGGAGGAGCACACGGCGUCAGCCCAUGAGCGGAAGGGAAACCCAGAUUUUCUGGACGUGAUCAUGGCAAACCAAGAAAAUUCUACAGGGGAGAAGCUCACUAUUACCAACAUUAAAGCACUCCUCCUGGUAUGCAUAGUUAAAGCUCGUCUUUAAUUUUGUUUUCCGAUAUUUUCUUUCCUGAAACAGCACUUUUAUUGCUUUUAGAUAUGUACGUUUUUAUCAGGUAGCCAUUUUAGGGGCACAUCACUGUUCUUUAUUUGGAUUUUUUUUGUCUUUUUCCACUUGCAUGGUUGUUUUCAUAUGCUCAGCUGCAUGGCACAGGAAAAUUGUGAAAAAUGAUUGGUUCUCUGAUCAGACCUUCUGCACCAAAACAUAAUUCUCUCUAUUUUAUAAAAUCAAGAACAUUUAUGGUUUACAUGAUUUUUCGAACUUGAACUUUUGCUAGUGCUAAUGCAUGGAUCUCAAUUUUUCAAUUGCGUUUGAUUAUAUAAAUUUCAAGUAUGUGAACAUAUUUUUGUUUCCUUGGCUAGAAUUUAUUUACUGCAGGAACAGACACUUCAUCGAGCGUAAUCGAGUGGUCUCUGGCUGAGAUGUUGAAAAACCCGAGCAUCCUCAAGCGUGCUCACGAAGAAAUGGAUCAAGUGAUUGGAAGGAGCCGGCGGCUCGUGGAGUCUGACUUGCCAAAACUUCCAUACCUACAAGCCAUAUGCAAGGAAAGCUUCCGGAAGCACCCAUCCACCCCAUUGAACCUUCCUCGUGUCUCAACCCAAGCAUGCGAAGUGAACGGCUACUACAUCCCAGAGAACACUAGACUUAGCGUGAACAUAUGGGCAAUUGGGCGAGACCCUGAUGUCUGGGAAAGCCCG